UUUUACUAGUUUUGCUAGAAAGGGUCAAUGCAAUUUUUAAUUCUCGUGUAUGUUAACUUUGCUUUCCAGCAUGACCCUCUUCCACAACAACCAAAGUCAGAACAGCUUGAAAAGCUGAAGGUAUUGAAGGUCAUGUUGGAGCGCUUGAUAACAUUCUUACAGGUCUCUAAAAACAACAUCACGCCUAAUUUCAAGGAGAAAUUGGGUUUCUAUGAGAAGCAGAUUGUAGGUUUUCUAAACCCAAGCAGAUACAGGAAGCCUAUUCCUAAUCUACAGCAAGGACAACCUCCCCAACCUCGUAUUCAACCUAUGCAGCAACCCCAAUCUCAAGUUCCUCAAUUGCAGUCCCAUGAAAAUCAACUGAUUCCCCAGUUGCAAUCAAUGAAUACGCAAGGUUCUGUACCACAGAUGCAGCAGAACAAUAUGUCAAGCUUGCUGCAUAAUUCCCUUUCAACUUUAUCUGGGGAUUCGACGUCACAAUCAAACAUGAUGAAUCCAAUACAACCAGGCUCCAAUUUAGAUUCUGGACAAGGAAAUGCACUGAGCUCAUUGCAGCAGACACCUGUAGGAUCUGUACAAAAGAAUCUCGUGAGCAUUUCCCAACCAACCAAAGUUAACACAUUGUCAACACAAAGUGGGGCGAGUAUGCUGCAGCCAAAUAUUCCCCUUCAGUCGAAUUCCAAUAUGAUUCAACACCAGCAUCUAAAACAGCAGCAGCAGCAGCAUGAACAACAGAUGCUACAAACACAACAGCUUAAACGAUUGCAGCAACACCAGAAUUUAAUGCAGAAUCAACAGAUGCAGCAGCAGCAAUUACACCAGCAAGCUCCGUCUCCUAUGCCAGGAGAUUCUGACAAACCAGUUUCUGGUAUUUCCUCACUCUUAAAUACUGGAAAUAUUGUACACCAACCAUCUGUUGCACAAGCACCGGCUCCAUCCCUUGCAAUUGGCACUCCUGGGAUAUCUGCAUCACCUUUGCUUGCAGAGUUUACCAGUCCUGAUGGUGCUCAUGGCGGUGCUUUGACAACUGUUUCUGGCAAGUCAAAUGUUACAGAGCAAUCACUUGAGUGCUUGAUUAAAGCGGUUAGUGAUGCUCUCCUUUUGGUUUUACUCCACCCCACCCUUAUUUUGGAGGUUUCUGAAAAAGAAAGAAACUUCUUUGUGAAUGAGAUGGUGAUGCUGUAAUUUUUUUUCCCAGGUGAAAUCUCUGUCUCCCAAAGCACUUAGUGCAUCUGUCGGUGACAUUGGCUCCGUUGUCAGUAUGAUUGACAGAAUUGCUGGUUCUGCAGCUGGUAAUGGAUCUAGAGCUGCAGCUGGUGAGGAUUUGGUAGCAAUGACAGGAUGUCAUCUUCUUUCGUUUUUGUCUUUUUUAUUUUUCACGUGUUUCUCACAACAUGGGAACUCGAGGGAAUAAAAAGUGCUGGGAAGUAAUUUUUGUUGGAACGUCUUGUGUAACAUCUUCUUUCGAUGAUGACCUCUUGGAUGUUUUGGUGAUAUCUCUACAUCCAAAAUCAUAUAGACCGCUACUGCUGGCACUUGCAGUAGCCAAUGAGCACUGAUAUAUAUUGCAGAGUGAGAUAAGGUUAACUCGUUGCAUUUUCAUAAAUAAAAGGGAUUUCUCUUCUUUUCUUUGUCAAUUACAGUGCAUGUGUAAAAGUUUUCUUACUCAGAGUAAAUGCUAUUGUAAUGUUUUCACAGAGACUCCCCUGUUUUGCAACUAAUUCACUUCUGAAUAUAUCUGGGAAACAGAAAGGCAAUCAACAAAGAGUAAGGCAUCUUCUGAAGAAACAAAGAAAUUUAAUACCCUAAACUAAGCAGCAGGUAGAAGGCAAAAACUGAGCACAAAUUUUCAGGAAGGGACAAAAAAAAUAAAAAAGAAAGCAGAGAAAAAUACAGACUCAAAUUCAACAACACCCAUUUUCUUUCCAUUGGAACACUUUAAAUAGUUUAUUAAAUAAAGCAUAUAAAAAAAUCAACUUAAUGAUCAAUUCUCUAUAAUUUCGGCAUUACUAAAAACAUCCAAACUAAUAAACUAUUAGUUAUUAUAGUCAUUUUAAUAAACAUUUUAGUUAUGAAUUCACCAAACAUUUUGAACAAUUCAUAUUGAUGAAUUAACAUGUCAAUUUUAGAUUUUUUGACUUACUAGUUCCUUCAUGAAUUACUUCUAAAGCAUGCUAUAUAUCUCUAAGCAUUUUUAUAGAAUAUAAUUCUAUCAAAUUCACUUUUACCCAAUGUAUAAUAUAAAAUAUUCAUGGCUUUAACAUCCAUAAAAAAUAAUUUUUUAUCAUUUUAUGUAUAUUCACUUCUAGUUUUAGAAAUCUCAAUACCAUUUUCAAUUUUGAUAGGUUUAGGAGAUCUAUUUUGUACGGAUAGCCACAAAUUAAAAUCAAUAGAUUGACAAUAAACUAUCAUACAACAAUUUAUUACUUGCUCUUUGGUGAUAGGAAUGUGAUUGUAAUAUUAUUUUUCAAGCUUACUCAAUCUCUUAUUCUUGAUAGCAUAACCAAUAAUAAAUGGCGAGCCAAAAUUUAUAUGUUACUCUCUGUAAGAAUUUUGACUGCAUAAAUGUAAAAGAAAAUAGUUUUAAAAAGACUAAAAGUUUUCUUCAUUAUAAAAACCAUGUCAGAAUUGUCUCUUUUUAUAGGCAAUUCUGACACUUAAUUUUAAAAUAACUUUUAAGACAAAAGGUUACAAUUUUCUAGUUUAAAACUACACAAUUAUAUUUCAAGUAGAGUUUUAACAAACACAACUUUUCAUUCACACCUUAACAAUCCCUCCACAUGAUAAAAAUUGUUUGAUCAUAAUAAAAUACAAAGUAGACAUGAAAAUAAAGAGUAGGAGCGAAAAGUCAUUGCAUCGAGCAAGAUAACUUUUGGCCUUGAACCUUUCAUAGUUAAAACUAUUGGAUUCACUCGGCUAAUCAGCAAACAUGAUAUUUUGAGUUGUUUAGCCUUUUGUGAGAAACCAGAUAAUAUAGAUUACACAUUUCAUUUUCUUACAAUUUUGGUUCUCACGGUUGUGUUCAUUUUGGCCUCGAAUACGUCUUGAUUUCAAAGAGCUUUAAAGAAUUUGCAUUUUCAAUCCUGAUAGAAGUGGCCUUAUUUCACACUCACAUAUGUGAUUCUUAUUAAGAGUAUCAUGUAAUACCUCACUUGAAUUUCUCAAGCUAUAAAAGUCAUUAAAAGCUUAGCUUAUCCUAUUUUCAUUGCAGAUAGCACUUUAUAUCAUAUGAAUGGGUAAGAGGGCUAUUAUUAAAUGACAUGUGAUUUGGUUGCUUCUUUGAAUCUAGAUCCUGGGAUCUCCAGUAAACUAGGUUGGGUCGCUAUCAUGACAAUUCAUUGAACUGUGUCUUAAUCUCAUUCCCCUCGAUGAUUAUUGACUUGCUCUAUUGUUAAGCAUUUUAUUAGUAAAUUAAUGAUAUUAUCAUUUAACUUUACAUGGUUAAUAAAGAUAAUCUCAUUUUAGAUCAACUAUCUUACAAUAUUAACAAUUGUGUCAAUACUUUAUGUGUGUGUGUGUGUGUAAGCAUGGUUAUAUUUCAUAUCAGCAUCAUAAUAAUAGCAAAUGUGAAGUAUGUAUUCAAGCAAAGAUGACAAAGAAGCCUUUUCCUAAAGUAGAAAGGAAUUCUCAAUUACUUGAGUUGAUCCAUUCUGAUAUAUGUGAAAUAAAUGGUAUGUUAACAAGGGGUGGGAAAAGAUAUUUCAUAACUUUCAUUGAUGAUUAUUCUCGUUUUACCUGUGUUUCCUUAUUAAAAACUAAAGAUGAAGCCUUUGGAAAAUUCAAAGAAUUCAAGAAAAUGGUAGAAAAUCAAAAGGAAAGGCAAAUUAAAGUUCUUAGAAGUGAUAGAGGUGGAUAAUAUUUUUCUAAGGAGUUUUCUACAUUUUGUGAGGAAAACAAAAUAAUCCAUCAAAUGACAGCACCUUAUACACAACAUAAUGGACUUGCUGAAAGGAAAAAUAGGACCUUAAUGAAUAUGGUCAAUGCCAUGCUUUUGAAUGAUAAAUUACCAAAUAAUUUAUGGGGUGCAGUCUUACUUACUACAUGUCACAUUCAUAAUAGAGUACUAUUUAAAAAAUCAAAUGUUUCUCCCUAUGAAGCAUGGAACGGUAGAAAAUCAAAUCUGAAUGAUUUUAAUGUGUGGGGGUGUGUAGCUUUUUGUAAAAGUUCUGAUCCUCAAAGAACAAAAUUAGGACCCAGAGGUCUUAAGAGUGUUUUUGUUAGUUAUGCACAAAAUUCAAAGGCUUAUAGACUUUUGGAUUUAGAAACUAAUGUGAUUAUUGAAUCUAUACAUGUUGAAUUUAUCAAAAAUAAAUUCAUAAGUGAUUCAAAUGUGUAAGAACCAAAUCUAAAAGUAAUGACUCCUAGCUCAACAUUAAGUGAAAAAUAUAAAAACCUAGAAGUAAUAGGUUCAACUGAACCUAGAAGAAGUCAAAGAGUUAGAAAGGAAAAACACAUAUAUACAGAUUUUAUUUCUACUUAUUCAAUUGUAUUUUUAGUGGAAGGUGAUAGAAAUACAAUAUUAAAAAAGACACCUAUGAUCUUAAAUAUGGAAGAUGAUCCAAAGACAUUUGGUCAAGCUAUGUCUUCUAGGGAUGUUGCUUUUUGGAAAGAAGCGGUAAAUGAUGAAAUGGAUUCAAUAUUGUCUAACAAUACUUGGGUCCUAGUAGAUUUACCUCCAGGUUCUAAGCUAAUAGGAUGUAAGUGGGUGUUUAGAAGAAAAUACAAUACCGAUGGUUCUAUACAAACCUUCAAGGCAAGAUUGGUUGCCAAAGGUUUUACUCAAAAGGAGGGUGUUGAUUAUUUUGACACUUAUUCUCUGGUGGCAAGAAUUACAUCAAUUAGAGUUUUAUUUGCAUUAGCAUCAAUUUAUAAAUUGUAUGUUCAUCAAAUGGAUGUAAAGACGGCUUUCCUAAAUGGAGAUUUAAAGGAGGAAGUGUAUAUGGAGCAACCUGAGGGUUUUAUACUUCCUGGAAAUGAAGAAAAAGUCUGUAAAUUGAUAAAGUCUUUAUAUGGUUUAAAACAAGCUCCGAAACAAUGGCAUGAAAAGUUUGACAAAGCAAUUUUGUUGAAUGGUUUUCAUCACAAUGGUGCUGAUAAGUGUAUGUAUUCCAAAUUUACAAAAUAUUUUGGUGUGAUUAUUUAUCUCUAUGUAGAUGACAUGUUAAUAUUUAGCACCAAUAUGAUUGGAAUUGUUGGAACCAAAAAGUAUCUCACUUAUAUCUUUAAAAUGAAAGAUCUUGGUGAAGUAGAUACAAUUUUAGGUAUCAAAGUUAAGAAACAUGGUAGUGACUAUGCACUUAAUCAGUCAGAUUAUAUUCAGAAAAUGCUCGAUAAGUUUAAGCAUCUCAAUAUAAAGAAGGCUAAUACCCCAUUUGACUAUAGUAUGAAGUUAAAUGAUUAUUAUGAUAAAGCUGUAUCACAACUAGAAUAUGCUAGUGCCAUUAGAAGUCUUAUGUAUGAUAUUCAUUGUACAAGACCAUAUAUAGCUUUUGCUAUAUGCAAGUUAUCAAGAUAUAUAAGCAAGCCGAAUACAGAUCAUUAGAAGGCUAUUGCAAGAGUCUUUGGUUACCUAAAAAGAACAAUCAAUUGAGGUCUAUUUUAUUCUGAUUUUCCAGCUGUGAUGGAAGGAUAUAGUGAUGCAAGUUGGAUGACUAGUUCAAAUGAUAAUAAGUCCACAUCAUGAUGGAUUUUCUCACUUGGAGGAGGUGCAAUAUCUUGGGCAUCUAAGAAACAAACAUGCAUCUCUCAUUCUACCAUGGAAUCAUAAUUUAUUGUUAUGGCUGCUGCAAGUAAAGAAGUAGAAUGACUAAGAAAUAUGUUGUUUGAUAUUAAGUUGUGGCCACAACCUAUGUCAGCUAUUUCUUUAUACUGCGAUAGUGAAGCAACUAUGUCUCGAGCUUAUAGUAACAUUUACAAUGGUAAGUCAAGACAUAUAAGCAUUUGACAUGGAUAUAUUCGAGAGUUGAUUACAAAUGGUGUAAUCACCAUUGUCUAUGUGAAAUCUAUGAAUAAUUUAGCGGAUCCGCUCAUAAAAGGACUAUCUAAAGACAUGGUACGAAAAAUAACUAAUGGAAUGGGGUUGAAACCUGUUUUUAAAGAUACCAGUAAUAGGAACCCAACUUCGGAUCAACAAGAAGCUUAUCUCUUAGUUUAAUGGGUAAUAAUAAGUUACUGUUUUGUAUAUGUUAGACACUGAUAAUUAAUUUGAGUCCCUAUUCUGAUAGUAUUCAGUGUAUUCUAUUACAUAAAGGAGGAUGAGCAUAGGCUCUUCAUGGAAUUUGAAGUUCGUGUCUAAUGUAAUAGAGACAUGUAUAAUUCCACCUAUAUGAAUAUAAAAGUGAUGCCGCUUUUGACAAGAGUUAGGGUUUUUUCUUGUAAAUAUUCAUAAAAAAAAUUAAAAUUAAGAUUUUAGCACAUGACCAUAAUAGUGCUAAACAGUUGUAAACCUCUUUAAGAGUUUGGAUAGUAUUAUGUGUGUAGUAUCUUUUAUUCUACAACAAAAGUUUUGGUUUAAUCUGCGGACACCAAUAACUUUAGUAGGAUUCAAGUUCUAACACUAAUUGAAGUUUUAAAAUGCAAAAUACCUUCUUGUAAGCAUAAUUCUAUAAAGUGAAAAGACCUUCAUUACAAACUAGUGGGGGAUUGUUGGUGUAGUUUGUAAAUGAAUAAAGAAAAGAUGUUUAUCUCACAUUGGAAAGAAACACUCCCUCCUAAUGUUUCUAUGUGUGGGUUUCUAUUGUGUAGUAAAUUAAGCCAUGGUGGACAAACUCUCCUAUUUGGCUUUCUAAUGUUAUUAUAUGGAUAUUUAUAAUAUCAAAAAAUAGCAUUUGGAACUUGAAACUUGGAUCUUAAUAUGAACAGUCAUAUUGUUUCAUCAAUAGUCAUAUUGUUUGAUGAACAGUCAUAUUGUUUCAUCAAUAGUCAUAUUGUUUGAUGAACAAUCAUACUGUUUCAUCGUUAUGUUUUAAGUCUAUAAAAGCAUGUUACUAUACAGAAAAGAGGCACAACAAAAAACAUACAUUCUUUUCUUGGUCUUAUCUUCUCAUUCUUUUAGAGGUUUAGAGGGCUUAGUUGUAUCCUGGAGGUAUUGUCUCUAUGUGGGACAAAUAAACACCUUAAAAAUAGUGUUUUCACGCCUCUAAGCCAACUCCAUAUUUGUUUCCAUCCUAAACAUUCAUAUCAAGAAACAUUGCGCCACGCCUGCUAAACGUCCACGAAAGAGUCGCCGACCGUUAUUCCCGCAUUAAAGUCCAUGCAUGGUCGCCUCAUUAUCUGGAGACGACCGCAUGGCAUUCUCUGGCUAUAAAAACCAGAGAAAGGCCAUGACAAAGAGGAGGGGGGGACAAAACAAAAGACAGGAGAAAAGAGGCAGGAGAGAGAGAGAGAGAGACCGAGAGAGAGGGGGCCGAAAACACAAACCAGAGAAAAAAAACCGGAGGAGUAACCCAGGGAAGAACACAGAAAAAACCAGGGGAACACUGGAGAACAAAUGAGACAGAAAUAGAGAGAAAUUGCUAGCCAACGCAUGAGCACCAACUAGCCUCGUCUCCGGUUGCACCACCCCCUGAAUAGACGGACGCGAAGGAGAACAGGGGAGUAAACGAAGAGAGGACAUAACACCGGGAAACCGAAAACUGAUAGAAAACCAGAAGAAAAGGAAGAACCACAGAGAGACGAACAACACAGGAGCUGAGAACGAACGAAAAAAAGAGAGAGAGAAGACAGAGAGAAAAAGCAGAGGCGUAAGGUGAAACAGAGAAGAACGACCAGAAAUAAACCAAAAGAAAACAGAAGUGAAGGGGAAGUUUUGGCCAGCCACCACACCUUCUUCGUCAUCCAGACCAGGUAAGUUCUCUCUUCUUCGUAAUUAUAAUUACAUAGGUAUUGUACAUAUGCAAAUUUAAUUCACUACUAUAAUUCACCGGUUUGUGCAUGCACGCGUGAAUCAGUUCACACAUGCCUGUUGUCCAGCUGGGUCACUGGCUUGGGUCAGUGACCAGGCUGGGCUGCUGGGUUUAGCCCAGCCUGACCGAGCUGAGCUGGAUCUAGCCCCCAAAAAAAAUUUAAAAAGGAAAAUAUAAAAAAAAACUAGGCAUGGGCCUCGGGCCUAGGUGGCCUAAUCCCCUUUAUUUAAGUCCCUUUUAUUUUGAUAUUCAACCAAAAUGACCAACUUUUCCCUCAUAUUGUUUUUAGGGUAUUUCACUGUAUAUUUGAUCUGUAGAUUUUUACUGCGAAAUUCGGUGUACGAUACUUUUUUUUUAAAAAAAUAUGCAUGCAUAUAUUUAAAUUCAUUUUAUUGGUUUAUUCACCAACGCUAGAGUCAGGAAUACAAUUUAUUUUGUUUUUGCUACGUAAUAUUUAUCAAUGCCAGAGUUGGAAGUAUCUGUAGUCGAAUAUUCACUGACGCUAGAGUCAGGAAUAUUACAAGCAAACCAUCAUAGCAUAAAUCAACAAACUCUUAAUAAUUUAAGACAAAACCAACAAUGCAGCUUAUCUCAGGUAGGGUGUGCUAGGGGUGUUAAUAUCUUCCCUACCCAUAACCAGUCUUGUACCAUAAAAUCUCUAUUGACUAGUUAGGGUUUCUAAUGACCAUAAUACUAGGUGGCGUCUCCUUAAACCAAACCUUUUUCCCAUAAAAGAACAAGAUGCCAGAAAUCUGUUCUUUUCAAGAAUUUUUAAGGUCAUCGCGAUGUCGGGUGCGACAAUACCCAAAACAAUUGCCUUGCUAAUGGGGAUAAAGUUGUCUUUCUUAAGGGAUCUAAAAGUUAUUUGUAUAUUGAUUGGGGAUAAUUUAGUAGGUUCACUCCUUUUUUCAUAUUAAAACUACAUCAUUGCCCUUGCAAUAAAAAAACAAGUGGCCUUUUGUUUUGGGUCUAUUUUGUCUUUUCUAUUUUAUUUGCACAAUAAAAUGACAUCAAUACCCUCGAGAGUUCAAAAAUAUUGACACUUGACGAGAGGUAUUUUUUAGUCUUUUUCAUGUUUUGUGUACUGUAAAAUGACAAAGUUAACCUUAGAAUAAAAUAAAUCUAAAGCUAGUGUGGGAUAACAUUUUCAUCUUUGCAAUAUAGCUUUUUGUAAUAUUUAGAUGCUUUUAGGGGCUAUUUAGUAAUUUAAAGUAUUGAAAUAUUAAUAAAUCAAUAAAAAAGCUGACAUAUGCGUAGCACGUGUCAGCGCGUGAUAAUCCACCACGUCAUUCAGGAGACUAAUAAACUAACCUAAACUCGUUCUUGCCCAACAGCGAGCCACAAACAAUACUCUUUUGAAUAUUAGAAGCAUGAACCACAUUGUUCAUAAUCGACUCUUUCAUAAAUGUCAUCCUUAACAUCACCUUUUUCUGGCCUAGGAUUUUGCACACUAAGAGCCUAUUUGACGUUGCAGUUGAAUCGUUGUUUUUCCAUUUUGAAAAAAAUUAUUCUUGCUUCAAUUGUUUUUGCGUUCUUGGAUUGUUAUGAUGUGUUAAUGUUAAAAAUGAAUUAAAAAAUAUAUUUUGAUACAUUUCCAAGUAAAAAACACUUUACAACGCAACCGCUACCACACUUUUAAACAAUCACUAAGAAGUUAUCCAGGAAUAAUUGUUCUCCAUUUGCAGUUGUUGCAUACUCAAAAAAAUAUUAUGUCAAAACAUACAUGACAGGUGGCUCCAAUAUCAAUCCACCACUUUUUAAGAUUGUGCACCAGGUUUGCUUCUGACAUAACUACAACAAGCUUUGCAGCUUUCUCAUCAACAUUCUCAAUGAUUUUGUUUUGUGCAUUUUUUCCUUACAGAUAUGCCUUUGCUUUUUACAAACAAAACAAGUUUCUUUGAACUUCUUUUUGCCGACACUAUUACCAUUAGAACUCUUGAGAGAACUUGCUUCAUAUUUAAGUUCACCAGGUUAAGAAUGUUUAGGAAUCGGGUUUGCCAUCGAGACCGCAAAGAUUACCAGGUUAAAUUAUUUUGGUUUUUUCCCCGCAUGAUAGAAUGUUUAGGAAUCGGGUUUGCCAUCGAGACCGCAAAGAUUACCAGGUUAAGAAGUACAUUGAAAUUAUUAACAAUAGAUUUAUCCAUUUAUUAUCUCAAUAACAAGAUUAACUUUAUAAUUAUAUAUCACACUUAUAUAAUCUGAAAUAAUAUUAAUUAAAAUGAAUCCCAAAAAUUUAACACACUAAUUCUGCAAAAAACAAAUUUAAUAAACAAUUUAACUUUGCAACUAUGUAUUUAUUUAUUUGUUUUUCUAUGAGACUCAAUUUUUUUUUUAAUAAUCAUCAAGAGUAUAUUGAAAAGGCCAUAAAGCCAAUAGACAGUGAAAUUUUUAACAGAAACUCAAUGUAAUUUUCAACAAAAACUAUAACAAUACAAAUAAUUACAAAUAUUUUUCUUUCAACAUCAACAUAAGAAAACAAUAUGCACUCUUCUAAAGUUAUGAUAAAAAAAAUCUGAUUGAUACUUAUGUUGUUUUAUGAUUAAAGUAACAAUAGCAUCUAAAGAGAAUGAAUUAGGUGUUGCACUAAUUAUGUCAAAAUAAUGCAAGUAAACACACUAAACACAUAUAACACAAAAACCAACAAUAUAAUUCAAGUGCUUAAAGUAAAUAUAUAAGAAAAAAGAGAUUGCAAACUCGAUUUUUAACGUGAUUCGGUAAGCUUACAUCCACAUCUCAAGUACUAAUCAUACUUAAGUAUUGUACUUUUUUACUAAUCCAAGUGAAAGAUACAUUGCCCUUGAUGAAUUCACACCAAGAAAUUACACCACUUGAUGAAUUUUUCUCUUUAAGAUUUUUCUCCUAGAAUUCCGGUUAAAUAGAAUUGCACUUAAUAUAUAUUAUUUCACCAUAAUUAUUAUCCAGAUAUGCAACUUUUUUUCUUUCCGAUCAUCUGUUUUCUUUUUUUCAUAUCAAUACAACAACAAAGGAAAAUACCAUGCAAUAUAAAAUGUAUUUCCCUGUAGAAUCAAUGCAACAAGUUUACAGACAACAGACGACAAGGAAUUUAACAUAGUCAUGGAAUUUAACUGAAGAUAUAUACACUUUACUUUCUCUAUUAAAAUUAAACUAUUUUUUUUAAUCUAUGUCAAUAUAUAAUCAAUUUGGUCUUGAAGAUAUAUAAAUAUACACAGAACAAAUAUGUUAGAAAAUAAAUUGUUUAAGAUUGUUAGAGCACCUUAAAUAGUUCAUAAAAUUAUUCUUCCCUUUUACUAUAAUGAUGAAGUACAAGGGUUGUUGAUGAUGACCUCUUGGAUGGCUACAUGAAGCUUGUUCCGUUUUAAAUUUCAAGGUUAAUCUAUUGCUAUGAGCAUACGUGUCUCAAUUUAAAACUCGAGUUGCAACUGAACUUAAAUGAAUGGUGUUGGAUUUGGGCCUUCUAUUUGUUUUAACUUCUACAGGGUUGAAAUGAUAGUGAUCUUAAAGUAGAAAAGCAGCAGACAAAAAUCAAUUAACCACAAUGGUGCAUGGUUUCCUAGUUUCUCAGCAUAAAGUUGAAUGUUUUGUUGACCUUUCUACAUCAAAAAUCAUAUAGACAGCUACUGCUGGCACUUGCAGUGGCCAAUGCAUACUGUAGAGUAUAUAUUGCAGUGUGAGAUAAGGUUAACUCGUUGCAUUUUCAUAUAUUGAAAGGAUUUCUCUUCUUUUCUUUGUCAAUUACAGCACAUGCAUAGAAGUGUUCUUCCUCAGAGUAAAUGCUAUAGUAAUGUUUUCACGGACUCCCCUGGUUUGCAACUGAUUCACUUAUAUAUCUUGGAACAUAGCCAUAAAUGAAAGGUUCUUCUAGUUCAAGAAAAUUAACCAUGAAGCUCGUAACUAGAAUUUUUAGACAGAAGGGUGGCCAAGCGAACUCCUAUACUCCGUACGUCUGGAAUAAUACAGGGAAAGGGUGUUUAUGUAUUUUGAUGUCUUAUAUUACUUGACCAACUCUUGCUUAUCUCAUUAUUUGUUUUAAUUUUUUGCUAAUAAUUCCACACAUUUCUGAUAUGGUGUGGUUUUUGAGUUCAGGGUUCUUGCUCAUUGCUGCUAACUUCUCUAUACUUGCCUGGUCAUUAAAAAUGAAACGUAAUGAUUUGCAUAUGCUGAAUGGAGACAUUAAAGAGGCAUCUUCUGUUUUCUGGUCAGGAGGGAUUACAAGAACUCAAGAAAUUUUCCAUAUGUUUUGAGGAAAAGAUUUAUACUACCACUACCAAUCAGGUAUUUGCCUAAUGUGAGGUUUAAUAAUUACGAUAUUAUCUAGACAUUAAUAUACACACGCAUUUAUGCUUGUACAAAUGUGUGUGUAGUGUGCCUACACUUCCUCACCGUUCAUUCUGUAUGCAAGGCUGAUUGGGAGUUCACAUUAUUUUGUUAAUUCUCUUGACAAGUGUUUUAUUUAGAGUGACCAAGUUCAAGUACAAGGGAAGAGUGCAAAAAGCAAAUAGCGAAUCAAUACAUAAAUAAUUAAAUAAAAAGAGAGGAAACAAAAGUAUAUCAUAGAGAAGAUGAAAUGAUAGAGCAUAUAUCCAUUUUCCUCCUCUUGUAACAUGGAUUGCUCUGAGAUCUGAUGUUUUGUUAUUAAUAUCUGAUUUCAGUCUGAUUAUAUAUCUACGAAAAAUAUCUCUGGAGAUGCUUUCGAUGGAGAUCAGGUCUCAAAAUGCCAUGCCCACUGUCCCCAUGGAUCCAGCAGGUAAUAAUGCACCCGAGCAUUGAAUUUCUAAACAUCUUACCUUUUGUUUUUCUUCUCACAUUGUUAUCAAACUCUUUUACAUUUUAUUGCUGUAUAUUGCUAUGUAUAUCGCCUUGCUAGAAAAAUCUCAUGAUCACCUCCACGAUGCUAAUUCUAUAAUGCAUGUGAAGUGUUUCAUCCUUAACUUGUUAAGAACAAGGACUAUGAUGCAUUGCUAUUUUAUAUUUUAUGAUUGAGAUGGUAGAUUUUAAAGAUUUUCCUGUUUAGGAGAUAAAAGUAAGAUGUCACUUUUUUGCUUUUCUUCCGAGAGAGUAUUUGAUCCUUUUUUCGUAUAAAAUAAUGCUGGCAUGCAUUGAAUUUCCAAACAGCUUAGCUUUUGUUUUGUUUGUCGCAUUGUUAUCAAACUCUUUUACAUUUUAUUGCGGUAUAUUGCUAUGUGUAGGGCAUGCUUUAAUCAAAAAGUUGAGUAAUUGAUGAAUGCUAGGCAUGAAAAUGACAUAUUAUUUUUGUUUUCUGUCUCCUCCUUUUCUUUCCCCCACCUCAAAAAUUGUCAUGUUAUUUUUGUUUUCAGCCGCCUCUUCUUCCCCAAACCUUUAAAAUUGUUUAUAUUUGCUUUGGAAGCAUGACAAACUUCAUUGCCUCUCAGCUUAAGGAGAUUGCAGCAGGUCUCGAAGCUUCUGGGCAUUAGUUUAUCUGGGUAGUUAGAAGAAACAAAAAGAGUCAAGAAGACAAGGAAGAUUGUUUACCUAAAGGAUUUGAGGAAAGAAUGGAAGGCAAAGGGCUAUUAUCAGAGGAUGGACACUCCAAGUUUUGAUUCUUGGUCAUGAAGCAAUAGGUGCAUUUGUGACUCAUUGAGGAUGGAACUCAACUCUUGAAGGCAUAAGGCAAAUAUUUGCUGAGCAAUUCUAUAAUGAGAAGUUGGUGACUGAUGUUUUAAAAAAUGGAGUUAAGGAAUGGCUUAGAGUGCAGAGAUCAUGUUAAAAGUGAAGCUGUAGAGAAGGCAAUCACUCAAAUUAUGAUGGGUGAAGAAGCAGAGGAAAUGAGAGAGAAGAAAGCUGAACAAGGGAACGCAGUAGAUGAAGAAUAUGAGUUUACUGCAUUUACUGUCAAGAAUACAAACGUGAGCACUAAAAACUAAUUUGUACAGGAUACUCUUUAUAUAUAGAGUAGUAAUUAACUUCAUCACUUAUUUCUUUCUAUGAAUACAAUAUUCCUUAUUUAUAUAUAUUGAUUUGUUUCUUAUAUGAGGUAGCUGUAGUUUCCUUCUAUGAAAGAUCUGCCAUGGCUGUAGUUUCCUUCUUUGAGAAGUAGCCGUUGGUUGAGGUAGCUGUUGAUUCCUGUGAUUUCCAUGUAUGGUUAAUUACCAUUCUGAAUAGUAGCCGUUGGAGGUGUUAAUUCAGAAUGGUUGCUGACGAGAGUGAGGAUCCUGUGGUGGUGCUGCUGCUGUCUCCUGCUGCUGCUGCAGAGGUGUGUUGUUGCUGUUAAUACCCUCCCUCAAACGUUGCCGAGGUUGGAGGCAAAGUUUGCGCUGAAAACGAAGAAGAGUAGCUUUGGACACCGGCUUAGUAAACAGAUCAGCAAUCUGAUGUGUAGUGGGAAUAUGAUGUGUAAUAAGUUUCCCAAGAGCUACGCGUUCGCGUAUAAAAUGAUAAUCAAGUUCAAUAUGCUUGCUGCGAGCAUGGAAAAUAGGAUUGACCGUCAUAUGGAGCGCACUGAGAUUAUCACAAUAGAGCACUGGUGGAGAUAGCAAGGGAAUGUGUAAAUCAUGAAGGAUGUAGGUCAACCAGGUAAGUUCUGCAGCCGUGUUGGCCAUAGCACGAUAUUCAGCUUCAGUGCUAGAGCGUGAAAUAGUAUGUUGUUUCUUGGCACACCAGGAGAUGAGAUUACAGCCAAGGAAGACACAGUAGCCAGUGGUAGAACGUCGUGUAGUAAGACAGCCAGCCCAAUCAGCAUCUGAAAAAGCAGAGAAAUUAAGAUUAGUAUUAGAAGUGAAGUGCAGACCAUUAUUAAUAGUACCUUGACAUAUCGUAAGAUACGGCGGACCAUUUUUAAGUUGACAGUUGUAGGAGCAUGCAUGAAUUGAGAGACAUAAUUAACACUAAAAGAGAGAUCUGGUCGAGUAAGGGUGAGAUACUGGAGGGAGCCAACAAGCCCCCGGAAGAAACUGACAUCCGCUAAAGGAGGAGCAUUGGAGGAGGCUUUAGUUCGUGCUUCAAGUGGUGUAGUCAUGGGUUUACAGUCAACCAUUUCAGCACGUUCUAGAAUUGUAAAGGCAUAAUGUGAUUGUGAUAAAUGAAGUCCAUUUGGCGUGGGCGAAAUUUCGAUGCCAAGAAAAUGAUGAGUAGGGCCUAAGUCCUUCAUGGCAAAUUCUUGACUGAGUAGAGUAAUGAAAUCUGCAACAAGUGUAUCUAUAGUUCCUGUAAGAAGUAUAUCAUCAACAUAAAGUAGGAGAAUAAGAGAACCAUGAUCAGAAUGAAAAGUAAAUAGAGAAGGAUCUGCCAAGCUGCAUAGGAAACCGUAUUUGAGGAGAAAGGAACUAAAACGAUCAAACCAAGCACGAGGUGCUUGUUUAAGGCCAUAGAGGGCACGUUGGAGCUUGCAGACAUGCUGUGGACGUUGAGGAUCUGAGAGUCCUGGUGGCUGUUCCAUGUAGAGAUUUUCAGAAAUCAAACCAUGUAGAAACACAUUUUUCACAUCAAGCUGCCGUAGGGGCCAAUGAUGAACAAGAGCUAUAGUGAUAAUUAGCCGAAUGGUGCCAGGCUUUACAACGGGAGAGAAUGUUUCAGUGUAGUCUAGGCCAUCAAUCUGGUGGUAUCCUUUGGCAACAACACGGGCUUUGAGACGCUCCAAGCUGCCAUCAGAUUUGAGUUUGGUUUUAAACACCCAUUUGGAACCUAUGAUAUGCAUAUCGGUGGUACGAGGUACCAAUUUCCAUGUCUGAUUUUGGUGUAAGGAUGUAAGUUCAUCCUCCAUUGCUGCUUUCCAUCCUGGAUGAGCUAGUGCAGCUCACACAGAUCGCGGUUCAUGCGGUAUUCCAGCAGAGAUGACAGAUGUUAAUGCAUACUUGGGAUUUGGUUUUAUGAUGCCAUGCUGGGACCGAGUGGUCAUGGUGCGAAGAGCUGAAGUAGAGGAAUUGGGAACAAACUCAUCUGCGGAGGCAUCACUACAAGGAGGUUGUGCAGCUUGGUGUAGCGCACGUUGUGAACGAGUAACCAUAGAGUGAGGAGCUGAAUUUGGGUGGUCUUGCUGCUGCAGAGUAGUUAAGUUCUCAGAGAGUGGUUGCUGGGAAAUAUCAGGGCAGAGAUUGUGGGCAAUCUCCUGCUGAGUGGGAGCUGCCACCUGCUGAAUAUCAUUCUCCGAACUAUGGUGUUGUAGUGAGGAAGAGGGUUCUAUAGAUGGAUCAGUGGGAGAACCAGAAUUAGAGAGAUCUGAUACGUGCAUGAAGAUACAUGCAAACCGCAACAAACCAGAAGGUGGCAGUAGCGCACGUGGUACGUGGAAGACACUUGGACGUGGAUCAUGCUUGGUCGCCAGAUUGUUAGUGGGGUUUGUUAUGGAAUUAGUCAUUCUCCAGUUAUUUUUAGUAUUAACAGUUAAUAAGGAUUCCUCGGAGGAUCCCUUGUUUGUUUCCCAUUUUCUAGAUAGUUUCCCAAAUUCUAGCAUUGUUUGUUAUUCAAUUCAUGUAUAAAAGGGCCUGGUGGCAUCCAAUAAAGGUAUCGAAAAUUAUCCAAUACUGUCUCCUCUCUUACUUCUCUGCUUCUCUUCUCACUCCCUAAAUUCAACCUAUCAGUGGUAUCAGAGCCAGGUUACACAGUUGUCAUGGAUACUCGCGGAAAAAGUAAUGCUGAAUUCCGGACUGAGGUCAAUGACGCCUUAGCUAGGCAUGAGUCUAGCUUUGAUCAGGUGAAUGCUGCCCUUCAAGCAGUAUUAACCGAACUACAAGCCAUCCGCACCCAAAAACACCCAAACACUAACCCUCCCGAAAUCAAUCCCUUUGCAUCAGAAUCAUCAUCCCAGUUACAUAGUUCUCGCAACCCAAACACCACUGGUCAAACACACUCCCACCUCAAACUCUCAUUCCCUCGUUUUGAUGGCAGUGAGCCCACAGGUUGGGUGUACAAAGCCGAACAGUACUUCGAAUUUCAGGACAUUGACUCGGCCCAGCAGGUCCAAUUGGCCUCCUUCCAUCUAGAUGGAAUUGCUCUCCAAUGGCACCGAUGGCUGACCAAGUUUCGGGGACCCCUUCUGUGGAACGAGUUCGUGCAAGCCCUUUUGCAACGAUUCGGACCCACAGACUACGAAGACCCAUCGGAAUCGCUCACUCGUCUCAGACAAACUACCUCUGUAGCAGCUUACCAAGAGGCUUUUGAGAGGCUCUCCCAUCAAGUUGAUGGACUACCGGAAGGUUUUUUAAUAGGAUGUUUUGUUGCAGGGCUGCGAGAUGAAAUUCGUAUUGAUGUCAAGAUUAAACAUCCCCACACACUGGCAGAAGCAAUUGGAGUUGCCCGACUGAUUGAGGAGCGCAAUCUACUGCAAAGGAAGACCCAUCUUCCAAUUCGGUCUUCUUCCAUGAAUUUACCCUCCAGGGCACCAGCAAAUUCAGUAGCUGGAGUGUUGGGACCACCCCCAUCACAAAGACCAAACCUAUCACCAACAUCAUUCCGGAGGAUCACCACUCAAGAAGCUCGGGAACGAAGGGAAAAAGGGGCUGUGUUUCUAUUGCGAUGAGAAAUUCAAGCCAGGCCAUCGCUGUGAACAACCACAAUUGUUUAUGAUCGAAGACAGCUCCAACACCAGCCUUGAUGAAGAAAUAACAGAUACUGAGGACAUCAUCAAUUCAGAGGACAUGCCCGAAAUCUCAUUCCAUGCUAUCGCAGGUGCUGAACACCCUCAAACCUUACGGGUGUUGGGUCAAUUGGGCAACAAAAAGGUGACCGUGCUCAUUGACGGAGGCAGCACGCAUAACUUCAUUGAUCAGGUGGUGGUAACCAAAUUUGGGAUACCCAUUAAUCGCAGCCAGCGAUUUCAGGUAAUGGUGGCUAAUAGAGAGAAAAUCACUUGUACUGGGCAAUGUCAGAGCCUCACAUUAAUCAUUCAGGGCAUAGCCAUCACUGCCAAUUACUGUGUUCUACCGGUCAUGGCUUGUCAAGUGGUACUGGGUGUGCAGUGGCUUGAGACACUGGGUCCGAUUGAAAUGGAUUUCAAAAAGCUCACUAUGAGCUACAAAACGCAUGGAGAGAAACACACCUUUUACGGGUUGAAGCACACGGGUCAUGCUGCCUUCACAGAGAAGGAGUUUCAUGGGUUACAAGGGAAUGGAUUCUUCCUUCAAAUCAUUCCCUCACAUCCCAUCAUUGACAGUAGCAGCCAUCCACCGGAGCUUAAGGCCCUUCUAUCCGAAUUCUCGCAGGUGUUUGAGGAGCCCACGGGUCUGGCUCCCCAGAGAGCCAAAGACCACCACAUACCUCUACAACCCAAUUCUGGCCCAGUAAGUGUGAGACCCUACCGCUACCCGUAUUACCAGAAAACCGAGAUAGAAAAAAUGGUGCAAGACUUGUUGAAGUCUGAAUUGAUACGCCCCAGUAAUAGCCCAUUCUCCUCUCCUGUUUUGCUAGUCAAAAAGGCGGAUGGGGCUUGGCGUUUUUGUGUGGAUUAUCGCGCUUUGAAUGAAAUCACCAUCAAAGACAAAUAUCCAAUUCCCGUAAUUGAUGAGCUCCUAGAUGAGCUGCAUGGGUCUCGUUACUAUUCCAAAUUGGACCUACGAUCCGGCUAUCACCAAAUCCGGGUACGAGACGACGACAUACCUAAAACAGCAUUCAGAACUCAUGAAGGCCAUUACGAGUUCGUUGUCAUGCCAUUUGGUCUAACCAAUGCUCCUGCAACCUUCCAAAGUCUUAUGAAUGAUCUUUUUCGUCCCCACCUCAGGAAGUUUAUUUUGGUUUUUUUUGACGAUAUUCUGGUUUAUUCCAAAUCGUGGGAAGACCAUUUAACCCAUUUGCACACUGUUUUGAAGAUUCUAGCAGAUAAUACACUCUUUGCAAAGGAGUCCAAGUGCAGAUUCGGGGUUACAUAGGUUGACUACCUAGGCCAUGCUAUUUCAAACCAAGGAGUAUCGGUGGAUCCUACCAAAAUUCAAGCAGUGGUUGAGUGGCCUACCCCUACGACAGCCAAGGGGGUCCGCGGAUUCUUGGGCCUGGCCGGCUAUUACAGAAAGUUCAUCCGCCAUUUUGGAGGAAUAGCCGCACCACUUACCCGAUUGCUGACCAAGGAUGGGUUUCAGUGGAGUGCAGAAGCUGAUUUGGCUUUUCAACGUCUGAAGGAAGCCUUAACCCAGUCCCCGGUCUUACGCAUGCCAGAUUUCUCUCAACGAUUUGUGGUCGAGUGUGAUGCCAGUGGGAUCGGAAUUGGUGCAAUACUUUCCCAACAGAAUCAACCCGUGGCAUACUUUAGUGAAGCACUAAAAGGGUCUUCUUUGACACUAUCCACUUAUGAGAAAGAAAUGUUGGCCAUCGUCAAGGCAAUUCGUAAGUGGCGACCAUAUCUGCUUGGUAAACCAUUCACAGUUCGCACGGACCAGAGGAGUCUCAAAUAUCUCCUGGAGCAGAGGAUUACUACCCCAGCACAGACACGUUGGCUUCCUAAAAUUCUCGGCUAUGACUAUGUAAUCGAGUACAAGAAAGGGAGCGAGAACCAAGGGGCAGACUCACUGUCCAGAGUAGUGGAAUUUCAGUUUUUGUCCAUCUCGUUCCCAAAGGCAGAGUGGUGGCCAACUCUGCAACAGGAGGUGCAACAGGAUCCAUUUUAUGCCAACUUCAAAUCAACGGACCCCUUCAUGGUUCAAAGAGACGGAGUGUGGUUCAAGAAGGGUAAGGUGUUUUUAAGCCCGAAUUCUACUCUUAUCCCUCUACUUUUGGCAGACUGUCAUGCCACGCCGAUUGGUGGACACUUUGGGUUCCAUAAAACACUCGCACGCAUUAAGCAAGACUUUACCUGGCCCAGAGUUCACGUCACAGUGAAGGAAUUCUUGCAGCAAUGUACCACAUGUCAACGCUUCAAAAAAGAUUGCAUGAAGCCAGCUGGGCUGCUGCAACCCCUACCUGUGCCUUCCAAAGUUUGGACUGAUAUCUUCAUGGACUUCAUCAAAGGAUUGCCUUCCUCCCAAGGGUAUACUUGUGUAAUGGUGGUAGUGGAUCGCCUGUCCAAAUAUGCCCAUCUCAUUUCGUUGAAGCAUCCCUACACAGCAAUCACGGUGGCCAAAGCCUUCAUCUCCUGCGUCGUCCGCCUGCAUGGUAUUCCAGCCUCUAUUGUGAGCGAUCGUGACAAGGUGUUUAUUAGCUCCUUCUGGCGCACCCUCUUUCAGUCCCAAGGCACUCAGCUGUGCAUGAGCUCAGCUUACCAUCCUCAGUCGGAUGGUCAGACUGAAGUUGUCAACCGCAUCCUCGAACAGUAUUUGCGGUGCUUUGCAGGUGACCAGCCACGUAAAUGGUUCGACUGGAUUCCAUGGGCAGAGUUCAGCUACAAUACCUCGCUCCACUCUGCCACUAAGAUGACGCCAUUUGAGGUGGUUUAUGGUGUUCCCCCUCCUAGUUUACUCACCUAUGUUCCCGGUACCUCAAAUGUUCAAGCCGUGGAUGAGCAUCUGCGCGAUAGAGACUGUCUCCUUCGUGAGCUGAGGAGGAAUCUGUUGAUUGCCCAGAACAGGAUGAAGAGCCAAGCUGAUCAACAUCGCAGGGAUGUCUCCUUUGACGUUGGAGAUUAUGUGUAUUUAAAGCUCCAACCUUACCGUCAAUCCUCAGUGGCAUUUCGUAGCUCAAUGAAGUUAGCCCCACGGUUCUUUGGGCCUUACCAGGUCCUAGCUAAAGUCGGAACAGUUUCCUACAAAUUAGCACUGCCACAGGAUUCCCAAAUCCAUAACGUGUUUCAUGUUAGCUUGCUACGGAAAUACUUUGGGCCCCUCCCUCCUACAUCAACAGUGGUGAGCCUUCCUCCUAUUUCAGAAUCAGCCAAUAUUCUUCCACAACCUGAGGCUGUCCUGGACCGACGAGUAGUUAACAAUGGGAAAUAUCAUCCAAAACAUGAAAUUUUGGUCAAAUGGGAUGGUGCACCAGUGGAAGAUGCUACUUGGGAGAAUGAAAGGCGUUUUAUCAAGACCUAUCCCACCUUCAUCCUUGCGGACAAGGAUUCUUAAGGGGGAAGGAUUGAUACGUGCAUGAAGAUACAUGCAAACCGCAACAAACCAGAAGGUGGCAGUAGCGCACGUGGUACGUGGAAGACACUUGGACGUGGAUCAUGCUUGGUCGCCAGAUUGUUAGUGGGGUUUGUUAUGGAAUUAGUCAUUCUCCAGUUAUUUUUAGUAUUAACAGUUAAUAAGGAUUCCUCGGAGGAUCCCUUGUUUGUUUCCCAUUUUCUAGAUAGUUUCCCAAAUUCUAGCAUUGUUUGUUAUUCAAUUCAUGUAUAAAAGGGCCUGGUGGCAUCCAAUAAAGGUAUCGAAAAUUAUCCAAUACUGUCUCCUCUCUUACUUCUCUGCUUCUCUUCUCACUCCCUAAAUUCAACCUAUCAAGAUCAUGAAGGGAUUGUACAGCCGCAGAGUUAGUGAUAUCAGGUGAAGAAGUGUGCACUGUCUCCUGCUGGAAUGUCUCCGGCUGAGUAAUUGAAGUGUCAGACUGCUGCUGAAGCUGUUGGCGGGCUGGAGUACUGUCACCAUGGAGUUGCAGAGCAACAUCAGCGGGAGAAAUAUCUGUAAAGCACACUGUCUCCUGCUGGAAUGUCUCCGGCUGAGUAAUUGAAGUGUCAUACUGCUGCUGAAGCUGUUGGCGGGCUGGAGUACUGUCACCAUGGAGUUGCAGAGCAACAUCAGCUGGAGAAAUAUCUGUAAAGCACGCUGGUGUAUCUGAGGUCAUAGUAGGAAGCAGGGGUAUGGGCAGUGAGCUGCUGCAUGGUGGCGUUGCUGGUGUUUCAGAGAUAUCUGUAGGAGAGCGUGAAGCAAGGAUAGUUAGCCAAGAAUCAAAUAUGCUAAGGACAUGAUUAGAAUGAUCAAUAUUUGUGGUGAUAUUAUUUUGUUUAUACGGAAGGAUAGAUUCACUAAAAACCACAUGUCGUGAGACAAAAAAAUUUUUGCUUGUUGGAUGAAAGCAUUUAUAUCCCUUAUGUUGAUCACUAUAUCCUACAAAAAUACAUGGAACACUUUUUGGAUCAAAUUUAUUUCGUCUUGUAUCCCAAGUGUAAGGGAAACAUCGGGAGCCAAAAAUACGAAGAGAUGAAUAAAUAGGGUGGUUACCAUGUAAGCGGAAGUAUGGAGUGUCAUAGUUAAGAGCAGAAGAGGGCAGUCUAUUAAUGAGAUAAACAGCAGUUGUGAAGGCUUCAACCCAUAAAAAUAAAGGAGUACCACUAUGGAAUAACAUUGUCAUACCUAGUUCUCUUAUAAUUCUGUGUCGCCUUUCAACCAUACCUGUUUGUUCAGGAGUGUAAGGACAAGAUACCUGGUGAACAAUUCCUGUGGAGCGAAAAUGACUUGAUAAUUUUGAGUUAAUAAAUUCUCCUCCUCCAUCUGAGUGAAAGACUUUGAUCUGUUUAUUGAAUUGCCUACUAACAUACUUUUCAAAUGCUAUAAACACUGUUAGAAAAUCAAAUUUGUUAUGAAGAGGAAUUAUCCAUGUAUAUUUAGAGAAAUCAUCUACUAGGCAAGCAUAAUAUUUGAAUUUUCCAAUAGAUAAAACAGGGGCAGGUCCCCAUAAAUCACAAUGUAUUUUUUCAAAAACAUCAGUACUUGAAUGUUCAGAAUGCGAAAAAGGUAAGUUGCUAAGUUUUCCUAAUUGACAACUAUCACAAAGGUGCUCAGUCUUCAUAGCUCCUGUGACGUCAAUCAAUCCUGUAUUUUUUAAUAGCUGCACUGCAGAAGCUUGAGGAUGUCCUAGGCGUUGAUGCCAAACUGCUGCUGAUCCAGUUUUAAAACGAUAAGAAAAAUGUAAUUCUGGCGAGUUGUGCAAGACAUAAAGAUCACCCUUACGUCUACCUGUGAUCAGAGGUUGUCCUGUUUUCCGUUCCUUAACACAAAAAUCAACGUCAGAAAACUCACAGUUCACAGGAAAUUGUUUGGUAAGCUGACUUACUGAAAGUAAAUUUUUAGUUAAUUCAGGAACAAGAAGAACAUCAUUAAUAUGUAAUUUAGUAUUGUUUUGUUUAAUAAAUGAAUCUCCAAUACCAAUAAUCGGUAGAGACGAUCCAUUUCCAAUAACCACAGAAUCAGUUCCAAAAUACUUACGAACAUCAGUUAACAUACCUGGCUUACUUGUCAUGUGAUUCGAUGCACCAGUGUCUGAUGUCCAUUCCGUGUCAACCACGGUGCUUCCCAAAUAGCGGUUGCUCUUUUGCAAUAUUAGAAGCAUGAACCACAAACAAUACUCUUUUGAAUAUUAGAAGCAUGAACCACAUUGUUCAUAAUCGACUCUUUCAUAAAUGUCAUCCUUAACAUCACCUUUUUCUAGCCUAGGAUUUUGCACACUAAGAGCCUAUUUGACGUUGCAGUUGAAUCGUUGUUUUUCCAUUUUGAAAAAAAUUAUUCUUGCUUCAAUUGUUUUUGCGUUCUUGGAUUGUUAUGAUGUGUUAAUGUUAAAAAUGAAUUAAAAAAUAUAUUUUGAUAUAUUUCCAAGUGAAAAACACUUUACAACGCAACCGCUACCACACUUUUAAACAAUCACUAAGAAGUUAUCCAGGAAUAAUUGUUCUCCAUUUGCAGUUGUUGCAUACUCAAAAAAAUAUUAUGUCAAAACAUACAUGACAGGUGGCUCCAAUAUCAAUCCACCACUUUUUAAGAUUGUGCACCAGGUUUGCUUCUGACAUAACUACAACAAGCUUUGCAGCUUUCUCAUCAACAUUCUCAAUGAUUUUGUUUUGUGCAUUUUUUCCUUACAGAUAUGCCUUUGCUUUUUACAAACAAAACAAGUUUCUUUGAACUUCUUUUUGCCGACACUAUUACCAUUAGAACUCUUGAGAGAACUUGCUUCAUAUUUAAGUUCACCAGGUUAAGAAUGUUUAGGAAUCGGGUUUGCCAUCGAGACCGCAAAGAUUACCAGGUUAAAUUAUUUUGGUUUUUUCCCCGCAUGAUAGAAUGUUUAGGAAUCGGGUUUGCCAUCGAGACCGCAAAGAUUACCAGGUUAAGAAGUACAUUGAAAUUAUUAACAAUAGAUUUAUCCAUUUAUUAUCUCAAUAACAAGAUUAACUUUAUAAUUAUAUAUCACACUUAUAUAAUCUGAAAUAAUAUUAAUUAAAAUGAAUCCCAAAAAUUUAACACACUAAUUCUGCAAAAAACAAAUUUAAUAAACAAUUUAACUUUGCAACUAUGUAUUUAUUUAUUUGUUUUUCUAUGAGACUCAAUUUUUUUUUUAAUAAUCAUCAAGAGUAUAUUGAAAAGGCCAUAAAGCCAAUAGACAGUGAAAUUUUUAACAGAAACUCAAUGUAAUUUUCAACAAAAACUAUAACAAUACAAAUAAUUACAAAUAUUUUUCUUUCAACAUCAACAUAAGAAAACAAUAUGCACUCUUCUAAAGUUAUGAUAAAAAAAAUCUGAUUGAUACUUAUGUUGUUUUAUGAUUAAAGUAACAAUAGCAUCUAAAGAGAAUGAAUUAGGUGUUGCACUAAUUAUGUCAAAAUAAUGCAAGUAAACACACUAAACACAUAUAACACAAAAACCAACAAUAUAAUUCAAGUGCUUAAAGUAAAUAUAUAAGAAAAAAGAGAUUGCAAACUCGAUUUUUAACGUGAUUCGGUAAGCUUACAUCCACAUCUCAAGUACUAAUCAUACUUAAGUAUUGUACUUUUUUACUAAUCCAAGUGAAAGAUACAUUGCCCUUGAUGAAUUCACACCAAGAAAUUACACCACUUGAUGAAUUUUUCUCUUUAAGAUUUUUCUCCUAGAAUUCCGGUUAAAUAGAAUUGCACUUAAUAUAUAUUAUUUCACCAUAAUUAUUAUCCAGAUAUGCAACUUUUUUUCUUUCCGAUCAUCUGUUUUCUUUUUUUCAUAUCAAUACAACAACAAAGGAAAAUACCAUGCAAUAUAAAAUGUAUUUCCCUGUAGAAUCAAUGCAACAAGUUUACAGACAACAGACGACAAGGAAUUUAACAUAGUCAUGGAAUUUAACUGAAGAUAUAUACACUUUACUUUCUCUAUUAAAAUUAAACUAUUUUUUUUAAUCUAUGUCAAUAUAUAAUCAAUUUGGUCUUGAAGAUAUAUAAAUAUACACAGAACAAAUAUGUUAGAAAAUAAAUUGUUUAAGAUUGUUAGAGCACCUUAAAUAGUUCAUAAAAUUAUUCUUCCCUUUUACUAUAAUGAUGAAGUACAAGGGUUGUUGAUGAUGACCUCUUGGAUGGCUACAUGAAGCUUGUUCCGUUUUAAAUUUCAAGGUUAAUCUAUUGCUAUGAGCAUACGUGUCUCAAUUUAAAACUCGAGUUGCAACUGAACUUAAAUGAAUGGUGUUGGAUUUGGGCCUUCUAUUUGUUUUAACUUCUACAGGGUUGAAAUGAUAGUGAUCUUAAAGUAGAAAAGCAGCAGACAAAAAUCAAUUAACCAUAAUGGUGCAUGGUUUCCUAGUUUCUCAGCAUAAAGUUGAAUGUUUUGUUGACCUUUCUACAUCAAAAAUCAUAUAGACAGCUACUGCUGGCACUUGCAGUGGCCAAUGCAUACUGUAGAGUAUAUAUUGCAGUGUGAGAUAAGGUUAACUCGUUGCAUUUUCAUAUAUUGAAAGGAUUUCUCUUCUUUUCUUUGUCAAUUACAGCACAUGCAUAUAAGUGUUCUUCCUCAGAGUAAAUGCUAUAGUAAUGUUUUCACGGACUCCCCUGGUUUGCAACUGAUUCACUUAUAUAUCUUGGAACAUAGCCAUAAAUGAAAGGUUCUUCUAGUUCAAGAAAAUUAACCAUGAAGCUCGUAACUAGAAUUUUUAGACAGAAGGGUGGCCAAGCGAACUCCUAUACUCCGUACGUCUGGAAUAAUACAGGGAAAGGGUGUUUAUGUAUUUUGAUGUCUUAUAUUACUUGACCAACUCUUGCUUAUCUCAUUAUUUGUUUUAAUUUUUUGCUAAUAAUUCCACACAUUUCUGAUAUGGUGUGGUUUUUGAGUUCAGGGUUCUUGCUCAUUGCUGCUAACUUCUCUAUACUUGCCUGGUCAUUAAAAAUGAAACGUAAUGAUUUGCAUAUGCUGAAUGGAGACAUUAAAGAGGCAUCUUCUGUUUUCUGGUCAGGAGGGAUUACAAGAACUCAAGAAAUUUUCCAUAUGUUUUGAGGAAAAGAUUUAUACUACCACUACCAAUCAGGUAUUUGCCUAAUGUGAGGUUUAAUAAUUACGAUAUUAUCUAGACAUUAAUAUACACACGCAUUUAUGCUUGUACAAAUGUGUGUGUAGUGUAGUGUGCCUACACUUCCUCACCGUUCAUUCUGUAUGCAAGGCUGAUUGGGAGUUCACAUUAUUUUGUUAAUUCUCUUGACAAGUGUUUUAUUUAGAGUGACCAAGUUCAAGUACAAGGGAAGAGUGCAAAAAGCAAAUAGCGAAUCAAUACAUAAAUAAUUAAAUAAAAAGAGAGGAAACAAAAGUAUAUCAUAGAGAAGAUGAAAUGAUAGAGCAUAUAUCCAUUUUCCUCCUCUUGUAACAUGGAUUGCUCUGAGAUCUGAUGUUUUGUUAUUAAUAUCUGAUUUCAGUCUGAUUAUAUAUCUACGAAAAAUAUCUCUGGAGAUGCUUUCGAUGGAGAUCAGGUCUCAAAAUGCCAUGCCCACUGUCCCCAUGGAUCCAGCAGGUAAUAAUGCACCCGAGCAUUGAAUUUCUAAACAUCUUACCUUUUGUUUUUCUUCUCACAUUGUUAUCAAACUCUUUUACAUUUUAUUGCUGUAUAUUGCUAUGUAUAUCGCCUUGCUAGAAAAAUCUCAUGAUCACCUCCACGAUGCUAAUUCUAUAAUGCAUGUGAAGUGUUUCAUCCUUAACUUGUUAAGAACAAGGACUAUGAUGCAUUGCUAUUUUAUAUUUUAUGAUUGAGAUGGUAGAUUUUAAAGAUUUUCCUGUUUAGGAGAUAAAAGUAAGAUGUCACUUUUUUGCUUUUCUUCCGAGAGAGUAUUUGAUCCUUUUUUCGUAUAAAAUAAUGCUGGCAUGCAUUGAAUUUCCAAACAGCUUAGCUUUUGUUUUGUUUGUCGCAUUGUUAUCAAACUCUUUUACAUUUUAUUGCGGUAUAUUGCUAUGUGUAGGGCAUGCUUUAAUCAAAAAGUUGAGUAAUUGAUGAAUGCUAGGCAUGAAAAUGACAUAUUAUUUUUGUUUUCUGUCUCCUCCUUUUCUUUCCCCCACCUCAAAAAUUGUCAUGUUAUUUUUGUUUUCAGCCGCCUCUUCUUCCCCAAACCUUUAAAAUUGUUUAUAUUUGCUUUGGAAGCAUGACAAACUUCAUUGCCUCUCAGCUUAAGGAGAUUGCAGCAGGUCUCGAAGCUUCUGGGCAUUAGUUUAUCUGGGUAGUUAGAAGAAACAAAAAGAGUCAAGAAGACAAGGAAGAUUGUUUACCUAAAGGAUUUGAGGAAAGAAUGGAAGGCAAAGGGCUAUUAUCAGAGGAUGGACACUCCAAGUUUUGAUUCUUGGUCAUGAAGCAAUAGGUGCAUUUGUGACUCAUUGAGGAUGGAACUCAACUCUUGAAGGCAUAAGGCAAAUAUUUGCUGAGCAAUUCUAUAAUGAGAAGUUGGUGACUGAUGUUUUAAAAAAUGGAGUUAAGGAAUGGCUUAGAGUGCAGAGAUCAUGUUAAAAGUGAAGCUGUAGAGAAGGCAAUCACUCAAAUUAUGAUGGGUGAAGAAGCAGAGGAAAUGAGAGAGAAGAAAGCUGAACAAGGGAACGCAGUAGAUGAAGAAUAUGAGUUUACUGCAUUUACUGUCAAGAAUACAAACGUGAGCACUAAAAACUAAUUUGUACAGGAUACUCUUUAUAUAUAGAGUAGUAAUUAACUUCAUCACUUAUUUCUUUCUAUGAAUACAAUAUUCCUUAUUUAUAUAUAUUGAUUUGUUUCUUAUAUGAGGUAGCUGUAGUUUCCUUCUAUGAAAGAUCUGCCAUGGCUGUAGUUUCCUUCUUUGAGAAGUAGCCGUUGGUUGAGGUAGCUGUUGAUUCCUGUGAUUUCCAUGUAUGGUUAAUUACCAUUCUGAAUAGUAGCCGUUGGAGGUGUUAAUUCAGAAUGGUUGCUGACGAGAGUGAGGAUCCUGUGGUGGUGCUGCUGCUGUCUCCUGCUGCUGCUGCAGAGGUGUGUUGUUGCUGUUAAUAAUGAGGACUAGAGCAAAGAAGCUUUCAGUGCUUUGAUUUAAUAACUGCCAAGAAUGGAAGGCUGUUGAAGAUGGUGGAUCUUCUUGCUCCAAUUUCAAUGCUUUGAUUGAAUAACUGAGGUGGGGUAGCCCUUGAAACAGAGGCAUAGAACAUUUUGUUACUACUUAGUAGUGGUUUUGGCAAUUUAUUUUCAGAUAAGUCUUGAGAGUUGAAAGAGUAAUCACAGACGAGUCAAUGACCAAUCCAAAUCAGUUCCCUUCCUAAUGGUUCAGGAAUGACAAGUCCAGCUUAUUUAUUGAGCCCAAAUAACUUUUCAAAUAAAAAGGUUGAACUUAGAGACAGUACACUACAAAUUAAGCACCUAAUAGCUAGACAUACAAGACAAACAAUCAUCACAAACUAGGAACAAUCGUCUUCCCAGUAACAAAUUCACCUUCUCAAGUUGGAGAACUUGCGAAAACUAGCCACUACAAAAUAGUAGCAAGUAUCUAUGCAGUCUUCGAUGAAGUACGACCACCUGCGUCGCCAAUAUGGAUCGAUGUAAAGAACUACUACAAUUAUCAUCACCACAACUGUGUAACAUACACCGAAAUUGAUGUAGAAAAACUCCAUGUCUAUGAAACCAUCAUCUCCUUGUUCAUCAUAAGGCACUGGCUGUGAUGGCACUGGUUGUGAUGGCACUGGCUGUGAUGGCACUGCUUCCUCACUACAAUUGUUUCGCAAUGGAGGUCCACACAAAAAAGGAUUUCCUUCGUAACAACUUUCAUCAAAGGUCCCAAACUGAUAUUUUCUCUCGGGUGUGUUACCUGACAAGUUAUUAUGCGCCACACUAAAAACUUCCAGUGUGGUAAUAUCAGUAAGUUGUGGAGGGAUGACACCAUUCAAGUUGUUGUAAGAAAGAUCCAAACUCUCAAUCUGCUUUAGGUUUGAGAAUGUUGCAGGGAUAGAUCCAGUGAGAUUGUUGUGUGAUAAGUUUAAUGACAGUAUCUUACUUAAGUCUCCAAAUUCUGGUGGGAUUGCUCCUACGAAGUUGUUAUUGGAGAGAUCAAUACCAGACAUGUAGCUGAGAGUCUUCCCCUUGUAACGAUAAUACAUAUUUUUAGUUGUAAAUUCUAUCACUUCUUCUGUAAAGUUAAGCAGAAAACCCUUUCUCAAGUUGUACAUACUCUCCACUAGUGGUGGACCCAUUGUUUCAUAAUAAGCUUUUUCUAUGGACCUUGAUAGAACAUCAGCUCCGAGAUCUGCGAGCGUUUUCUGGGAACUUUCCUUGAAAGUAAGAUUGCCCAAACAGGAGGGUAGUGGACCAGAGAGUUGGUUUUGUGAAACAUCCAAAAUGCUUAAUUGUUCUAACAAGCAUAAUUGAACAGGGAGCUCACCAUCAAAGUGAUUAGCCCUCAGAAGAAGAACACUCAAUGAUGAAAGAUUGCCAAUCCAAUUUGGAAAGGAGCCGGUGAAGUUGUUAUCUCGAAGAUCCAUCGUAACCAGGGAAGAGUUGUUAUAAAAUCCAUAUGUUAAUGGACCGCUCAAUCUAUUUUCAGAUAGAUGCACAUGGGUUAUUUGUGGUGGACUGAAACAAGAUGGUAUAUAUCCAGACAAGUUGUUCUCAGAAAGGUCCAAAUAUUCAAGCUGGUUAAGCUUACAAAAGUCUCUUAGGAUCGGACCCUUAAAAUAGUUUUUGGACAAAUCAAUUGCGAUAAGGCCUGUAGAAUUGACUAACCACCUUGGAAGCAUGCCUGAAAAUUGAUUGUCACUCAAAUCCAAUGUUGACCACAUUUUCCACCCAUAUAAUAGAAAAUCUGAUAUCUGACCCCAAAAGUUGUUACCGUGUAGGUAGAGAUAUUCUAAGGUAGAAGAAUUGAAUACUGAGGUUGGUAAUUGCCCACCCAAAUUAUUGUUUGACAGCUUGAGAAACCAUAUUGUUGUUAGUUGUUCUAGUUUUACUAUAGACAAUUGAUUGUUGGAUAAAUCUAAAAUUUUCAAAGAGCUAAUAUUUCCUAAACAAGAAGGAAUACAACCUGUGAAUCCAUUAUUGGCCAUCCUUAAGCUCCACAUAUUUGGAAAGAUCAAACAAAUAUCUUUAGGAAUUUGACCGUUCAUGUUGUUGUUGGAAAUAUCUAAUUCGGUCAUAUUCAGAUAUGGGUGAUCUUGCAACUGUAAAGUACCGACAAAGGAGUUGUUGCUUAGAUAUAGUUGCUCCAAUCGUGUAUUGUUCUUAAGCAACCAUGAUGGAAACAUUGCGGUGAUGUUGUUGUGGGAGAGAUCAAGGACUCUUAUGUCGUAUUGGUAAUAAAGGAAGUCGGGAAUUUUUACAUUUAGUGCUUCUGUUGUUUUUGACAAUCGGAAAAAUACUAGUUGGAACUUUGGAAUCAAAUUAUCAAAGGCAGCAGGUUCUGUUACUAGCUUGUUGUUCUCACUGGAGAAGAACUUGAGGCUUGAGUGGUUCAUAAAAGGCUUCAUUGAAAUGGGAACUUCAAAGAGGUUAUUUGAUAGUGAGAGGAAUUCAAGGGAUGUGAGGUUGGUAAGAGGACCGGAGGCAAUAUUUCCAGUAAACUGGUUUUCAGAAACAUCUAAUAGUUGUAGAGAUGACAAGUUCCCCAAACAAUCUGGGAGUGAACCUCCUAAAUUAUUUCCAGAGAGAUCUAACUGCCUCAGAUUCUUUAAUUCACACCAACCUGUACAAUUUAUCUUGAAACAGUCAAAACAGUGUUGAAAGAAUCUUUUAUUGAUGAUAGUUGUUAAUUUACCUUGAGCGGGUAGGGUGCCAUGGAGGUCACAUUCAGCAACAGACAAAACUUUAAGAUCAGGCAAUGCUCCAAUGUUCUGGAGAAAGUUUAUUGGGAGAGAAGUACGAUCUAGAUACAAUUCUUCAAGGGUGCUAGAAUUGAAGAAAGUCCCUGUGAAAAAGAAAGAAGAAGAGAUAUGAUGAAAAUUGUGGUCGUACAGAAUAGCCAUUCCAUUUAAUAUUAUUAAUUAAGAUUUUAAGAAACUAAACUAUGAUUAACCUUGACUUAAAUUAGUAUCCUUGAGAGAAAGGGUCUUCCUUAAACCUAUGAUGUGUAGAAUUGAAAGCAGGCAAUCAAGUAAGUAGUGAAAUUAAGUGUUAUCUUGAUCGAGUUUUUAAACCUAUGAUAAAGAACUGAUAUUGAAUAGUGAGAUGAUUUUUGGAUAGAAACAACAAAUUGCCUGAAAAAUCCAGAGAUAUUGCCUGAUAAAUUUAAAUUUAAAGACUUUACCAUUGACGGUCGUCGAUCCUAGCAACAUAUUGCCUGAUAAAUUUAAAGACUUGAGAUAAGAAAGCCCACGCAGAUGUGAUAAAAUGCUGUCGUUGAAUAUAUUAUAGCUCAGGUCCAGGUUAUCGAGUUUCUCCAAAUGUGAUGAUAUGAUCUCAAAACCUGCAAGAGAGUUGUUUCUAUAAGCAAGUCAUAAUUACAUAAUAACUUUAAUCAAACAUGAUGAAAUACUAUCGUUGAUUAUUAAAUGAAUAUAAAGUCCUCAAUUUUCAUAGAAGGAGAUAUGAGAAGGAGAAAAGAAAAUGUUUCGAAGCUAAAUAAUUAAAAGGUUACCAUAGAAGCUACCUGAUCCUGUCAAUCCAUUGCCUGAUAGAUCCAAAGACUUGAGAGUGGAAAGCCCAGUCAUGCAUGACAAAAUGCUUUUAUCAUUAUUAAAUCGGUUAUCACUUAGGUCAAGAUUCCUCAGAUUUGAUGAUAGGACUUCGAAGCCUGGAAGAGAAUCAUCAAAGCAAGAUAAUUGACAUUAAACACCAAUCAACCUUGAUUUAUUUUAUGAUUAUAAGUGCAGAAACAUUGAACUAACCUUCAUUCUCCAAGCAACCAACCAAUCCAUUAAAUCGCAAUUCGAGACUUUGCAAUUCUUUAAAAGGCAGAAACAAAGAUGCGUUGAGAACCCAAUCGCCAAAGCUCUGAUCCCUUGCUCCACUAAGAGAGAGUUCGAUCACUCGCCUUGUAGUGUUAUCACACUCGAUCCCAUCCCACUCACAACAAUUACUACUGUCCACCCAAUGUCUCAAGGAAAAGCCAUCUGGGUCGAUCAAAGAUUGGAUCUCCAAGAGACCAAUUCUCUCUUCCUCCAAACAUCCAUAACAACGACCAUACCAUUCGCCAACCAAAGUCAAUAAUAUUGCUAGCAACAUCCAAGCCCCCAUUCUUUUCAUCAUCAUCUUAGAUAAUUCUAUGUGACAUCAAGAACGUAGAAUAUUGUUGUUUGUUAUGUGCCUUUGGGCAACCAUAGAGGUCCUAUUUAUACUACACUGUGGCCAUUUCCGUGACUUUGAGAUGUUUUCUUUAUUUAAUUUCCAUGACUUUAUCUGCAUAUCUUGUGCAGGUUCGGUGUUUUGAGAUUUGAAUAUUAUUUUAUUUCUUUUUGGAAUAUUCUUGGAUUUGAAUAUUAUUUUAUUUUAUUGUUUAGCACUUAGUCUAUUUGCAUUUAAUUAUAUUUUGGUUACUAAUUAUUCAAUUUAUAAAAAAAUAAAAUAAAAAAAUUGUUGCAGUACUUCAACAUAACAUAUAUUUGUUUUUAUGGUGGGAAAGGUAUUCUUGACUUGUUUUUAUUACAUUUCAAUAUUAAAUAUAUUUUUUUCAAUCGAGUCAAAGAUAUACAAUUUAUAUUAGAAUGAGAAGACUAAUCAAUUUCUCUAGUUUUCUCCCUAAUUAUAAAAUACAUCUAAGAUAAAAGGAAUUUAUUUCUUGAAAUUAAUGCAUUAAAAAAUAUAAAAAUAUUUUUUAAAAAUUAAAAUAGUAGUAAAAGAAAAUUUAGUUUUUGAUUGAAGUGUAAACUAGUGGUCAAUGAACAAAAAGAAACUUUAUUGAUUAUCUAAUGAGUUACUUCUCCAAAAAGAAUAUAUAUAUUAUUGAAUAUCUAAAGGAAACGAUUCAUGAAACUCCGCCUAAUAUAUAUAUAUAUAACAGAGAAAUUGUCGAUAAUAGCAAUCAUUUUCUUAUCUCUUGUAUCAUUCAUAUCUUCCACAAAUCUUAAGUAAUUGAUGAGAAAGAUCGUGAACGCGGAUGCUUGACUUGUUGUGUGGCAUUUUGAUUUUUAAACACAACCAUGCAGUGAUUUCCUGGUGAUUUCCUUAUGCAUACUGGUGGUCCUUCAGAAUCUUGGAGGACCACCACAAGCCAAUCUAAAAAAAUGCUAAAAGUAAUCUUGAGGGUUGUAACUUAACUGGUCAGGUCCUGAGUUUGUUCCCCGAAGAUCACCAGUUCGAGUCCCACAAACCUCAGAGCCACUUGAGGCUUACAUGAUCAUUAACUUCAGGGCUCGUGGGAUUAGUCGAGAUGCACGCAAGCUGACCCGAACACCCACGUUAAUAAAAAAAAAUGCUAAAAGUCAAAACACACAAGCCAUAUAAAAAUCACACGACAGCCAAUUGCCUUAUCUUGUGAAAAAAAGAUCAAAAAAAAAAAAAACAUUCUCUUAGGUAUGCAAUGACUGCCUAUCUUCUCAUGGGGAGCAAAAAUCAGUAGCCUCCCAUGGAAUCCUAAUAAACCUUUCUCUGUGCUCUUCUAAGAUAUUAAAAAUGUCAAACAUACAUCAAUAAUCAAGAUUUGGGUCCUAGAUCAGACAAGUUAGCUUAUGUUGACUGGUGUUAAUCUAAAAUUGUAUCAUUUUAAGAAGAAAAAAAACUGUGUAGUUAAAAAAAAAAAACUAGUUUUUGACUGAGUUGAUUAGGUUCUUGGUUGAUUUAUCUGGUCGAUGAGGCUUGAUUGGGUCAACUCUCACUUGGUUUUUUCUAAACCUGAAUCCGGUCAGAUUCCAGAUUAAAAUGGUAGGCUUGAAUUAAAUUUAAUAACGCUGAUUAAAACCACAUUGUAGAAAAAAAAAUUGAAUUGCAUAAAAGUAAUUAACCGAAAACUUAUAUUCCUUCUUAUUGUCAAAGAACCAUCUCAACCCUUAAGCUAUUAGGUGAGGUCCCAAGAUAUGAUUUAUAUUAUUCUUUAACACACUCCCUCAAGUGAAAGCCCUUUGGGCUUGAAACUUGCAAAUGUCUACAUUACCUUGUGCUUGAUUUUUAUCAAAUUAAUGGGGGGUGAGAUUCGAACUCGUGACCGCUUGGUCAUCAAAGCUCUGAUAUUAUAUCAAAUAAUCACCUCAACCCAAAUUAAAACUUAAACUAUUAGAUGAGAUCCCAAGUUAUGAUUUAUAUUAUUCUCUAAGAACCCAUAUCAGUUUUUUUUAAGGAAAAGUAUGAAUCAAAGGUUAACGCUAGGCAGCUCACUUUGCAUGACAAUGACGGAUAUAGAAGACUUGCUACUUUCUUUAUGGAAAUAACGUGUGGAAAAUCAUGCCUUAAUGUUGAUGGUGAUGGCAAAAACAACCAGUAUCGUUGAUAAAAUGAACCACAAAUGAUAUUAUUUCUAAAAUACUUUUUUUCAUUGUCAUGACAACAAGUCUUCUUCUUUUUCUUUCUAAAGAGUCUAUUUUUUGUAACACAACCAACAAGUAAAAUGGAUAGGAAUUUGCAGUGUGAGAUGGGUCUGUGAGACUUUUGCCAUCUGCAUUUUUUCCAUGAUAUAGGCCAGUGAGAUAGUCCAUGAAACCAUUGCCCUGUAAGCAUUUAUGAGUUCGUGAGACCAUUUCCAUCUGCACAUUGGUCCCUGAAACCGUUGCCAUCAUGCAUUUUUUCCACGAGAUGGGUUCGUGGAACAUACUUUGGUUUAAUUGGGAAUGCUGUUAUUGAUUGAAAACUUUCUAAUUAAAAUAAAUUUGAUUAUUUGAUUGGAAGAAAUCCUUAAAUGUUAUUAACACAAGAAAUCAAUUUAUUUUCUUAAGAAAAAAAUAUUGUAACCAUAUAAGUAAUUUAUUUAUUUAUUUUAAUGAAAUAUAAAAUAGUUUUAAAUAAUCUUGUGGUAUAUUUCUUGUCUUUAAGAGCUAUGAACUUAUAUCUCAAAACUUGAAAACUAAUAUAAAGAUAUUAAGUGAUCAUUGAGUGUGUGUGUAUGUAUAUAAUCCUUUUCAAAACAAAAAGGAUUUUGAUGGAGAUCAGGACAUUGCAACAAAUUAUCCACGAGAUGGGUCGGUGAUACCAUUGUCAUCAUGUAAUUUUUCCCACGAGAUGGGGUCGUACGCUUGGGGCUCUAAAAGCUAUGGUUUUUAAUUUCAUCAGGUAUAUUUUAUUUCAAUUCUAAAAAUGAAAUAAAUUAGAAGAUAUUUCAUCUUGUUUAGAAUAUUAUCUCCUUACAUGCAUGAAUUUCACCUAAAUUUUGACCAGAAUAUAUCGGUUCUAUUCCGGCCAUUCUAUUAUGUCCAAAUAAUGUUUUGUUUUGCUUUUAUAUAUAUAAAAAAUAUAAUUUAUUUUUAUGAUAUCAAUUAUACCUUUCAAUUUGACUAUUAGAUUAGACUGAAAUUUUAUAAUCUCUUAAUAUGUAUUUAUAUCACAAGUUAAAAUUUUAGAGCAAUCAGAGUUUAGAAAGACUUGUGAAAUUACUGUUGAUAUUUUCAUAAUUUUAUUUAAAUUCAUAAUUUUUUUUUGAAAUGUUAUUUUUUGUGUUUUUUUAGAUUGAUUUUUUUUAAUUUUAUAAUUUAAUAAUAAAUUUAUUAAAAAUUAAAAUUCAUAAUUUAUUUUUAUUUAUUUUAUUUAAAAUUAUUAUAUUCUCAUUACUCAUAUCACGAAAAAAACCUUUGCUUUAAUUGGGAAUGCUGUUACAAGUAAUUGGACUCCGUGGGAUGGGAGACCGUUGCCAUCAUGCAUUUUUUUUCCACAGCAUGGGUCCGUAAAGUCCUCUAUAAAAGCUUAAACCUCCUUACUAUCCUCUAUAUCAAUUGAUCAGCAUUUAUAAGAUGGGGCUGUUCCUUCUGAUGCUGAUGGUUUUAGUAAUGAUGGUUUCUUGCAAGGAUGGCUGCCUCUUGGAGUAUAUUGACUUGAGAAUUAAUUGUUUUGAUAACAGUAUUUUAUUAUUUGUGGAGUUAUUUCUAUUUUUUAAAUUAUUAUAUUUAGAUUAUAAUAGAGUGAAAGAGUUAAUAGGUUUAAGAGAUUAGGAAAAAGCUAAUAUUAAUUAUAGUUAGGGACCAAACUGGAAUUUUUGCAUAUUUUUAAGGGUCAAAUUGUAAUUUUAUUAAAUUGAUGAAGGACCAAAAUGAAAAUAUCAUAUUUAUAACUAUACUGGAAUUUUGCCCAUAUUUCUUCUUUAAUUUUGCCUAGAAUCUCGGAUUAUGCUCUAGGGACCAAUCUGUAAUUUUUUUCAAAGUUUGGGGAUUAAACUGAAAUUUUCACAAAUUGAGGUACCAAGCUGAAAUUUUUUCAUCUUCAACCUCAUACCCAGAUUUUUCACAAAUCACCUAUUGAUAUAUCAAGAUUUUUAACUAGAUGAGGGUUUAGGUCAUAGAUUGGCCUAAUACUCAGAUCAAGAUUUGGAUCAAGUUAGCUUAUUGACUAGUGUUAAUAAAAAAUUGUAUUAUUUUAAGAUUUAAUUUAAUCAAAUAGAUUCAACUCCCAUGCCAUUCCACAAUUAAUUUAUUUUAUUAUGAUUUAGUGUUAUGUUAACCAGGCAACAUUUAAUUACCAUGAUAUAAAAUACAAAAAUAGUGGGAACAUAAAAAACAUGCUUUUAUAUAUUUUUUAUUUUAAAAGUACAAAUUUUACUCUAAGACUAUUGUAAAAAGAUAUUUAUUUUAAAUUUAUUUAUAUUUUUAUAAUUCAAAAAUUAAAAAUAAAACAGAAUUAAUCCAUACUCAUCUAAAAACAAUUAACUCUAACAUCAUUAUUUUAUAACAAAACUAGCAAAGAUAAUUUAUUAAUCACUAAGUUUUCUGGUUAUAAAUACAUUAGUAAUUGUCUUCGUCUCUUUUGUAUUUCUAACUAUUAACGAAUUGAAUAUAUAUAAUAAAUACCGAGUGAAAGAAUAAAUUUAGUUGUAUAAUGUACUAAAUAUUAAAUAGGUGACUUUAGAAUCACCAAGCAGUGAAUCACACGGGAAGAUUGAAAGAAUAAUUAAAGUGAUUUUAGUAACCGACAAGUUGACCCCAAGUCAAAAGUCUUUUGUGGAAAAACAUGAAUAAAAGGUUGAGGGUAAGGUCAUUGCUAUCAAGCGUUUUUUUCUACGAGAUGGGUCCGUUACACCAUUUCCGCUCAAGCUUGAGAAGUGAUGAUAUAUGCUUUAUUUUCAACUUGUAUAAAAAAUAAAUUUUAAUGUAGUGUGUUAGUGUUAAAUAAUUAUCUUAAUCUAAUAGUUUAAGCUGUUAGAUAAGGUCUCAAGAUAUGAUUUAUAUUAUUCUCUAACACACCUCUCAAGUAAAAACCCUUUGGACUUGAAACUUGUUCAGGUUCACAUUACCUUGUGUUUAAUUUUUAUCAAAUAAAUGAAGAUGGUGAGAUUCAAACUCGUAACUGUUUGGUCAUCAAGGCUCUGGUACCAUGUUAAAGAAUCAUCCCAACCCAAUAGCUUAAGCUGUUAGGUAAGGUCCCAAGAUAUAAUUUAUAUUAUUCUCUAAUACACCUCCUACUUUGUGUUUAAUUUUUAUCAAAUAAAUAGGGAUAGUGAGAUUCGAACUCGUGACCGCUUGGUCAUCAAGGCUCUGAUACCAUGUCUAAAAACUAUCUCAACCUAAUAGCUUAAACUGUUAGGUGAGGUCUUAGGAUAUGAUUUAUAUUAUUCUCUAACAAUAUUUUCUUCACUUUCUAUAUAGUUUUACCUUACACUAAUAUUGUCAGAAAAUGAUAUAUAGUUCUUGUGUUAUCCUUCAAGAUUUCAAUUGAAAAGGAGGGUCGUAAAAAAUUUAAUUUUUAUAAACAUACCCUUAACUUAAUUUGGAUGUGGAUAAUUGUUUGCAAUAUAUUUACAUCCAAUAUAAACAAUUCAUCAAUGAUCAAGUCGGCAUUGGUUAGCUAAAAUAUUGAAAAUACUUACUCUUUUUUUUUUUUUGGCCAUGCAGUUCCUAUAUAUAUAUAUAUAUAUAUAUAUAUAUAUAUAUAUAUAUAUAUUAGUUGAAAUUUCAUGAUGUCCAUUAAUCCUUUUAAAUUAAAGUCAAGUUAUUAAUUAUAUCCUAUAAAUUUCUAGAAAAACUAAUUCUCUCAAAUUUCGUCGUCUUUUUUACUAACUAUAGAAGGCGAUUGCUACAAACUAAAAUUUCAAGAUGAAAUUGAGAAAUCUGAAGGAGCAAACUGAGAAUCUACCAAAAUCUGACCAAGUCGUUUCACUAGUGGUUUCAAUUAAAAAGCUGAGAGGCAGGCAAUUUCCCAGAAACCCUCUUGGACCCCAUAAAUGAAAUAAUGACACAUGCCGGGGAACAUAGAAAAAUGAGCCUAUAAUCGAAUGAUCAAUACCGGCGAAAGAAAUCAAAUGGAGUAUAAGGUGAAGAGUAAGCCAUCGACAGCACUUUGGAGGCUAUAAUCGAAUCAGCUGCUUCUAUAUAUGCAAUGGGUCGCAUCCCAACUUGCAGACCUGAUAUGAAAUUGUUAUGAUGUUCGUUCUGUAACUAUCAAAACUCACUUAAUUCUGUAGUUUCCAUCUCUUUUUUACUUAACAUGUGAUGUUUGAGAGUGAAGGUAACUAUUGCUUUUUAAAAUAAAAUAUAAUUUAUGUGGUAUCUGAAUACAUAGGAACAAUAUCUGUGUGCCUCAUGCAUGCUUUUCAAAAUCAAGUUUGGGGUUUUUUACACCCAAAAAUCUAUUUUUCAAUUAUGUUUUCACCAAAACAAAAGCAACUAAAAAUCACUUAAUUAAAAGAUCAAAGUGAAUCUAUUUACUUUCUCAUACAAAAAUCAGUCCAAAAAUAAAAAAUAACUUAAAACCUAAAUUUUCUGAUAUCAUAUCUACUUUUUCAUGUAAUUUUAAGGUGAACACUCGAAUAAAACUACUUUUAUCUAAUGGACUAUUGACACAAAGAUUGACUAUUUUGAGGGCCAAAAUUGAUUUUAACCGAGAUUUUAUCUUUUUACCACUAGAAUUUAGCUACUCUCUUUUCUCUUUGAAACUAAAAAAAUAAAAAUAAAAAAAUGACCUUUUGAGUCAAAAUUGAAUCUUACAAAAUUAUAGGGAUUGAAGAUCUAUCAAUUGGAAGUAAGAAAAUCCAAGCUAACUUUUCGCAUUAAUUUUGAAAAAGCCACCUAGUGCCUUUGUUUUUUUCACUUUGAUCCCUUAACUCUCAAUCAUGCCCUUCAUCAAUAAAUUGAAAGAAAUUUAUUGGCGAAAUAAAUUUAUUUCGAAGCCCUUCAUCCUUUGCAAAAUUUACAAGAACAUACCUGAAAGUCCUUGUUGAGAAUCUUGGAGAUAGAGCAAAAUAGAGUGGCAAACAUUGAUACAAUGAACUGAACUUGCAGGACAAGGUCAAAAGUCAUGGCCUUGCCAGCCUUCAAGAAAGUAAACUCCAAUGCAGGCAUUAGAAACCCAUGAAGAGCUGCACCACCAAUAUUCAUGAAGAAACCCAAAAUAUAUUUUCCUUUAGACUCCCACUUGGUCUAUCUCCGUUCAUGUGAAAUACAAGAAUAAUAGACCCAAGGGUCAUCAAAAUCACCGCGUUUAUUCAGUAAUGUGUGAAGCCACUGAGCUAAAGAAUAAAUAAUCCAAGAAAAUUCCACCAAUUACCAUUAAUGUAAGGAAUUCCUGCUUCUUUUUUAGAAGAUCUUCUGGUUGUAUUUGGUUAAUAUCUCAUGCAGAAGAGACACAAAUAUAUAAAAGACAAACAAGUUUAAUUAAAGAGAUAGAAACAUAAAAUAAAUAUGUUUAUAAGAUAAUUUUAGAGUAAAUUUCUAUAUAUAUUUUCAAAUAAAAAACACAAAGAGACAUGUUCAGUACUUGUAUCAUAAGUUUUAUUAUCAUCAAACGUUUGCCUUUCACUACUUUUGCAUGUCUAUAAAGGAAUUUGAUUUCAUUCAAAACACAAUCUAAUAAUUUUGUAGAGAUAAAGAAGACAAGCACGUCGCAAACUGAUCAAUGGCCAUUGAAGUAGACAAAACAGUACUGACUAGCACCACCAGCUUUUACUUGCAUUUGGCUUGAAAGACGAGUGGACUACAUCAAGCAAAUAACAAAAAAAAGCAUGUAAAGAACUAUGAUUAAUUUAAUAAAAAGUAUCUUGCAGUAUUAGAAGGUUUCAGUGAUAUGCCUAUUAAAACAUAUUUGUCAAGUGAUUCUUUAUCCUACAUUGGUUAUAUAUUUAUUCGACGUGGUGGUACUAUUUGUCGUGAAUCCACAAAUACUAUUCAUCAUCAUAGUGUUCAUCUACAUGCAGAUCACUAUGGAUUGAAGCAGUAAUAUUUUUAAAAAAAUUUCAAUUUGGUUCUUAAAAUUUUAUUUCACAUGAUUUUAGCUCUUUUAAACCCAAAUUAUCACUCAAUUGCAUAUUUUUUUGGGAGAGAUGGUUGAAUUAAAAAACAUAGGACUGAAGUGAAAAAACAGGUGAAAUAGAUGGUGACCUUGAAAUUUCUCUUAAAAGUUCAUUUUUAUCCCCCAUAUUUUUUUUAGCUCUUAGGUGACCGGUCCCUUUAAUUUUUAAAAAUUUAAUUUUAAUAUUAAACUUUAUUUUUUUUAUUUUUCAGACUUUUUUAUGGGAGGAGAGAGAAAGUUGUCGUUGGUGAUGAUUUCAGCCAUUGAAAUAAUCAAUUUUUGUCUCAAAUAAUUCCAUCUAAAGAGAAGAGUUUGAAUUAAGUGUUUUGUUUUACCUUGAAAAUACCUAAAAAAUAGAUCCGAGCUCAAGAAGAUUUUUGAAUUCAGGUUGAUAUCAGAUUUUAAGGUGUUUUUUUUGUGUUUUUUUUAGUCCAUUAAUUGUUUAACAAGAUUUCUAAGGUAUUUUUUAGGAGUUUUAAAUAACAAAUAGAUUAAAAAUAAGUUUUUAGAUAAAAAAAUAUAAACAUCAGUUUUCCCGCUACAACAAUGGAUGGAAUCUAGAAAUCUAGAUGACACAUUAUCUUUUUUAAAAAAAAAAAACAGUGUCUGACCCCUUAGCUUAGAAAAUAAAAGCCCUUUGAUUAGCAGGCUUGUCAAUGUCUAAUCUCAUUCUUUCUUUCUUUUUUAAUUAGUACCUUUUUUAUAUAAUUUUUUAUUUUAUGUUUUACUAAUACAUCAUCUAUUGUUUUGGCUUAUUUAGAAUUUUUUAAAAUGAAAAUAGUUUAUUUAAUUAUAUUGAUUGUAUUUAAUUUUUAAAAAGGUUGAUAUGAUUUAUCUGUAAUUUUUUAUAUAAAUAUUUAUAUAUGGAUUAAAUUUACCUUUAAAAAAUUAAUUAAUUAUUUAUUAUAAUAUUUUUAAUAUGUACAGCCUUGUAUAAUAUUUUUUUCUCUCUUAUUUUAUUUAAUAAAUCUUAUAUUCUGGACAUAUCAGUAUGGUUGGUUAGGUUUGGUUUUGGGGUGAAAAAAGAAAAAUCCAACCACAUCAAAUUAAAUGUUAUGGUUUGUUUUAAUUCAAUUCAUUUUUUUAUUAAGAAACCCAAUUUCAUUCUUGGGUUUUUUAGUUGAUUUUUGUAGAUAGACUCUGAUGUAAUAGGCAUGGUUGUUUUUGAGGUUUUUUUAGUUUUUUAUUUUAAAAAAGCAAUUGUUUGGUUUCAUUCAGUUUAAUUUUUUUUAAUCUCUUAAAUCUAAAGCCAAUUUAAGAUCUUUUAAAACUUUCUAAUCGGUUUUUUUUUUAAUUUUAUAUUGGUUUUUUUUUUCAAUUAAUUUUAUGAUAAGAAUCUCGUUAUAAGAAGUAAAAGGAAAAAAAAAAAAAAACAAUUACAUGUCGCAGCCAUGUUUUCACAUGGCCUCCGUAAAGUUCGAACAUUAACAUGGUCUCUAGACAAUAAGAACCUGUUUGUAAGUUUAGCAGAAUUAUUUUUUAAAAUAUUUUCUAGUUUAAAAUAUAUUAUAAUAAUAUCUAGUUAAUUAUUUUUAACAUCAAUAUAUUAAAACGGUCUAAAAAUACUAAAUAAUUAAUUAAGUUUUUUUAUAAAAAAAAACCGGUUCAACUACGGGGCUAAGGAUGUGUUUGGAAGUAUGGUAGUAGUAAUUUUUCAAAGUGAUUGUACUUGAAAAUGUAUCAAAAUAAUAUUUUUUAUUUUUUAAAAAUUAUUUUGACAUCAGCCCAUUAAAACAAUACUCACAAAAUUGAGCAUCAACCUAAAAAUAAACACUUAUUUGAGACAAUUAUCCCUCGAAAGCAAACAAAAAGUAAUAAUGCAGUUCAUUUCCUAACCAAUUCAAUGUUAAAUGAUAAAAUCAAAAUAUUAAAAAUAAUUAAAAGACAAAAAAAACAUAUUAUAAUGGUGGGUAAACUCGUCAAACUUGUGAAUCGGGUAAGUCGAGCUAAUAUGACAAACCUGUAAAUUGGAUCAUUGACUCCAUUGGAAUUAUAAUUUGUUUUUUAAAGCUAUUUUCUUAGUUAACUAUAUGAUAAUAAAAAUAGAUAAUUACAAAAUCAAACACCAACUUAAUACCAAAAUGUUUUUAGAUCAUGAUAACCUCAUAAAAUGUGAAACAAAACCAAUUAUGAAACUAAAUUCACAAUUAAUCCAGUAUCCAAGGAUGAAAAAAAAAACUGAUUUAAAAAAGUUAAUCUUGUCAACUAGCCAAAUAUAUCCAUGGAAUUUAUAAAGUUUAAUAACAUAAUUUUUUCUAAAAAUUAUUUUUUUAACUAUAUAAGGAAAAAAUAGACUAUAAAAAAGUCAAGUUUAAUUAUAAAAAAAAAACCCCACCAAACUUGUAAACUAGGGCAACUUAGAUUACCUAGCAAACUCACAAACCAUGUUAACCUUAUAGAAAUGUAAAAUAAAAGAAACAAAUUAUAAAGUUAAAUUCUCAACCAUCUCAAUAUUAAAAGAUAAAAUUGAUAAAAAAAAAAUUUGAGAAAAAAAUCAUAACAAAAAUUAAAAAAACAAAAACAAAAAUGAAAGAAAGCAAAACAUUAUGGAUUACUAUUGUCAUUCACAAUACAAUGUGUGUGGGUGAACAAUGAUUUUCUCACACCCUUUAAUUUUUGUUAUUUUAUAAAGUUUAAUAACAUGACUUUUCUCUAAAAGUUUUUUAAUUAUAUGAGAAAAAAAUAGACUAUUAAAAAAGUCAAGUUCGAUUUUAAAAAAAAAUACAACCCACCAAACUCGUAAACCAGGGAACCCUAGGGUACUUUGGCAAACUCAUAAACUACACUAAUCCCAUAUAAAGGAAAAAAAAACAAACAAAUUACGAAACUCAUUUCUCAACCAUCUCAAUUUUAAAAAAUAAUAUUGACAAAAAUAGAUUUUAAAAAAAAUCAUAAUAAAAUUUCAAAAAAAAAGAAAAAAAAAAGCAAGACACGGUGGAUUAUUAUUGUAAUACAUAGUGUAAUGUGUGCUGGGUAAACAAUGGUUUCCCCUACAUCCUUUAAUUUUUAUUACUUCAUAAAAUUUAAUAAUAUGGUUUUUCUCUAAAAUUAUACUAUAAAAAAGCCAAGUUCAAUUAAAAAAAAACCUCACCAAAUCCAUAAACUGGGGUACCCUGAGUUACCUCGACAAAAUCGCAAACCACAUAGAAAGAAAAAAUAAAAAGAAAAAAAAUUAAAUUUAAAUUCUCAACUAUCUCAAUAUUAAAAAUGAAAUCAAUAAAAAUAAUUUUUUUUAAAAAUCAUAUAUAAGAAAAACAAUGAAAAGGAAAACAUCAUGUGUUCAAGGGAAAAAAAAAACAAAUAAUAUGAGGAAAUAUUAUAGCAAUCUAUAAUGUUUUAUGAGAAUAAUUGCAGUGCUAUCCCCAUAUAUUUUAAUUUUUCUUAUGAUAAUAAUAAUUAUAGUCUCUCAUGUCUCACAACUUUAUUUGUUUUUCUUGAAUAAGUGCUAAUGUUCUUUGAGGGGUCCAAGCACCAUAUAUUGAAAGAAAGAACUAGUUCAAAUUGAAGCACUAUUAGUUUUAGAAGCACCAUGAAGAUUCAGGCGUGUAAAGAUAUCAAAGGCUCCUGCCACAUGUCAAAAGAUUAGAGAAUGAAAUUGUUAGAAUACUGUUAGUAACUGUUAGUAUUGUUUGUCAGUUAAGAGAAUUAGUUAGCAUUGUUUCAGUGAAAUAAAAAGAGAAUAGAUAACGUGCAUAACCUUUCUACUAUAGCAUAUAUAAACAUGUCAGAUAAGAGAACUGUAAUCAAUUAAUAAAAGAAUCAGUGCUAAAGUUCUUCUUCUUCUUCUUCUCUGUUUAACAGAAUCACUCUCUGCUUUUCUUCAUCUUUAUUCUCUGUUUUUCUUCAUCUCUAUUCCUUUUCUGUGUAAAUCUUACUGUCCUCACAAGGCCCACAUCUUGCUUAUAAUACCCAAGAUCCUAGCACCUUGUAUUUAUAAACGCUAGACACAGCUGCUGUUUCAAUGAAUAAUUCUCCACGCUAUUAUUGAUAAAUAUUGUGUGCUAUAUAUACAGCAGUGUGGAAAUUCAGUUUAGGAAAAAUAUAAAUGGUAAUGCUAAAACUAUGCUAUUACAAUAUACAGCUGCAGAAUUCAAGUUUGGAAUCGGCUCCAAAUAUAGCGUUAAUGGCAGAAUCUUUGCCAUGAUUUUCGGCUACACCUUCUCUGUUUUGAUUUGAGCAGAUUCUCUGCUAGUUUCCCUGAUAGUAUUUAAAUGAAAGAAAAAGAGAAGGGCAAAAGACUGCCAUGAGGCAACCUCAAGUAUCAUACACCUCUGUUUUUGUCCUUUUCAUUUUUCACGUGUUUCUCACAAGAAGCGAACAUAAAGUGCUGGAAGGAAUUUUUUGUUGCAGCGUGAGAUAAGUUUAACUCAUUGCAUUUUCAUAAAUUAAAGGGCUUUGUCUUCUUUUCUUUGUCAAUUACAGUGCAUGUAUAAAAGUUUUAUUGCUCAGAGUAAAUGCUAUUGUAAUGUUUUCGCAGAGACUCCCCUGCUUUGCAACCAAUUCACUUAUAUAUCUUGGAGCAUAGUCAUAGCCAUAAAUGGAAGGUUCUUCCGGUUCAAGAAAAUUAACCACGAAGCUCGUAACUAGAAUUUAGAGUGACCAAGGUCUUUUUCAAGAACAAGGGAAGUGUGCAAAAUGCAAAUAACGAAUCAAUACAUAAAUAAUUAAGUAAAAAGAGAGGACACAGAAGUAUAUCCUCAGACGAUGAAAAUACAGAAAGCCUAGCAUAUUAGAAAGAGCAUUUAUCCAUUUUCCCCCUUCUCUUGUAACAUGGACUGCUAAGAAAUCUAAUGUUUUGUUAUUGAUACGUGAGUUCAGUCUGAUUAUCUGUUGUGCAUACUGGACCGAAAGCAAACACAAAUAAAACACAAACAAGCAGAUUUACGUGGUUCCCCAAAACCGGGUACGUCCACGGAGGCAGCAGAUUGUAUAUUAUUGGAGGAAUGAUACAAACACUCAACUCAACCCAGUACAAUCCCACAAAACCCAGUGUUUCACUCUUACACUCGGUGUUUCUCUCAAAUCUGCACUCUUUCACUCUCACAGUUGCACUAUUUUCUUCUGCACACUUGCACUCACACUGCACUCUCUCGUUCCUCUCUUCUAUCUUCUAUCUUUCACACACAUUUACAGGAGAAAGGAAAGCAUAAAUAUAAUGGAUGAAAAGGAGAGGGUGGUUGAAAAGGAGAGAGUGGUUGAUGGUUGUUGAGAAAAAAUAUUGACAAUUAGCAAAUGUUGACAAUUUGCUACAAAUCUCCACCUUGGCAAGAUUUUUCCAUUCAAUCCUCGUGAACAAUCAAUGCUACCUCCAAUGCGUCAUAUGACGCUGCACCCUGAAGGUGCUCAACACCGAGAGAUGUUGACCAAGUCCAAACAAUGUUGGAACUUGAUCCCUGAGACACAUUUUGUGAGCAUGUCAGCUGGAUUAUAUGCGGUACCAAUCUUCUGUAGCAGAAUAUCCCCUUCAUCCACAAUUUCUCGAACAAAAUGAAAUCGAACAUCGAUGUGCUUGGUGCGGGAAUGAUGAACCUGAUUCUUUGCAAGACAAAUAGCACUUUGACUAUCACAAUGGACAUCCACGUGCUCUUGAACAAUUCCCAAAUCUUCAAUCAACCCAUGUAACCAAAUAGCUUCCUUGAAAGCUUCCGUUACUGCCAUGUACUCUGCCUCAGUUGUUGACAAAGCUACUGUUGAUUGUAACGUUGACCUCCAACUUACAGGCCCUUUAGCAAGUGUAAACACGUAGCCUGUUGUGGAACGACGUUUGUCUAAGUCACCAGCAUAGUCCGAGUCCACAUAACCAACUAAAUUUUGCCCAAGUCUAUCAUCCCUCUCAAACUUCAAACCAAUAUCAGUUGUGCCAUGAAUGUACCGUAGAAUCCACUUAACUGCCUGCCAGUGACCCUUUCCCGGAUCAUGCAUAUACCUGCUCACCAUACUGACAGCAUGUGAAAUAUCUGGUCUCGUACAAACCAUUGCAUACAUUAAUGCACCAACUGUAUUUGCAUAAGGAAUUUGAGCCAUAUGCUUGCGCUCUUCCUCUGUGCGUGGAGACAUUGAAGCACUUAGCUUAAAAUGAGGAGCUAAAGGUGUGCUUACAGGCUUGGUCUUACCAUCUACCCCAAAUCUCUGUAGAAUUUUCUUCAAGUAUUGGGUCUGUGUCAAACAGACUGUGCCUUUUCUUCUGUCUCUCUGAAUCUCCAUGCCAAGAAUCUUCUUAGCUUCUCCAAGGUCCUUCAUUUCAAACUCAGUGCUCAGUUGAGCUUUCAGUCUAUCAAUCUCCACCUUGCUCUUCGAUGCGAUCAACAUAUCAUCCACAUAUAAGAGCAAAUAGAUGAAAGAACCAUCAAGAAGUUUGCGAAAAUAUACACAGUGAUCAAACUGACUCCGUGUGUAUCCAUGUUCUGCCAUGAACUUAUCAAAUCGCUUAUACCACUGGCGAGGAGAUUGUUUCAAUCCGUAUAAUGACUUCUUCAGUUUACAAGCCCAAUUCUCUUUCCCAGUGACUUUGAAACCAUCUGGCUGAGACAUGUAAAUUUCCUCUUCCAAAUCUCCAUGUAGGAAGGCAGUUUUCACAUCAAGUUGGGCUAACUCCAAAUCAAACUGUGCAACCAAGGCUAACAGAAUACGGAUUGAUGAAUGCUUAACAACUGGAGAGAAUACCUCAUUAUAAUCUAUCCCCUCCUUCUGAGCAUAGCCUUUUGCUACCAAUCUCGCUUUGAAUCGGAUGUUGUCUUUUCCAGGAUUACCUUCCUUCUUGGCAUAUACCCACUUGCAACCAAUUGUCUUCUUUCCUUUAGGGAGUUGUACCAAAUCCCAAGUCUGAUUCUUAUGGAGAGAUUUCAUCUCUUCAUCCAUUGCCUCUUUCCAUUUUGCACUUUCUACACUCUGUACUGCUUCUUUGUAGGUGUAGGGGAUUCCAUCAUCAAUCACCGGAAGUGCAUAAGCCACCAUGUUACAAUACCGAGCAGGUUUCUUGAUAACCCUUUUUGGUUUACUCGUUGCAAUGGAUUCUUGUUGUGUGGUUGCUGGAGUUGUUGCAUCCUCUUCAUCUGAACUUUCAUCUGAAUCUCCUUCAGUAGAGAUUGUCUGAACAGUCUUUAUAGGGAUGACUGAAGUCUCCAACUCCACCUGUUGUGCAUCACCAGACUGUUUUUCCUUCUCCUGUGAUUUCUCUUGCUGUAACAUGCCAGACUCAUCAAAAGUGACAUCUCUACUCAAGAUCACUUUCUUUGAUUCAGAACACCAGAGUCUGUAGCCUUUUACUCCUCCACUAAAGCCCAAAAAUAUAGCUUUCUUGGCUCUAGGAUCUAGCUUGGACUCAGUAACAUGAUAAUAUGCUGAGCAACCAAAUAUACGCAUAGAGUCAUAAUCAUUUGCAGGAGAGCCUGACCAUACCUCUAAGGGGGUUCUUCCAUUUAAUGCUGCUGAAGGUAACCGGUUAACAAUAUGACGAGCAUAACUUAAUGCCUCGCCCCAGAACACUUUGCUUAGUCCCGAAUGUGAUAGCAUACAUCGGACUUUCUCCACCAAUGUGCGGUUCAUGCGUUCUGCUACUCCAUUCUGUUGUGGUGUUUUGCGAACAGUAAAAUGUCGCUUGAUCCCUUCAUUCUGACAAACUUCAAAGAAAGGAUCUGAAGUGUACUCACCACCAUUAUCUGACCGAAGAGUCUUAACCCUCCUUCCAGUUUGAGUCUCCACCAUUUUCUUCCAUUUCAGAAAGAUAUCAAGGACCUCAUCCUUGUGUUUCAUCAUGUACACCCAUACUCGUCUUGAGAAAUCAUCAAUAAAAGUAACAAACCAACGAUUACCUCCAAGAGAUUCAUUCUUUGAAGGUCCCCAUACAUCUGUGUGAACAUAAUCUAGGAUCCCUUUUGUGUUGUGUACUGCAGUGCCAAACUUGACCCUUGUCUGUUUUCCAAGAACACAAUGCUCACAGAACCCAUGCUUCCCAGUCUUGGCGCCUUUUAAUAGACCUUGCUUGACUAAUCCUUGCAAAGCCUUUUCACCAGCAUGCCCUAAGCGCAUGUGCCAAAGUCUGGAAUUAUCUGCUUCAUCAUCUUCUAUACUUUUGGAAACAGCUGCUGUACCAGUAACUGUAGAUCCAUCCAGGAAAUAUAAGUUUCUUAUCCUCGUGCCUCUUAAGACAACUAAUGCACCACGAAUUGCUUUCAGGACUCCACCAUGCAUGAUAAUCUUAUAACCACUGGAUUCUAGGACUCCAAGUGAGAAGAGAUUUUUCUUCAAGUCAGGUACAUACCGUACAUCUGUUAGUGUCUUGACUACCCCAUUAUGCAUCUUCAGAUGGAUAGUCCCAAUCCCUUUGAUCUCACAAACAUCAUCAUUACCCAUCAACACAACUCCUCCAUCGAACUCCUCGAGUCUCGAGAAUAAGUGCUUGUUAGGGCACAUGUGAUAGGAACAUGCAGAAUCAAGAAUCCAUUCACCAGAAUGGUUUUCUGGUGAUGAGACCAUGAAUGCAGAGUCUCGUUCAUCCUCAUCCCGUGCAACGUUCACAGUUGGUUCAUCUUUUUCCUUGUUGCCCUUGAUUGGACAAUCUUUCUUCCAGUGCCCUUUUUUGUGACAAAAGGCACACUCAUCUUUUGCAAGAUAUCGUCUGUUUGAUGAUUCUCCUCUGGAUUUUGAGCGAGAUCUCCCUCGCCCUCGAAAUCUUCUGGGGUUUGUUCUGCCUCUAACUGUCAAUGCUUCUGACGUUGACUCCUUGUGAACAAUCUGGUCCUUCUUUCGGUACUCAUUAUUCACCAAAGCAUUGGACACAUCAAUGAAUUUAAUCUUUUCUUUACCAUACAGUAAAGUGGUGACGAGAUGUUCAUAUGUGUCAGGCAGUGAAUUCAAUAAUAGCAGAGCUUUAUCUUCAUCAUCAAUUUCCACAUCUAAAUUCUUCAAAUCAGCUAUCAUUUUAUUGAAAUCAUUUAGAUGCUCAUUCAUAGAAGUACCUUUCUUGUGCUGAAAACGGAAGAUCCUUUUCUUCAGGUAGAGACGAUUCUCUAUACUCUUCUUCAUAAACUUGUCCUCCAGUGCUUGCCAUAAUUCCUUUGCAGAGUUUUGUUCUGAAAAGGCGUACUUCUGAUCCUUUACAAGACAAAGUCGGAUGGAACUGCAGGCCAACCGAUUUAUCCUUUCCCAGCUUUUAUCAUCCAAAUCCUCCGGUUGAUCUUCUAAAGUGAAAUCCAAAUUCAUUUGGACAAGCAUAUCCAUGACUUCACAUUUCCACAUGCCAAAAUUACCUUUCCCAUCAAACUUCUCCACCUCAAAUUUGGUAUUCGAUACCGGGAUGUAUUGUGGAGGUAUACUAGCAUUCCCCGCUGAUUUUUCUUCUGGAAUAUCAGCCAUUAGGACGUCUUUGGAUUACAAAUGGACUCCUGAAAUUGUUAAAACACGCACUUUUAUGCUCAAAAGAGCCAAAACAGUAACUUCGGUGUGCUGUUUCACAAAACGGACAUCACGGUUGCGUCCGGAAUGGUUGAAAAUGCUAGGAACCAACUUGACUCGGCCAAAAAACAGGUCAAAAAUCACUGAGUUGGCCAAAAAACCAAUCUGACCGAGUUGACUCAGGGAAGGAAUAUUCUGUCUCUGAUAAAGAAUAUUCUGUCACGGGAAUAUUCUGUUACUGGUAACGGAAUAUUCUUAUUCUGUCAAGAGAAUAUUCUGUCACUGUUAGAUGACAUGUCUGAUGACGUGGCUGAUGACAGGGCGAUGUGGACCCUCUGUUGAUGACGUGGAUGAUGACUCAGCGCCUACGUGUCGGAUGACGUGGCUGUCUUCUCAGGCGAGAAUUCCGGCAAUGACUGGUUUUUCCGGCAGAUUUCCGGCGAAACUUCGGCGAGCUCUACAGGGCUCGUUUCAACUCCGAUUUCGAUGAUCUUUAUAUCGCCGGACUCGUAUGGACGAGAGGAAUCUCCUCAGCUGGUCAAAAGCAAGAUCUGAGAACUUUGAAAAUUCUGCAACUUUGAACAGAGAGCUGAAAAACGUGUUUUUUCAGUGUUCUAGCUUCCCUAAUGCUCUGAUACCAAUUUGUUGUGCAUACUGGACCGAAAGCAAACACAAAUAAAACACAAACAAGCAGAUUUACGUGGUUCCCCAAAACCGGGUACGUCCACGGAGGCAGCAGAUUGUAUAUUAUUGGAGGAAUGAUACAAACACUCAACUCAACCCAGUACAAUCCCACAAAACCCAGUGUUUCACUCUUACACUCGGUGUUUCUCUCAAAUCUGCACUCUUUCACUCUCACAGUUGCACUAUUUUCUUCUGCACACUUGCACUCACACUGCACUCUCUCGUUCCUCUCUUCUAUCUUCUAUCUUUCACACACAUUUACAGGAGAAAGGAAAGCAUAAAUAUAAUGGAUGAAAAGGAGAGGGUGGUUGAAAAGGAGAGAGUGGUUGAUGGUUGUUGAGAAAAAAUAUUGACAAUUAGCAAAUGUUGACAAUUUGCUACAUUAUCUGCGUAAAAUAUCUCUGGAGAUGCUUUCGAUGGAGAUUAGGUCUCAAAACGCUAUGCCCACUGCCCCCAUGGAUCCAGAGCGUGAAAAUGAAGCCGAGCAUUGAAUUUCUAAACAUCAUUUCCUUUUGUUUUAUAUUUCGCAUUGUUACCAAACUCUUUUACAUUUUAUUGCUGCAUAUAUUGCUAUGUAUAUACCAUGCUUUAAUCAAAACCUAUAAUGCAGGAAUAUCUGCAGAUGGCCAUUCCCAAAGGGAAAACUAAUCUUCCCUAGAAUAUUACAAAGUGCCAUUUCUACAGUGAGAAUAGCGUUUCGUUUUGGUUGUUUUGUUGAUGAUAACUAGAUCUUAAAACUAAUCCCUGUACUUUUACAUGAUGCUAUAAACUGGUCCCUUUUAUUAGUAAAAUGUUGAGCCAGUCAAUUGAUUAUUUAAAAAUCUUGAGGGAUUAAUUUGUUUGUUUCACAAAAAAAGACACUGAUUAAAUAAAAAAAUUAUCAUCAUAUGCAUGAGUGUUUACUUGUCCAACAACAGUUUGCAAGGGGCAGAUCCUUGGAUGGAUAUUAGAGGUGAGCAAAAAAACCAAUAAACAGAUUAAACAAAGAAAACAAAAAACAAAUAACCGAAAAAACCGAACCGAAAAAAAACUGAAUUAACUGAUUAAAAAAUCACAAAAAAAUUCCGGUUCGGUUUGGUUUCGGUUUCUAAAGUCUGAAACAGAUUGAACCAAACCGGUUAAACCAUGCCAGCACUUAAAAAAAAAAAGUAUAAAUAUGAUGUUUUUUCUAACACUAAACCUAAAGUAACAUUCAGUCGCGACCCCCGCCCCCCCUUCCCUUUGCUCUCUACAUCUCUUCUCUUUGAUUUUUCUUCAUGCUCCACAAUUGUUACUUGUUAAGCUCCUGCUCCAUGCUCCUAAAGGUCCUAAACCAACGCCCCCCCCCCCCCUUCUCUGCCUCUCAUCAUCUUCUCACAACCCCUCCUUUUUUCUCCCUUUUUCUCUCUGCCUCUCAUCUCUCCCCGUAGCCCCCCCUCCUUUUCUCUCUAUCUCUCAUCUCUGCAUCUUAUCUUCUCCACUUCAAGUUUGUGGGCACUGGGCAGAUAAAAAAAAGAGAUGGCUUUUUGAUGAUUAAGAUUCUAACUCCACUUCAAGUCCAUCCCUGCAUCUUGUGGGUUUUUGCUUUUUUUUUAUUAUGCUAUAAUUUGCUUGUAGUUUGUGGGCAAAUAUGUUUUUCAAAUAUGUCUUGGUCAUGUAAAUUGGAAUAAGUUUCUGAAUAACAAAAAUGAGAUUUGCUUUUCGGUUUUAUCGGUUGUCAUAACCCAAUUUUUUACCCUUUUAUUUUAAUUUUAUGAUAAAAAGAAAAAAUGAUGAAAAAAUAUAUAUAUAUAAUAAUGAUGAAAAAAAUAAAAAUGAAAUAAAUGAAGAAUGAAUUAAAAUUUGGGUUAAUGGCAACAUGAUUGGACGCUUAAAGAUUUAAUUUUUGACUUGUCUAAUUAAUCAAAUCAAUUGUUUAAUUGGAGAAUUGAUAAGUUUUGGGACUUAAUUAAGCUUGAAAUUAAUUUAAUUAAUCCAAUCAAGGGUUUAAUUGGAGAAUUGAUAAGUUUUGAGACUUAAUUAAGCUUGAAAUUAAUUUAAUUCAUCCAAUCAAGGGUUUAAUUGGAGAAUUGAUAAGUUUUAAACUUAAUUGGACUUUGGAUUUAAUUAAAUUAAUGAAAUCAGGGACUUAAUUGAAGAAAUAGCAAAGUUUGGGGUUAAUUGGGAGUCCCAAUUGUGAAAUUAAAAUCCAAGGAUUACAUUGAAAAAGGCGCGCAAAUGCAGGGGGCCAAUUACAGUUUAAACCAGGGGUUUAAUUACAAGACUUUCAAAACUGCAUGGAUCAAAACGAAAAAUGGCCGAACGACGUCGUUUUGAAGAUGUUGUUCAUCUUCUUCUCCUUUAUGCCAGUGACCGUUUCCGCAGUAAUGGAGGGAGGAACAUUGCAGCAGUAAUCGUCGUCCGUUGGCUUCAGUUAUGAGCGCCUUAAUGGUGGCCGACUGUUAGCCUACCGCCCGUUAUCAACCCGCCAAGGCCUAUAUAAACCGAGCAGCACCGAAGAGGAGCGAGGUUAGAGGGAGAGAGAGAGAGAGAAAAGAAACCGAAAAGAAGAGAAACACAACCAAAGCACACAAUUUUUAGGUUCAUCUCCAGAACUCCCAUACCAGAACUAGGCUUCCCUCACCAGUUCUGACUUAAGAAAAACGAGAGAGAAAACCGGCCGAAAGAGAGAGAGACGGUGUUCUGAAAAACAGAGCAAAAGAAACGAAGAAAAAUAAACCAAAACAGAGACGCAGGAAAGGAAUACAACAUGAAAACCAGAAGGAGUAAGAAGAAAUUCGAAGGCAGAAGCGUCGUCCUCAGCAAUCACGAACAAAUUCCCUGCAAACGAACCAGGUAAGUCUUCUGCUCUGUUUCCCUCGCUUUGCCUUAUUUCAUUUUCGACGUCCGUGUUUAAUUCAAUAACAGGGCCAUGUACGCGUGAUUUAGAUCACGCGUGCCUAGUGUGGCCCAGCCAGGUCACUGGCUUGGGCCAGUGACCGGGCUGGGCUGGCUGGGUCUAGCCCAGCCCAUGUGGGCUGAGCUGGGCACAGCCCCAAAAACAUAAAAAAUAGAAAAAUAGAAAAAUAGAAAAAAAAUAAUAAUAAUAAAAAAAUAAAAAAGUAAAAAAGGUAGAAAAAAUAAAAAAUGUGUAUGCAUAAAUAAAAAUAAUAUGAAUUUAUUGGUGUAUUCAUUGACGCCAGAGUCAGGAAUAAAAAUACCGGUUUAAAUUUAUAUUAUUUUUAUUCAUUGUAUUUUAUUUUAUUUAGCUAGAAAAUAAAAAAAUAUGUGCAUGUGUAAAAAAUAAUUUUUUUUAUGUGAAUAUUCACUUGCGCCAGAGUCAGGAAUAUUAUAAGAAAAUUAUCAUAGCAUAAACUAAUAAAUAUUUAGCAAUUUAAGACAAAACUAGCAAUGCAGUCUGCCUCAGGCAGAACGUUUAAGGGGUGAUAAUAUCUUCCCUUUUACGUAAUCAAUCCCGAGCCAUAGAAUCUCUGAUGACCAGUUAGGGUUCCUAGUGACCGUAAUACUAGGUGGCGACUCCUUAUACAAGACCUUUUCCCCUAAAAGAACAAGAUGCCAGAAAUCUGUUCUUUUUUCACAAUCUAGAAUUAUUUGUGGGCCGCCGUGAUGUCGGGUGCGACAUCGGUUUUUGAACAACAAAAGUCGAACCGAACCGAACCGAAACCAAUAAAUUUGAACCGGUUUCGGUUCGGUUUUGAUUUUAAAUUUUAAAAUUAAUAAUGUCGGUUUGGUUAAUUUUUUCAUGUAAAAAUUGAACCGAACCGAACCGAAAAUGAUCACCCCUAGGGAAUAUGUCUUCUCUUGAAUUCUUGAACCUAUCAGGGGACAAUUUCUCUGGUCUUUUACUGCCUAGAUUCAGCAAUUCCUCAAAAUUGAGAUAUGUUUAUUUGUCUAGAAAUAAAUUGCAAGGACCAAGCGCAAUAAAAUUUUAUGAUUCCUUUGAGAUAUUAGCCUUAGAUCUUUCCCAUAAUGAUUUAACUAGUAGGAUUCCAGAAUGGAUUGACAGGUUAUCUAACUUGAGAUUUCUACUUUUGAUUUAUAACAAUCUUGAAGGUAAAAUCCCAAUUCAAUUAUGCAAGUUCGACCAAUUAACCUUGAUUGAUCUAUCUCACAAUUAUCUUUCUGGUAACAUCCUCUCUUGUAUGAUAUUUACUCAUCCUUUCCCUAUUCAAUACAAUUCUCGUGAUUUUGUGUCCUUAUCACAACAACCUUUCGAGUUUACAAUGAAGAAUGUAUCUCUUUUUAAUAGAGGCAACAUUAUCUGGAAUUUCACUGGAAUUGAUGUCUUAUGCAACAAUUUCACAGGAGAGAUUCCCCGUGAAAUUGGAAGCCUCAGCAUGAUCAAGGUAUUGAAUCAUUCCCACAACAUUCUAACUGGACCAAUUCUAUCAAUAUUUUCAAACUUAAAGGAAAUAAAGAGCUUGGAUCUUUCCUACAACAAAUUGGAUGGAAAAUCCCAUCUUGACUAUAGAAUUUUUCAGUGUGGCACACAAUAAUCUGUCUAGCAAGACUCUUGCAAGAGUUGCACAAUUUGCCAUGUUGAAGAGAAUUGCUACAAGGGCAACCCUUUUCUUUGUGGAGAACCGCUACCCAAAAUAUGUGGUGCAGCUAUGCCACCAUCACCAAUGCCAACUUCAACGAACAAUGAGGAUCAUGGUGGCUUCAAUAAUCUGUUUGAAGAGAGCUGCUACAAGGACAACCCUUUUGCAUGUGAGCUUUAAGGUUGCAUAGAUCAUGGUGUUGUUGGUGAUAGGUGCAAUUCUGUACAUAAAUUCAUAUUGGUGACAAGCUUGAUUUCACUUUAUUGAGGUGAGCAUCAAUAAUUACUAUUAUUUUCUUGUGGAGAAUCUUUCCAUUUUAUCUAAGUUUGGAUUUUCAUAGCCUUUUAUCUUGAUGGUACUAAGCCUUGGUGCAUUGUUUUGGAUUUUAGUUUCAAGAUUUAAAUAAGUUUAUAUUGAUUUUCAUAUGAGUUUUGUUUUUGUUUUUAGCUUCUAUGUGAUAUAUAAUAAUCAAGUUUUUUUUUUUUUUUAAAGGUUAUCUAAGUUUUUUUAGCUGUUUUUUUUAUGCUUUUUAGGAUUUUUUUUUUUGCUUUUUUCUUUAUUUUUUUUAAUUAAUUUUUUUCGUUUAGUUUAGUUUGUUAAUGUUAAAUUUCUUUCUAUUUAGUUAUUAGACUUUCAUGACACAUAUCUCGAGUUUCACGGGUUAACCUGGUUUCACGGGUGAACCCAGUUAAUUCCGGGUUGACCCGUCAAUUUUUUAUUAUUAUUAUUUUCAUAAAUAUUUUUUUUUAAUUUAGUUUGUUAAUGUUAAUUUUUUUUUAUUUAGUUAUCAGACUUUCAUGACACAAAUACUGGGUUUAACAGAUUAACAUGGUUUGACGAGUUAACCCGAAUUUUUUUUCUUUUUAAUUAAUUUUUUUUGUUUAGUUCAGUUUGUUAAUAUUCACUUUUUUUUAUUUAGUUACCAGACAUUCAUGACACAGAUCCCGGGUUUAACGGGUUAACUUGGUUUGACGAGUUAACAUGAAUUUUAUUUUAUUUUUUGCUUUUUUUUUCUUUUUAAUUAUUUUUUUUCGUUUUGUUUUGUUUAGUUUGUUAAUGUUAAAUUUCUUUCUAUUUAGUUUUUUUUCUUCUUAGAGGUUUUUUUUCUUUUAUUUGUUAUUUUUAAUUAAUUUUAUUUAAUUAAUUUAGUUUAUUAAUAUUAAAUUUUUUUCUAAGUAGUUCUCGACUGAUGCCUUUAGUUUUUUUUUUAUGCCUUUGACUGUGAACUGCACAGUGCAGUCCACUGUGAAAAGGCUGAUGCUUUUUUUUAAUUAAUUUUUUUUGUUUAAUUUAAAUUGUUAAUGUUAAAUUUUUUUCUAUUUAGUUAUCAAACUUUCAUUACACGGAUUCUGGGUUUGACAGGUUAACCUGGUUUGACGAGUUAGCCUAGUUAAUUCUGGGUUAACCCAUUAAUUUGUUUUUUUCUUUUUAACUAUCAAGCUUUCACGAUGCAAAUUCAAUGUAUGACGGGUUAACCUGGUUUGAAGGGUUAACCCAAUUAAUUCAUUUUUUUUUUCAUUAGUUUUUUUUUCCUGUUAGUUUUUUUUUAACUAAUUUAUUAAAUUAUCACACUUUUAUGACACAACCUUGCAGCCAGACCCAUGUCCAAUGUUAUUGGGUCUGGUAUUGCAAUCCAGACAUUUUUAUGCUAAGGGUUAACCCAAGUUUAAUGUUAUUAUUAAUAUUAUAAACAUUACUCUUAGAUCAGGCGUUGCAACCAAACCUGAGACUCUUGGGUAUAACUUUGUAAAAAAACCUAAUACUUUUAGAUCUUAACUAUUUUUAAAAUGCAAAAAAUAAUUGACCUGCGGCAUCGCGCGGGGCAUGUAACUAGUAGAUUACUAAAGGGGAUCGAUUUUGAUUAUGAUUUGGUGUGGGAAAUUCUCUGCGUGCCUACAUAGAGUGUGGCUUCUUGAAACUCCAAAAAAUAUAUAUAGGUGUUUGCCUAAACCAGUAUUGGGCAGAUAAAGAUAAGCCAGGAUUGCCGAGGAAGAGGCUGUUCAGGUAGUCCGAACAGGGAUCUAUAAUCAUUAGUUAUAUAAUCAACCCUAAUCAGAAUUUCCCAAGAAAGAAUUAACUAAAGACUUCAGUUAAUGCUGAUGAACACGAGUAAAGGAUUUGCUAAAGACAAAACCAUGUAUUUAAGAACCAUUGCUAAGCUACAGGUUCUGGAGCCACAAACCACUCACAUUUACUGGGGUUGAUCCCAAAUUGAGACAAAUCUAUUUGUCCGGUUCGGAGAACCUUCAAACAAAAAGAAGAGUUAAACCUUGUAAAAUUGACUAUAUAUCAUCAAAAGGACAAGAAACACACAGGAAACCUCAUAAUUACCUCAGAAUGCACCGACGUAAAACACACAGGAAAUCCCAACACAUCAUAAGACAACAAAAGAAAACAUAUAUUUAGCAGAAUAAAAAGGUUGUACAAUUCUUUCACAGCUUACAGUACGUAUAGAAUAAGCAUUAAUAAUUACCUUCAUCUGGAUCACCCGAACUACCUGCAACAUGUAUCAUCACAUCACGCGGGCCACCCUAAGUACAACAAACAAGGAUAUGGUCACUUGCACUAUCUAAGCAGAACACACCUCCAGCACCAAUAUUACUCAGGAUUCUUUGCAAGUCUUCCAAUUUCACUGGUUCUGAUGAAGAGUUUACAUCACUCAUUACUUCUGCACCAAGGUCUGGGACAACUGAGUUUCCAGUCCUGAGAGCGAUGAGCAAAAAUCUCAUCGGAAUAAAAGAAAAUGGCCACGUAAUAUAUACCUGGCCAUUUGUUUUUGGUAACAAAAGUGCUCCUUAACCUUUUUGAAGUUAUUUUAGAAUGAAUUACAAGCAUUAAACAUUUAUAUAUAUGGACAAACACCGAGUUUAUGCAAGUCUGUGCAAGGGCAAUAUGGGGUGAAGGAUUUGACAUGGGCUAAGGUGGGUGAGAUGUUUUUGUCAAGAAAUGAUUUUGGAAAAUUUCUUGAUAUUUCAUGAAUAAAUAAGAUAUGAGUCUUUAUCAAGGAAAGAACAUAGGCUCUCCAAGAUGAUUGACCAGAAGGAGAGAAGGGAGGCUCAUUCUGCUCCACUGACUCUUAGUCUCAAAGAACAAAAAAUUACAUAGCUCUAUAUCCUUACUCUUACUUGCUAUAUCAACUCUUAGAGUUGAAGUAUCAUCUUUGACUAUGCUUCUUUGUUAUAAUAAAUAUACCUUGAUGAGAUAUUAUCUUCAAGCAUGUCUUCAAAAACUUGGAAAGGAGUAGAAGCAUCAGGCUCUUCUUCAUCAACUACACCAAAUUGUUUGCAUUUAAGAGAUCGGGGGAGGGGGGCAGAAGAUUAGACUUUGCAUUUAAAUAUAAGCCAAGAUGAUUAGGAACAAAAUAAUGACGAGUAGCAUGGCUAACAAAGGACUCAAAACACAAAAUUGUUUACCAAAUGGACGAUUAAUAUAAUAGUUGAAAGAGCUACAUAAUUGUGAAUCAUCUUUAGCUUUUGGCUCCUGCAAACAUGUUACACAAUUUUCCAAAAUCAUGCAGCUAACAGCUGAGUCAAUGUUACACAUAAGAGAGUGAAAAACGCAGAAAGUGAACCUGACCUGCACCCAAAUGAAAAACUUUCGAUCAUCUGUAUUGAAUUUCAAGAUGUAAACUCUUCCCAAAGCUUGAUUAACCUGAAUAACCCAAGGAAUUAUGAAUCUAUGAUAUUACAAUCAAUUAUUAGAGUCAAAUAUCUUCCAUCUAAGAAAAAACUAGGAGAGAAAAGUGUACCUUCUCAAAAACAGCAUCUUCAGAAAAAAAUAAUAUGAUCCUGUCAAUCAACGCGUCAAGAAAAAGCUACCAAAGUUCUCACCUCAAAAGAAUAUUAACAAAACAAACAACAGAAAAAAAAAUAAAAACCAAAGUUGGAAGGGAGAAACAAAAUCCCCAGGCUCAAAAACAUAAUAAUAACUAGGAUACAUCUUCCACAGCAUUCAAAUUCCUAUCAAGCCACUGGAAAUGAAGCAAACCCUCAUCACCCUGGAACAAUUCAAAAAUUUCGACUUCAAACAGGAAACAAGAUGCUAGAAACACUCUAUCUAGUACUUAAGAUAAACCAAAACAAUAGAAUUAACUAAAAAUCUUUACACAGACACGAACUCUAUAUAACACAAAAAAAAAAAACCAAAAGACACCAGUUUACCCUUCCAAUGCGAACAAGUCCUUUUCGAGAAUCAGGAACAAACUUUUUUCCAACGAAAACCAUUUUACCAGCACGAAACUCCAACAUAAUUUCCUACCAACAAAACAACCACAACACCAUAACAUAACCCCACCAAGAAAAACAUACUUGUACAUCCAACAAAGCAAUUACAGGCUCUAAUUAAAAAGAAACAGAGAUUUUAAGCAAAACCCACAAUUUUAAAAGUGAUUUUAUUUACCUGCAUUGCUGAAAUAUCUACAGUUGAUGAAGAACCCAUUUUUCGCAUACUUCCUCUAAAGCUUCCUUUUUUUCAACACUGCAAAAAACAAAAAACAAAAAAAAGAAGGACAAAUCAAAUACCCAAAUCAGAAACAAUAACAGAAAAAAAAUAAAAGAAAAUCCAAAGCUGGAAGUUGUAAUCAGGAGGAGAACCAGACAAUUUCAGAUAGAAUGACAUUUUAUCAAGAAUUGAACUGGGCAUUCAGUUAAUUAAAUAGGUUGUAAUCAGGUGAGAGUAGUGUCAACAACAUGUUUAGUUUUCCUCUCGGAAGUGCCAUUCUGCACAAGUCAGUGUUUUAAAAAUAUUUUUAAAAAAAUUUUAAUUUGUUUUUUUAGUGGUUUUAAUUUAUUUUCAUGUAUUAAUAUUAAAAAUAAUUUUAAAAAAUAAAAAAUAUAUUAUUUCAAUUUAUUUUAAAAUAAAAAAAACUUAAAAAAUACUGUUAACACAGUAUUAAACAAACUCUAAUCCUAUAACCAGAUGAACAACGUUAAGAUAUUUGUUUUUUGUUUUUCUUUUUUUUGAUAAUGAGACUGUCGUAAACAAUCUUGCCUAAUGAUUGUUAAGAAAUGAAAGAGGCAAUGCAUGGCUAAACCAAUGGAAGCUAAAAAGCUAAUGUUAUCCCUAGUAAGCAAUUGUUGCCGCAAUGACAUAUGCCUCGUUAGAGAUAUAUUUGAAUUUACAUAUUAUUAUUAUCAUAUAUUUUGUAUUGUCGUUUAAAAAAUAAAUAUUUUCCUUAUAUAGAGUAGAAUGUUUUUAAUUUUAUCAUUUAAAAUUUAUAUAUUUUUUAAAAAAUUAAUACAAUAUACAGUUAAUUAAACAUCUAUAAAUUAAUAUCAUUGAGAACAUGAAAUUUAUUAAUUAAUUAAGAUGUUAUUUAGUAAAUAAAUUUAUACACUUAUACAUUAAUCAAUAAAAAAUUUUCUUUUUCAAAAACAUUGAACUCAAUACAUGCAUCGUGUAUAAUAUUAUCUAAUCAUCAAAUUAUGAAUUAUCAUAAUUCUAUAUAUUUAUUUAAAUAAAACAAGUUCAAGAAUUAAUGUAAUCAAUCUUAUUAAUUAAUAAAAUUCAUGUAUGUAUUAACAUACAAGCAAAAAAUCUAUAAAAAGAAUAUACAAGUGAGCCAAACAACAAUAUAUAUUAAAAACGAACAAGAGGUCGAAUUAAUAUCCAUUAACUAAUAGUAAAAUUAAGAAGAUGAUACCAAAGAGACACAAAAUCACAAAAAAGCAUUUAACAUUUCAGAGAAAGAAGCCUGCAACACCCAUUAAGGAAAAGAGAGAAGGGAAAGAAAUGUGGAUUAAUUCAUACAGAGGCUCACCUUGUUCCAGACCAGCGCGAGACUGUAGACGAACCAAGAGCAAAAAAUGCAGGAGAGAUAAUCAUGAGAGAAACAAAUUCAUAUAUCCACGAAUAUGUACAAUAUUUGAAACCUAUAAUGCAAGAAUAGCUGCAGAUGUACAUUAAUAUUUUUAAUUUAAAGAAUCAAUUAAUUAUUUAAAAAACUUGAGGGAUUAAUUUGUUUGUUUCACAAAAAAUAGACACUGGUUAUAUAAAAUUUUACUUAAAUUUUUAUCAUCAUAUUUUAAAAGAAACCAGUUUAUGUUUUGCGCAACACGAAAAAUCAUAUAUGCUUAAGUAACUAUUUGGCAUCUUAAACUCAAUUUAGUAAAUUAAUUUUAAUUUUUUUCUAUCCGGCUCUUUUCCUAUAUCAAAUUUAAAAUUAACCAACAUAAAAAUUAUCCUCAAAUGAUACAGUCAAUAUGAUAGGUUUACAAAAAUAUAUUAAAUUGAUUCUAAUUUCAUGGCUUAACUCUUCAAACCCACUACUCGAAUAAUAGACUCCAUCUAGUUGUAAUUAUUAUUUUGUUUUUUAAUUAUUUUUUAUUGAAUAAUAUGAUAACAAUAUCAAUUCAAAAUCAACUAAAUAUUAAAGGAUAAAAUAAAAAAAAUAAAAAAAAUUCAAUAGAAAAAAAAAGGAGAAGAAUGGUAGAGUUUAAAAACAAAUAAACAAUAUGACGUCAUUGUUAGAGCACCUGAAAUUACUGUUCCUUUUUACUAUAAUGAUGAAGUUUCCACAUAAUAUAAAACAUGCUUAUAAAUUAAUAACCGAAAUAAAAAUUAAAUUGAGACGACAAUCAAUUCUUUAACUUUAAAACGAUUUAUUAACAAUAGAAUUGAGAAGGCCCGCCACAGAUCAAGAGGACAGCUUCAAUGAAGCCAUCCCAGCCAAUGCAGGUGAUUACCCGUCGGUUGAAGUCUCAUCGCGCGCCUAGCACCAGCCAAACCGCCUCAAUCUGAACAUGCACCAGACAAAGUUCAUGAAAAGACGCCAGGGAGCCUCAGCAGCUGAGAAGAAAGUGCGGGAACACCCACCGCACGAGAAGAAACGUGAAAAGCAGAGAGGGAGCGCGGUAAAGAUUGUCAAGCCACGGGAUUCACACACAGUGCACCGAGUUUUAAUGAGCACUCUUAGUUUUUUUUUAUAUAUAUAUAUAUAAAAUUCUUUUAGUUUUAGUUUUAGUUUUAGUUUGUUAGUUAUGAACAGUGAAGCAGCACCAGAAUACAGUUCUUUUAGUUUGUUAGCGAAUCUGGAAAAGAAUAAAGUCAUCUGUCAAGCUCUGUUCACUUUGGUCCGACAUUCCUCACCUCUCCCCACCUGAGCUCUCUCUCUUUCCCUCCUCCGCUUUCAGAAACCGCCGCCGCCACCACCUCAACCAAUAAGGCUUCAAAUCUCACCCAGAUGCUUCCUUUUCUAUUAUGUUUUUGUUUUUUAAAAUUUACGUCUGCUUUUUCAUUUAUUUAAUUGAAAUUACUAUCCAGAGAGAGAAAUUCGAUUUUAAUAAGUAAAUUAAAAAGAUAUAUAAUCGAACCCGAUGAAAUCGCUGCUCGUGAACGCAACUCGAAGAAAGGCGCAAUCAGCCGACUAUACUAUGGGUGGAGCAUUUAAUAUGGUCAGGGUUAUUGUGUUGUCUAUUCAAAGAAAGAUGUGCCUGUAAAUUUGUUAAGUUGAUUCUUAUCAGUCUACUCUUUAGAGUUGAUGAUAACAUGAAAUACUCGUUGUUAAUGCUCGUUGUUUUCUUCUUCUUUUUUCCUAGAUUAAAACAUCCUAGACAAUCUCUUUGGGAUGGUUUAGUAUUUCUGGCCUCUUCAUCUUCUAUUUGUGCUAUGGUUUUUAGUCUGCUGAUAUUGUUGAUAUUCAUUGGGGAUUGAAAGGCCUCGUUUUAUGACUUUGUUUUGUCUUCUUCUUAUUUCUUUAUUCUUUUGGGGAUGCGGCAUUUUCCUCUUUCAGAGAAAUAAAUAUAUACAUAAAUAACAAGAACAGGACGGGAAGGAGAGGGGGUUUUGACAAUAAGUAUUUGCUUAGAAGGGAAUGCUUCUUUGGUUUAGAAGCACCAUGAAGAUUCAGGCCCAAAUCUUUGCUUAGAAUGCCCGAAAUAAAUAUAUCACACACUUCUUUUUUUGUUUUUUGUUUUUCAUCUUUUCAUGUGUUUCUCACAAGACGUCACUUUCUUGCUUUUCUUUCGAGAGAGUAUUUGAUCCUUUUUUUGUAUAAAAUAAUGCUGCCAUUCAUUGAAUUUCCAAACAUCUUACCUUUUGUUUUGUUUGUCGCAUUGUUAUCAAACUCUUUUCCAUUUUAUUGCGGCAUAUUGCUACGUGUAUGGCAUGCUUUAAUCAAAAAGUUGAGUAAUUGAUGAAUGUUAGGCAAGAAAAUUACAGAUUAUUUUUGUUUUCUGCCUCCUCCUUCUCUUUCCCCCACCCCGAAAAUUGUCAUAUUUUUUUUUCAGCCGCCUCUUCUUCCCCCAACCCUAAAAAUUGUUUAUAUUUGCUUUGGAAGCAUGGCAAACUUCACUGCCUCUCAGCUUAAGGAGAUUGCAGCAGGUCUCGAAGCUUCUGGGCAUCAAUUUAUCCGGGUAUUUAGAAGAAGAAAAAAAAGAGUCAAGAAGACAAGGAAGAUUGUUUACCUCAAGGAUUUGAGGAAAGAAUGGAAGGCAAAGGGCUAUUAUCAGAGGAUGGACACUCCAAGUUUUGAUUCUUGAUCAUGAAGCAAUAAGUGCAUUUGUGACUCAUUGAGGAUGGAACUCAACUCUUGAAGGCAUAAGGCCAAUAUGUGCUGAGCAAUUCUAUAAUGAAAAGUUGGUGACUGAUGUUUUAAAAAAUGGAGUUAAGGAAUGGCCUAGAGUGCAUGGAGAUCAUGUUAAAAGUGAAGCUGUAGAGAAGUCAAAUUAUGAUGGGUGAAGAAGCAGAGGAAAUGAGGAGUAGAGCAAAGAAGCUAGGAGAAACGGCCAGGAAGGCUGUUGAAGAAGGUGGAUCUUCUUGCUCUGAUUUCAAUGCUUUGAUCGAAUAACUGAGGUGGGGUCGCCAUUGAAACAAAGGCAGAAGUAAGUGUUGUCACUCGUGCAUAGAAUAUUUUGUUUCUACUUAGUAGUGGUUUUGGCAAUAUAGACAAGUCUUGAGAGUUGAAAGAGUAAUCACAGCCGAGUCAAUGACCAGUCCAAAUCAGUUCCCUUCCUACUAGUUCAGGAAUGACAAGUCCAGCUUAUAUAUUUAGCCCAAAUAACUAAUCAAAUAGAAAGGCUGAGCUUAGAGGCAGUACACUACAAAAUAAGUACCCAAUGUCUUAGAGACAAACAAUCAUCACAAACUAGGAAAGACCGUCUCCCCAGUAACAAAUUCACCUUCUGAAGUUGGAGAACUUGCGAAAACUAGCCACCACAAAAUAGUAGCAAGUAUCUAAAUUAUUUCCAGAGAGAUCUAACUGCUUCAAUUCACACCAACUUGUAUAAUUUAUCUCUAAACAGUCAAAAUAGUGUUAAAAGAAUCUUUUAUUGAUGAUGUGAUUAUAUUUGUUAAUUUACCUUGAGCGGGUAAAGUGACAUAGAGGUCACAUUCACCAAUAGACAAAACUUGAAGAGCAGGCAAUGCUCCAAUGUUAUGGAAAAAGUUUAUUAGGAGAGAAGUACGAUCUAGAUACAAUUCUUCAAGGGUGCUAGAAUUGAAGAAAGUCCCUGUAAAAAAGAAACAAAAAGAAAAAAGAUAUGAUGAAAAUGGUGGUGGUACAUAAUAGGCAUUCCAUUCAAUAUUAUUAAUUAAGAUUUUAAGAAACUAAACUAUGAUUAACCUUGAUUUAAAUUAGUAUCCUUGAGAGAAAGGGUCUUCAGGGAUGGCAAUGACUGCAGGAAGUCCGGCUUCCUUAAACCUAUGAUGUGUACAAUUGAAAACAGGCAAUCAAGAAAGUAGUGAAAUUAAGUGCUAUCUUGAUUGAGUUUUUAAACCUAUGAUAAAGAACUGAUGUUGAAUAGUGAGAUGAAUUUUGGAUAGAAACAACAAAUUGCCUGAAAAAUCCAGAGAUUUCACAACUUUACCAUAGACAGUCGUCGAUCCUAGCAACAUAUCGCCUGAUAAAUUUAAAGACUUGAGAUAAGAAAAUCCACGCAGAUGUGAUAAAAUGUUGUCGUUGAAUAUAUUAUAGCUCAGGUCUAGAUUCUCGAGUUUCCUCAAAUGAUAUAUGAUCUCAAAACCUGCAAGAGAAACUAAAGAUAAUUAGAAUUGAUGAGAUGCUGUUGUUCAAUUGAUAUAUGAUUCUCAAAUUAUACAUACAUAUACACACACACACACACACACACACACAUAUAUAUAUAUAUAUAUAUAUAUAUAUAUAUAUAUAUAUAUAUAUAUAUAUAUAUAUAUAUAAUUGAUAUUUAUAAAAGCAUUAACUGUAGAGGAAUAUUUGGUACUUUGUUUCCCAAUAAAAAAUAGAUUUUUCUGCAAAGUAGCACCAAAAAAAAAACUGUUCAAAACUUAUAUAAGAAAUUAUACAGUUAGCGAGUCACAGAUGAUGAAUCUUAAAAAAAAUUGGCAAUAAUAACAGUACUCUAUUGCUAUUAAUUAACUUAAAUAUUCAAAACUUAAAAAUAGUUUUUAAAUUUAUCCAUGCCAAUUUAUCUUAAGAGAGUCGCAAUCUGUGACUAGUUAAAUUAUAUUGUUUCUGUAAAUAAAUUUUGAAUUGUGUUAUUUUUUGUUCUAGGUGCUAUUUUGCAAAAAAAAAAAAAACCUCCAAAUAAAAUAAUAAGAUUAACGUUUAAGUUGUCUAUUGUUCUUGGAUUUGUAGGUAUAACAACAGAAGAUAGCAAUCAAAAGCGAUGGUGACAUGGUAGAGCUUUGAGUUAUUGCUGUGUUCUAAUGAUGAAGAUGUAGGAAAACGAUCUCCCUUCUGCUGUCUGGAGCUGGGCUUCCUCUCCCUGUAAGAACAAUCAACAUCUUAUCUGCGUUGUUGUUAGUGGCCACUUCAUCGACCCAUUAGUGGGUGGAUUUUAAGCUUAAAAAGGAUUUUUUUUAUAAAAAAAAAAAGGGAAGAGAGAGGGGGGGCGCAUCAUCACGUGAAAGCAAGGAGCUUGCCACCCAUUAUAGAGUGUGGGGCACUCUUGCAUCUAAGAAUAAAUGAUCCUGAGGUUGUUCUGGUGAUGGGUAUUGGCCAUUACAUAAAGCUUCGACAAGCCCUUUUAGCUGCCUGUUAUUAGAAUUUGUAUAAUGAGCAUUCAAACUUAAACUUCUUUAAAUGGGAUGAAAACGAGUGAAAAUCAAGAAGUUGGAGGUGUUCAUCUCUAAUGCAUAGCUAAAGAUCCUUUGUAAGAAAAUACAGCUAAAGACAGUGUGUGUGUGUGUACCAGAGAAAUUGUCGAUAAUAGCCAUCAUUUUCUUUGUCUCUUGUGUCAUAUCUUCCAAAAAUCUUAAAGUAAUUGAUGAAAAAGUGGAUACACCUCUUUGUCUUCUUUAUAGCACUGCUGGCCACUGUGAGUUAAAGCAUUAAAAGGUCGUGAACGCGGAUGCUUGACGAGCGAGUGUUUACUUGUUAAUUUUUUUAGAAGGAAUCUGGAAAAGAAUAAAGUCAUCUAUUUCACUUUGGGACAACAUUCCUCACCUCUCCCCGCCCUCCCUCCCUCCCUCUUCCGCCUCUCGGAAACCGCCGCAUCCAAUAAGGCUUCAGAUUUCUGCCAGGUGCUUCCUUUUCUAUCAUGCUUUUGUUUUUAAAAUUUAUGGGUGUUUUCAUUUAUUUUAUUGUAAUUAUUAUUCAGAGACAGAAAUCCAUUUUAAUAAGUAAAUUAAAAAAAACAAAUAAGCGAUCCGAUGAAAUCUCUGCUAGUGAACGCAAUUCGAUUUUAAUAUGUAAAUUAAAAAAGUAUAUAAUCGGAUCCGAUGAAAUCGCUGCUCGUGAACGCAAUUCAAAGAAACGCACAAUCAGCCGAUUCUAAUAUUUUCUUUUUCAACCCCACCCUAAUUUACAUGAUAUUAUCCGAUUUUUCUCACAGUUAUUGUUGUAAUAAUCAAGCCCUGAAUUCUUGAACCCAAAUUUAUUUUAUUUUAUUUUUUAGUUUUAUUUUUAAGUGGAGAAUAGAAAUCAAUUCAAAUCUUUUAGGCUCGAUCGAUAAUUUGUUAAUUAGUUUAUGCAGCAGCUGGAGUGGAAGAGAUAUUACUGCCGGAAUGGCCGAAAAAUGAGCUGUUUGGUUGAUUCUUCUUUUUUGGAAUUUACUGAAUUCUUCAAAAUUAUUGUGUUUUUAACAACAAUACGAUAUCCUUGGGUUUCAUGCUCGCUCACACAUGGAAAAAAGAAAGAAAGAACAGAACUUUAAAUUUUAUAAUUUGGUCAAGUUAAUGCUCGUCGUUUUCUUCAUUUUCCUAGCUUAAAACAUCCUAGACAAUCUCUUUGGGAUGGGUUAUUGUUUGUGGCCUCUUCAUGUUCUAUUUGCUGGGGUAUUUAGAGUACUGCUGAUUGAAAAGCCUUGUUUUAUUGCACGUUAGAAAAGUUAAUACAUACAUAAAUAACAAGAACAGGGGCCGGGGGGGGGGGUGUUGGGGUUUGACGGUAUGUAUUUGCUUGCGAGUAAAAAUUGGUAAGCACUUGAAAAAGGUCCUGUGCUGAAUCUAAAUUGGUAAGAUGUUAUAUACUGAUAUCUAGAAAGAUAACUUAAUCUAUCUAUUGAAGUAAAGCAUUUAAAUACGUAUACAAUGUUUUUGGAAUAUUAAAUAUCUAUUUGAUCAGAAUCUGUGAACCUCUAAAACCACAAUGAAUACAAAUGCAAGUUUGUCAUUGUAAACAUUGCAUCGAUGAUGUAUCACAAGUGUUGCUAGAAAACAUCAAGUUAAAAUUGAAGCACCAUGAGUUUCUCUAUGGCUUGGUUUACCAACACUCACCAUCUGUUGGUGCGGCAAGUUAUGAACUAGCUGGCUAGUUUUUUGCUUCCUUGGUUUUAGAAGCACCAUGAAGAUUCAGGUCCAAAUCUUGCUUAUAAUACCCGAAUACCCAAGAUCCUAGCACCUUGCCUUGAAUGGUCGUGUAUAUUUGUUAUGGCUGUUCAGAUUUUAUGCAUCCAUAUUUGGGAGAAUUCUUUAAUAAAGUACAUGCUAUUAGAUGGAAGUUCUCUUUAAAUCUAUUCAAGUCUGAAUAAACUGAUAUUCCAAUUUUCAUGACUUUGAUGUGCUCUUACUCUUCUGCUGUUCCUGACUUUCUUUUUAAGGUCUAUUCUAACGUGCAAUAUUAUUUAUUUAUUUAUUUAUUGUCAUGAUAGAAGUGAUUUUUUUUGGUUGGCCAAAACCCCUUGGAUGCCAAUAAUUGGAGGUCCACUGCCCCAGGCGGAGAACAUGUCAUUGACACGGGUGAUUGGAGAAUUCAAUUGCAGCCUGACUCACGGAAAAGAAUAGUCGACAAAAUGUAAGUACGUGUUUCCUAAUAUGUGCAAGUGCUGCAAAAUAGUAAAUUUUUUAUUUAUAUGAAAGAAAAGUAGAAGGGCAAAAGGUUAAUUAAAAUUAGCUGGACUGCCAUGAGGCAACCUCAAGUAUCACACACCUCUUUUUUUUGUUUUUCAUCUUUUCGCUUGUUUCUCACAAGAAGCAAACUUGAGGGAACGUAAAGUGCUGGGAAGUGAUUUUUGUUGGAACUUCUUGUGUAACAUCUUCUUUUGACGAUGACCUCUUGGAUGGCUGCAUGAAGCUUGUUCCGCUUUAAAUUUCAAGGUUAAUCUAUUGCUAUGAGCAUUGGUGUUUCAAUUUCAACCUUGAGUUGCAACUGAACUUAAAUGAAUAGUGUUGGAUUUGGGCCUUCUAUUUGCUUUAACUUCUACAGGAUUGAAAUGAUAGUGAUCUUAAAGUAGAAAAGCAGCAGACAAAAAUCAAUUAGCCACAAUAGUGUAUGGUUUCCUAGUUUCUCAGUAUAAAGUUGAAUGUUUUGGUGAUAUCUCCACAUCCAAAAUCAUAUAGACAGCUACUGUUGGCACUUGCAGUAGCCAAUGAGCACUGUAGAGUAUAUAUAUUGCAGCGUGAGAUAAGGUUAACUCAUUGCAUUUUCAUAAAUUAAAGGGAUUUCUCUUCUUUUCUUUGUCAAUUACAGUGCAUGUAUAAAAGUUUUCUACAGUGCACUGUAGAGUAAAUGCUAUUGUAAUGUUUUCACAGAGUUCCCCUGGUUUGCAACUAAUGCACUUAUAUAUCUUGGAGCAUAGCCAUAGCCAUAAAUGAAAGGUUCUUCUGGUUCAAGAAAAUUAACCAUGAAGCUCGUAACUAGAAUUUUAGACAGAAGGUUGGCCAAGUAAACUCUUACCUCUGGAAUAAUACGGGGAAACGAAGUAAAAAUAGAUGUCUGUAUUUUGAUGCCAUUUAUUACUUUACUAACACUCGGCUAUAUCAUUAUUUGUUUUUACUUUUUGCUAAUGAUUUUGUUGUAUACAUUUCUGAUAUUAGUGUGGUGUAUGAGUUCACAGUUUUUUCUCACUACUGCUAACUUCUCUAUACCUGCCUUGUCAUUAAAAAUUAAAUGCAAUGUUUUACAUGUGCAGAAUGGAGACAUUAAAGAGGCAUCUUCCGUUUUCUGGUCAGGAGGGAUUACAAGAACUCAAGAAAAUUGCCGUACGGUUUGAGGAAAAGAUUUAUACUGCCGCCACCAAUCAGGUAUUCGGCUAAUGCUAGGUUCAAUAAUUUUGAUAUUCUCUGGACAUGAAUAUACACAUGCAUAAGUUUGUGGAUUUAUGCAUGUACACGUGUGUGUAGUGUGUCCACACUUCCUCACUGGUCAUUCUGUAGAAGUUCUUAUCUUUCCGUUAAUUCUCUUGACAAGUGUUUUAUUUAGAGUGACCAAGGUCCUUUUCAAGUACAAGGGAAGUGUGCAAAAAGCAAAUAACGAAUCAAUACAUAAAUAAUUAAAUAAAAAGAGGAGACACAGAAGUAUAUCCUCACAGAAGAUGCAAAUACAGAAAGCCUAGCAUAUUAGAAAGAGCAUAUAUCUCUUUUCCCCCUUCUCUUGUAACAUGGACUGCUCAGAGAUCUAAUGUUUUGUUAUUGAUAUCUGAUUUCAGUCUGAUUAUCUGCGUAAAAUAUCUCUGAAGAUGCUUACAAUGGAGACCAAGUCUCAAAAUACCAUACCCACUGGCAAUGGUAACAAACCCCUGGAUCCAGGAGGUAAUAAUGCAGCCAAGCAUUGAAUUUCUAAACAUCCUUACCUUUUGUUUUAUAUUUUGCAUUAUUAUCAAACUCUUUUACAUUUUAUUGCUGCAUCCUUACUCUUUUACCAUUAGGGAAAUAAUUUCUAAAAAUUACAGAUUAUUUUUGCCCCCCCCCCCCCCCCCCCCCCCCCGCCAGCCCCAAAAUUGUCAAAUGGCACUUUUAUGCUUUGAGUCAAAACCACCUUAAUUAUUUCCCUCAUAACUUUAUGUGUGAACUGUCAUUGUUUCAUUUGUUUUUCUUGUUCAAUGCCUUCUUUUUUUCCUUUGACAUGGUUAUCCUUUUUGCCUUUUAUCUUGAACAGCAUCUCAUAGUAUGCCGCCUCAAGUUCACAACCAAGGGCAGUCGCUCCCUAUCUCAUUGUCCAGUAAUCAGCCUCAAGCACGUCAGCAGUUAUCACAAAACAUGCAGAAUAGUAUGUCAUCUAAUGGAGUUCAAAGUUCUGCUGGUUUACAAUCAGCAAUGCCUUCUGUCUCCAGUUUAACCCAGACUAUCGCAAACACUGUUGGACAGAAUGCUAACAUGCAGAGUAUCUCUGGUGUUUCACAGAACCCAGUUGGGAAUUUAAUGGGACAAGGGAUUCCCUCCAAUAUGUUUGUCAAUUCUCAGAGACAAAUGCCAGGCAGGCAACAGGUUGUUCCUCCACAGCAACAGCAGCAGUCCCAAAAUCCUCAGCAGUAUCUUUAUCAGCAGCAGAUACAACAACAGCUUUUAAAGCAGAAGCUUCAACAGGGAAAUCAUCCACACUCACUUGUGCAAUCUCACAUCCACCACCAGCAGCAGCAGCAAAACUUGUUACAGCCAAAUCAGUUGCAAUCUGGUUUGCAAACAUCAACUGUUAUGCAGCCUUCAAUGAUGCAAACCGUCUCUGGCCUUCAACAGAACCAACCAUCUUCUGUUCAACAGUCAACACAACCAAUGCACCAGCAACAUCCACAAUCAGUCCUUAGGCAGCAGCAGCAACAACCUCAACAGUCUGCUGGUAUUCAUCAGCAGCAAACACCAAUGAUGCAGCAGCCACUAUUGCCUCCACAACAGCAGCUAAUGGGGCAACAAUCAAAUACCACUAACAUGUCGCAAAAUCAGUUAAUUGGACAGCAAAACAUUGUUGGGGACUUGCAGCAGCAGCAGCAGAGAUUGCUAGGGCAGCAGAAUAACCUUCAAAAUCUGCAGCAGCAGCAGCAGCAGUUAAUGGCUCAACAAAAUAACCUCUCAAGUAUGCAUCAGCAACAGUUGGGCCCUCAAAGUAAUGUCACUGGUUUACAGCAACAGCAGUUGCUUGGAGCUCAGCCUGGUAACUCAAGCAUGCAAUCUAAUCAGCACUCUCUACACAUGCUGCAACAGCCCAAGGUUACGCUGCAGCAGCAAGCACAACAAAGUGGAAGUGCUUUGUUGCCGAAUCAAGGGCAGCAGUCACACUCACAGCUGCCACAGCAGCAAUUGAUGGCACAGAUUCAAUCACAGCCUGGACAGCUGCAACAGCAAUCAAAUCCAUUACAACGUGAUCUGCAGCAAAGGCUUCAAGCAUCAGGCUCCUUGCUUCAACAGCCGAAUGUGAUUGAUCAGCAAAAGCAGUUAUAUCAACCUCAAAGAGCCCUUCCAGAAACGUCCUCAAGUAAGUUUUUGUCAUCCUUGCAGCUUUCUAGCCUUGCUCCAACUUUAAUUUUGCAGCUUUGUGCUUUCAUGUUAGAUUAUAACAUAUUUAUUUAAAUUUCUUGAAAAUACAAUAAUGGUUCAAGUCAGUAAUGCUCUUUUUGGUAGCUUUAUGAGCUACGGCUGCCACUUAUGGCAUCAGAAAUGCCACUGCUAUUGGAGCCAUUGUAAUCACACAUACAUUUGUUACGACAUCAUGCCAUCCAGUGCAUUGCACCAACUAUUCACCUCUCAUAAUGGUUCAAGUCAGCAAUGCUCUUUUGGUAGCUUUAUGUUCUACUGAUGCCACUGCUAUUGAAACCAUUGCAAUCACACUCGUUUGUUACCACAUCAUGCCCUCCAGCUCAUCGCACCAAUUGUUCACCUCUCAUUUUGAAUUUAACAGACAUGAAUUUUAAAAAUAUAUGUAUAACUGGACAAUGCAUUUGACACUAGGGUAACUAAUCAUCAGCCAAUUGAUUUUUAUGGGAAGAAAGAAAUUAGCAAGUGGACUAACUCUGAGGCACUUAAGGUUUGGUGUGCUGAUAAAUCAUUGAGCCUUUUUUUUUAAUAUAUAAUGAUCACUUGUUGGGGGGGGGGGGGGGGGGGAAGCAUUUUAAAGGGUCUCUCUGUCUAUUUGAAUGAUUACAUAACGUUGAGAUGGAGUUCCUAGUACUCCAAGUCCAAAAAGGACUUGUAUUCCUAUGUAAGAAAAUACCAAUGGUCCUAUCUGGGAUAGGGAAAACCUAUUAAAGCUCCUUAUUCUUUAGGAACAAUAAAAUACUAAAUAGAAAUAAAACCAAGACCUACAAUAUUCCAUAAUUUUCAGCAAGUGUGAAAAUUACAGAAAUACCCUUGUGUGCAGAAAACAUUCAUAAAAUACAUGAAUUCUAAUCUUUUGUUGGCUGUAUCAAAAUUUUUGUAGCAUCCCUAGAUUCUACAGCAGAGAUUGGACAUGCAAAUGGUGCUGAUUGGCAAGAGGAGAUCUACCAAAAGGUAAUUUCUGUAGUUUACUGUUCAUUAGAUGAAGUUCAUGUAUGUCAUUGUCUUGCAAGAUUUCAAUGGAAAAGGUCUCCUGGAAUUUGGUACAAGGGAGUUUUAUUCAGCUAUGGUUGUGAUUAGUUAGGAAGCAUUGUAAGUUCCAUGAUUGCAGCAACUAAGAAACGAUAAAUUACUGAUAAGAUGAUUAAAGGUAAAUAAUCAGAUUUCUAGGUCAAGAGGGUUAUUUUCUUGGUACUGACACGACAAUUUUUUCUAUUGCAAAUCUCUCCCUUUCAAUUUUUUCCCUGUAUUUCCAUACAUUUAUUGUGUGGUGAAUUAUUAUUUUAUUAUUUCCAAUAAGUCCAAUUGACAAUACUUCUUACUGUAAUAGACAGACUUGAAAACAAGAGUGAACUGUUUCUGAAUAGUCAUCGUUAUAUUUGGUUAAGUGAACAGUUAUUUUCAGGAUUACAAUCAAAUUUGUUCUGAAACAUGUGACAAUGGAAGAAAGGAAAAUAAGUGGACCUAAUCCAUUGAAUCAUGACCAUGUCCAGUAUUGUUGAAUUUUAUAGAAAACGAGGUUGAAAUUCUGAAUCGUUUAAUGGCUGUAGUUGCAAUUCAUAACUGCAUAUUUGAUGAGGUCAAUUUUUUUGUGCCUGGGAGGGUACUAAAACGGGAAUAGGAGUGGUUGUUGAUAAUUAGGAUAUAAGGGUUAUAAAUCUAAAGUUAUAAGGCUAAGAAGUGUUUACCAAAGUCGUGACAUCCAUUGACUUGAGUUAGAACAAUAGAAAACAAUGGUGAGUAGUUUGCCGUGAGACAAAGUAACUGAACUUGACCAACCCCUGAAUCUUGUCUGAAGGGGUAACUACACAAUCCUUUGCAUGCAAUCAAUAACGAUAUUCUCUUUUGAGUUUUCGGCAUUGAUUCCACUUUGCUAUUUUUAUCUCAAACAAUAUAUGCUGUCCUCUGCCAUUUUAUUUAUUUAUUUAUUUAUCAAUUCUCUCAAGUUUGCUUAUGUUUCUUUCUGACUCUGGCACGUGAAGAAAUCAAGCAUAUGAUUGAUAAUGUCUUGCUGGUUAUAUGUACUUCCUAGAUCAAAGUUAUGAAGGAAACGUAUUUGCCUGAAAUAAAUGAAAUGUACCAGAGAAUUGCUACCAAGUUACAGCAGGUAAAUUGUCUUUGUAAUUUUUUCCGAUUUAUUUGCCCACACAUAUUCAUAAACCCCCACAGUUGAGCUUUUGUAUUAAUUUGUUUUCCCCAUCAGCAUUGCUUGUCACUGUAUCAUCUGCACUAAUUACCUCCCCCACCCCCAACCACCCCACAACCAUGCAUUGACACAGAAGAAUUGGAAUAGAAACAUUUUUUUCACUUAUGUUUUACUAGUUUUGCUAGAAAGGAUCAAUGCAAUUUUUAAUUCUCGUGUAUGUUAACUUUGCUUUCCAGCAUGACCCUCUUCCGCAACAACCGAAGUCAGAACAGCUUGAAAAGCUGAAGGUAUUCAAGGUCAUGUUGGAGCGCUUGAUAACAUUCUUACAGGUCUCUAAAAACAACAUCACACCUAAUUUCAAGGAGAAAUUGGGUUUCUAUGAGAAGCAGAUUGUAGGUUUUCUAAACCCAAGCAGAUACAGGAAGCCUAUUCCUAAUCUACAGCAAGGACAACCUCCCCAACCUCGUAUUCAACCUAUGCAGCAACCCCAAUCUCAAGUUCCUCAAUUGCAGUCCCAUGAAAAUCAACUGAUUCCCCAGUUGCAAUCAAUGAAUACGCAAGGUUCUGUACCACAGAUGCAGCAGAACAAUAUGUCAAGCUUGCUGCAUAAUUCCCUUUCAACUUUAUCUGGGGAUUCGACGUCACAAUCAAACAUGAUGAAUCCAAUACAACCAGGCUCCAAUUUAGAUUCUGGACAAGGAAAUGCACUGAGCUCAUUGCAGCAGACACCUGUAGGAUCUGUACAACAGAAUCUCGUGAGCAUUUCCCAACCAACCAAAGUUAACACAUUGUCAACACAAAGUGGGGGGAGUAUGCUGCAGCCAAAUAUUCCCCUUCAGUCGAAUUCCAAUAUGAUUCAACACCAGCAUCUAAAACAGCAGCAGCAGCAGCAGCAUGAACAACAGAUGCUACAAACACAACAGCUUAAACGAUUCCAGCAACACCAGAAUUUAAUGCAGAAUCAACAGAUGCAGCAGCAGCAAUUACACCAGCAAGCUCCGUCUCCUAUGCCAGGAGAUUCUGACAAACCAGUUUCUGGUAUUUCCUCACUCUUAGAUACUGGAAAUAUUGUACACCAACCAUCUGUUGCACAAGCACUGGCUCCAUCCCUUGCAAUUGGCACUCCUGGGAUAUCUGCAUCACCUUUGCUUGCAGAGUUUACCAGUCCUGAUGGUGCUCAUGGCGGUGCUUUGACAACUGUUUCUGGCAAGUCAAAUGUUACAGAGCAAUCACUUGAGUGCUUGAUUAAAGCGGUUAGUGAUGCUCUCCUUUUGGUUUUACUCCACCCCACCCUUAUUUUGGAGGUUUCUGAAAAAGAAAGAAACUUCUUUGUGAAUGAGAUGGUGAUGCUGCAAUUUUUUUUCCCAGGUGAAAUCUCUGUCUCCCAAAGCACUUAGUGCAUCUGUCGGUGACAUUGGCUCCGUUGUCAGUAUGAUUGACAGAAUUGCUGGUUCUGCAGCUGGUAAUGGAUCUAGAGCUGCAGCUGGUGAGGAUUUGGUAGCAAUGACAGGAUGUCAUCUUCUUUCGUUUUUGUCUUUUUUAUUUUUCACGUGUUUCUCACAAGAUGGGAACUCGAGGGAAUAAAAAGUGCUGGGAAGUAAUUUUUGUUGGAACGUCUUGUGUAACAUCUUCUUUCGAUGAUGACCUUUUGGAUGGCUGCAUGAAGCUUGUUCCGCUUUAAAUUUCAAGGUUAAUCUAUUUCAAUUUGAAACUUGAGUUGCAACUGAACUUAAAUGAAAAGUGUUGGAUUUGGGCCUCUAUUUGUUUUAACUUGUACAGGGUUGAAGUGAUAGUGAUCUUAAAAGUACAAAAGCAGCAGACAAAAAUCAAUUAGCCACAAUAUAUAGUGUAUGGUUUCCUACUUUCUCAGUAUAAAGUUGAAUGUUUUGGUGAUAUAAUCUCUACAUCCAAAAUCAUAUAGACAGCUACUGCUGGCACUUGCAGUAGCCAAUGUUAACCAAAAUCAUAUAAUCUUAAAGUUGAAUGUUGUAUUUUCAUAAAUUAAAGGGAUUUCUCUUCUUUUCUUUGUCAAUUACAGUGCAUCAUAAUAAGUUUUCUUACUCAGUAAAUGCUAUUGUAAUUUUUUCACAGAGACUCCCCUGUUUUGCAACUAAUUCACUUCUGAAUAAAUCUGGGAAACAGAAAGGCAAUCAACAAAGAGUAAGGCAUCUUCUGAAGAAACAAAGAAAUUUAAUACCAUAAACUAAGCAGCACGUAGAAGGCAAAAACUGAGCACAAAUUUUCAGGAAGGGACAAACGAAAAAAACCAAAAAGAAAGCAAAGAAAAAUACAGACUCAAAUUCACAACACCCAUUUUCUUUCCAUUGGAACACUUUAAAUAGUUUAUUAAAUUUAUAAUGAUCUGAUUUCUACGCAUAUAAAAAAAUCAACUAAAUGAUCAAUUCUCUAUAAUUUCGGCAUUACUAAAAACAUCCAAACUAAUAAACAAUUAGUUAUUUUACUCAUUUUAAUAAACAUUUUAGUUAUGAAUUCACCAAACAUUUUGAACAAUUCAUAUUGAUGAAUUAACAUUUAAAUUUUAGAUUUUUUGAUUUAUUAUUUCCUUCGUGAGUUACUUCUAAAGUAUGCUAUAUAUCUUUAAGCAUUUUUAUAGAAUAUAAUUCUAUCAAAUUCACUUUUACCCAAUGCAUAAUAUAAAGUAUUCAUGGCUUUAACAUCCAUAAAAAAUAACUUUUUAUCAUUGUCCGUAUAUUCCCUUUUAGUUUUAGAAAUCUCAAUACCAUUUUUAAUUUGAUAGGUCUAGGAGAUCUAUUUUGUAUGGAUAGCCACAAAUUAAAAUCAAUAAAUUGAUAAUAAAUUAUCAUUAAACAAUUUAUUACUUGCUCUUUGGUAAUAAGAAUGUGAUUGUAAUAUUAUUUUGUAUGGAUAGUUUUAUCUAUCUAUUAUCUCAAUAACAAGAUUAACUUUGCAAUUAUAUAUCACACUUAUAUAAUCUCAAAUAAUAUUAAUUAAAAUGAAUCACAAAAAUUUAACACAGUAAUUCUGCAAAAAAAAUAAAAACAAUUUAAUAAACAAUUUAACUUUGCAAUUAUGUUUUUAUUUGUUUGUUUUUCUAUGAGACACAAUGGAAUUUUCAAUAGAAACUACAACAAUACAAAUAAUUACAAAUAUUUUUCUUUCAACAUCAACAUAAAAAAACAUUAUGCACUUUUCGAUACUUACGUAAUUCUAGGAUUAAAGAAACAAUAACAUCUAAGGGGGGUGAAUUGGGUGUUGCACUAAUUAUAUCAAAUAAUGGUGUUGCACUAAUUAUAUCAAAUAAUGCAAUAAUUAACAAUAUAAUUAAAGUGUUUAAAGUAAAUAGAUAAGGAAAUAGAUAUUACAAACUCGGUUUUUAAUGUGAUUCGGUAAGCCUACAUCUACACCUCAAGUACUAACCGUACUUGAGUAUUGUACUCUUUUACCAAUCCAAGUGAAAUAUACAAAUGCCCUUGAUAAAUCCACACCGAGAAAUUAUACCACUUGAAGUUUUUUCUCUUGGUGACAAUACAUCACUAAUGCUAGGAGUUUAUCCAAACUCACAAAUGUUUACAAUUAUAAUUUGUUUGCAACAAGAUUCACUCUCUCAUAAAGUAAAUUGUACAAUUGAAAACUAUAAUCUUUAUAACUCACUCGAUAGCACUCAAGAUGAUUGAAAGUGUGUAAAUAUAAUGAGUGUGAGACAUUAUACUCAUGUGUUAGAAUAUAAAGAUUUAAUUUAGCACAACUUAAAAGCAUGUUAUGAUUGAUGAUUUCUAAUUGAUUUUUUUUUAAAAUAACUUCUAUGUUAUAUAUGUUUGGAAUCUCUCUUUUAUUUGUUAUAUAUAUAUAUAUAAACUAAUUGUUUAUAGUUGUUGAGAUGUCUCUAACAGCUAAAGUAAUCUAUAUGCAACUUAAACAAAAGAAUUCCAAUUAAAUGGAAUUGCACUUAACAUGUAUUAUUUCAAAUGCAACAAUUGCAUAGAUAACAGACAACAAGGAAUUUAACAGAAGAUAUAUACACUUUACUUUUCCUACUAAAAUUAAACUAUUGGAAUUUAACAUAGUCAUAAUCAAUUUGUUCUUGUGAGAUUAUCUAUUACAUGUAUAACAAAUAUAUUAGAAAAUAAAUUGUUUUAAGAUUGUUAGAACACCUUAAAUAGUUCAUAAAAUUAUUGUUCCAUUUUACUAUAAUAAUCAAGUUUCCACAUAAUAUAAAUCAUGCAUAUAAAUUAAUAAUCAAAAUAAAAAUUAAAUUAAGAUAACAAUCAAUUUUUUAACUUUAAAAUAAUUUAUCAUCUAUUUUCUAAUACUAAUAGUAUGAUUGUAAUAUUAUUUUUUAAUUUAUUUAAUAAUUUAAUUUUGAUAGCACAACCAAAAAUAAAUAAUGAACCAAAAUUUAUAUGAUAUUUUUUAUAAAAAAUUUGAUAAAAAAAAUAUAAAAACAAAAAUAAUGUCUCAAUUAGAAUAAUUUUUUCAUUAAUGAGAAGGCCCACCACAGACCAAGAGGACAGCUUCAAUGAAGCCAAUGCAGGUGAUUACCCGUCGGCUAACAUCUCCUCGCGCGCCUAGCACCAGCUAAACCGCCUCAAUCUGAACAUGCACCAGACAAAGUCUAUGAAAAGACGCCAGGGAGCCUCAGCAGCCGAGAAGAAAGCACGGGAACACCCACCGCGCGAGAAGAAACGCGAAAAACAGGAGACGGAGCGCGGUAAAGACUGAAGCCACAGGAUUCACAUACAGUGAAGCACUCUUAGUUUUAUAUAUAUAUAAUUCUUUUAGUUUGUUAGUUAUGAACAGUGAAGCAGCACAAGAAUACAAUUCUCCUGUUUGUUUGCUGGAAAAUAGUUUUUUUUAGAAAGUGAAUUAUUUUCCGAUGUUUGGUAGUGUAAUGGAAAAUAAGUUAGAAAACAUUUUUCAGUGUUUGGUUAUGUCAUGGAAAAUGAGUUGGAAAAUAACUUAUUAAUAUUUUAUUUUUUUCAAUUUUAUUAAAAUAAUAAAGAAUAAAUCUUACAAAUUAAAAAGUUGAAUGAAAAUAAAAUUGAAAAAAAAUAUAAUUUCAUAAAUUAUCUUAAAUAAAAUAAAUAAUAAUCAAAAUAAUAAAAAUCAAAUCUAAAAAAUAAAAAAUUUGAUCGCUUCAUUAAUUUCUCGUUAGGAAAAUGUUGAGCUUCUCAGCAAUAUUUCCUUACCUUGUGCCGCUAACUUGACGGUAAAAUGUGAUUAAAGGAUCAAUUAAUUAUUUAAAUCAACUUGAGGGAUUAAUCUGUUUGUUUAACAAAAAUACAGACACUAGUUAAAUAGAAUUUAACUCAAAUUUUAAUCAUCAUAUGCGUGCGUGUGCGUGUGCGCACGCGUGCGAGCGAGGGUUUACUCGUUAAUUUUUUUAGAAGGAAUCUGGAAAAGAAUAAAGUCAUCUAUUUCACUUUGGUCCAACAUCCCUCAAAGGCGCAGCUGUGCAUCUAGUUAGGAAGAACAUUUUAUAACUCACCUCAAGGUCGAGCAUGGUCAGGGUUAUUGUGUUGUCUAUUCCGAGGAAGAUGUGGCGUUCAAUCCAUGUGAAUCGCACGACUUGUCCAUAUCUUUCUUAUUGAUUACAAAUAGCAUUGAGAAUUAAAGAAUAUUAUCUUAAUAAGUUCCAAUUUAUUCUACAAAACUAUAUAUAAAGAUGUGACAAAAAGAUGUAUACAAAUUAGUUAUUUAUUGUUUGUAAGUAUUAUUGUAUUGCAAAGACAAAAAUAAGAUGCAACUUAUGGCGUGGUCGUCCAACCUGGUUCUGGUUUUGAUCCUGUUCAAAAUCUAUUUUGUUGAAUUGUUGAUCUACUUGUGAGUUAUUGGGUUAACUAGAUCAAUUUUUUAAACAAAACAAUGCCAUUUUAAAAAAAAAAUUGGUUCUGACAUAGAAAUAUAAUAUUAGAAACUUAAACCUUAUUGAUUAGCAAAAACUCAAUGGGAAAUUUAGUUUUGAAAUAGAUUGUUGUAAAAUCAAAUAUGAAUUGAUAACCAGAAAGUUUGCUUAAAAUUGCAAUAACCUUAUAGAAGAAAGCAAACAUAAAUAGAAUUAUUAAAUUCAAUGGAGUUCAUAUAACCAGGAUCACGAGUUUAGCGAGUUAAGCCAUGAAACCCUAAUCGAUCAAAUAUGUCGCCGUUUCAAUUAAAAAAAAUACAUCUUAAAAAGAAUUAAGCUAAACCACGUUUCUACCUAUUAUCUGGGUUGUCUUUAGACUUGUCAAGUCGACUGAGCCAUAUUAGGACAACUUCCAUAUAAUUAAAUUUGAAACUCGAGCUAGAUAAGAAAUCAGGUCAGGAAAUUUUAAUAUUGAUUUGUUGAAUCGGAUUUAAUAACAAUGCCAAAGAUCUGAAUAUUUAUUUUUUACUCAAUUUUUUUUAGGUCCUGUUUGUUUGAUGGAAACAGUUUUUUUUUAGAAAGUGAAUUCCUGUAAAGUGAAUUAUUUUCUGAUGUUUGGUAGUGUGAUGGAAAAUAAAUUAGAAAAUAUUUUCCAGUGUUUGGUUAUGUUAUGAAAAAUGAGUUGAAAAAUAGCUUAUUAAUAUUUUAUUUUUUUUCAAGUUUAUUAAAAAAACGAGGAAUAAAUCUUACAAAUUAAAAAGUUGAAUGAGAAUGAAAUUGAAAAAAAUAAUCUAAUUUUAUAAAUUAUUUCAAAUAAAAUAAAUAAUAAUCAAAAUAAUAGAGAUCAAAUCUAACAAAUAAAAAAAUUGAAAGAUGAUGAAAUUAAAAUAAUAAUAAUUACAAUUUCAUAAAUUAUUUCAAAUAAAAUAAAUAACAAUUAAAAGAAUAAGGACCAAAUUUGAUAGAUAAAAAAUUUCAAUUAAAAAAAUGAUAAGACAAAAGCAAAUAACAAUCAUAAAAAUAAGGACCACAGUUAAUAUAAAAAUCAAAUUAAAUCAAAUUUUAAGGAAGGAAAUUAAAAAAAAAGAUUCAAACAAAAUAUAUAUCAAUUAAAAGUUUGAAGACUAAAUUUGAUAUAAUCAGCAAAUAAUAUGAUAUUUCUAAAUUUUUCACAACUUCUGGAAAAUGUUUUCCGUCCAAAAUAAAAGGAAAAUACUUUCCUGAAAAUCGAGUUAAAUUUUUCUUUGACUGUAAAGUGUUUUCCAUUGACCAACUUUUUUAAUGACAAACAAACACAUGAAUGUUUGGAAAGUGGUUUCUAGAAAAUUAUUUUCCAGGCAAACAAACACCCCCUUAAUUCAAUCACUAAAGAGUUAUCCAAGAAUAAUUAUUCUCCACUAGCAGUUGUUGCAUACUAAAUUUUUUUUGUCAAAACAUACAUGAUAGGUGGCUUCAAUAUCAAUCCACCAUUUUUUAGGAUUUUCCAUGAAGUUUACUUCUAAUAUAACUACAACAAGCUUAGUAGCUUUCUCAUCAACAUUCUCAAUCAUAUGCUAAGAAAUCAUGGUUUUGUUGAGCUUUGUUAUCAUCAUAGGCUUGAUGAUGGAAGGAUUAUUGCUUCAUCAUGCUUUAUAUUUAAGUUCACGCCACUCAAAUUAUUUUGGUUUUUUCCCCACAUGAAGAAUGUUUAGGAAUCGGGUUUGCCAUCUAAACCACAAAGAUUACUAGGUUAACAAGUACAUCGAAAUCAUUAACAAUAGUUUUAUCCAUCUAUUAUCUCAAUAAUAAAAUUAACUUUGCAAUUAUAUAUCACGCUUAUAUAAUCUCAAAUAAUAUUAAUUAAAAUGAAUCACAAAAAUUUAACACACUAAUUGUGCAAAAAAACAAUUUAAUAAACAAUUUAACUUUGCAAUUGUGUAUUUAUUUAUUUGUUUUUCUAUAAGACACAAUGUAAUUUUCAAUAGAAACUAUAACAAUACAAAUAAUUAUAAAUAUUUGUCUUUUGACAUCAACAUAAGAAAACAUUAUGCACUUUUUUAAAGUUACGAUAAAAACAAAUCUGAUUGAUACUUAUGAUAUUCUAGGAUUAAAGCAAUAAUAACAUCUAAUAGAGAUAAAUUAGGUGUCAAACUAAUUAUGUCAAAUAAUACAAAUAAACAUGCUAAACACAUAUAAUAUAAUAAUCAACAAUAUAAUUAAAAUGCUUAAAAUAAAUAGAUAAGAAAAGAGAGAUUACAAACUCGGUUUUUAACAUGGUUCAGUAAGUCUACAACCACAUCUCAAGUACUAAUCGUAAUUGAGUAUUGUAUUCUUUUACUAACCAAUAAUAUAUUAUUUCACCAGUAAUUAUUAUCCAAUAUGCAACUUUUUUUUCCAAUCUUCUGUUUUUUUUUUCCAUAUCAAUCCAACAAUAAAGAAAAUAACAUGUAACAUAAAAUUUCUUUCCCCGUAGAAUCAAUGCAACAAGUAUACAGAUACCACACAACAAACAAUUUAACAAGUCAUGUAAUUUAACAGAAGAUAUAUUUACUUUGCUUUUCCUACUAAAUUUAAACAACUUUUUUGUAAUCUAUGUCAACAUAUAAAACAUAUAUAUAAAUCAAUAAAAAAAAUAAAAAAUAGGUAGAGGUAAUGAUUAAUUUUUUAGCUUUAAAAUUUUUUAUCAUCGCCUCUUUAUGCUAGUAAUGUAAUUGCAAUAUUAUUUUAAAUUAAUUUAAUAUUUUAUUUUUGAUAACAUAACCAAAAAUAAACAGCGAACCAGAAUUUAUAUAGAGUUUCCUAUAAAAAUUUUGAUAAAAAAAAAUAUAAUAGAAAUAAGUUUAUAAAAACAAAAACAAUGUCUCAGUUAGAAUAAUUUUUUCAUUAAUGAGAAGGCCUGCCACAGACCAAGAGGAGAGCUUCAAUGAAGCCAUCCCAGCCGAUGCAGGUGAUUACUCAUCGGCUGACAUCUCCUCGCAUGCCUAGCACCAGCCAAACCGCCUCAAUCUGACAUGCACCAGACAAAGUCGAUGAAAAGACGCCAGGGAGCCUCAGCAGGCGAGAAGAAAGCGCGGGAACACCCACCGCGCGAGAAGAAACACGAAAAACAGAGACGGAGCGCGGUAAAGAUUGUGAAGCCACAGGAUUCACACAUAGUGCACCGUGUUUUAAUGAGUUAUAUGUAUAUAUAUAUAUAUAAUUAUUUUAGUUUAGUUUUAGUUUGUUAGUUAUGAACAGUGAAGCAGCACCAGAAUACAAUUCUUUUAGUUUGUUAGCGAAUUUGGAAAGAAUAAAGUCAUCUGUCAAGCUCUGUUCACUUUGGUCCGACAUUCUUCACCUCUCCCCACCUGAGCUCUCUCUCUUUCCCUCCUCCGCUCUAGGAAGCCGCCACCACCUCAACCAAUAAGGCUUCAAAUCUCCACCAGGUGCUUCCUUUUCUAUCAUGUUUUUUAUUUUUAAAAUUUACAUCUGUGUUUUCAUUUAUUUAACUGAAAUUCUUAUCCAGAGAGAUAAAUUCGAUUUUAAUAAGUAAAUUAAAAAGAUAUAUAAUCGGAUCGAUGAAAUCGUUGUUCGUGAACGCAACUCGAAGAAAGGCGUAAUCAGCCGAUUCUACUGUGGGUGGAGCAUUUAGUAUGGUCAGGGUUAUUGUGUUGUUUAUUCAAAGAAAGACAUGCCUGUAAAUUUGUUAAGUUGAUUCUUAUCAGUCUGCUCUUUAGAGUUAAUGAUAACAUGAAAUAUUCAUUGUUAAUGCUCGUUGUUUUCUUCGUCUUUUUCCUAGACUAAAACAUCCUAGACAGUCUCUUUGGGAUGGGUUAGUGUUUCUGGCCUCUUCAUCUUCAAUUUGUGCUGUGGUGAAAGGCCUCGUUUUAUGACUUUGUUUUGUAUUCUUCUUAUUUCUUUAUUCUUUUGGGGAUGUGGUGUUUUCCUCUUUCUAUUACACUAUUUACUCCCUACAAUAUUUAUUUUUUCAGAGAAGUAAAUAUAUGCAUAAAUAACAAAAACAGGAGGGGAAGGGGAAUGGGGUUUGAUAGUAAGUAUUUGCUUAGAAGGGAAUGCUUCUUCGGUUUAGAAGCACCAUGAAGAUUCUUUGCUUUGAAUGGCCGAAUACCCAGGAUCCUAGCACCUAGGCCUGAAUGUUUGUGUAUAUUUGUUAUGCAUCCAUAUUUGGCUGAAUUCUUUAAUAAAGUACAUGAUAUUAGACGGAAGUUCUUUUUAAAUCUAUUCAAGUCUGAAUAAACUGAUAUUCCAUUUUUCAUGUUCUUGAUGUGCUUUUGCUCUUCUUGUCGUUCCUGACUUUCUUUUAAGGGUCUAUUCUAACAUGCAAUAUGAUUUUUUUUUUCUUUUUGGUUGGCCAACUGUCCUAGGCGGAGAACCUAUCAUAGACACGGGUGAUUGGAGAAUUCAAUUGCAGCCUGACUCAUGGAAAAGAAUAAGCGACAAAAUGUAUGUGCAAGUGCUGCAAAAUAGUAAAUUUUUUUAUUUAUAUGAAAGAAAAGGAGAAUGGCAAAGGGUUAAUUAAAAUCAACAAGAUAGCCAUGAGGCAACCUCAAGUAUCACACACCUUUUUUUUUUUUCAUCUUUUAAUGUGUUUCUCACGAGAAGAAAACUUGAGGGAACAUAAAGUGAUGGGAAGUAAUUUUUGUUGGAAUUUCUUGUGUAAUCUCUUCUUUUGAUGAUGACCUCUUGGAUGGCUGCAUGAAGCUUGUUCCGCUUUUAAUUUCAAUUUAAAACUCGAGUUGCAAUUGAACUUAAAUGAAUGGUGUUGGAUUUAGGCCUUCUAUUUGUUUUAACUUCUACAGGGUUGAAAUGAUAGUGAUCUUAAAGUUGAAAAGCAACAGACAAAAAUCAAUUAGCCACAGUGGUGCAUGGUUUCGUAGUUUCUCAGCAUAAAGUUGAAUGUUUUGUUGACCUCUCUACAUCCAAAAUCAUAUAGACAGCUACUUCUGGCACUUGCAUUGGUCAAUGAAUACUGUAAAGUAUAUAUUGCAGUGUGAGAUAAGGUUAACUCGUUGCAUUUUCAUAUAUUGAAAAGAUUUGUCUUCUUUUCUUUGUCAAUUACAGCAAAUGUGUAGAAGUUACUCAGAGUAAAUGCUAUUGUAAUGUUUUCACAUACUCCCCUGCUUUGCAACUAAGUCACUAAUAUAUGAAGCUCGUAGCUAGAAUUUUUAGAUAGAAGGGUGGCCAAGUAAACUCCUAUAAUAUGUACCUCUGGAAUAAUACAGGGAAAAGAUGUCUAUGUAUUUUGAUGUCUUAUAAUACUUGACCAACUCUUGCUUAUCUUGUUGUUACCCAUUUUUUAGUUCACAUAAAAAUGAGAAAAUACAAAAAACAAAUAUCAAAAGAAAUCCAAAAAAUAAUAGGAGCGAGAAAAGGAUUGCUGGAAUGCCGAAAAAAAAAUGCCAAAAUUGGUUGAGGAGAUUCAAAAAUGCAAAAGGUUGAAAUUUGACAGUGAGAGUCCUGUUGAUGAGGAAAAUUCAAUUUGAGAAAGAAAAGUCCAAAAUCAGAUGUUUAUGGACUCAAUUAAAUUUUAUCCAAGGUUUAAUUGAAUUUAUAGAGGGUUUGAUUGCAAGAAAAUUGAUUUUGUAAGUCAAUUUAGGCUUUUAUCGGAAGAAAUUAAAGUUCUGGGGUCCAAUUAUAAUUUUAAAGAGUUGAUUUGGUCAAAUCAGGGGCUUAAUUGCAUAAUUAUUGAAGUUUGAUGGCCAAUUAGGGACUUAAUUGAAAUAAUUUGAGACCAAGGAUCAAACCAGAAAAGGCGCUAACAUUAAGGGAUCCAAUUACAAUUUUGUCAGGGGGGUUUGAUUAUAAAACAGCGAAAACUUCAAGGGCCAAAUUAGAAGAACCCAAGCGGCGCCGUUUCCACCAUUAAUGGUCUUCAAACAGCUGUGAAUCGGUGACGAUAAUGGAAGGAGACGUUAGCAGCAAUUAUGGAAAAUAUUCUCAAUUCAAUGGGGCUGGUAUCGCGGCUGACAUCCCUCGUCACCGUGAUGGGCGCCGGCUUACCAAUAUUGCUGGCGUCCUCUGGCUAUAAAAGCCAGAGGAAGAGCUGCACCAAAAAUAAAAGGAGGUGAGAGAGAGGAGAGGCUACAGUGAAGAAAAAAAAAGGGGAGUGAGACAGUUUAUGAGAACGUAAGAAAAGUGAGAGGGUGGAGAAAUAGCGAGCAAGCAUAAGGGAGAGAAGAGGAAGGAGAGAAAGAAGCAAACCGAACGGGAACAGAGGACACGGUGAAGCAGAGAACCCAGCACCACCAUCGUCUUCGUCUUCUCAAAAUCAGGUAUGUUCGAUGCCCUUCUCCGUUUCCUUGCAAAAUGAGAUGAUGCAUGUUAGUAUGUAAAAUACAGAAAGAAAAUAUAAGGAAACCGACACCAGAAAUCGCCAGUUACAAUGCUCUGUUUUGUUUUCCUUUUUCAUUCUCGCACUGCAACAAAGAUGGUUAACAGAGCGAAGGUAAUUUAAUUACCUUCGCCCUGUUCAUACAAGCCUAAAUAUAUUAUGGUGCCAUUAGAUAAAAAUAUGCCUUGCAGUCUAGAUGGUCAGCUUACCUGGCUCUCAUCCGAGAGACCCGGUUUCAAGUCCCAACAAGGGAAUUCCUUUUUGAAGGUGGUCACUGGCAUGGGCCAGUGACCAUGCUGGGCUAGCUGAAUCCAGCCCAGCUACGCAGGUUGGCUGGGGUCCAGCCCAGCCAUAUGGGCCGGGUUGGGCCCAGCAAUAAAAAAUAAAAGAAUAAAAAUAAAUAAAAAUUCAAAAAAAUUAUUUAAAUAUCUGUGAUUUUCCGUCAAUUUUUACUGCAUUUUAAUUAAUACGGUUUGUAUUUUUAUACUGUAAAGAUACAAAUCCGGUAUUAAAAUACCAUAUUUUGGUCCAAACAUUAAAAAAGAAGUUUUGUUUUCAUACAUACGGCUAAGUCUCUCAAAAAUAAAAAAUCAUAUUGUAUUUUCAUACAACAAAGAAAAUUUCAAAAAAUAUGUAUUAGCAUGCAUUUUGGCUUUAAUAACCAGUUUAUUAAAGUCACGAGAACUAGGCCAAUAUUUCAAAAAUUCUAAAAAAUUUAUUUUGUUUUCUUUUAAUAUCGGGGGCCGGGUUAUGAUCUUAUACGUAAGACGUGUUCCAGAUAUUAAAUUUUCUUUGUUGGCAUUAGACCGGUUAGGUUUUACCCGAUAAGAUAAGGAUCUCUUUACCGAAGAGAACUUUUCUUAAACCAUAAACGGACCAACAAAUAGAAAGCACAACAUGACCUUAGAUUUUAUCAGACAAUAAAACAAUGCAGCUUACCUUAGGUAGGGCGUAUUUGGGGUGCUAAUACCUUCCCUUUACGCAACCAAUCCUCGUACCCGAUCUCUGAGACCAGUUAGGGUUCCUAGUGACCAAAAUACUAGGUGACGACUUUCAUUCUAUUUUUUCACUGAUAAAAGACAAGAAUACCUUGUCUCCACACAUUUGCCACAUUUUUAGAUAAGAUAAGAUAGAAUUCGAGGGUGGAUGUUUUCGCCGCGACGCCGCACACGUGCGACAUAUCUCAUUAUUUGUUUUUACUUUUUGCUAAUGAUUCCACACAUUUCUGAAAUUGGUGUGGUUUAUGAGUUCAGGGUUCUUGCUUGCUGCUGCUAACUUCUCUAUACUUGCCUGGUCAUUAAAAAUGAAACGUAAUGAUUUGCAUGUGCAGAAUGGAGACAUUAAAGAGGGAUCUUCUGUUUUCUAGUCAGAAGGGAUUACAAGAACUCAAGAAAUAUGCCAUACGUUUUGAGGAAAAGAUUUAUAUUACCGCCACGAAUCAGGGUUCAAUAAUUAUGAUAUUCUCUUGACAUGAAUAUACACAUGCAUUUAUGCAUGUACAAAUGUGUGUGUAGUGUGCCUCCACUUCCUCACCGUGCAUUCUGUAUGCAAGGCUGAUUGGGAGUUCGCAUGUUUUUGUUAAUUCUCUUGACAAGUGUUUUAUCUAGAGUGACCAAGUUCAAGUACAAGGGAAGUGUGCAAAAAGAAAAUAGCAAAUCAAUACAUAAAUAAUUAAAUAAAAAGAGAGGAAACAGAAGUAUAUCCUCACAAACGAUGAAAUGAUAGAGCAUAUAUCCAUUUUCCUCCUCUUGUAACAUGGAUUGCUCUGAGAUCUAAUGUUUUGUUAUUAAUAUAUGAUUUCAGUAUGAUUAUCUGCGUAAAAUAUCUCUGGAGAUGCUUUCAAUGGAGAUCAGGUCUCAAAAUACCAUGCCCACUGCCCCCAUGGAUCCAGCAGGUUAUAAUGCAGCCGAGCAUUGAAUUUGUAAACAUCUUACCUUUUGUUUUGUUUGUCGCAUUGUAAUCAAACUCUUUUACAUUUUAUUGCGGCAUAUUGCUAUGUGUUUAGCAUGCUUUAAUCAAAAAGUUGAGUAAUUGAUGAAUGUUAGGCAAGAAUAUUACAGAUUGUUUUUGUUUUCUGCCUCCUCCUUUUCUUUCCUCCACCUUGAAAAUUGUCAUAUUAUUUUUGUUUUCAGUCGCCUCUUCUUCCCCCAUCCCUGAAAAUUGUCAGAGGACAUUUUUAUGCUUUGAAUCAAAUCCAUCCUAAUUUUUUCGCUCAUAACUUUAUGUGUGAACUGCAUAUGUUUCAUUUGUCUUCCUUGUUCAGUGCCUUCUUUUUUUCUGUGACAUGGUUUUCCCUUUUGCCUUUUAUCUUGAACAGCAUCCCAUAGUAUGCGCCCUGAAGUUCAGAAUCAAGGGCUGUUUCUCCCUAUCCUAUUGUCCACUGAUCAGUCUCAAGCAUGUCAGCAGUUGGUAUCACAGAACAUGCAGAAUUGCAUGGCAUCUAAUGGAGUUCAAAGUUAUGCUGGUUUACAAGCGGCACUGCCUCCUGUCUCUGGUGUAACCCUGACUAACCCCAACACUGUUGUCCAGAAUCCUAACAUGCAGAGUAUCCCUGGUGUUUCACAGAACUCAGUGGGGAAUUCAAUGGGACAAGGGAUUCCCUACACUAUGUUUGCCAAUUCUCAGAGACAAAUGCCAGGUAAUGCUCUUUUUGGUAGCUUUAUGUGCCACUGCUUCCCUUUAUGGCAUUAGAAAUGCCACUGCUAUUGGAACUAUUGCAAUCACACAUGCAUUUGUAACCACACGAUGCCCUACAGUGCGGUGCACCAACUGUUCACCUCUCAUAAUGGUUCAAGUCAGCAAUGCUCUUUUAGGUAGCUUUAUGUGCCACUGCUGCCACUUGUGGCAUUAGUAAUGCCAUUGCUAUUGAAACCAUUGCAAUCACACACGUAUUUGUUACCACAUCAUACCCUCCAGUGCAUUGCACCAGCUAUUCGCCCUCUCAUUCUGCAUUUAUAUGAUCACAUAACAUUUAUAUGAAGUUCUUAAUACAAAAAGGACUUGUAUUCCUAUAUAGGAAAAUACUAAUAGUCCUAUCUAGAAUAGAAAAAACCUAAUGAAGCUCGCUAUACUUUGGGAAUAAUUAAAUACUAAAUGGAAAAUAAAACUGAGACUCGUAAUAUUUCAUAAUUUUCAGCAAGCGUUAAAAUUAUAGAAAUACCCUUGUAUAUGGAAAACACACAAAAAUACAUGAAUUCUAAUAUUUUGUUGUCCGCAUUGAAAUUUUUGUAGCAUCCCUAUAUUCUACAGCACAGACUGGACAUGCAAAAGGCGCUGAUUGGCAAGAGGAGAUCUAUCAGAAGGUAAUUUCUGUGAUUUACUGUUCAUUAGAUGGAGUUCAUGUUUGCCAUAGUCUUGCAAGAUUUCAAUGGAAAAAGGUCUCAAGAAAAUAAGUGGGACUUAUUCCAUUGAAUCAUGACCACAUCCAGUAUUGUUGAAUUUUACAGAAAAUGAGGUUGAAAUUCUGAAUGUCUCAAGUCAUAGCUGCAUGUUUAAUAAGGAGAUUUUUUUUUUGUGCUUAGGAGAGUUUUAAAACGGGAAUAAGAAUGGUUGUUGAUAAGGACAAUUUUUUUUGUGCUGAGGAGACCAAUAUUUGCUGAGCAAUUCUAUAAUGAAAAGUUGGCGACUGAUGUUUUAAAAAUUGGAGUUAAGGAAUGGCUUAGAGUGCAUGGAGAUCAUGUUAAAAGUGAAGCUGUAGAGAAGGCAAUCACUCAAAUUAUGAUGGGUGAAGAAGCAGAGGAAAUGAGUAGCAGAGCAAAGAAACGGCCAGGAAGGCUGUUGAAGAAGGUGGAUCUUCUUGCUCCGAUUUCAAUGCUUUGAUUGAAUAACUGAGGUGGGGUCGCCCUUGAAACAAAGACAUAGAACAUUUUGUUUAUACUUUAGUAGUGGUUGUGGCAAUUUAUUUUCGGACAAGUCUUGAGAGUUGAAAGAGUAAUCACACCCGAGUCAAUGACCAAUCCAAAUCAGUUUCCUUCCUAAUGAUUCAGGAAUGAGAAGUCCAGCUUAUAUAUUUAACCCAAAUAACUAAUCAAAUAGAAAGGCUGAGCUUAGAGAUAGUACACUACAUAUUGCCAAUAACUAGAUAAACAAUCAUCACAAACUAGGAACGACCGUCUCCCCAAUAACAAAUUCACCUUCUGAAGUUAGAGAACUUGCGAAAACUAGCCACCACAAAAUAGUAGCAAGUAUCUAUGCAGUCUUCGAUGAAGUACAACCACCUGCGUCGCCAAUAUGGAUUGAUGUAGAGAACUGCUGCAAUCGUCAUCACCACAACUGUGUAACAUACACCGAAACUGAUGUAGAAAAACUCCAUAUCUAUGAAACCAUCAUCUCCUUGUUCAUCAUUAGGCACUGGCUGUGACACCACUGCCUUCUCACUACAAUUGUUUGGCAAUGGAGGUCCACACAAGAAAGGAUUUCCUUCGUAACAGCUUUCAUCGAAGGUCCCAAACUGAUAUAUUCUCUCGGGUGUCUUGCCUGACAAGUUAUUGUGCGCCACACUAAAAACUUCCAGUGUGGUAACUUCAGUAAAUUGUGGAGGGAUGGCACCAUUCAAGUUGUUGUAAGAAAGAUCCAAACUCUCAAUAUGCAUUAGGUUUGAGAAUGUUGCAGGGAUAGAUCCAGUGAGAUUGUUGUGUGAUAAGUUUACUGACAGUAUCUUACUUAAGUUUCCAAAUUCUGGUGGGAUUGCUCCGAUGAAGUUGUUAUUGGAGAGAUCAAUACCAAACAUGUAGUUGAGAACUUUCCCCUUGUACCCAUAAUACAUAUUUUUAGUUGUAAAUUCUGUCACUUCUUCUGUAAAGUUAAACAAAAAAAAAUUUCUCAAGUUGUCCACACUAUCCACUAGUGGUGGGCCCAUUAUUUCAUAAUAAGCUUUUUCUAUGGACUCUGAUAUAAAACCAUAUGCGACUUCCAAUAUCGCUUUCUUGUCACUUUUCUUGAAAGUAAGAUUGCCUAAACAGGAGGGUAGUGGACCAGAGAGCUGGUUGUGUGAAACAUCCAAAAUGCUUAAUUGUUCUAACAAGCAUAACUGAAUAGGGAGCUCACCAUCAAAGUGAUUAGCCCUCAGAAGAAGAACACUCAAUGAUGAAAGAUUGCCAAUCCAAUUUGGAAUGGAGCCGGUGAAGCUGUUUUCUCGAAGAUCCAUCGUAACCAGGUAAGAGCUGUUAAAAAAUGCAUAUGUUAAUGGACCGCUCAGUCUAUUUUUCGAUAGAUGCACAUGGGUUAUUUGUGGUGGACUAAAACAAGAUGGUAUAUAUCCAGACAAGUUGUUCUCAGAAAGGUCCAAAUAUUCAAGCUGGUCAAACUUACAAAAAUCUCUUGGGAUCGGACCCUUAAAAUGGUUUCCGGACAAAUCAAUUACUCCAAGGAUCGAAAAAUUAACGAAGCUCCUUGGAAGCAUGCCCGAAAAUUGAUUGUUACUCAAAUCUAAUACAUUCCAUACAUUCCACCUAUAUAAUGGAAAAUCUGAUAUCUGACCCCAAAAGUUGUUACCAUUUAGGUAAAGAAAAUUCAGGCGAGAAGAAUUGAACACCGAGGUCGGUAUUUUCCCACCCAAAUUGUUGUUUGACAGCUUGAGAACCCAUAUUGUUGUUAGUUGUUCUAGUUUUACUGUAGACAAUUGAUUGUUGGAUAAAUCUAAAAAUGAAAGAGAGCUAAUAUUUCCUAAACAGGAAGGAAUACAACCUGUGAAUCCAUUCUUAGCCAUCCUUAAGGUGUGUAGAUUUGGAAAGAUCAAACAAAUAUCUUUUGGAAUUUGACCGUUCAUGUUGUUGUUGGAUAUAUCUAAAUUGGUCAUAUUCGGAUGGAGGUGAUCUUGCAACUGCAAAGCACCAAUAAAGGAGUUGUCGCUCAGAUAUAGUUGUUCCAAUCGUGUAUUGUUCUUAAGCAACCACGAUGGAAACAUUCCAGUGAUGUUGUUGUGGGAGAGAUCAAGGGCUCUUAAGUCUAAUUGGUAAUAGAGGAAGUCGGGAAUUACAUUGAGUGCUUCCGAUGUUGGACUACUUGACAAGCGGAAAAAGACUAGUUGGAACUUUGGAAUCAAAUUAUCAAAGGCAGCAGGUUCUGUUACUAGCUUGUUGUUCUCACUGGAGAAGAACUUGAGGCUUGAGUGGUUCAUAAAAGGCUUUAUUGAAAUGGGAACUUCAAAGAGGUUAUUUGAUAGUGAGAGGAAUUCAAGGGAUAUGAGGUUGGUAAGAGGACCGAAAGCAAUAUUUCCAGUAAACUGGUUUUCAGAAACAUCUAAUAGUUGUAAAGAUGACAUGUUCCCCAAACAAUCUGGGAGUGAACCUCCUAAAUUAUUUCUAGAGAGAUGUAACUGCUUCAGAUUCUUCAAUUCACACCAACCUGUACAAUUUAUCUUGAAAUAGUCAAAAUAGUGUUGGAAGAAUCUUUUGUUGAUGAUGUAAUUAUAGGCGGAUGGAGAGUUGUUAAUUUACCUUGAGCAGGUAGGGUGCCAUGGAGGUCACAUUCACCAACAGACAAAACUUUAAGAGCAGGCAAUGCUCCAAUGUUCUGGAGAAAGUUUAUUGGGAGAGAAGUAUUAUCUAGAUGCAAUUCUUCAAGGGUGCUCGAAUUGAACAAAGUCCCUAUGAAAAAGAAAGAAGAAGAGAUAUGAUGAAAAUAGUGGUGGUACAGAAUAUAUAGCCAUUCCAUUCAAUAUUAUUAAUUAAGAUUUUAAGAAACUAAACUAUUAACCUUGACUUAAAUUAGUAUCCUUGAGAGAAAGGGUCUUCAGGGAUGGCAAUGAACACAAUGACUGUAGGAAGUCCAGCUUCCUUGAACCUAUGAUGUGUAGAAUUGAAAACAGGCAAUCAAGUAAGUAGUGAAAUUAAGUGUUAUCUUGAUCGAGUUCUUAAAGCUAUGAUAAAGAACUGGUACUUUUGUAGUGAGAUGAUUUUUUGAUAGAAACAACAAAUUGCCCAAAUAAUAGAAGAUGCCAAGAGAUAUUCACAACUUUACCAUUGACAGCCGUCGAUCCUAGCAACAUAUUGCCUGAUAAAUUUAAAGACUUGAGGGAUGAAAGUCCACUCGGAUGUGAUAAAAUGCUGUCGUUGAAUAUAUUAUAGCUCAGGUCCAGGUUCUCGAGUUUCCCCAAAUGUGAUGAUAUGAUCUCAAAACCUGCAAGGAGUUGUUUCUAAGAGUAAGUCAUAAUUAUGAGCUCACGAUAUGCAUAAUAUAUAGAAACUAAAGAUAAUUAGAAUUGAUGAGAUGUUGUUCAAUUGAUAUAUGAUUCUCAAAUUAUACAUAAAAAGAAUGAUAUAUGAACGCAUAUUUAAUUAUAUAAUAGAUUAAGAAAUAAUUUAUGGAUAAGAUCAAAGCUCCAUAGAUAUUAAUCUUCAUAGAUGAAAUUAAAGCGCAAUCAAACAUGAUGAAAUGCUAUCGUUGAUUUUUAAAUAUAUAUAAAGUCCUCAAUUUUCUUGAUAAACAGAAUGCAACUUACUAUUGAUAGAUCCUGUCAGCUGAUUGUUUGACAGAUCCAAAGACUUGAGAGAUGAAAACCCAGUUAGAGAUGGAAAAAUGCUAUCGUUGUAUUGAUUCCGUCUUAGAUGAAGGUUCUCAAGCUUUUUCAACCUUGAUGACAAGACUUUGAGACCUGCAUGAUGUUCCUCAAAAGCAUAGAAAUGAUACAUGAACGCAUAUUUAAUUAUAAAAUAGGUUGUGCACGCUUCUAAGAUUAAGAUACAAUUUUUAAAUAUCAUUCUAAUUUUGAUCAUUGGAAAAAAAAAAACAAUUUACGGUUAUAAAGUCGCUAAAGAUGGAAGCUAAGUUAUGAUAGACUUACAAAACAAAAUAAAGAAACUUAUAAUUAAGAUCUCAUCGGUAAUUAAAACAAGAAUAAUAAUCGAUCCAUGUAAGUUCAAAUAUUGCCUAAUUUUGAAAAACUAAUUAAUUAGUUAUGAUAGUUUCAAAAACUAACUGCCUCUGUAAGAUGCUAAAUGCCUCUCUCGUUGGCUGUCUAGUGAUUUGUAUUGGAUAGUUUUUUUUUGAAUUGAUGUUAAGAUCCAAGUUUUAAUAAUUACAAUUUUCUUAAUUAUAUAUAAUAUUAUAGGAGAGAGCUUCUUAUUAUGUUAUUCAAAACCCAUUCAAACUCAAAUUCAUAAAAAAAAAUACUUAGAGUUGUGUUCGACUAAGGAUCUCAAGACAGAAAAAACAUAUAUAAAAAUAUAUUUAUUUAAAAAGAUAAAUAUAAAAUAUAUAUUUAUAGGAGAGUUUUGAAGUGAACUUCUGAUUGCUAAUUUAAUCUAAAUAUUACAACACUUUUGGCAUAAAAGGGCCAAAAUAAGAAUAAAAUAUAUGCCUCUUUACGUAGAUAUAAAGUUCUCAUUUUUGUUGAUAAAGAAACAAUAUAAUUAAGAGAAUGUCAUGUGAAGCAUUUAGGUAGAAACUGUGUAUUAUACCUGAUCCUGUCAACUCAUUGUACGACAGAUCCAAAGACUUGAGGGAUGAAAAUCCAGUAAGAGAUGGAAAAAUGCUAUCGUUGCAAUGAUUCCAACUUAGAAGAAGGUUCUCCAGCUUUUUCAACCUUGAGGACAAGACUUUGAGACCUAAAUAGCAGCUACCUCCUGAUCAUUUAAAUGCGUAGAAAAAAAUGAUAUGAGAAGGAGAAAAGAAAAGGUUUCGAAGCUAAAUAAUUAAAAGGUUACCAUAGAAGCUACCUCCUGAUCCAGCUGUCAACCCAUUCUCUGAUAGAUCCAAAGACUUGAGAGUGGAAAGGUUACCAUUGAAACAUGACAAAAUGCUUUUAUCAUUAUUAAAUCCGUUAUAACUUAGGUCAAGUUUCCUCAGUUUUGAUGAUAGGACUUCGAAGCCUGGAAAGAGCAAGAUAAUUGACAUUAAACACCAACCAACCUUCAUUUAUUUUAUGAUUAUAUUUAAGUGCACAAACAUUGAACUAACCUUCAUUCUCCAAGCAACCAACCAAUCCAUUACCUUCCAAUUCAAGACUUUGCAAUUCUUUAAAAGGCUGAAACAAAGAUGCGUUGAGAACCCAAUCGCCCAAGCUCUCGUCCCUUGAUCCUCUAAGAGAGAGUUGGAUCACUCGCCUUGUAGUGUUAUCACACUCGAUCCUAUGCCACUCACAACAAUUACUACCGUCCACCCAAUCUCUCAAGGAAACGCCAUCUGGGUCGAUCGAAGAUUGGAUCUCCAAGAGACCAAUCCUCUCUUCCUCCAAACACCCAUAACAACGACCAUACCAUUCGCCAACCAAAGUCAAUAAUGCUAGCAACAUCCAACUCCCCAUUCUUUUCAUCAUCAUCUACGUAGAAUAUUGUUGUUUGUUAUGUGUCUUUGGGCAACCAUAGAGGUCCUAUUUAUACUACAAUUUUGGCCAUUUCCAUGAUUUUAUCUGCAUAUCUUAUGCAGGUUCUAUGUUUUGAGAUUUGAAUAUUAUUUUAUUUCCUUUUGGAAUAUUCUUGGAUUCGAAUAUUAUUUUAUUUUACUGUUUAGCACUUAGUCUAUUUGCAUUUAAUUAUAUUUUGGUUACUAAUUAUCCAAUUUUAAAAAAAUAAAAAAUAAAAAUUGUUGCAACAUUUCAAUUUUUUUAUCGACAUUCAUGUGUGAUUUCACGUAAGAUCUUUUUAAAUUUAUAAUUGUACUUUUCUCGUUAUAAUUUAGAAUUAUUUAGGAGCCUACUUGCAUGGUGUCAUCACUAUUAUAUAUAAUUAAAUACAUAAAUUAUCAAUAAUAAUAAAUUCGGAAUAAUUAUAAAUCUUAUCCCUGUGGAUUGUGUGGCUACAGUAUGAUAUACAAAAACUUCAAAUAUAUAUAAAUAAAAGAAUGCUAAAAGUGACAUUCUCUUGGGUGACCACCACAAGCCCAUCUAAAACACACAAGCCAUAUAAAAAUCACACGACAGCCAAUUACCUUAUCUUGUGAGAAAAAAGAUUAAAAAAAAAAAAAGCAUUUUCUUGGGUGUGCAAUGACUGCCAAUCUUUCUCGUUAUGACAUUCAAUGCUCUGUAAGAAGUUGCAUGAUGCUCUUCUCAUGGGGAGCAAAAAUCAGUAGCCUCCCAUGGAAUCCUCAUAAACCUUUCUCUAUGCUCUUCUAAGAUAUUAAAAAUGUCAAACAUACAUAAAUAAUAAGAAAAACAAUAAAAAAAGAAAGCUAUACAAAUAGAGCUUCCAACAAAAAGACUAGGAAGUUGUUUACUGAAAAUUGAGAUUCAUAAUUUGUUUUGAUUUGUUUUGAUUUGUUUUGAGUUAUUAUGGUCUCAUGACCCGGGUCACAGAUUUAAAGGUUAAUCUAGAUUGACCCGGGUCGAUUAAUCCAAUAUGUUGUUGUUUCGAUAUACUUUUUUUAAAAAAAUAUGUCAUCUUGAUUUUUUUCAAGUGAAACUAUAUUUUUACCAGUCGUCCAGACAAUCUUUGAGCCCAUCGAAUCGAUCGGGUUAUAUCAAUUUAACUCUUAUUUUUUUAUUUAUAUUUGAAAUUUAAAUUGCAUAAUUUUUUACUUAUUUUUUUAUAUAGGUGGUUAUGAGUUACAAAAAUUAAGCAAUUUCGAGUAUAUUGACAUGAGAAUUAAUGGUUUCGAUAACAAUAUUCUAUCAUUUGUAGAGGGAUUUUCAUCUUUUAAAUCACUAUAUUUAGAUUAUAAUAGACUGGAAGGGUUAAUAGAUUUAAAAUGUUAGUUUUUUUAUAUACUUAUUUUUUCUCUAUUAAAUUUAAUUUCAAAAGAACACAAUUUUCGAUAACAGUAUUCUAUCAUGCAAUUUUUGUUUUGUUUCAAAAGAACACAAUCGCCCAAGCGGAAAUCCCUUGCAUAGAAAAGAGAGAGUUGGAUCACUCGCCUUGUACGUAGUGUUAUCACACUCGAUCCUAGGCCACUCACAACAAUUACUACUGUCCACCCAAUCUCUCAAGAAAAAGCCAUCUGGGUCGAUCAAAGCUUUGAUCUCCAAGAGACCAAUCCUCUCUUCCUCCAAACACCCAUAACAACGACCAUGCCAUUCGCCAACCAAAGUCAAUAAUGCUAGCAACAUCCAACCCCCCAUUCUUUUCAUCAUCAUCUACGUAAAAUAUUGUUGUUUGUUAUGUGCUUUUGGGCAACCAUAGAGGUCCUAUUUAGACUACAAUUUUGGCCAUUUCCAUGAUUUUAUCUGCAUAUCUUAUGCAGGUUCUAUGUUUUGAGAUUUGAAUAUUAUUUUAUUUCUUUUUGGAAUAUUCUUGGAUUUGAAUAUUAUUAUUAUUUUAUUGUUUAGCACUUAGUCUAUUUGUAUUUAAUUAUAUUUUGGUUACUAAUUAUCCAAUUUAUAAAAAAAAAUAAAAAAUAAAAUAAUUGUUGCAGUACUUCAGCAUUGUUAUCGACAUUCGUGUGUGAUUCCGUAUAAGAUCUUUUUAAUUUAAUUGUACUUCUCUCGUCAUAAUUUAGAAUCAUUUAGAACCCUAUUUGUGUUAUGACUAUCAUAUAUAUAAUUAAAUACAUAAAUUAUCAAUAAUAGUAAACUCAGAAUAAUUAUAAAUCUUAUCCCAGUGGAUUGUGUGGCUACAGUAUUUUAUACUUCAAAAUAUAUAUAUAUAUAUAAAAGUUAGAGCUGCUUUUGUUUUUAUGUUCGGAAAGGUAUUCUUGACUUGUUUUUAUUACAUUUCAAUAUUAUUAUUUUUUUUCAAUCGAGUCAAAGAUAUACCAUUUAUAUUAGAAUGAGAAGACUAAUCAAUUUCUCUAGUUUUCUCCCUAUUUAUAAAAUACAUCUGGUUUUUGAAGUCCAGAUUUUAGGAUAAAAGGAAUUUAUUUCUUGAAAUUAAUGCAUUAAACAAUAUAAAGAUAUUUUUUAAAAAUUAAAAUAGUAGUAAAAGUAAAUUUAGUUUUUGAUUGAAGUGUAAACUAGUGGUAAAUGAACAAAAAAAAAAAACUUUCUUGAUUAUCUAAUGGAAACUCCGCCUAAUAUAUAUAUAAUAGCAAUCAUUUUCUUAUCUCUUGUAUCAUUCAUAUCUUCCACAAAUCUUAAGUAAUUGAUGAGAAAGUGGAUAUUGCCAAGAAAGGUCGUGAACGCGGAUGCUUGACUUGCUGCGUGGCAUUUUGAUUUUUAAACACAACACUACUUUCUUUGUGGAAAUAACGCUACUUUGCAUGAAGAUGAUGGAUAUAGAAGACUUGCUACUUGUUUUAUGGAAAUAACGUAUGGAAAAUUAUGCUUUAAUUUUAAUGAUGAUAGCAAAAUCAAACAGUAUUGUUGAUAAAAUGAGCCAUAAAUAAUAUUAUUUCUAUUGUCAUGACAAUAAGUUUUUUUUUUUUUUUUUCUAAAGAGUCUAUUUUUCCUCUAGGAGAGGCCGCGAGACGUCCUCUUCCAACCAUCAUGCAUUUUUUCUACGAGAUGGGUUCAUGGAAAUACUUUGGUUUAAUUGGGAAUGCUGUUAUUGAUUGAAAUAUUUUUAAUUAAAAUAAAUUUGAUUAUUUGAUUGGAAAAAAAAUAUUGUAACCAAGUAAUUUAUUUAUUUAUUUUAAUGAAAUAUAAAAUAGUUUUAAAUCUUGUGGUAUAUUUCUUGUCUUUAAGAGCUAUGAACUUAUAUCUCAAAACUUGAAAACUAAUAUAAAGAUAUUAAGUGAUCAUUGAGUGUGUGUGUGUGUAUAAUCCUUUUCAAAACAAAAAGGAUUUUGAUGGAGAUUAGGACAUUGCAACAAAUUAUCCACCACUAGAUGGGUCAAUGAUACCAUUGUCAUCAUGCAAUUUUUCCCACGAGAUGGGGCCGUACGCUUGGGGCUCUAAAAGCUAUGGUUUUAAUUUCAUUAUGUCACAUCUAGAAUGGCAGGUAUAUUUUAUUUCAAUUUAAACAAUGGAAUAAAUUAGAAGAUAUUUCAUCUCGCUUAAAAUCUUAUCUUCUUAUAUGAUUUCACCUAAAUUCUGGCUGGAAUGUUUAAGUUAUAUUCUAGCUAUUCUGUUAUGGCCAAAUGAUAUUUUGUUUUACUUUUAUAAAAAAUUAAAAUAUAGUUUAGUUUUUGUAUUUAUUUUCUGGUUAUAUUUAAUUUGUCAUCAAUAUUCAUAACGUAAAUUGCUAUGCAUUUCGAAUCUUGAAAGGAUUGAAAGAUGGAAAACAGAAAAGAAAGAGAGACCCCCAGUUCAAAAGAAAAAGAAAAAAAAACAAUAGUAAAAGAAAGAGAAGAGAACAAAAGUGAAGCAGUUUUUACUAACUAUAUAAAUUUUAUAAUUAUUAAUAUUAAAUUCAAAAUAUGUACAUAAUGCAAAUAUGUAAACAUAUCAUGUGGUUUAAAGAAAUGAUUUUUAUAAAGAUAUAUGUCUUAACAAUAUUAAUCAACUCUUAAUAUUUUUCAUUUUAUAAAUAUUAAAAGUAAAUAUUAAAACCUAUUAUAUUAAUUUGUGAAGGUAUUUACUCGGAUGCGAAUUAUAUUUCUAAUUUUUUAUUAAAAAAAAAUUCUACAUACUACAACUAGCCUAAGAAAGUCAUUUUCAUCUAAAAAAAAGUAGAAAAAAUUGAAUUGCAUAAAAGCAUCACUAUAAAUGUUAUACUCCGAAAAUAUCUUCUUUCCUUGAUAAAAUUCCCUAAACUACUGUAUGUCUCUAACAGUGAAAAUAUCACUAUAAUUUACAGUCACCUUAUUUAAUCGAAAGAAAACUUUAAAGAUGCACCUCCAUCUAGUGUAUUUAAAAAGAUUUAACAAAUUACUUUACACGUGCUAUGCUACAAGUUACAUAUUUUUUCAAUGUAAACAAAAAUUAUAUAGGUAUUUUUAACAUUUUUCUAUUAAAAAAAACUAAAACAUAUAAAAAUUAACCAAUUUAUAAUUAAUUAAUUAAUUGAGAAUUUGAGCUCCUUAGAAAAGUUGUUUAUGGACUUUUGUUUUCCGGAGAAAGCUCCUUUAAAACCCUUGAGCACCACCUUCUUUAAAACUUCUAUCUUUGCCAUAACUGAGGGGCUCUGUAUUUUUUUUAAGGUGAAUUAACAAGUUACAACUCAACUCUGUAUUUUUUUUUUUAGUUUAAUGUGGGUGUCUGGGUCAACUUACGCGUACCUCGACUAAUUCCACGGGCCCUGAAAUUAAUGACCAUAUAAACCUACAGUGGCCAUCAUAUGAACAAUCACAGGACUAGGGCUCGAACUUGAGACAAAAAAAAAAAGCAAAUUUUUUAAUCUUAAAUUCUUACCACUGGAUCACUAUCUAAAUUGUUACCUUGUAUCUAAUCUAGAUGUGUCUGUGACUGUGCUUGAUGUUCUCAUAACCAUUAAGAUGGUUCGAACCCAAAUAAAUAGAAACAAAUUUAUUUUCUGUUAUUCUCCGAAUUCCUAGAUAGAAUUUGCUUGGAAAUGAUGAGCUACCACUCCCUUUUGACUUUGCUGGCCUCCCAAAUAAAUAAAGAAUUCCGCUUGAUAGAAUUUUCUUGGAAAUGAUGAGAAUAUUUUAUAAUUUUCUGGUUGACGCCAGCUGUCAACAACUGUCUUACAUUCCCUUGGCAUCGUGUUCCAUGCCCUUGCAAAAUAUUAAAGGCUCCAAUGCCUCUCUCGCAAUAAGAUUAUUUUUUUUAUUUGUCCCCGAAUACAUGUGUCAUUUAUCGAAAUAAUUAAUUUAAUCACACACAUAAAAAAAAAAAAAAAUUUAAAUAGGCGGCUUUAGAAUCAGCAAGCAGUGAAUCACACGGGAAGAUUGAAAGAAUAAUUAAAGUGAUUUUACUAACAUUGUAAAAAAAAUUGAAUUGCAUAAGAGUAAUUAACCGACAGGUUGACCCAAAGUCAAAGUCUUCUGUGGAAAAACAUGAAUAGAAGAUUGAUGGGCGUUGCGUGAUAGCAAAAGAUUUGAGAUCUGCACAGCAGGUUUUGAAUUCGAGUCAGGGCGUGCAUCUCUUGUAAAAGCUUGGGAUAGCCGGGAUUUUACUGUCUCAUCUGGGCCCAUAAAGUGCGCUUUCCAAGGAAAUGAGGUUCCCUCGAAUCCAUAAAAAAAAAAAAAGUAAUACCAUUGCUAUCAAGCGUUUUUUCUACGAGAUGGUCCGUUCCCCCAUUUCCCCUCAAGCUUGAGAAGGGAUGAUAUAUAUAUGCUUUAAUUUCAACUUGUAUAAAAAAUAAAUCUUAAUGUAGUGUGUUAGAAUGCAACCACCGAUUCAUUAUUUUUAAUGGCUGGUCAUUUAAACUUGGGUGUUUUUUCGGUAUUAAUAUAUAUAUUCCUCAAUUAUCAUAAAAAAAUUAAGAAAAAACUAAUAAUAAGAUUAAAAAUAAAUGUUUUAUUUAUCGAAAUAAUUAUUAAAAGUAAGGUAUACUCAAGGUAUAUGUGGGACGAUAAAAAAAUAACAAAAAAAUCAAUUUACAAAAAAAAUCAUAGAUUUAGUUUUCCUAAAUUUUAAAUGUAGUGCAACAUUAGCCUUUCAAGAAAUAGAUAAUCUUCCUCUUUGAAGGAAUUAAUUAGUGGGUUGGAAAAAUGUCGUCUUUUGCUCUAAUAUUUUCUUCGCUUUCUCUAUAGUUUUACCAUACACUAAUAUUGUCAGAAAAUGAUACAUACUUCUUGUGUUAUCCUUCAAGAAUUCAAUUGAAAAGGAGGGUUGUAAAAAAUUUAAUUUUUAUAAACAUACCCUUAACUUAAUUUGGAUGUGGAUAAUUGUUUGCAAUAUAUUUACAUCCAAUAUAAACAAUUCAUCAAUGAUCAAGUAGGCAGUGGUUAGCUAAAAUAUUGAAAAUACUUACUCUCUUUGUUUUUUAGUCAUGCAGUUCCACUAUUGUAUGUUAUUUUUGUUUAGCUAAAAAUAUCAAAAAAUAUUAAUUUGGAGUAAAAAAAAAAAAAAAAUUUAAUUUUUUUAAAAAUAUUUUUGAAACAUAAAAACAAACAGUGCUAAAAGACAUAGAAACAGUUACCCAAAUCAAUUUAUUUUUUUAAAAAAUAAAAAUAGAAUACUAUACAAAUGGAGCUUCCAACAAAAAGAUAUGGGAAGUUCGAGGGAAAAAAUGAUUAGUUAAUUCAAAACACCAGGAGUAAGUAAUAAUUACAAAACACGAUACCGAAACCAAAUUGAAAAGUGAGCAAAAUACAAAACUGGUUACAUGUAUCGAAAGGAACUGGAACCAAUUUCUCCACCACUGGAUGUCCCUUUUGUUCAGUCUAUGUUUGGUGCAAUCACCUAAAGCUAGAAACAAAAACAGCGCCUUAGUCUAUGUUUGGUGCAUUUUUUCCACGAGAUGGGUUCGUGGAAAAACUUUGGUUUAAUUGGGAAUGCUGUUAUUGGUUAGAAACUUUUUAAUUAAAAUAAAUUUGAUUAUUUGAUUGGAAAAAUCCUUAAAUGUUAUUAACACAUGAAAUCAAUUUAUUCUCUUAAGAAAAAAAUAGUUUUACAUCUUGUGGUAUAUAUGUCAAGCAUUUUUUUUCCCUCAAGAUGGGUUCGACAGACAAUCACCAUCAUGCAUUUAUGAGUCCAUGAGACCAUUGUCAUCUGCACAUUGGUCCCCUAUAGCGUUGCUUUUCCUCAAGACCAUUUCCAUCAUGCAUUUAUGAGUUAGUGAGACCAUUUCCAACUGCACAUUGGUCCCUGAAACCGUUGCCAUCAUGCAUUUUUCCUCGAUGAGAGGUCGUGAGACGUCCACUUCCAACCAUCAUGCAUUUUUUUCACGAGAUGAGGCCGUACGUUUGGGGCUCUAAAAGCUAUAUAUAUUAGAAAUAUUAUUUGAAAAUAAAUUAUUUUUUAUUUUUAAAAAUAAAAUUCUUCUAUACAAAAGAUUUUUAUAAGUAUAAUUUAAUUUAUUCAGUUUUUUAAAUAAAGUUAAUCUAUCGCAAGAGUACACGAAAUAAGUAUUUUUCCGUCAUGCAUUUUUUUUCCUCAAGACCAUUUCCAUCAUGCAUUUAUGAGUCUGGGAGACCAUUUCCAUCAUGCAUUUAUGAGUUGCUGAGACCAUUUCCAUCUGCACAUUAGUCUCUGAGACCGUUGCCAUCAUGCAUUUUUCCUCGAGGAGAGGCCGUGAGACUUCCUCUUCCAACCAUCAUGCAUUUUUUCCACGAGAUGGGUUCGUGGAAAAACUUUGGUUUAAUUAGGAAUGCUGUUAUUGAUUGGAAACUUUUUAAUUAAAAUAAAUUUGAUUAUUUGAUUGGAAAAAUCCUUAAAUGUUAUUAACACAUGAAAUCAACUUAUUCUCUUAAGAAAAAAACAGUUUUAAAUCUUGUUGCCGUCAUGCAUUUUUUUUUCCUCAAGAUGGGUUCGACAGACAAUCACCAUCAUGCAUUUAUAAGUCCAUGAGACCAUUGUCAUCUGCACUUUGGUCCCCUAUAGCGUUGCUUUUCCUCAAGACCAUUUCCAUCAUGCAUUUAUGAGUCCAGGAGACCAUUUCCAACUGCACAUUGGUCCCUGAGACCGUUGCCAUCAUGCAUUUUUUCCACGAGAUGGGUUCGUGGAAAUAAUUUGGUUUAAUUGGGAAUGCUUUACUGUAUUUGUUUUCUGGUUAUAUUUAAUUUUUCAUCAAUAUUCCUAAGCACGUAUUUUGAAUCAUGAAAAGCACGUGGAAAAGAGAGGGAUGGUGAAAAUGACAUGUAAAGGGACUGUUUGGCAGUGCGCAUAGAAAAGGGAAAGUGUCAUUGCCAUUUUGAGUGGUGUGUUUGCAUUUGAUUUGUUAAUUUCGAGUUUUGUCAAAGAGUGAUUACUAGUCAUCAAGCAUUUUAUUAAUUUAAUUUAUCCUGUCAAGUGAAGGGCCAAACCUGUCAUUCAUUGCCAGUCACAGUCACAAGUCUUGGUCUUACCAUUUUACUAUCUAUUAAUUAAUUAAUUGUUUGAUUAAUCAACGAAACUGUGCGUUUCUCUUGUGAUUUCUCGAAGACGGCCAUGAAUAUAUAUAUAUAUAUAUACAACUUUUCAAAACAAAAAGGAUUUUGAUGGAGAGGACAUUGAAACAAAUUAUCCUCGUGAUACCAUUGUCAUCAUUCAAUUUUUUCCACGAGAUCAGGCCGUAUGCUUGGGGCUCUAAAAGAUAUUAUUUCUAAUUUUAUUAUAUCACAUCUAGAAUAACAAGUAUAUUUUAUUUCAAUUUAAAAAAUAGAAUAAAUUAAAAGAUAUUUCAUUUUUAAAAUUUUAUUUUGUUUUAUGAAUUUCACCUAAAUUCUGACUAGAAUAUUUUGAUUAUAUUCCAGCCAUUUUAUUAUGAUAAAAUAAUAUUUUGUUUUGCUUUUAUAAAAAAAAUAUAAUCUAAUUUUACAGUAUCAAUCAUAUCUUUCAAUUCGACUGCUGGAUUGGACUAAAAUUUUACGAGGAAUCUCCUAACAUAUAUUUAUAUCGCAAAUUAAAAUUUUAAGGCAAUCAGAGUUUAGAAAAAUUUUGCGAAAUUACCGAUGAUAUUUUCAUAAUUUUAUUUAAAUUCAUAAUUUUGUUAGGAAAUAUUAUUUUUUGUUUCUUUUUUAGAUUGAAUUAUUUCUAAAGUACUUCUUGUCAUUGUCAUGACAAUAAAUCUUCUUCUUUUUCUUUUUAAAAAGUCUAUUUUUUGUAACACAACCAACAUGUAAGAUGGAUGGGAAUUUGCAGUGUGAGAUGGGUUUGUGAGACUUUGGCCAUCUCCAAUUUUUUCCACGCCAUUGAGAUGGUCUAUAAGACCAUUGCCCCGUAAGCAUUUAUGAGUUCGUGAGACCAUUUCCAUUUGCACAUUGGUCCCUGAGACCGUUGCCAUCAUGCAUUUUUUACACGAGAUGGGUUCGUGGAAAUACUUUGGUUCAAUUGGGAAUGUUGUUAUUGAUUGGAAACUUUUUAAUUAAAAUAAAUUUGAUUAUUUGAUUGGAAGAAAUCCUUAAAUGUUAUUAACAAUAGAAAUCAAUUUAUUUUCUUAAGAAAAAAAUAUUGUAACCAUAUAAGUAAUUUAUUUAUUUAUUUUAAUGAAAAAUAAAAUAGUUUUAAAUCUUGUGGUAUAUUUCUUGUCUUUAAGAGCUAUGAACUUAUAUCUCAAAACUUGAAAACUAAUAUAAAGAUAUUAAGUGAUCAUUAAGCGUGUGUGUGUGUAUAAUGCUUUUCAAAACAAGAAGGAUUUUGAUGGAGAGGACAUUGCAACAAAUUAUCCACCACGAGAUGGGGCUGUACGCUUGGGGCUCUAAAAAACUAUGGUUUUUAAUUUUAUUAUGUCACAUCUAGAAUGGCAGGUAUAUUUUAUUUCAAUUUAAACAAUGAAAUAAAUUAGAAGAUAUUUCAUCUCGUUUAGAAUGUUAUCUCAUUUCAUGAAUUUCACCUAAAUUCUGGCCGGAAUAUUUUGGUUCUAUUCCAGCCAUUCUAUUAUGAUCAAAUAAUGUUUUGUUUUGCUUUUAUAAAAAAAAAAUAUAUAGUUUAGUUUUAUGGUAUUAAUUAUAUCUCUCAAUGCAAUUAUUGGAUUAGACUAAAAUUUUACAAGGAAUCUCUUAACAUAUAUUUAUAUCGCAAGUUAAAAUUUUAGAACAAUUAGAGUUUAAAAAGACUUUGUGAGAUUGCCGAUGACAUUUUUAUAAUUUUAUUUAAAUUCAUAAUUUUGUUUCAUAAGGUCAUUUUUUGUGUCUUUUUUUAGAUUGAUUUUUUUUUUUCAAUUUCAUAAUUCAACAAUAGAUUUAUUAAAAAUUAAGAUUCAUAAUUUGUUUUUAUUUGGGAUUAUUAUGGUCUCAUAAUCUGGGUUACGGAUUUAAAAGAUUAACCUAGAUUAACCUGGUUCGAUCUAAUAUGUUGUUGUUUCAAUAUUUUUAACAAAUAUAAUUUUAAUUGAUAUUUAAAAAUAAACUAACUUGAAAUUAUAUAAUUUAAAUUUCAAAUAUAAGUAAAAAUAAAGAGUUAAAUCAAUAUGACCCAAUUGAUUUGAUGAGUCCAAAAUAUAUAUAAAACAAUCCAAACGACACGUCAAAAUACUCAAAAAUCAAAAUAUAUUGUUACAAUUAAAAAAAUAAAACACCAAUUAAAAUGGAAUUGACGACCUUGCUUGAUAUAAGCCUAAACUCCUCGCUGCCAUUUGCAAGAGAUAGUUACUUAUACCAGUAGCAAUUUAAUAAUGAUUGGUCAAAUUUUAUAUUAAGAUGGGGCUAUUAAUUCAAAUGUUGAUGGCGUUAGUAGCAAUGAUUUUCUUGGAAGCAUGGUUGCCUCUUGGCUGCUUGAAAAUAUAUGGUUUUUUUAAUGUCGCAUGUGUGCUGCGUCAUGAAAAAAAAAUUCACUCUCAAAUCCUAAAUAUUGGUAUCCUGGAAAAAUUGGGAAAAAUAAGGAGACAAGAAAUUCUUGUCUUUUAUUAGUGGAAAAAUAAAAUGGGAGUCGCCACUUAGUAUUUUAAUCACUAGGAACCCUGAUUGGUCUCAGAGAUUGGGUACGGAGACUGGUUGCGUAAAGGGAAGGUAUUAGCACCCCAAAUACGCCCUACCUAAGGUAAGUUGCAUUGUUUUAUUGUUUGAUAAAAUCUAAGGUCUUGUCGUGUUUUCUAGUUAUUGGUCCGUCUAUGAUUUAAGAAAAGUCUUCAUCGAUAAAGAGAUCCUUAUCUUUUCGGGUAAAACCUAACCGUUCUAACGUAAACAAAAGAAUUUAAUAUCCGGAAUACAUCUUACGUAUAAGGUCGUAACCCCAGAUACUAAAAGAAAAUUUUUUUUUUGGAAUUUUUUAAAUAUUGGCCUAGUUCUUGUGACUUUAAUAAACUGGUUUUUAAAACCAAAAUGCAUGUUAAUACAUAUUUUUGUUGUAUGAAAAUAUGAUAUGAUUUUUUUCUUUGAGAUACUUGGCCGUAUGCAUGAAAAUAAUUUUUUUUUUAAUUUUUCAAUGUUUUGACGAAAACUAGGUAUUUUAAUACCAGAUUUGUAUCUUUACAGUAUAAAAAUACAAACCAAUACUAAGAAAAAUUUAGUAGAAAAAUAUAUGGGAAAAUUAUAGAUUUUUUGAAAUGAUUAUUUUUGAAGAAUUGUUUUUUACUGGGCCGGACCCGACCCAACCAUUUUGGGCGGGCCGGCACUGUCCGGGCUGGAAAACUAAAACAAACAAUGGAGAGACUCUCCACUGUUCACAUGCAACGUGAACAGUGGAGCGGCCUGGAGAAGACAAAGAAGAAGAGGAGGAAGAGGAAGAAGCAGACCUGCGGCCUAGCGGUGCUGCUAGUGGCGGUGGACGGUGUUGCGGUUGCGGAGUGUUAGAAAUAAUGUUCAGGACUGCUGAGCUGGAAUUUUAUUCUUUCUUAAUUUUUGAUUUAGUCAAUUCUGUUCCUAUUCUCUUGUUCUUGUUGCUACUUCGCAGCUCUGUUAUUUCCAUUAUCAAUUGAUCAUGGCUUGAAUGUAGUACCAUGAUCGUAGGAGUUUGUUAUGUAUCAGCUCUAUAAAUUGAGCUGCAGUUAUGAAUAAAGUAUUCAAGCUUUUCAUUCAUCAAUCUCUUCUUAAACACAAGCAUUAUCCUUUGUUAUUUUUGUUGUUCAGAAUCACUGCAACAACGACAAUUGGUAUCAGAGCAUCUUGAUUUAAAGGGAUCUGUGUUGUAACCCAUGGAGACAGAAGUAAGAUUCUCAUCAAUUGCUCCACCAGUGUUCAAUGGUGACAAUUACCAGUUUUGGGCAGUACGGAUGGAGACAUACUUAGAGGCUCUGGAUUUGUGGGAGGCAGUGAAAGAAGAUUAUGAAAUCCCUGCACUUCCAAAUAAUCCCACCAUGGCGCAGGUCAAAUCACAGAAGGAGAAGAAGACAAAAAAAUCAAAGGCAAAGGCGUGCUUGUUUGCUGCAGUAGCAUCCACCAUUUUCACUCGAAUCAUGUCUCUGAAAACAGCAAAGGAGAUAUGGGAGUUUAUCAAGACUGAGUAUGAAGGGGAUGAAAGAAUUCAAGGUAUGCAAGUGUUGAACUUGAUGCGUGAUUUCGAGUUGCAGAAGAUGAAGAAAACUGAAUCCAUCAAAGAGUACUCUGACAGGCUGCUUAAUAUUGCAAGCCGAAUCAGUUUACUUGGCUCGUCCCUGCCUGAGUCAAGAAUUGUUCAAAAAAUUCUUGUAACAAUUCCUGAAAUCUUUGAGGCUACAAUUACAUCCUUGGAAAAUACCAAGGAUAUGUCAAAAAUUACUUUGACAGAAAUGCUAAAUGCAUUACAAGCUCAGGAGCAAAGGAGGAUCAUGAGACAAGAAGAUGAGAUUGAAGGAGCUCUAUUCGUCAAGCAUAGAGAAAAAGGAAAGAAUUACAAGAAGAAUGGAAGCAGUCAAGCAUCAUCAGGUGAUUCCAGGAAUUUCAACAGGAGCAACACUGGAAACAAAAAAGGACCUUUUCCUCCAUGCCAGCAUUGUAAAAGGAGAUCACAUCCACAUUUUAAGUGUUGGAGAAGACCAGAAGCUAAGUGCAACAAAUGCAAUCAAAUGGGCCACGAGGCUGUCAUCUGCAAAAACAAAAUUCAACAGCAUGGUGAAGAAGCUCAAAUUGCUGAUCAAGAAGAAGAAGAUCAAUUGUUUGUGGCCACUUGCAUUUCCAGAAAUGACUCAAGUGAAAGCUGGCUCAUUGAUAGUGGUUGCACCAACCACAUGACACAUGACAGAAACAUAUUCAAGGAGCUGAAACAAACAACUUCAAAGGUUCGAAUUGGAAAUGGAGAAUACCUUGCUGUUGAAGGAAAGGGAACCGUGGCAAUCUUGACUUGCUCAGGUACUAAGUUCAUCUCUGAUGUAUUGUAUGUCCCUGGUAUAAAUCAAAAUUUAUUCAGUGUUGGUCAGCUUAUUGAGAAGGGUUAUAAAGUAGUGUUUGAAAACAAUUGCUGCUUGAUCAAAGAUGUGAAUGGUCAUGAUAUUUUCAAAAUAAUCAUGAAAGGGAAGAGUUUUGCUUUAAAUCCAUUAGAGGAGGAGCAUAUUGCUUUCCCAAUUAAAGAAAAUAUCACAGAUAUUUGGCACAAGAGGCUCGGGCACUAUCAUCAUAGAGGGCUGAUGCUUAUGAAAUCCAAGAUGAUGGCUAAGGAUUUCCCAGCACUUGAUGAUCACAUAUCCAGCUGCAGAACUUGUCACACUGGCAAGCUAAACAGGAAGCCCUUUCCAGAAGCCACAUGGAGAGCAACAAGGAAGCUGCAAUUGAUUCAUACUGACAUUGCAGGACCAUAAAGGACACCCUCUCUAAAUGGGAGUCUGUAUUAUGCUGUCUUCAUUGACGAUUACAGCCGAAUGUGCUGGAUUUUCUUCUUGAAGCACAAGUCAGAGGUAGCACAGGUGUUCUGGAAUUUCAAGGCCAAAGUUGAAAAUGAAAGUGGCUGCAAAAUUCAAGCCCUCAGAUCAGACAAUGGCAAGGAAUACACUUCCAAUGCCUUCAACAUUUUUUGUGAGGAGGCAGGCAUUCAUCAUCAGCUAACAACUCCGUAUACUCCUCAACAAAACGGAGUUAGUGAGAGGCGAAACAAGUUCAUAUUGGAAAUGACAAGAUGCUUGCUACAUGAGAAGAAUUUACCAAAGAAAUUCUGGGCAGAGGCUGCAAACACUGCUGUGUUCUUGCAAAACCGACUGCAUACAAGAGCCUUGAAGGAUCAAACACCCUUUGAGGCAUGGUAUGGUUACAAACCAUCUCUGAAUUUUCUUAAGGUAUUUGGAUGUUUGUGCUUCACCCUUGUUCCACAGGUCAAGAGGGAUAAACUUGACAAGAAAGCACUUCCAGGCAUUUUUGUUGGCUACAGCUUAGUUUCAAAGGCUUAUAAGAUUUUCCAACCACAAACUGGAAAAAUCAUUAUAAGCAGAGAUGUCCAAUUCCUGGAAGAUGAAGAAUGGGACUGGAACGAUGCAAUCAAAGAAGAUUCAACCUCUCCAAAAGGCAAUUAUCUUGUUUCAGACACAGAUGAUCAAAGCAUGGAAGAUUGGGACAUCAACAUGACAGAUGACACUCCUGUUACAGGCACACGGUCACUCCUUGAUGUGUAUCAAAGGCGCAACAUUGCUGUGUGUGAACCAGCAGACUUUGAAGAAGCCAAGCUAGAUCAAAAUUGGCUUGCUGCGAUGAAGGAGAAGCUUCUCAUGAUCAAGAGAAACAACACGUGGGAGUUGGUUGACAGACCUCAAAACAGAAAUGUAAUCGGUGUAAAAUGGGUGUAUCGAACAAAACUCAACGCUGAUGGCUCAAUCAAUAAGCUCAAAGCCAGGCUAGUGGUGAAGGGUUAUGCACAAAUCUUUGGCGUGGACUACUCAGACACGUUUGCACCGGUAGCAAGACUUGACACUAUCAGGCUGCUACUUGCCAUUGCAGCACAACUGAAUUGGAAGGUGUAUCAAAUGGACGUCAAGUCAGCAUUUUUAAAUGGUGUUUUGCAGGAGGAGAUCUAUACUGAGCAACCAGAAGGCUUUGCAAAUGAAGGAGAGGAGGACAAAGUCUGUCUUCUUAAGAAGGCACUAUAUGGAUUGAAGCAAGCUCCAAGAGCUUGGUACAGCCGAAUCGAUGAACAUUUGCAGCACUUGGGAUUCACUAAAAGCCUCUCUGAAUCGACUCUUUACAUCAAGCAAAAUGGUGAUAACAUCCUUAUCAUCUCACUUUACGUUGAUGAUUUGCUUGUAACAGGAAAUAACAACAAUAAUGUGGAGAUAUUCAAGCAAGAGAUGAUGAGUGUAUUUGAGAUGACAAAUUUGGGUUUGAUGUCCUUUUUUCUUGGAAUGGAAGUUAAGCAAGUUGAACAUGAAGUGUUCAUAUGUCAGAAGAAGUAUGCCAAAGAAAUCCUCAAAAAGUUCAAACUUGAAGAUUGCAAAGCAGUAAGCACUCCUAUGAAUCAAAAGGAGAAGCUAUGUAAAGAAGAUGGAGCCGAGAAGGUUGAUCAAGCACAAUUCAGAAAAAUUGUUGGAUGCUUGAUGUAUCUCACUGCAACUAGGCCUGAUAUUUUGAAUGCUGUGAGUAUCUUGUCUAGAUUCAUGCAUUGUGCUAGUGAAUUGCAUUUCAAGGCUGCUAAAAGAGUGAUAAGAUAUGUCAAAGGAACCUGCAAUUUUGGCAUAAGAUACACAAGAAGUAGAGAGUUCAAACUGGUCGGGUACUCUGACAGUGAUUGGGGAGGCUCAAUUGAUGACUUGAAGAGCACAUCAGGCUACUGUUUCUCUUUAGGUUCUGGUGUGUUUUCAUGGAAUUCAAAAAAGCAAGAAACCGUAGCCCAAUCCACUGCUGAAGCUGAGUUUGUGGCUGCAACAGCUGCUGUCAAUCAAGCUUUGUGGCUGAGGAAAAUUUUAUCUGAUCUUAACCUGGAGCAAAAGGAAAGCACAGAAAUUCUAGUUGACAAUCAAGCUGCCAUUUCCAUCUCUAAUAAUCCUGUGUUUCACGGGAAAACCAAGCACUUCAACAUCAAAUUAUUCUUUUUGAGAGAGGUGCAGAAAGAUGGGAGUAUCAUUCUUAUUUACUGCAAAACUGAAGAACAAGCAGCUGAUAUUUUCACCAAACCACUGCCAGUCAACAAAUUCGAAUUUCUGAGAACAAAGUUGGGAGUUUGCAGCUCCUAAACAAGGAGGAGUGUUAGAAAUAAUGUUCAGGACUGCUGAGCUGGAAUUUUAUUCUUUCUUAAUUUUUGAUUUAGUCAAUUUUGUUCCUAUUCUCUUGUUCUUGCUGCUACUUCGCAGCUCUGUUAUUUCCAUUAUCAAUUGAUCAUGGCUUGAAUGUAGGACCAUGAUCGUAGGAGUUUGUUAUGUAUCAGCUCUAUAAAUUGAGCUACAGUUAUGAAUAAAGUAUUCAAGCUUUUCAUUCAUCAAUCUCUUCUUAAACACAAGCAUUAUCCUUUGUUAUUUUUGUUGUUCAGAAUCACUGCAACAACGACACGGACCGUGGCGCUGACUGGCGGGUGGUUCUUCUUUCUUUCUCUGCGUUUCCCUUCUGCUUUUUUUCUAUUCUGCUCUGUUCUUCCUCUUGUUCCCUGUUUUAUUCUUUCUCUCCCUCUCUGGUCCUCUCAAACGUCCCUUGGAGCUGCUGCCUGAAGAUGAAGACGAAGUUGAGGGUGAUCAGUGCUCUGAUCGGGCGACGUUUCUUUCUUUCUUCUGCUACUGUUUUCGUUUCUGAUUCUCCUCGUUCAAUUCUUAUUUGCACUCUUCUUCUUCUUCGUCUCUGGUUUUUGAAAUGACGAAGACGAUGGCAACGCUGGUUCUAAUCUCAACGAUUUCCUCUUCUUACAUUCUUUCCUUUUGCUCGUUUCUGUCUCCCUCUCGUGCUGCUCCCCACUUUCUCUCUUGUCCUGCUCGCUCUCCCUCCCUGUCUCCUCUUCUUUUUUUUUUGUUGUCCGUCUCUCCUCUAGCUUUUUAUAGCCAGAGGAUGCAUGCUUUUCGGGAUUUAUUGCAGGAAGGUUGUAACGGCCGGCGUGCAUCAUGGUGGAGAGGGAUAUCAGCCGUGAGACGUGCUCCCCUGAUUGAAGCAGCUCCACCACUAACGUCUUCACUUCCUUUUACUGUAGAAACCGUUGUUGAUGAAGAAGGUAAUGAACAGUUGUCAAGGAAAUGGUACCGUUUUAAAAUUCAAAAUGAAUAUUUCCGAUUUGGUCAUUGGAUUUUUUGCAAUUUUGUAAUCAAGCCCCCGAAUAAAUUGUAAUUGGAUCUCUGGAUUUUAGCCCCAUUUACAAGACAAUCUUUGGUUCUGGAUUCAUGCGAUUUGACUCUCAAUUGAUCAAUAAACUUCUAAUUUCUUUAAUUUAGCCCCUGACUUGGUCAAUUGCAGCCCUUAUAUUUACACGCCUUUUCCGGUUUGAUCCUUGGUUUCGGAUUUUUUCAAUCAAGUCCCUAAUUGCCCAUAAAACUUUAAUAAUUAUGCAAUUAAGCCCCUGAUUUGACCAAAUCAACUCUUCAAAAUUAUAAUUGGACCUUAGAACUUUAAUUUCUUCGAAUAAAAGCCUAAAUAGACAUAAAACUCAAUUUUUCUUUCAAUCAAACCCUCCAUAAAUUCAAUUAAACCUUUAAUAAAAUUUAAUUGAGUCCAUAAACAUCUGAUUUUAGAUAUAUUUUUUUAAAAUUGAAUUUUCUUUGUCAACAGGGCUCUCAUUAGUCAACGAUAUACUGUCAAAUUUCAAUCUUUAUAUUUUUUAACCUCCUCAACCAAUUUUUGGCCAUUUUGAGCAGUCCGACAGCUUUCACUGUGACAUAUAUAUUUUUUUAUUUAUAUUAUUUAAUUAAUUUAUUAUUAUUUAUUUAUUUAAUUUUUUUCAACUCUUACUUUUUGUAUUUUCUUCUUUUUUGUGUGGGGUCCCAAAAAUGGAUAACAACACUUAAGUUCAAAUCUAUUAAUAAAAAUAUAGUUUUAUUGACUUUUUUAUAUACUUUUAUUAGAGAAAUCAAUGUAAACAAAUUUAUGGACAAACAUUAGUUUAUCAAGUACUUAAAUAGAAAAAUAAAAUCAAUUAGAGUACUUGAAUAAAAAAAAUAUAAAUUAUAAGCAUUUUAUAUAUCUUUAUUGUUCAUAAAUUAAAAAUAAAAUAAAAUCAAUCCAGACUAAUCUAAAAAGAGUUAACUAUGACAUCAUCAUUUUGAUAGUAAAACUAAUGAAGAUAUUUUAUUGAUUAAAUUCCGUGAAUAUAAGUAUUCAAAUUGAAAAAAAAAAACAUUGAUACAAGAUUUUAAAUAAAAAAAUUAUAAAAUACAUAUAAUUUGUACUUCUCAUUGUCUCUUUUGCAUUGCUAACACUUAACAAAUUGAAUAUAUAAUUCUCAUGUCAAUAACGUCAGAAUAAAUUUAGCUACAUGACAUAAUAAUACCUGUUUAUUUUUGUAUUUUAAAAAUAUUUUAAAAACAUUAAAUUGUUUUAAAUAGAUAACUUUUGAAUCAUCAAGUAGUGAAACACAGGAAAAGCGAAGAAAGUGAAGAAUAAUCAAAGUGGUGCGUGUCCACAUCAAUUUUUGUCCAUGUUUUUGGUAUUAAUCUCUUCAUCUAUUUACAGCUGGAGAAAAGAACAUCACCUACUACUUUUCUUGUCUCUUCUUACUUGGAAGAUCAGGUAUGUGAAUCUUUGAGUGCCACUUAUUUUAGUACAUAGACUUAGUUAUUUGACCACAACUUCACCACAAGUUAAAUUGUUUUAAUUAAAAAAAUUUAUAUAAAGAUUUCUUCAAUAAAUUUUUUAUUUAAAAAAUUUCUAAGUGAAAAUUAAAAAACUUAUACACAAAUAUAGUUAAAUAAAUCAAGAAUUAUGUGUGUUAAUAAGUGAAAAAAACCAUAAAUGAUGACUCAAAAUAAAAACUGAAAAAAUCAACUGAUAAAUGUAGAUCAAAAUAUUUAAUUUCACAAGACGUGAUAUUAAUGCAGUUGUGUUUUCUAAAAUUUUUAAUUAAAAUAAUUUUUUAAUUUGAUCAAACGAUAAUAAAAAUAGACACACAUAUUAUAAAUUGAUUGAAUAAAAUAAAAAAUAAUAAUAAUAUGCUAGGCUUUAUAUAUUGGAAAUAUUAUUUAAAAAUAAUUUUUUUUAUUUUAAAAAAUAAAAUUUAUCUAUUAAAAAAAUUUAUAUAUUAAAUUCAAAAUAAAUAAACUUUAAAAUAAUUUGCAAGGCUGCACAUAACCCCUUUAAAAGGAAAGUGAUAUAACAAACGUGGAACAAUUUUUAUUAACUAAAUAAACUUAAUAACUAUUAAUAUUAAAUUCGAAAUAUAUAUUAAAACCUAUUAUAUUAAUUUUUGAAUUUAUCAAUUCAGAUGUGAAUUAUAUUUCUAAAAUGUUAUAAGAAAUUUCUAUAUACGACAACUAGCUUAAGAAAGUGAUGUUCAUCAAAACCAUAGAGUACAGAAAAAGAAUUGAAUUGCAUAAAAUUAAGUAAUUAACGGAAACUUAUAUUCCUUCUUAAAACGUUGACCCCAAGUCAAGUUUAUUUAUUAUUAUUUUUUUUGAAAAAAACAUGAAUAAAAGUUAAUGCUAGGCACAUGGGAUAUAGAAGACUUGCAACUUUCUUUAUAGAAAUUACGUGUGUAAAAUUUAGGCCUUGAAAAAAAAUUAAAAAUAAAAUACUAUUAAUCGUGUUGAUAAAAAUUAAUAUAGAGACUUUAUUGAUAAAAAUUCAUAAGAGCAAGUAUUCAAAUUACAAAAAAUAAAAAUAUUUCUUCAAAUUUUCAAUAAAAUUUAUUUCUUGAAAUUAAUGCAUUAAACAAAAUUAAAAUAGUAGUAAAAGUAAAUUUAGUUUUUGAUUGAAGUGUAAACUAGUGGUAAAUGAACAAAAAGAAACUUUAUUGAUUUCUCCAAAAACAAUAUAUAUAUUAUUGAAUAUCUAAUGGAAAGGAUUAUGAAACUCCGCCUAAUAUAUAUAUAUAUAUAACAGAGAAAUUGUCGAUAAUAGCUAUGAUCUAAGUAACUGGACCACGACGAAGACAUAUACAAGAAACAAAAAAAAGAUACUUCACUAACAAUUGGGGUUCUUCAUAAGCUUCAAUAGAAUUGAUAGAGGGUCGAAACAAAAAAGAGAUGAAGAGAGAGGAGGGAAUGGAAAGAAGGGAAAAGAGAACUCUUGCGAUCUGUUGAAUAAGACUCAGUAUAUAUAUAUAUAUAUAAAAUAAAAAAAACUCAAGUUAGCGCAUCAAAUCUUCGACUUGGAUUAUGAGAUCGGGAUAAGAAAACUUAAUAUUUAAAAAUAAAAUUAAAGAAAAAAACUAUAAAAACAUAUAUGGUUUAACAAUAUUAAUCAAUUAUUAAAAUCUUUCAUUUUAUAUAUAUUAAAAAUAAAUAUUAAUAACUAUUAUAUCAAUUUGUGAAUGUUUCAAUUAGGAUGCGAAUAAAUGUUUUAUAUAUGACAUUUUUCUUAAGAAACCAAAGUUAUUAAGCAUGUUUAGAUUUAAUUACCAAAUGAGAGUGAGGGUUGAGGUUAUAGAUUGACCUAAUUAAUACUCAGAUCAAGAUUUAGGUCCUAGAUCGGACAAAUUAGCUUAUUGACUAGUGUUAAUAAAAAAUUGUAUCAUUUUAUGAUUUUUGUUAUAGAAAAAAUCAAAAUGGUGUUGUUAAAAAAAGUAAAACUAGGUUUUAACUGAGUUGACUAGGUUGUGGGUUGAUUUAUCUGGUCAACUAGGCUCAAUUGAGUCAACUCUCACUUGGUUUUUUCUAAACCUAAAUAGGGUUAGGUUCCAGAUUAAAAUGUAAGGCUUGAAUUAAAUUUAAUAACAUUGAUUAAAACCACAAUGUAGGAAAAAAAAUUGAAUUCAUAAAAGUAAUUAACCGAAAACUUGAAUUCCUUCUUAUAAAGUUGAACCCAUGUCGGUUUUUUUAAAGGAAAAGUAUGAAUCAAAGGUUAACGCUAGGCUGCUCACUUUGCAUCACAAUGACAGAUAUGGAAGGCUUGCUACUUUCUUUAUGGAAAUAACGUGUGGAAAAUCAUGCAUUAAUUUUGAUGUUGAUGGCAAAAUCAAACAAUAUCGUUGAUAAAAUGAAUGACAAAUGAUAUUAUUUUUAAAAUACUUCUUGUCAUUGUCAUGACAACAAGUCUUCUUUUUUUUCUUUCUAAAGUACUUGUCAGUCUAUUUUUAUGUAACCCAAUCAACAAGUAAGAUGGAUAGAAAUUUGCAGUGUAAAAUGGGUCUGUGAGACUAUGUAUCGCCAUCUGCAUUUUUCCACGAUCUAGGCCAGUGGGAUGGUACAUGAGACCAUUGCUAUCAAGCGUUUUUUCUACGAGAUGGGUCCAUGAGACCAUUGCCCUGUAAGCUUGGGAAUGGAUAAUUAAUAUGCUUUAAUGUCUAUUUAGUUUGCAAAAAAAAUAAUUAAAUGCUUAUGAAUAAAAAAUAAAUCUCAAGUGUUAAAAUGCAACCACCGAUUAAUUAAUGGACAAUGGACCUUAGAUUAAUACAUGACGCAACUUUCAAUGGAAUUAUAUUUGUGGAGGUAUUUACUCGGAUGCGAAUUAUAUUUCUAUUUUUUUAUUUAAAAAAAUUCUAUACUACAACGAGCUUAAGAAAGUCAUGUUCAGGGGCGGAGCUAUAAUUAUUUGUUAGGAAGAUCAAAAUUAAUAUAAUAAGAUAUAAAAUUUAUUUUAAUUUAUUAUACAUGAGUUCUAAAACAAAACCUGUAUAAUUUAGUUUUAUUCAAAUAACUUACUACAAACAUAUAAUAACCUUUGUGAAGUAUAUUGGGACUGCUCAACCAUAACUUUAACAUUACACAUUGGAGUUGGUUCACUAGGCUGUGAGUUAUCAAUAUUUUUUAUUUUUCUUUUUCAAAAAAAAAUCAAUUCUUCUUAUUUUGUUCAUGGUUCAACCUAAAAUCAAAACAUAUAUCGUAAGAAAAAAUUGAUAAUUUAGUGACUCUGCUAAAAAUAAAACAUAAAACAAAUCCAAGCAUAAUCAAAACAAAACCAAUAAAAUAUAUCUAAUUAAUUAGAAAAAAAAUCAUUAUAAUAAGAAUUCAAAAAAAAAUGGUAAAACUAGCAGAUCUGAGAAAAAAAAAGAGCAAAAAUGAUAGAAAUAUAAAAAAAAUCUCAUCAAAUUAUUAACAAACAUCUCAAAACAAAACAAAUAUAGAUUUUAAAUUUAAGUUACUUUGUUUUGUUUGAUGAAAGAUAAAUUAAUUGGUGGCUCUGCUUCAAUCUUUUUGUAGAAACAUUUUGCUCACAAUUUGUAUUUUUAUUUCUUUGUUUGAUCGGCUGCAGGAUUUAUAUUAGGGUAAAUUAAUGGUUUUGUUUUUUAUUUCACAAAGUAAUGCCUUAAUAUUGUUUUCUUCCAUCUAGGUCAAGAGUAAAUUAAAAGGAAAUCAAAAGUAAAGUCAAUAAUAACCCAAAGUAAUGCCUUAAUUAUUUGAUGUCACAAAGUAAUGCUUUAAUAACCCAAUAAUAAAAAAACAAAAUGUCUUGAGGGGGGCUCGGGCCCCUGCUUGCCCCCUACUUCCACCCUUGGUCAUGUUCAUCGAAAAAAAAAAUUAUAUUUACUCGGAUGUGUUUUUUCUACGAGAUGGGUCCAUGAGAACAUUUCCAUCUGCAUAUUGGUUCUUGAGACCGUUACCAUCAGGGGCGGAGACAGAGGGGCUGGCAGGGGCCCCGGCCCCGGCAAGGAAAAAGUUUUUCCAGCCCCUCCCUUAACAAUAUUUAUAUUUUUAGUUUAAAUAAUAAAACAAUUAAUAUUUUGAUCCCCUUUAAUUUUAUUUUCUGGUUCUGCCCCUGGUUGCCAUCAUGCAUUUUUCCUCGAGGAGAGGCCAUGAGACGUCCUCUUCCAACCAUCAUGCAUUUUUUCCACGAGAUGGGUUCGUGGAGAAACUUUGGUUUAAUUGGGAAUGCUGUUAUUGAUUGGAAACUUUUUAAUUAAAAUAAAUUUGAUUAUUUGAUUGGAAAAAAUCCUUAAAUGUUAUUAACACAAGAAAUGAAUUUAUUUUCUUAAGAAAAAAAUAUUGUAACCAUAUAAGUAAUUUAUUUAUUUAUUUUAAUGAAAUAUAAAAUAGUUUUAAAUCUUGUGGUAUAUUUCUUGUCUUUAAGAGCUAUGAACUUAUAUCGCAAACCUUGAAAACUAAUAUAAAGAUAUUAAGUGAUCAUUAAGUGUGUGUGUAUGUAUAUAAUCUUUUUCAAAACAAAAAGGAUUUUGAUGGAGAUCAGGACAUUGCAACAAAUUAUCCACCACGAGAUGGGUCACUGAUACCAUUGUCAUCAUGCAAUUUUUUCCCACGAGAUGGGGCCGUACGCUUGGGGCUCUAAAACGCUAUGGUUUUUAAUUUCAUUAUGUCACAUCUAGAAUGGCAGGUAUAUUUUAUUUCAAUUUAAACAAUGGAAUAAAUUAGAAGAUAUUUCAUCUCGUUUGGAAUCUUAUCUCAUUUCAUGAAUUUCACCUAAAUUCUGGCCGGAAUAUUUUGGUUCUAUUCCAGCCAUUCUAUUAUGAUCAAAUAAUGUUUUGUUUUGCUUUUAUAAAAAAAAAAAUAUAGUCUAGUUUUACGGUAUCAAUUAUAUCUCUCAAUUCAACUGUUGAAUUAUACUAAAAUUUUACAAGGAAUCUCCUAACAUAUAUUUAUAUCGCAAGUUAAAAUUUUAGAACAAUUAGAGUUUAGAAAGACUUUGUGAGAUUGCCGAUGACAUUUUCAUAAUUUUAUUUAAAUUCAUAAUUUGGUUUCGUAAGGUCAUUUUUUGUGUCUUCUUUUAGAUUGUUUUGUUUUUCCAAUUUCAUAAUUCAACAAUAAGUUUAUUAAAAAUUGAGAUUCAUAAUUUGUUUUUAUUUUGGAUUAUUAUGGUCUCAUAAUCUGGGUCACGGAUUUAAAAGAUUAACUUAGAUUAACCCGAGUCUAUCCAAUAUGUCGUUGUCUCAAUAUUUUUAACAAACAUAAUUUUAAUUGACAUUUAAAAAUAAACUAACUUAAAAUUAUACAAUUUAAAUUUCAAAUAUAAGUAAAAAUAAAGAGUUAAAUCGAUAUGACCCAUUUGAUUUGAUGAGUCCAAAGUAUAUAUAGAACAAUCCAAAAUGACACAUCAAAAUACUCAAAAACAAAAAUAUAUUGUUACAAUUAAAAAAAUAAAACACCAAUUAAAAUGGAAUUAACAUCCUUGCUUCAUAGAAGCCUAAACUCCUCGCUACCAUUUGCAAGAGAUAGUUAUACCAAUAGCAAUUUAGUAAUGUUGGUCAGAAUUUAAUAUCCUUCUCGAUAAGAAGAUCCUUAUCUUAUCGGAUAAAACCUAAUUGUUCUAACGUCAACAAAAGAAUUUAAUAUUCGGAAUACAUCUUACGUAUAAGGUCGUAACCCAAAUACUAAAAGAAAAAAAAUAAUAUUUUUGGAAUUUUUGAAAUAUUGGUCUAGUUCUCGUGACUUUAAUAAACUGGUUAUUAAAACCAAAAUGCAUGUUAAUACAUAUUUUUGAAUUUUUGUUGUAUGAAAAUAUGAUAUGAUUUUUUUUCUUUGAGAUACUUGGCCAUAUGCAUGAAAAUAAAAACAUGUUUUUUUUUUAAUUUUUCAAUGUUUCGACGAAAACUGGGUAUUUUAAUUCCAGAUUUGUAUCUUUACAGUAUAAAAAUACAAAUCAAUACUAAGAAAAAAUCAAUAGAAAAAUACGCGGUAAAAUCACAGAUUUUUUAAAAUGAUUUUUUUUUGACCGGGUAGGCGUUGUUCGGGUCAGAAAACUAAAACAAACAGUGGAGAGACUCUCUGCUGUUCACAUGCAACGUGAACAGUGGAGCGGCCUGGAGAAGACUAAGAAGAGGAGGAGGAAGAGGAAGAAGCAGACCUGCAGCCUAGCGGUGCUGCCAGUGGCGGUGGACGGUGUUGCGGUUGCGGACCGUGGUGCUGACUGGUUGGUGGUUCUUCUUUCUUUCUCUGCGUUUCCCUUCUGCUUUUUUUCUGUUCUACUCUAUUCUUCCUCUUGUUCCCUGUUUUAUUCUCUCUCCCUCUCUGGUCCUCUCAAACGUCCCCUGGAGCUGCUGCCUGAAGAUGAAGAUGAAGUUGAGGGUGAUCAGUGCUCUGAUCGAGCAACGUUUCUUUCUUUCCUUCUGCUACUGUUUUCGUUUCUGAUUCUCCUUUUUGUUCAAUUCUUAUUUGCACUCUUCUUCUUCUUCGUCGUCUCUGGUUUUUGAAAUGACGAAGACGAUGGCAACGCUGGUUCUGGUCUCAACGAUUUCCUCUCCUUACAUUCUUUCCUUCUGCUCAUUUCCGUCUCCCUCUCGUGCUACUCCCCACUUUCUCUCUUGUCCUGCUGGCUCUCCCUCCUUGUCUCCUCCUUUUUUUUUUUCCUGUCCGUCUCUCCUCUGGCUUUAUAUAGCGAGAGGAUGCAUGCUUUUCGGGAUUUAUUGCAGGAAGGUUGUAACAGCCGGAGUGUAUCAUGGUGGAGAAGGAUAUCAGCCGUGAGACAUGCUCCCCUGAUUGAAGCAGCUCCACCGCUAACAUCUUCACUACCUUUUACUGUAGAAACCGUUGUUGAUGAAGAAGGUAAUGAACAGUUGUCAAGGAAAUGGUACCGUUUUAAAAUUCAAAAUGAAUAUUUCCGAUUUGGUCAUUGGAUUUUUUGCAAUUUUGUAAUCAAGCCCCCGAAUAAAUUGUAAAUGGAUCUCUGGAUUUUAGCCCCAUUUACAAGACAAUUUUUUGUUCUGGAUUCAUGCAAUUUGACCCUCAAUUGAUCAAUAAACUUCUAAUUUCUUCAAUUUAACCCCUGAGUUGGUCAAUUGCAGCCUCUCUAUUUACGUGUCUUUUCCGAUUUGGUCCUUGGUUUCGUAUUUUUUCAAUCAAGUCCCUAAUUGCCCAUAAAACUUUAAUAAUUAUGCAAUUAAGCUCCUGAUUUGACCAAAUCAACUCUUCAAAAUUAUAAUUGUACCCUAGAACUUUAAUUUCUUCCAAUAAAAGCCUAAAUCGACAUAAAACUUAAUUUUUCUUUCAAUCAAACCCUCCAUAAAUUCAAUUAAACCCUCAAUAAAAUUUAAUUUAGUCCAUAAACAUCUGAUUUUGGAUAUAUUUUUUUUAAAAAUGAAUUUUCUUUGUCAACAGGGCUCUCAUUAGUCAACGAUAUACUAUCAAAUUUCAAUCUUUGUAUUUUUUAACCUCCUCAACCAAUUUUUAGCUAUUUUGGGCGGUCCAACAGCUUUCUCACUACGACAUAUAUUUUUAUUUAUUUAUUUAUUAUUAUUAUUUAUUUACUUUUUUUCGACUCUUACUUUUUGUAUUUUCUUCUUUUUUGUGUGAGGUCCUAAAAAUGGGUAACAAUACUUAAGUUCAAAUCUAUUAAUAAAAUAUAGUUUUAUUGAAUUUUUUUAUAUACUUUUAUUAGAGAAAUCAAUGUAAACAAAUUUACGGAAAAACAUUAGUUUAUCAAGUACUUAAAUAGAAAAAUAAAAUCAAUUAGAGUACUUGAAUAAAAAAAAUAUAAAUUAUAAGCAUUUUAUAUAUCUUUAUCGUUCAUACAUUAAGAUAUUUUAUUGAUUAAAUUUUGUGAAUAUAAGUAUUCAAAUUGAAAAAAAAAACAUUGAUGCAAGCUUUUAAAUAAAAAAAAUUAUAAAAUACAUAUAAUUUGCACUUCUCAUUGUCUCUUUCGCAUUGCUAACACUUAACAAAUUGAAUAUAUAAUUCUCGUGUGAAUAACGUCAGAAUAAAUUUAGUUAUAUGACAUUAUAAUACCUUUUUAUUUUUAUAUUUUAAAAAUAUUUUAAAAAAAUUAAAUUGUUUUAAAUAGAUAACUUUUGAAUCAUCAAGUAGUGAAACACAAGAAAAGCGAAGAAAGUGAAGAAUAAUCAAAGUGGUGCGGGUCCACAUCAAUUUUUGUCCAUGUUUUUGGUAUUAAUCUCUUCAUCUAUUUACAGCCGGAGAAAAGAACAUCACCUACUACUUUUCUUGUCUCUUCUUGCUUGGAAGAUAAGGCAUGUGAACCUUUGAGUGCCACUCAUUUUAGUACAUAGACUUGGUUAUUUGACCACAGCUUCACCACAAGUUAAAUUGUUUUAAUUAAAAAAAAUUAUAUAUAGAUUUCUUCAAUAAAUUUUUUAUUUAAAAUUUUUUUAAGUGAAAAUUGAAAAACUUAUACACAAAUAUUGUUAAAUAAAUCAAGAAUUUUGUGUAUUAAUAAGUGAAAAAAACCAUAAAUGAUGACUUAAAAUAAAAACUGGAAAAAUCAAUAAACAAAUGUAGAUCAAAAUAUUUAAUUUCACAAAACGUGAUAUUACAGUUGUGUUUUCUAAAUUUUCUAAUUAAAAUAAUUUUUUAAUUCGAUCAAACGAUAAUAAAAAUAGACACACAUAUUAUAAAUUGAUUGAAUAAAAUAAAAAAUAAUAAUAAUAUGUCAGGCUUCAUAUAUUGGAAAUAUUUUUUGAAAAUAUUUUUUUUAUUUUUAAAAAUAUAGUUUAUCUAUUAAAAAAAUUAUAUAUUAAAUUCAAAAUAAAUAAACUUUAAAAUAAUUUGCAAGGCUGCACAUAAGCCCUUUAAAAGGAAAGUGAUAUAACAAAAGUGGAACAAUUUUUAUUAACUAAAUAAACUCUAUAACUAUUAAUAUUAAAUUCAAAAUAUAUAUUAAAAAUAAAUAUUAAAACCUAUUAUAUUAAUUUGUGAAUUUAUCAAUUGAGAUGUGAAUUAUAUUUCUAAAAUGUUAUAAGAAAUUUCUAUAUACUACAACUAGCUUAAGAAAAUCAAGUUCAUCGAAACCGUAGAGUACAGAAAAAAAAUGAAUUGCAUGAUUAACCAAAACUUAUAUUUCUUCUUAAAACGUUGACCCCAAGUCAAGUUUUUUUUUUUUUUUGAAAAAAACAUGAAUACAAGGUUAAUGCUAGGCACAUGACGAUGAUGGAUAUACAAGACCUGCUCCUUUCUUUAUGGAAAUUACGUGUGGAAAAUUUAGGCCUUGAAAAAAAUUAAAAAAAAAAUACUAUUAAUCAUGUUAUUUGCAUUAUGGCAAAUAUAGAGACUUGAUUGAUAAAAAUUUAUAAGAGCAAGUAUUCAAAUUUUAAAAUAAAUAAAUAAAUCAAUUCAAGUUUUUAAUUAGAAAAAACAAGAUACAAAUACUCUGUGUAAGUGCCACUAACUCUUUGUAUUUUCUAACUAUUAAAGAAUUGAAUAUAUAAUACACGGGUGAUAAACAUCAAAAUAAAUCCAAUUGUAUAAUUUACUAAGAUUUUAAAAACUAACACUACAUAGAAAAAAAAAUCUUAAAAUAAAUAACAGAAAACUUGUAUUCCUUCGAGGGGUGUUUGAGAGUGUGGUAGCGGUUGCUUUUCAAAGUUUUUUCCCUUAAAAAUGCAUCAAAAUAAAUUUUUUUGAUUUUUUAAAAAUUAUUUUUAACAUCAUUAUAUCAAAAUGAUCUAAAAAUAUUAAAAAUAUAUUAAUUUAAAGCAAAAAAUAUAAAAAAAAUUAAAAAAUUUUAAUAAUACUUUUAAAAUACUAAAACAAACAAGAUAUUAAAAAAUAUACUACAAGUCAAAGUCUUUUUGAAAAAAAACAUUAAUAAAAGGUUAAUGGCAGGUAGCUUAUUUUCUGCCCUAAUAAAGCUCAAGGUCUGUUCAGAAAACUAAGUACGUAGGCAUACACCCAAUCCAAGCACCAUCAAAUCAUUUUUUAUACAUAGGGAUAGGAACGCUAGCUUCACAUGAUAGAUAAAAAAAAUUAAAAGAUAAUAAAAUUAAAAAAAUAAUUAUAAUCUUAUAUAUUAUUUUAAAUAAAAUAAAUAUUGAUUAAAAAAACCAAAUAUAAUAAAUUAAAAUAUUUAAUUUAAAAAAGAUAAGAGAAAAGUAAAUGAGAAUUAAAGUUGAUAUAAAAAUUAAAUUAUAAAAUAUAAAAUUCAAAAAAAAAAUAAAACCAAUUUUUUUUUUCUAAAAGAUAAUAUUCAGAUUAAAAGCAUUAUAAAAAGAAUAGCUCCUUGUUUCUUCCUUGUUUCAAUUUCAAGAUAUUAAGAUUAAAACCCAAUCGUAUAGCUGGUUGGGUUGAGAAGAAAGGUUUGCUUUUGUAUUACAAAUUAUUUAGAUUAGUUUUUUUUUAAAAUUAAUCAAAUUAGUAUCAUUUUGGUUCUCCAUCGAAGAAAAUAGAAAACAUAUUUAGUAAUAAGGUGUUGUUUAAUUCCUUAUAUUAUUAAUAUAAUCAUGGCAUCAUCACUGUAACAAUAAGUCCUCUUACUUGUAUUUUCACCGUCCCAACCUCUUUACAUGGCGUCACCGUAGCAAUUAUAUAUCUCUUGAUCAAUCAUAAUUAAAUUACUGUAAUAAUAUCUUUUUUUAUUCUUUUAUAUGAAGUCUUAAUUUAUUUUUUUAUAUAGGUAGUUAUGAAUUACAGAAAUUGAACAAUUUAGAGAUCUUUGACUUAGAAUCUAAUUGUUUCGAUAACAGUAUUAUAUUAUAGAGGGAUUUUUAUCCCUUAAAUUAUUAUAUUUAGAUUAAAAAAUAAAAACUAAUUAGGAGUCAAUUAAAUAAAUAAAUAAAAACCCUCAAAAGAUAAAAGAAGAAAACAUAAAAAGUACACUACCCAACCAAUAAUUGACCUGAAUCACAUGUUGUCCACUGCCAGAACUUAUUAGCAAUCUGCUUACAACAGCAAAUUGAUCAAUAAGAAAGACUUAAAUUCCAAAUUUAAAAACCAACUCAAUUGAGAUCCUUAUUAUUCAUUCAAUUAGUUGCUUCUUGCUAACUCUUUUAUUUCCUUUAUAAUUUUAAUUCAUUUUAAUAUAAUUUCUUGAUUGUGGCAAGCUUCCUUUAUCUCAAGAACUUGGAAUACUUGGAUUUCCCAAGAAAAAAUUAACUUAAGACUUUAGUUAAUGCUAUGAACACGAGUAAAUGAUAUGCUAAAGAAAAAACCAUGUAUUUAAGAACCAUUGCUAAGCUACAGGUUCAGGAGCCAUAAACCACUCACAUUUAGUGGGGUUGAUCUCAAAUUCAGACAAAUCUACUUGUCCAGUUCGGAGAACCUUCAAACAAAAAGAAGAAUGAAACCUUGUAAAAUUGGCUAUCAUCAAAAGGACAAGAAACAGUACAAGAAGGAUCAGCCUCGCAUUUCUUGCAUAAGUAAAAGAAUCCACUUGUUAAUGGAAAGGAGGACUCUGCAACAAGUCUAAAAUAUCCUCUGGAGUUCAGUGACCCUACAACCUUAUAUUUACCUCAGAAUGCACCCACGUAAAGCACACAGGAAAUCCCAACACAUAAGACAACAAAAGAAAACAUAUAAUUAGCAGAAAAAAAAAGGUUGUACAAUUCUUUCAUAGCUUACAGUACGUAUAGAAUAAGCAUUAUCAAAUCAGGCUAACAUACCUCAGGUAAGUGAGAUGUUAAUCCUUCUUCAAGCGGCAAUGUCUCAAUCAAUGACAUUAUCAAAUCAGGCUUCAGUAUAUCCCCUAAUCCCAAGCCUAGGACAACAAAAGAAAACAUCAUGAAAAAAAAUGAUUUUACAGUAAUGCACCCAGUGCCAGAGCAUAUAAUUAGCAGAAAUAAAGGUUGUACAAUUCUUUCACAGCUUACAAUACGUAUAGAAUAGGCAUUAAUAAUUACCUUCAUCUGGAUCGGCCAAACUACCUGCAACAUCUAUCAUCACAUCACGGCGCGGGCCACCCUAAGUACAGCAAACAAGGAUAUGGUCAAUUGCACUAUCUGAGCAUAACACAGAUAUUACUCAGGAUUCUUUGCAAGUCUUCCAAUUUCACUGGUUCUGAUGAAGAGUUUACAUCAUUCAUUACUUCUGCACCAAGGUCUGGGACAACUAAGUUUCCAGUCCUGAGAGCUAUGAGCAAAAAUCUCAUCAGAAUAAAAGAAAAUGGCAACGUAAUACUGGGCCAUUUCUUUUUUGUAAUAAAAGUGCUCCUUAACCUUUUUGAAGUUAUUUUACAAUGAAUUACAAGCAUUAAACUUGUAUAUACAUGGACAAACACCAAGUUAUGAUUCUAAAUUUCCAUAUAAAAGAUGCCCCAAGUUUUAAAAUUUACCCCGAGGGCAAGUCUGUGCAAGAGCAUAAGGGGAUGAAGGAUUUGACAUGGACUAAGGUGGGUGAGAUGUUUUUGUCAAGAAAUGAUUUUGGAAAAUUUCUUGAUAUUUCUUGAAUAAAUAAGAUAGGAGUCUUCAUCAAGGCAAGAACAUAGGCUCUCCAAGAUAAUUGACCAGAAGGAGAGAAGGGAGGCUCAUCCUGCUCCACAGACUCUUAGUCUCAAAGAACAAAAAAUUACUUGGCUCUAUAUCCUUACUCUUACUUGCUAUAUCAACUCUUAGAGUUGAAGUAUCUGAAAGGGUUUAUUUUUAGUAUUUGAAUAAGUCCAUGAGUCCCUAGUCUUCAGGAAGAUAUACAUGGUCAAGAUUAAAUUAAGGAUUUUAGUUGCUUAUUUUUCGUUAUUUCAUGUGCCACGUUACUGUGAACGUGAGCUAUUUUUCAGUCUUAUUAUUAUUCCUGUAAGGCUAUUUAUUAGCCAUUUCCAUUCAGUAAAAGCAAUUCAUUCAAUUCAAAUACUGUGCACUUUUGUUCUUAUUCUUUACAAUUGGUAUCAGAGCUAUUACAUCUGACCUGUUACGAAGAAAUAGAUACAAAAGGAAGACAUAUUUUUGAGUGACUUCAAACUUAGAGUGAGUGAGUGCUUGAGUGCUUUUAAACACAGAGUGAGUGAGUUUGAGUGUUUUUUAAACACAGAGUGAGAAAGAGAGUUCUUGAGGGUCAAUUUCAACAAUGGCAGCAGAGUCCAGCAAUUUUGUAUCACCUUGCAUCCCGAAAUUUGAUGGAGACUACGAGCAUUGGAACAUGCUAAUGGAGAAUCUCUUGCAUUCCAAAGAGUAUUGGAACGUUAUUGAGACAGGAUAUGUCGAGCCUGCAUCAGGGGAAAUUCUGAAUAAUGCACAGAAAAAGACAUUGGAGGAGACAAAGCUGAAAGAUUUAAAGGUUAAAAAUUACCUUUUUCAGUCCAUCGACAAAUCCAUUCUGAAGACUAUUACUCAAAAAGACACAGCAAAACAGUUGUGGGAUUCCAUGAAGAUCAAAUACCAAGGAAAUACAAGGGUUCGGCGUGCUCAACUUCAAAUCUUUCGCAGGAAUUUUGAAGUGCUGGAAAUGAAACAAGGAGAAACUGUCACAAGUUAUUUUGGAAGAGUUAUGCUGGUGGCAAAUGACAUGCGAAAUCUGGGAGAAAGCAUACCUGAUGAGAAGAUUGUAGAGAAGAUUUUACGCACACUUACUGAGAAGUACAAUUACAUAGUGUGCUCCAUUGAGGAGUCUAAAGAUAUUAAUCAUCUUUCAGUUGAUGAGCUGUAGAGUUCAUUACUUGUUCAUGAACAGAAAUUCAAAAGGCAUGACACAGAUGAUCAUGCCCUGAGAAUCUAUGAUGACAGAUUCUGUGGCAGAGGUCGUGGCAGAAACAAUUACAGAAGCCGAGGCCGUGGGGGCAGAACACAAACAUUCAAUAGAGACAUGGUGGAAUGUUUCAGGUGUCACAAACUUGGACACUUCCAAUACGAGUGUCCAACCAUGAACAAGGCAGCUAAUUAUGUGGAGCUAGAUGAUGAAGAUGAGAUGCUGCUAAUGUCCUAUGUUACAUUAGCUAAGACAACACGGAAUGAUGCAUGGUUCCUGGAUUCAGGAUGUUCUAAUCAUAUGUGUGGUUAUAGAGGUAUGUUCUCCUACUUGGAUGAAAAUUUUCAGCAUUCAGUCAAACUUGGAAACAAUAGCAGAAUGGCAGUAGUUAGCAAAGGCAGAGUAAAAUUACUAAUCAAUGGUAUUAAGCAUGUUGUUAAUGAUGUCUAUUAUGUACCAGAGCUUAAAAAUAAUUUACUGAGCAUAGGUCAACUACAAGAAAGGGGCUUAGCAAUUUUAAUUAAGAAUGGAGUUUGUAAGAUUUACCAUCCUGAGAAGGGUUUGAUCAUUCAAACCAAGAUGAGUGCAAAUUGGAUGUUCAUCCUACUUGCACAGACUCAAGCUCCCGUACAUGCACAGACUCAGAAUCAAGAGAAUUGUCUUCUCACCGGUUCUCAAAAUCCCUCAGUGCUAUGGCACAGACGGUUCGGUCACUUAAGCUACAAAGGCUUAAGAACCUUACAAUGGAGACAUAUGGUACAUGGACUGCCCACCUUCUCGACUCCCACCAUCACCUGCACAGAUUGCCUCAAUGGCAAGCAACACAGAGAGGUCAUGCCCAAACACAGCAAAUGGAGAGCAAAUCAGAAAUUGGAAUUAAUUCAUGCAGACAUUUGCGGUCCUAUUUCCCCCGAAUCCAAUAGUGGCAAAAGGUACAUAUUAUGUUUCAUUGAUGAUUUCAGCCGAAACUAUGGGCAUUUCUUUUAGCUACAAAAUCCGAAGCUUUCAUUUAUUUUAAGAAAUUCAAAGCUAUGGUGGAAAAAGAAACCCUAUUGCAUGUGAAGUGUCUAAGGACUGACAGGGGAGGAGAAUUUACCUCAAGUGAAUUCAACGAAUUCUGCAGCCAACAAGGUAUCAAACGGCAGCUCACCACGGCGUACACUCCACAGCAAAAUGGAGUUGCAGAGAGAAAAAAUCGAACCGUGAUGAACAUGGUCCGAUCAAUCCUCUCUGGUAAAGGGAUUCCAAAACCCUUCUGGCCAAAGGUAGUGAACUGGGCCUUCUAUGUGCUCAAUCGGUGCCCAACUUAUGCUUUGACAGACAUCACUCCUCAUGAGGCAUGGAGCGGAACUAAACCAUCAGUAGACCAUUUCAGGGUCUUUGGGUGCUUGGCCCAUGUUCACGUUCCAGAUGUGAAACGGAGUAAGCUUGAUAACAAAAGCUUUGUGUGUGUACUGUUGGGUAUGAGUGAGGAGUCAAAGGGGUACAAGUUGUUUGAUCCUUUAAACAAAAAAAUCGUGGUUAGCAAAGAUGUGAUCUUUGAGGAGGACAAACAGUGGGAUUGGGAUGUUGCUUAUGAAGAACAAAUCUUGACAGAUUUGGUUUGGGGUGACAGAGAAGGAACACGUGAAGAUGGUGAUAAUAGUGAUGACAAUCACGGGGAUGAGAGUGGUGAACGUGAGGCUGAAAUCAAUGGGGAAGAAGGGGAAGAAAACGAAGAACACAGACACAUUGUCUGUGAAGAUGAUGAAAAUGCUGAGAGAGAAGAAGAAGAAGCUGAGUUAAAUGAUCUUACGGUGUGUAUGCUGCCAGUUGGAAGAAUAGGUGAGCAGGUCAAUCCUACGGCAUGAACGCGGCCAAGUGAACAAAGGGAGAUGACAGAUGGCAAAAUAGAUGUUAAUCCAACGGUGAGAAUUCAGUCUGACAGGGAGAGUGAUUAGAUGACAUGUGGCGUACAUCCAACGGCACAAAACAUGGCAGACGGAGAGAAUGAGCUGCUGACAAGUGGAGACAAUCCAACGACUGACAUGCAAUCUGACGGGGAGAGUGGCCUGCUGACAAGUGGAAGAAGAGAAAGGGGUCCUCCGGUGUGGAUGCAAGAUUAUGUUACAGGGGAGGAUUUAUCUGAAUAUGAGUCCAAUAUGGCACUAAUUAUGUCUUCUGAUCCCAUUUAUUUUGAAGAUGCUGUGAAAGUUAACACUGGAGACUUGCUAUGGACAGUGAAAUUAAUGCAAUAGAGAAGAACAAUACCUGGACGCUCAACGAGUUGCCGGAGGGAGCAAAAAAAAUUGGAGUCAAAUGGGUCUACAAAACAAAGUACAACGAACAUGGGGAUGUUGAUAAAUACAAGGCAAGGCUAGUUGCCAAAGGGUACUCGCAACAACACGGAAUUGACUAUACAGAAGUCUUUGCACCAGUGGCAAGGAUGGAUACAGUAAGGAUGAUUAUUGCUCUCGCCGCUCAAAAAAACUGGAUUGUUUAUCAGUUGGAUGUCAAAUCGGCUUUUCUGCAUGGGGAAUUGCAUGAAGAUGUUUAUGUUGAUCAACCAAAAGGGUAUGAAAAGAAGGCUAGCGAACAUCUAGUUUACAAGCUGCAUAAAGCGUUGUACGGGUUAAAACAAGCUCCAAGAGCUUGGUUCAGUCGAAUCGAGGGUCAUUUUUUCAAUGAAGGCUUUCUACGGUGUGAAAGUGAGCAAACUUUAUUCACAAAGAGAAGCAGGGAAGGAAAGAUUAUCAUUGUAAGUGUUUACGUUGAUGAUCUAAUAUUUACUGGCGAUGAUACACAUAUGUUGUCUGAAUUCAAAAACUCCAUGAUGAGGGAGUUUGACAUGUCAGAUUUGGGGAAGAUGCGGUAUUUCUUGGGAAUCAAAGUAUUACAGCAUUCAGGUGGCACCUACAUAUGUCAGAAGAAAUAUGCACUAGAGGUGUUGAAGAGGUUUGGUAUGAUGGAAUGCAAUGCGGUGAAAAAUCCAAUAGUUCCCGGAUGCAGAGUCAACAAAGAUGAAGGCGAAGCUAAAGUAGAUGAAACAUAUUAUAAGCAGUUAGUGGGCAGCCUAAUGUAUCUCAUAGCAACAAGACCAGACAUGAUGUUUGUUACUUGUCUCAUCAGCAGAUACAUGGCCAAACCUACGGAACUUCAUCUACAAGUAGCAAAAAGGGCACUUAGAUAUCUAAGAGGGACAAUAAAUUUUGGAAUUUAUUACAAGAAAGGGGGAAGUGAUGAACUACUCUCAUUUACGGAUAGUGAUUAUGCUGGAGAUAUGGAGGAUAGAAAGAGUACAAGUGGAUAUGUUUUUUUGUUAAGCUCAGGAGCAGUCUCAUGGAGUUCGAAGAAGCAACCAAUAGUGACUCUUUCUACAACUGAAGCAGAAUUUGUAGCAGCCGCAAUGUGUGUAUGUCAAGCUCUUUGGAUAAAAAGAGUCUUGAAGGAAUUGGGACACUCAAAUAAUGAGUGCACACAAGUGAAAUGUGAUAACAGCUCAACUAUUAAAUUGUCCAAAAAUCCAGUGAUGCAUGGACGCAGUAAGCAUAUCGAUGUAAGAUAUCACUUUCUGAGAAAUCUUACUAAAGAAGGUACAAUUGCAUUAGUUCAUUACGGAAGUCAGGAUCAGGUGGCAGAUUUAAUGACCAAGCCUUUAAAGCUUGAUGCAUUUCUGAAACUAAGAACACUGUUGGGAGUCCAAGAAAUUACUGAUGUAAACUAACUGCAUACUGCAGUAAGUUUAAGGGAAGGAAUGAAAGGGUUUAUUUUUAGUAUUUGAAUAAGUCCACGAGUCCCUAGUCUUCAGGAAGAUAUACAUGGUCAAGAUUAAAUUAAGGAUUUUAGUUGCUUAUUUUUCGUUAUUUCAUGUGCCACGUUACUGUGAACGUGAGCUAUUUUUCAGUCUUAUUAUUAUUCCUGUAAGGCUAUUUAUUAGCCAUUUCCAUUCAGUAAAAGCAAUUCAUUCAAUUCAAAUACUGUGCACUUUUGUUCUUAUUCUUUACAGUAUCAUCUUUGAGUAUGCUUAUUUGUUAUAAUAAAUAUACCUUGAUGAGAUAUUAUCUUUAAGCAUGUCUUCAAAAACUUGGAAAGGAGUAGAAGCAUCAGGCUCUUCUUCAUCAAGGAACUCUGCCAGGCAAUAAGAUAAAGUAGCGACGUUGCUGAUGGAAAAACUUCACUCUUGAAUGAGUGCUGAAGUUAUAAGCCAGGUCAUUAGUUUGAAGGAGUAAAACUGGUUAGUAAAAUUUUAGGAAAACCAAUUCACACAUACGGAGUGUGUAACUAAAAUAAAUAAACAGGAAGUAGAAAACAGGAAAUCCAAUUAGUCUAAUAUGAUAUUUCUGUGAAAUAGAGGUUUUCUUUAUGAAAUUGUGGAGAUGAGAGGAGAUAAAUGCAGAUGCAAGAUAAAAAAAAACAAUAAAAAAAAACACAAAAGUAGCAUGGCUAGCAAAGGACUCAAAACACAAAAGUAUUUACCAAAUGGACGAUUAAUAUAAUAGUUGAUAGAGCUACACAAUUGUGAAUCAUCUUUAGCUUUUGGCUCCUGCAAACAUGUUACACAAUUUUCCAAAAUCAUGCAACUAACAGCCGAGUCAAUGUUACACAUAAGAGAGUGAAAAACACAGAAAAUGAACCUGACCUGCAUCCAAAUGAAAAACUUUCAAUCAUCUGUAUUGAAUUUCAAGAUGUAAACUCUUCCCAAAGCUUGAUUAACCUGAAUAACCCAAAGAAUUAUGAAUCUAUGAUAUUACAAUCAAUUAUUAGAGUCAAAUAUCUCCCAUCUAAGAAAAAACUAAGAGAGAAAAGUGUACCUUCUCAAAAACAGCCUCUUCAGAAAAAAAAAUCUGAUCCUGUCAAUCAACACGUCAAGAAAAAGCUACCAAGUUCUUACCUCAAAAGAAUAUUAACAAAACAAACAACAGAAAAAGAAAUAAAAACCAAUGUUGGAAGAGAGAAACAAAAUCCCCAGGCUAAAAAACAUAAUAAUAACUAGGACACAUCUUCCACAGCAUUCAAAUUCCUAUCAAGCCACUGGAAAUGAAGCAAACCCUCGUCACCCUGGAACAAUUCAAAAAUUUCGACUUCAAACAGGAAACAAGAUGCUAGAAACACUCUAUCUAGUACUUAAGAUAAACCAAAACAACAGAAGUAACUAAAAAUCUUUACACAGGUACGAACUCUGUAUAACACAAAAAAACCAAAAGACACCAGUUUACCCUUCCAAUGCGAACAAGUCCUUUUCGAGAAUCAGGAACAAACUUUUUUCCAUCAAAAACCAUUUUACCAGCACGAAACUCCAACAUAAUUUCCUACCAACAAAACAACCACAACAUCAUAACAUAACCCCAUCAAGAAAAACAUACUUAUACAUCCAAAAAAGCAAUUACAGGCUCUAAUUAAUAAGAUACAAGAUUUUAAGCAAAACCCACAAUUUUAAAAGUGAUUUUAUUUACCUGCAUUGCUGAAAUAUCUACAGCUGAUGAAGAACCCAUUUUUCGCAUACUUCCUCUAAAGCUUCCUUUUUUCCAACACUGCAAAAAAAAAAAAAGAAGAACAAAUCAAAUACCCAAAUCAGAAACAAUAACAGAAAAAAAAUAAAAGAAAAUCCAAUGCUGGAAGUUGUAAUCAGGAGGAGAACCAUACAAUUUCUGAUGGAAUGACAUUUUAUCAAGAAUUGAACUAGGCAUUCAGUUAAUUAAAUAGGUUGUAAACUUGUAAUCAGGUGAGAGUAGUGUCAACAUGUUUAGUUUUCCUCUCGGAAGUGUCAUUCUGCACAAAUCAGUGUUUUAAAAAUAUUAAAAAAAAAAUUUAAUUUGUUUUUAAAUUUGUUUUUUAGUGGUUUUCAUUUAUUUUCGUGUAUUAAUAUUAAAAAUAAUUUUUAAAAAAUAAAAAAUAUAUUAUUUCAAUUUAUUUUAAAAUAAAAAAAAAACUUAAAAAAAAUACUGUUAACACAGUAUUAAACAAACUCGAAUCCUAUAACCAGAUGAACAACGUUAAGAUAUUUGUUUUUUGUUUUUUGUUUUUUUUGAUAAUGAGGAUGUCCUAAACAAUCUUGCCUAAUGAUUGUUAAGAAAUGAAAGAGGCAAUGCAUGGCUAAACCAAUGGAAGCUAAAAAGCUAAUGAUGCCCCUAGCUAGUAAGCAAUUGUUGCCGCAAUGACAUAUGCCUCAUUAGAGAUAGAUUUGAAUUUACAUAUUAUUAUUAUCAUAUAUUUUGUAUUCUCGUUUAAAAAAAUAAAUAUUUUCCUUAUAUGGAGUAGAGUGUUUUUAAUUUUAUCAUGUAAAAUUUAUAUAUAUUUUAAAAAUUAAUACAAUAUACAGUUAAACAUCUAUAAAUUAAUAUCAUUGAGACCAUGAAAUUUAUUAAUUAAUCAAGAUAUUAUUUAGUAAAUAAAUUUAUACACUUAUCCAUUAAUCACAAAAAAAUUUCUUUUUCAAAAACAUUGAACUCAAUACAUGCAUUGUGUAUUCUGAUUAUAUGAAUAUUAUCUAAUUAUCAAAUUAUGAAUUAUCAUAGUUCUAUAUAUUUAUUUAAAUAAAACAAGUUUAAGAAUUAAUGUAAUCGAUCUUAUUAAUUAAUAAAAGUCAUGUAUGUAUCUAUUUUUGCAAAUUGGAUGCAUACUUAAUUAAUAUUAAGUCAAGAACAAAACCAAAAAAAGGAAUAUACAAGUGAGCCAAACAACAAUAUUAAAAACGAAUAAGAGGUUGAAUUAAUAUUCAUUAACUAAUAAUAAAAUUAAGAAGAUGAUACCAAAGGACACAAAAUCACAAAAAUUCGUGAAACUACAUAAGGCGGUUUGUUCAAUACCAAGAAAUUAAAUAUUUAAAAAAAAACUAAAUGAAUUGUUUAAAAAGUUAAAAGAAAAUAAAUGCACUUUUGUCCACGUCAACAACAACUAUAACAAAAUGCUGGGCUGUAGAAGAUUUUCCACAGCAACCUGAAAAAAUCAUAUAUGCUCAAGUAACUAUUUGGUAGAGCGUAUUUGGAGUGCUAAUAUCUUUUCUUUAUGGAAUCAGUCCUCGUACUCGAUCUCUGAAACCAGUUAAGGUUCUUAGUGACCAAAAUACUAGGUAGCGACUCUCAUUCCAUUUUUCCACUAAUAAAAGACAAGAAUUCCUUGUCUCCCCAUAGAUGCCUGAUAGAUAAUACAUUUUGAGAGUGGAUAUUUUCACCGCAACAUCGUAUACGUGCGACAUUAUGUAUACAGGUAUUUCACGAGAUGAUGCGGAGUGUUAAAUAUAAGCUUUGUGUUUAAAUCUGUUUUUUUAUGUAAUAUCUUUUGUUUUAUAUGUAAUUUGUAUUAUAUGUAGAUUUUAAUAUAUGAAUCCUAAAGAUAUUUGCUUUUGGUAUUUAUACAUUUAGAAUGUAUGAGUAAGGAACUAAUAUUAGUAAACUAUUUGAAAAGAAUACUUAAUAAUUAUAAUUAUGCAUGUUUAAAAGAUGGAUGCAUGUUAACGUAAUAAUUAGUUCAAUAUGAAUCCUUUGAGUUUAUAUUUGUAUGCAGUUAAUGUUUUAUUUUAAGAGAAUAUAAUUGCUAUGUUUUAUUUUUUUAUGAUGUAAGGUUGAGAAAGCACAACAAAGUAUUGCUAUGUGAAAUAUUGUAUGAUGAGAUGGGAUAUGAUCCAGGAUGGUUGAAUUGAAAUAGAAGAUUGAGUAUUGUGAUUGAAUGAAGUCUAGUCGAUAACUUGGUAACAUAAAAAAACAAAAGAAACUCUGCCGAAUUUUCUGUAGAAAAUUAGAUUUAUAUAAUAACUAUUACUUUGAUGAUAUAACUUUGAGAGUGAUACAUCAAAUGUGAGAUAUGUUAGACAAUAACCGCAAGACAAUAACGGUUCAAGACGUAGACAAUAACAAUUCAAAUUUCGGUAGUCCUCAUAUGAAUACCAUAUAUAUAUAUAUAUAACUUUACUCUGUUUUUCAGUUGCAUGAUAUUGUUAUUUUAUCCCGAUUGAGGGGGUGUUAUAAUUAUGGUCUUAUGAUCCGAGUCACUGAUUUAAAAGGUUAACCUAGAUUGACCCGGGUCGAUCCAAUAUGUUGUUAUCUCAAUAUUUUUUAAAAAAAUAUUAUCUUGAAUUUUUUGAAGUAAAACUAUAUGUUUAUCAGUCGUCCAGACUAUCUUUGGACUCAUUGAAUCGAUUGGGUCAUAUCGAUUCAACUCUUUUUUUUUAGUUAUAUUUGAAAUUUAAAUUGUAUAAUUUCAAAUUGGUUUGUUUUUAAAUGUCAAUUAAUAUAUAUAUAUAUAUAUAUAUAUAUAACAAUCCAAAAUGACAGGUUAAAAUACUAAAAAACCAAAACAUAUUGUUACAAUUAAAAAAAUAAAAUACCAAUUAAAACGGAAUUAAUUGACAACUUGCUUGGUAGAAGCAUGAAACUCCUCGCUGACAUUUGCAAGAGAUAGUUACUUAUACCAGUAGCAAUUUAGUAAUGAUUGAUCAGCAUUUAUAGUAAGAUGGGGCUAUUAAUUCAAAUGUUGAUGGCAUUAGUAACAAUGAUUUUCUUGGAAGGAUUGCUUCCUCUUGGUUGCUUGAAAAUAUACGGUUUUUUUUUAGUUCAAAUCUAUUAAUAUAAAUAUAGUUUUAUUGAAUAUUUUUUAUAUAAUCUUAUUAGAGAAAUCAAUGUAAACAAAUUUAUGGACAAACACUAGAUUAUCAAGUAUUUAAAUAGAAAAAUAAAACAUUGAUACAAGCUUUUAAAUAAAAAACAUUUAUAAUAAAUAUAAUUUGUACUUGUCAUUAUCUCUUUUUCAUUGCUAACACUUAACGAAUUGAAUAUAUAAUUCUCAUGUGAAUAACGUCAAAAUAAAUUUAGUUGCAUGACAUAAUAAUACCUAUUUGUUUUUUGUAUUUUAAAAAUAUUUAAAAAAAUUAAAUUUUUUUAAAUAAAUAACUUUUGAAUCAUCAAGUAGUGAAACACAGGAAAAGUGAAGAAAGUGAAGAAUAAUCAAAGUGGUGUGGGUCCACAUCAACUUUUGUCCAUGUUUUUGGUAUUAAUCUCUUCAUCCAUUUACAGCCGGAGAAAAGAGCAUCACUCAGUGCUUUCCUUGUCUCUUCUUGCUUAGAAGAUAAGGUAUGAGAACCUUCGAGUGCCACUCAUUUUAGUACAUAGACUAGAUAUUUGACCAUAACUUAACUGUUAGUUAAUUGUUUUUUCAAUUAAAAAAAUUUAUAUAUAGAUUUCUUCAACGUAUUGUUUAUUUAAAAAAUCUUAAGUGAAAAUUAAGAAAUUUAUACACAAAUAUAGUCAAAUAAAUUGAGAAUUAUAUGUGUUAAUAAGUGAAAAAAAAACCAUAAACGAUGACUCAAAAUAAAAACUGGAAAAAUUGAGAGACAGGUGCUGAUCAAGAUAUUUAAUUUCACAAGACGUGACAUUUAUGCAGUUGUGUUUUUAAAAUUUUCUAAUUAAAAUAAUUUUUUAUUCAAUCAAACGAUAAUAAAAACAGACACACAUUAUAAAUUGAUUGAAUAAAAUAAAAGGAGAAAAAAUAAUAUGCAAGCCUACACAUAUUAAAAAUAUUAUUUGAAAAUACAUUUAUUUUUAUUUUCAAAAAUAAAAUUCAUCUAUACAAAAGAUUUUUAAAAAAUAUAGAUUAAUCACAAAAACCUCCUCAAAAAUUAAAUGCAUAAUUAAAAAAUAAUUAUCAUUUCAAAUAGGCUUUCUAAAUAAUAUAAAAGAGAGAAGGGAUAUAAAUAUAAAUAUAAAUAAGAUUAAGAUUAAGAUUAAUUUAAAAAAAUACAAACAAAAAAAAAGAAAAUAUUUUUUCUUAAACAAAAAAAAGUGAACAAUGUCGUUCACAGUAAAACUUGUGGGGUGAACUCGAACUCAACCGAGUUUAAUAUUUUUCCUCUUAAAUUUAUAACAAACCUAAAAAAAGUAAACAAUGUCGUCCAUUGUAAAACAUGAGGAGGUGAAUAGUGCAACUACACAGUGUUCACCUUAUAUAUUUUUCCUCUUAAAUUUAUACCAAAACCGUAAUAAAAAAAGGUGACCAAUGUUGUCCAUAGUAAAACGUGAGGGGGUGAACAACGCAUCUUCAUAGUGUUCACCCCGCACACCUUAGCUUAUUUAGGGUGAACCUGAAUCAUGAACUCAAUCGGGUUUAAUAUUUUCCCCUCUUAAAUUUAUAGCAAACCUAAAAAAAAGGUAAACAAUAUAGUCUAUAAUAAAAUAUGAGGGGAUGAACAAUACAGAUGCACAAUGUUCACCUCACAUAUUUUUUUCCUUAAAUUUAUAGCAAAACCUAAUAAAACAAAUAGUGAAUAGUAUAUUCAUUGUAAAACGUGAGAGGGUGAACAAUGUGGCUAUAUAAUAUUCACCCCACAUGCUUUAGAUUAAACGUGAGAUGGUUAUUUUUUAAAAUAAAAAAAAAUUAAUAAGCAGGCUAUUACAAUGCGCUUUUUAAUGAUGACGAUAUUUGUAGCAAAAAUUUCAAAGGAUUUAAUACAAAUCCAAGCCAAAAUAUUUCACUAGAUUACUAUUUUACGAUCUUCUUAAAACUUGGGUUCGAGCUUGUCAUGUUGAAUCAUCUCUUCUAGAAUCCUUUUUACCGUCUAAUGACUGCCGCUUAUGUUUGUGCAAUUUCUUGUUUACUAGUAAAAUUGUACAGACGUGGGCUUGAAGCUGUUAACUUUCCCUGGACUGGUUAUGUAAUAUAUUUAUAGGUCUAACUGUAUACUAUCACUUGGUCCAAGAGGCAAUAUUGCAAGAUUCCAACGAAAUCUACUGUAAUCUACUGUCCUGGGACAAGAGUUCCAAAAACAUCUACUCCAAAUUUUGUUCUUUUUGAAUCUUUAGUUAUUUUUAUUUUUUCUCAUCAUUUUUUAAAAUAAAAAAUAUAAAUAAAUUACUACAAAAUGAAUAAAACAAAACCAGAAUAAAAAAGUAACAUUAAACAGCAGCCAUUUCAUCAGCUUUAAUUUUAGUAUAACACAAUAAUAUGAACCAACCUUGAUUCUCGAAGGCACCCAACUAAUUCAUUAGCCUUCAAAUUGCCAUCACCUAAUUUCACGAUCCAUGACCGACAUAUAAACAAGGGUCCUCUCCAAGUUCCCAUACAUAUACGAAUCCAAAUAUACAUAGAAACUUAUCUUUUAAAUAAGUCAAUUAGAGUUCAACACAAUAUUAAUAACAAAAUUAAUUAAAUAAGUCAAUCAGAGUUCAACAUAACAUUAAUAACAAAAUUAACUUCAUAAUAUAAUUUGAUUGUCUUAAUACAAAAAUUAAUACAAAGUUCGUAGUUGUGGAGCACUAUCUAGACAUAAAAAAAAUCAUAACAAAAACAACAAGGGAGGGGGUUUGAUAGUAUGUAAUACAACAACUAGAAAUAUAUAUAUAAUUAUGGCUUUAGGUUUUUAUAAAAACGUUUUUUAAAUAGAUCAUAUAAGAACAACGGAGGAGGGGGUUUAACGGUAUGUAUUUGCCUGCUAGUAAAAAUUGGUUAGCACCUAAACAAGGUCCUGUGCUAAAUCUAAAUUGGUAAGAUGUGAUAUGCUAAUAUCUAGAAAGAUAACUUAAUCUAUCCAUUGAAGUAAAGCAUUUAAAUGCGUAUACAAUGUUUUUGGAACAUUAAAUAUCUAUUUGAUCAGAAUCUGAUGGGGCAAUAGGUGAUGCAGGCAUAAACUAGAAAGACAACAAACAAACACAAAGAAAAAAGAUUUGUUAAGCAAACAGGGUUGCAAACUUAAACACUAAAUUCGCAAUUUAUUAUUCUGAAAAAAGUCUAAUGAUGUUUGCCUCUCAAAGAGGUUUCUAAAACAUUUAAAUAUGCUAAAAAACCUAUCUCUAUUGGAAAAAAAAAAUUCAGAAUCCAAAAGAAUAAACAAAAACUACAUAAAAUCUGAAAUAAAACAAUAAAUAUGAAAAAAAUCAAGGAAAAAUAGCUAAAUUGGCUCAAAACAGGAUCUUAUGAACCUAAUUUCAGGGGAUCCGAACAUCAAAUGAUCAACAAAGUAUGUUUCCAAUUGAGAUGGGCCUUAGAAAUCUCCUAUAAAAAUUGAGAUCUAAGCAAAUUAAGUGAUAUUUGUUUGAGACUUCGCUAACUACAUAUAAAGGAAUUAAAAAUAAAUUAUGAUGAUCAAUUCAAAAUCAACAAAAUAUUAAAGUGAAAUUGGAAGCAAAAACAGGGCAAAAAUCAUUAAAUCAAAAGAAGAAAAAAUUAGAAGAUAGAAUUUAUUUAUUUUUUUUAAAAAAGGGGGGAGGAUAUGAAUAGUGAAGUAGGAGGGAAAAACCUAAUUUUUUUAGUAUAAUAAAUAAUUUUUAAUUAAAUUAAAAUCUUCAUCUCAUACAAUUAGACCCAAAAAGAGUUAAAUAAAAAAGGGAAGAAAAUUUCUAAAGAUAUAAGGACCAAUUUAAAAAAAUAAAAGGAAAAAAAAAUGAAAAAACACCAAAUCAAGAAACGAAAAAAUAUAAGGACCAAUUUAAAAAAACAAUAAAAAAUAUAAAGAGUGAAGGAGGUAGAGAAACAUAAGUUUUUUAGUAUAGUAGUUUAUUUCUAGUUAAAUUAAAAACUUUAUCUCAUAUAAUUAGGCCAAAAACAAUUUUUUAAAAAAAAUAAGGACUAAUUUGUAAAAAAAGAAGAGAAAAAAACAGAAUCAAAUCAAAAGGGAAAAAAAACUAAUUUAAAAAUAAAAAUAAAAUGCUUCAUUAUUCAUGUAAAAACAAAACAUCAUUAUAGUAUCCAACUAGACAAGUGACCUACACUACGGGCUAUCCUAAUUUUUUUAAAGCAAAAUUUUUUUUUAGCAUUAUUAGAUGUGAGAAAAUAUUUUUUAAAAAACAUACAUGUGUACAAGAUAGGAGAGAUUUGGUUUGAGAAUGCAUGCUAAAAAUCUAAACAUGAACUAAAACAAAGUGGAAUUAAAAAAAAAAAAAAAACUUAAAAGAGAUCAGUGAUUCAUUAUAGACUGUGAGGUAAAACACUGUAGAUUAGCAUAAUAUAUUUAUUUUUUGACCUUCUCUACGUAAAAUAAUUGCCUUGCUAACAGGGUAAAGUUGUUAUUUUCAAUGGAUCUAAAGGUUAUUUGUAAAUUGAUUGGGAAUAAUUUAGUAGGUUAGCUAUUUUAUUUGCGUAGUAAAAUGACGUCAAUACCCUUGAGAGUUCAAAAAUAUUGACCUUGACAAAGGCAUUUUUUAGUCUUUUCCAUGUUUUGUAUACUGUAAAAUGACAAAGUUAACCUUAGAAUAAAAAAAUCUAAAGCUGGUCUGGGAUAGCAUUUUCAUCUUUGCAAUAUAGCUUUUUUGUAAUAUUUAGAUGCUCUUAUGAGCUAUUUAGCAAUUUAAAGUAUUGAAAUAUUAAUAAAUCAAUAAACAAAGGCUGACAUGUGUGUAGCACGUGUCAACACGUGAUAGUCCACCACGUCAUUUGGGAGGCGUGUGAUAGUCCAACAUGUAAUAUGGAGGUGUAGUUGAUGACGUGGCGUGUCGUCAUAUUUGUAGUGGUUUAAUGGUGAUAAAAAAAUUUUCCCGUCCCCCUCUUUUCUCUCUCUAAGGCUUUAGUAUUCACGCCGAUGCUUUAAAAUUUCACUUGUAUCCUUUGGAUUGUAUUUAUAUUAAGUUUGAUUCUUAUUAUUUUAAUUUCUAUUUAUUUUGAUUUUAGUGUUUUUUAAAGAAAAAAAUUUCAAUUUCAUUCCUCAACAUUUUAUUUCAUUUAAUUUUUAUAUUAAACUUGGUCCUCAUUCUUUUAAUUACUAUUUUCUAUCCUUUACUUAAUUUUUUUAAUUUUAUUUCUUAUUAUUUUAUUUUAUUUUAUUUUGUUUGCAAUUGCAGUUCUUUUUUUUUUUUAUCCCUAGUAAGCAAUUGUUGCCGCAAUGACAUAUGCCUAGCAAGAGGAAAAAAAAAAAAAAAAAGAGACGCUUGAAGGUUAGAGAAGGCACCUCUGAGUGGAAGGAGGCUGAGGUGCGCUAUUUUUGAAGUAUGUGAAAAUCAUAUGUUUCAAUGCUACUUCUUGCAAGAGUCUCCUUAACCAACCUAGAGUGUUAUAUUAGACUGCUAACGUAUUUUAUAAAAAUAUUGAUAAAAAUAUUUUUGGAUAAUUUUUUUUAUUUUAUUUGAAUUUAUUUCUUAAAUAAUUUAAAUUAAUAAGAUAAUUACAUAAAAGAUAAUGUUAGUCAAGUUAUCUUUUUACCAACCAUAAAAAGAUUUUUACUAAUCCAAGCCAACAAAAUAACAAUUACAUGUAUAAAUUGUCAUAUGUUGGAAAAAGGAGUUAGCUCAUAUUUUAGGGAUUAUAUUAAAGUGUUAGCAUCUUGCCUGGUUAGAAAUAGAAUUGAAUUUACAUAUUAGUAUUAUCAUAUAUUUUGUAUUGUCGUUUAAAAAAAUAAAUAUUUUCCUUAUAUGGAGUUAAGUGUUUUUAUUUUUAUCAUGUAAAAUUUAUAUAUUUUUUAAAAUUAAUUUUUCUAAUCAUCAAAUUAUUUUUAUUUUUUAAAAUUUAUAUAUUUUUUAAAAUUAUUUCUUAAAAAUAAAUUUAUUUUUCUAAAAAAUUGAACUUAAUACAUGCAUAUUAUCUAAUCAUCAAAUUAUGAACUAUCAUAAUUCUAUAUAUUUAUUUAAAUAAAACAAGUUCAAGAAUUAAUGUAGAUCAAUCUUAUUGAUUAAUAAAAUUCAUGUAUGUAUCUAUUUUUGCAAAUUGGAUGCAUACUUAAUUAAUAUUAAAUCAAGCAAAAAAUCUAUAAAAAGAAUAUACAAGUGAGCCAAACAACAAUAUUAAAAACGAACAAGAGGUCGAAUUAAUAUCCAUUAACUAAUAGUAAAAUUAAGAAGAUGAUACCAAAGGACACAAAAUCACAAAAAAGCAUUUAACAUUCAGAGAAAGAAGCCUGCAACACCCAUUAAGGAAAAGAGAGAAGGGAAAGAAAUGUAGAUUAAUUGAUACAGAGGAUCACCUUGUUCCAGACCAGCGCGAGACUGUAGAAGAAUCCAGACGAACCAAGAGCAAAAAAUGCAGGAGAGAUAAUCAUGAGAGAAACAAAUUCAUAUAUCCACGAAUACGUACAACAUUUGAAACCUAUAAUGCAAGAAUAGCUGCAGAUGUACAUUAAUAUUUUUAAUUUAAAGAAUCAAUUAAUUAUUUAAAAAACUUGAGGGAUUAAUUUGUUUGUUUCACAUAAAACAGACACUAAUUAUAUAAAGUUUUACUCAAAAAACAGACACUAAUAAUCAUAUGCGUGAGUGUUUACUUGUAAAUAUUUUGGAAGGAACUGGUUUAUGUUUUGCGCAUCAUGAAAAAAUCAUAUAUGCUUAAGUAACUAUUUGGCAUCAAUCUAGUAAAUUAAUCUUAAAUUCCUUUUAUCCAACUCUUGCCGUUUUAAAAUUAAUCAAUGUAAAAGUUAACCAAACAUGAUAAAAUCAAUAUAAUGGGUUUACGAAUACAUAUUAAAUUAAUCUUGGUUUUAUAGCUUAAUUUUCUAAACUCACUACUCAAAUAAUGAACUACAUCUAGUUUUAAUUUUUUUUAUUUAAUAUUAUAAUAACAAUACCAUUUCAAAAUUAACCAAAUAUAUAUAUAUAUAUAUAUAUAUAUAUAUAUAUAUAUAUAUAUAUAAUAGAGUUUAAAAACAAAUGAACAAUAUGAUAUUGUUCCAUUUUACUAUAAUGAUGAAGUUUUCACAAAAUAUAAAACUUAAAUUAAAUUAAGGCAACAAUCAAUUCUUUAGCUUUAAAACGAUUUAUUAUUUGCUUUCUAGUGGUAGUAGUAGGAUGAUUGGAAUAAUUUUUUUUCCAUUAACAAUAGAAUUGAGAAGGCCCGCCACAGACCAAGAGGACAGCUUCAAUGAAGCCAUCCCAGCCGAUGCAGGUGAUUACCCGUCGGCUGACAUCUCCUCGCGCGCAUAGCACCAGCCAAACCACCUCAAUCUGAAAAUGCACCAGACAAAGUCAAUGGAAAGACGCCAGGGAGCCUCAGCAGCCGAGAAGAAAGCGAGGGAACACCCACCGCGCGAGAAACACGAAAAACAUAGAGGGAGCGCGGUAAAGACUGUGAAGCCACAGAAUUCACACAUUGUGCACCGUGUUUUAAUGAGCACUCUUAGUUUAUUUUAUAUAUAAUUCUUUUAGUUUUAGUUUUAGUUUGUUGUGUUAUGAACAGUAAAGCAGCACAAGAAUACGUCUGCGUCAAGCUCUGUUCACUUUGGUCCGACAUUCCUCACCUCUCCCCACCUUAGCUCUCUCUCUUUCCCUCCUCUGCUUUUAGAAACCGCCGCUGCCACCUCAACCAAUAAGGCUUCAAAUCUCACCCAGGUGCUUCCUUUUCUAUUAUGUUUUUGUUUUUUAAAAAAGAUUUACGUCCGCGUUUUCAUUUAUUUAAUUGAAGUUACUAUCCAAAGAGAGAAAUUCGAUUUUAAUAAGUAAAUUAAAAAGAUAUAUAAUCGGAUCCAAUGAAAUCGCUGCUCGUGAACGCAACUCGAAGAAAGGCGCAAUCAGUCGAUUCUACUGUGGGUGGAGCAUUUAGUAUGGUCAGGGUUAUUGUGUUGUCUAUUCAAAGAAAGAUGUGCCUGUAAAUUUAUUAAGUUGAUUCUUAUCAGUCUGCUCUUUAGAGUUGAUGAUAACAUGAAAUAUUCAUUGUUGAUGCUUGUCGUUUUCUUCUUCAUUUUCCUAGCUUAAAACAUCCUAGACAAUCUCUUUGGGAUGGUUUAGUGUUUCUGGCCUCUUCAUCUUCUAUUUGUGCUGUGGUAUUUAGUUUGCUGAUAUUCAUUGGGGAUUGAAAGGCCUCGUUUUAUGACUUUGUUUUCUUCUUAUUUCUUUAUUCUUUUGGGGAUGUGAUAUUUUCCUCUUUCUAUUUACACUAUUGGCUCCCUACAAUAUUUUUUCCUUCAGAGAAGUAAAUAUAUACAUAAAUAACAAGAACAGGAGGGGAAGGGGAGGGGGGUUUGACAAUAAGUAUUUGCUUAGAAGGGAAUGCUUCUUUGGUUUAGAAGCACCAUGAAGAUUCAGGCCCAUAUUUGGCUGGUUUCUUUAAUAAAGUACAUGAUAUUCCAUUUUUCAUGUCCUUGAUGUGCUUUUACUCUUCUUGCCGUUCCUGACUUUCUUUUUAGGGUAUAUUCUAACAUGCAAUAUGUUUUUUUUUUGUUGGCCCACUGUCCCAGGCGGAGAACCUGUCAUGGACAUGGGUGAUUGCAGAAUUCAAUUGCAGCCUGACUCACGGAAAAGAAUAGUCAAAAAUUUUUUUUAUUUAUAUGAAAGAAAAGGAGAAGGGCAGAAGGUUAAUUAAAAUCAGCAGGAUUGCCAUGAGGCAACCUCAAGUAUCACGCACCUCUUUUUUUUUUCAUCUUUUCAUGUGUUUCUCACAAGAAGCAAACUUGAGGGAACAUAAAGUGCUGGGAAGUAAUUUUUGUUGGAAUUUCUUGUCUAAUCUCUUCUUUUGAUGAUGACCUCUUGGAUGGCUGCAUGAAGCUUGUUCCGCUUUAAAUUUCAAGGUUAAUCUAUUGCUAUGAGCAUACGUGUUUCAAUUUAAAACUCGAGUUGCAACUGAACUUAAAUAAAUGGUGUUGGAUUUGUGCUUUCUAUUUGUUUUAACUUCUACAGGGUUGAAAUGAUAGUGAUCUUAAACUAGAAAAGCAGCAGACAAAAAUCAAUUAGCCACAAUGGUGUAUGGUUUCUCAGCAUAAAGUUGAAAUGAUAGUGAUCUUAAACUAGAAAAGCAGCAGACAAAAAUCAAUUAGCCACAAUGGUGUAUGGUUUCUCAGCAUAAAGUUGAAUGUUUUGUUGACCUCUUUACAUCCAAAAUCAUAUAGACAGCUACUGCUAGCACUUGCAGUGGUCAAUGAAUACUGUAGAGUAUAUAUUGCAGUGUGAGAUAAGGUUAACUCAUUGCAUUUUCAGAUAUUGAAAGGAUUUCUCUUCUUUUCUUUGUCAAUUACAGGACAUGCAUCGAAGUGUUCUUACUGAGAGUAAAUGCUAUUGUAAUGUUUUCACAGAGACUCCCCUGCUUUGCAACUAAGUCACUAAUAUAUCUUGGAACAUAGCCAUAAAUGAAAGGUUCUUCCAGAUCAAGAAAAUUAACCAUGAAGCUCGUAGCUAGAAUUUUUAGACAGAAAGGUGGCCAAGUACGCUGUACCUCUGGAAUAAUACAGGGAAAGGAUGUCUAUGUAUUUUGAUGUCUUAUAUUACUUGACCAACUCUUGCUUAUCUCAUUAUUUGUUUUUACUUUUUGCUAAUGAUUCCACACAUUUCUGAUAUUGGUGUGGUUUAUGAGUUUAGGGUUCUCGUUGCUGCUAACUUCUCUAUACUUUGCCUGGUCAUUAAAAAUCAAACGUAAUGAUUUGCAUAUGCAGAAUGGAGACAUUAAAAAGACAUCUUCUAUUUUCUGGUGAGGAGGGAUUUCAGGAACUCAAGAAAUUUUCCAUACGUUUUGAGGAAAAGAUUUAUACUACCGCUAACAAUCAGGUAUUUGCCUAAUGCGAGGUUCAAUAAUUAUGAUAUUAUCUAGACAUGAAUAUACACACGCAUUUAUGCUUGUACAAAUGUGUGUGUAGUGUGCCUACACUUCCUCACCGUUCAUUCUGUAUGCAAGGUUGAUUGGGAGUUCACAUCAUUUUGUUAAUUCUCUUGACAAGUGUUUUAUUUAGAGUGACCAAGUUCAAGUACAAGGGAAGAAUGCAAAAAGCAAAUAACGAAUCAAUACAUAAAUAAUUAAAUAAAAAGAGAGGUAACAGAAGUAUAUCCUCAUAGAAGAUGAAAUGAUAGAGUAUAUAUCUAUUUUCCUCCUCUGGUAACAUGGAUUGCUCUGAGAUCUACUGUUUUGUUAUUAAUAUCUGAUUUCAAUCUGAUUAUUUGCAUAAAAUAUCUCUGGAGAUGCUUUCGAUGGAGACCAGGUCUCAAAAUGCCAUGCUCACUACACCUAUGGAUCCAGCAGGUAAUAAUGCAGCCGAGCAUUGAAUUUCUAAAUAUCUUACCUUUUGUUUUUCUUCUCGCAUUGCUAUCAAACUCUUUUACAUUUUAUUGCUGCAUAUUGCUAUGUAUAUCGCCUUGCUGGAAAAAUCUCAUGAUCACCUCCACGAUGAUAAUUUUGUAAUGCAUGUGAAGUGUUUCAUCCUUAACUUGUUAAGGAACAAGGACUGUGAUGCAUGGUAUUUUAUAUUUUAUGAUUGAGAUGGUAGAUUUUAAAGAUUUUCAUGUUAAGGAGAUAAGACGUCACUUUCUUGCUUUUCUUCCGAGAGAGUAUUUGAUCCUUUUUUCAUAUAAAAUAAUGCUGGCAUGCAUUGAAUUUCCAAACAUCUUACCUUUUGUUUUGUUUGUCGCAUUGUUAUCAAACUCUUUUACAUUUUGUUGCGGCAUAUUGCUAUGUGUAUGGCAUGCUUUAAUCAAAAAGUUGAGUAAUUGAUGAAUGUUAGGCAAGAAAAUUACAGAUUAUUUUUAUUUUCUACCUCCUCCUUCUCUUUCCCCCACCCCGAAAAUGGUCAUAUUAUUUUUUUUUUCAGCCACCUCUUCUUCCCCCAACCUUGAAAAUUGUUUAUAUUUGCUUUGGAAGCAUGGCAAACUUCACUGCCUCUCAGCUUAAGGAGAUUGCAGCAGGUCUCGAAGCUUCUGGGCAUCAGUUUAUUUGGGUAGUUAGAAGAAACAAAAAGAGUCAAGAAGACAAGGAAGAUUGUUUACCUCAAGGAUUUGAGGAAAGAAUGGAAGGCAAAAGGCUAUUAUCAGAGGAUGGGCACUCCAAGUUUUGAUUCUUGAUCAUGAAGCAAAAGGUGCAUUUGUGACUCAUUGAGGAUGGAACUCAACUCUUAAAGGCGUAAGGCAAAUAUUUGAUGAGCAAUUCUAUAAUGAAAAGUUGGUGACUGAUGUUUUAAAAACUGGAGUUAAGGAAUGGCUUAGAGUGCAUGGAGAUCAUGUUAAAAGUGAAGCUGUAGAGAACGCAAUCACUCAAAUUAUGAUGGGUGAAGAAGCAGAGGAAAUGAGGAGCAGAGCAAAGAAGCUUUCAGUGCUUUGAUUUAAUAACUGCAAAAAAUGAAAGGUUGUUGAAGAUGGUGGAUCUUCUUGCUCCGAUUUCAAUGCUUUGAUUGAAUAACUGAGGUGGGGUAGCCUUUGAAACAGAGGCAUAGAAUAUAUAUAUAUAUAUAUUUUAGCUUUUUUAGUUUAACGUGGGUGUUCGGGCCAGCUUGCGCGCACCUCGACUAAUCCCACGGGCCCUGAAGUUAACGACCAUGUAAGUCUCCAGUGGCCAUCAUAUGAGCAACCACAGGGCUCGAACCUGAGACCACAGAGGGAGCAAACCUUUUAGUCCCAAGCUCUUACCACUGGGCCACCACCUAGAUGGUUAAGGCAUAGAAUAUUUUGUUUCUACUUAGUAGUGGUUUUGGUAAUUUAUUUUCAGACAAGUCUUGAGAGUUGAAAGAGUAAUCACAGCCGAGUCAAUGACCAAUCCAAAUAAGUUCCCUUCCUAAUGGUUCAGGAAUGACAAGUCCAGCAUAUAUAUUUAGCCCAAAUAACUUUUCAAAUAAAAUGGCUGAGCUUAGAGACAGUACACUACAAAUUAAGCACCCAUUAGCUAGACAUACAGGACAAACAAUCAUCACAAACUAGAAACGACUGUCUUCCCAGUAACAAACUCACCUUCUCAAGUUGGAGAACUUGCGAAAACUAGCUACUACAAUAUAGUAGCAAGUAUCUAUGCAGUCUUCGAUGAAGUACGACCACCUGCGUCGCCAAUAUGGAUUGAUGUAAAGAACUGCUACAAUCAUAAUCACCACGACUGUGUAACUUACACCGAAAUUGAUGUAGAAAAACUCCAUGUCUAUGAAACCAUCAUCUCCUUGUUCAUCAUUAGGCACUGGUUGUGAUGGCAUUGGCUGUGAUGGCACUGGCUGUGAUGGCACUGCUUCUUCACUACAAUUGUUUUGCAAUGGAGGUCCACACAAGAAAGGAUUUCCUUCGUAACAGCUUUCAUCGAAGGUCCCAAACUGAUAUUUUCUCUCGGGUGUCUUACAUGACAAGUUAUUGUACGCCACACUAAAAACUUCCAGUGUGGUAAUUUCAGUAAGUUGUGGAGGGAUGACACCAUUCAAGUUGUUGUAAGAAAGAUCCAAACUCUCAAUCUGUUUUAGGUUUGAGAAUGUUGCUGGGAUAGAUCCAGUGAGAUUGUUGUGUGAUAAGUUUAAUGACAAUAUCUUACUUAAGUUUCCAAAUUCCGGUGGGAUUGCUCCUACGAAGUUGUUAUUGGAGAGAUCAAUACCAGACAUGUAGUUGAGAGUCUUCCCCUUGUAACCAUAAUACAUAUUUUUAGUUGUAAAUUCUAUCACUUCUUCUGUAAAGUUAAGCAGAAAACCCUUUCUCAAGUUGUACAUACUCUCCACUAGUGGUGGACCCAUUGUUUCAUAAUAAGCUUUUUCUAUGGACCUUGAUAGAACACCAGCUCCGAGAUCCGUGAAUGCUUUCUGGGAACUUUCCUUGAAAGUAAGAUUGCCCAAACAGGAGGGUAGUGGACUAGAGAGCUGGUUUUGUGAAACAUCCAAAAUGCUUAAAUGUUCUAACAAGCAUAAUUGAACAGGGAGCUCACCAUCAAAGUGAUUAGCCCUCAGAAGAAGAACACUCAAUGAUGAAAGAUUGCCAAUCCAAUUUGGAAUGGAGCCGGUGAAGCUGUUAUCUUGAAGAUCCAUCGUAACUAAGAAAGAGCUGUUAUAAAAUCUAUAUGUUAAUGGACCGCUCAAUCUAUUUUCGGAUAGAUGCAUAUGGAUUAGAGUUGAUGGACUGAAACAAGAUGGUAUAUAUCCAGACAAGUUGUUCUCUGAAAGGUUCAAAUAUUCAAGUUGAUCAAGCUUACAAAAGUCUCUUGGGAUCGGACCCUUAAAAUGGUUUUUGGACAAAUCAAUUGCUGCAAGAAUCGUAGAAUUAAGAAAGCUCCUUGGAAGCAUGCCUGAAAAUUGAUUGUUACUCAAAUCCAAUACAAUCCACAUUUUCCACCUAUAUAAUGAAAAAUCUGAUAUCUGACCCCAAAAGUUGUUACCACCUAGAUAGAGAUAUUCUAAGGUAGAAGAAUUGAACAACGAGGUCGGUAAUUGCCCACCCAAAUUGUUGUUUGACAGCUUGAGAAACCAUAUUGUUGUUAGUUGUUCUAGUUUUACUGUGGACAAUUGAUUGUUGGAUAAAUCUAAAAUUCCCAAAGAGCUAAUAUUUCCUAAACAAGAAGGAAUACAACCUGUGAAUCCAUUCUUAGCCAUCCUUAAGCUCUUCAGAUUUUGAAAGAUCAAACAAAUAUCCUUUGGAAUUUGACCGCUCAUGUUGUUGUUGGAUAUAUCUAAUUCGGUCAUAUUUAGAUAUGGGUGAUUUGGCAACUGCAAAGUACCAACAAAGGAGUUCUCACUCAAAUAUAGUUGCUCCAAUCGUGUAUUGUUCUUAAGCAACCACGAUGGAAACAUUCCGGUGAUGUUGUUGUGGGAGAGAUCAAGGACUCUUAAGUCGUAUUGGUAAUAGAGGAAGUUGGGAAUCUCUACAUUGACUGCUUCUAUUGUUUUUGACAAACUAAAAAAGACUAGUUGGAACUUUGGAAUCAAAUGAUCAAAGGCAGCAGGUUCUGUUACUAGUCUAUUGUUCUCAUUGCAGAAGAACUUGAGGCUUGAGUGGUUCAUAAAAGGCUUCAUUGAAAUGGGAACUUCAAAGAGGUUAUUUGAUAGUGAGAGGAAUUCAAGAGAUGUGAGGUUGGUAAGAGGACCAGAGGCAAUAUUUCCAGUAAACUGGUUUUUAGAAACAUCUAAUAGUUGUAGAGAUGACAAGUUUCCUAAACAAUCUGGGAGUGAACCUUCUAAAUUAUUUCCAAAGAGAUCUAACUGCUUCAGAUUCUUCAAUUCACACCAACCUGUAUAAUUUAUCUCGAAACAGUCAAAAUAGCUAAAUAAUUAAAAGAUUACCAUAGAAGAGGAUGGAGUGUUGUUAAUUUACCUUGAGCGGGUAGGGUGCCAUGGAGGUCACAUCCACCAACAGACAAAACCUUAAGAGCAGGCAAUGCUCCAAUGUUCUGGAGAAAGUUUACUGGGAGAGAAGUACGAUCUAGAUUCAAUUCUUCAAGAGUGCUAGAAUUGAAGAAAGUCCCUGUGAAAAAGAAAGAAGAAGAGAUAUGAAGAAAAUAAUGGUGGUACAGAAUAGCCAUUCCAUUCAAUAUUAUUAAUUAAUAUUUUAAGAAACUAAACUAUGAUUAACCUUGACUUAAAUUAGUAUCCUUGAGAGAAAGGGUCUUCAGGGAUGGCAAUGACUGCAGGAAGUCCAGCUUCCUUAAACCUAUGAUGUGUAGAAUUGAAAACAGGCAAUCAAGUAAGUAGUGAAAUUAAGCGUUAUCUUGAUCGAGUUUUUAAACCUAUGAUAAAAAACUGAUAUUGAAUAUACUUUUAUAAUGAUAUGAUUUUUGGAUAGAAACAACAAAUUGCCUGAAAAAUCCAGAGAUUUCAAAAGGUAUUGUUAAAAAAUGAAGUAAAUAAUAUUCACAACUUUACCAUUGACAGUCGUCGAUCCUAGCAACAUAUUGCCUGAUAAAUUUAAAGACUUGAGAUAAGAAAAUCCACGCAGAUGUGAUAAAAUGCUGUCGUUGAAUAUAUUAUAGCUCAAGUCCAGGUUCUCGAGUUUCCCUAAAUGUGAUGAUAUGAUCUCAAAACCUGCAAGAGUAAGUCAUCAUGAGCUCACGAUAUGCAUAAUAUAUAGAAACUAAAGAUAAUUAGAAUUGAUGAGAUGCUGUUGUUCAAUUGAUAUAUGAUUCUCAAAUUAUACAUAAAAAUAAUGAUACAUGAACGCAUAUGUCAUUAUAUAACAGGUUGUGCACACUUCAAAGAUUAAGAAACAAUUUUUAAUCAUUCUAAUUUUGAUCUUAUUGGAAAAAAAAAAAAAAUUUAUGGAUAUAAAGUCGUUAAAGAUGGAAACUAAGUCAAACAUGAUAAAUGCUAUCAUUAAAUUGAUCAUUACAUAGAUAUAAAGUACUUAUUUUUUAUGAUAAUGCAUGUAACGAGUAUUAUUGAUUAUUGUUCUUGUUUUAAUUACCGAUGAGAAAUUUUGAACAAUCAUUUGAUUUUAUUAGUUUUGAAUAAUAUAAUAUUUUUGAAGAUUAUAAAAUGUUAUGUAUUUUUAAAUAACUUGUUUUUUUGAUAUGUUUGUUAUGAGGCUUAGCGUAGGUGGGGUGUCCUUUCGAUACAGCUCCUGCGUUGCCAGUAAUAAACUUGAGACUCGAGUGGUGACAAAAUUGAUCUUUACAUGGAUAUAAAGUUCUCAUUUUUGUUGAUAAAGAAACAAUAUAAUUAAGAGAAUGUCAUGUGAAGCAUUUAGGUAGAAACUGUGUAUUAUACCUGAUCCUGUCAGCUGAUUGCCUGAUAGAUCCAAAGACUUGAGGGAUGAAAAUCCAGUUAGAGAUGGAAAAAUGCUGCUGUUCAACUUAUUAAACGAUAGAUCCAAAGACUUGAUCAGGGAUGAAAGCCCACUCAGAAUUGAUAAGAUGCUGCUGUUCAAUUGAUUGAAACUCAGGUCAAGGUUCUCUAACUUUCCCAGCCUCAUCGGUUGGAGUUGAAAACCUACAAGAUAUACAUAAAAAAAAAUAUACAGUGCAUAGAUUAAGGAAGAAGAUAGAUUGCAAGUAUCCAUUCUAUACAUGUAAUUUUUAAUCAUCCUAGUUUUGAUCAAGUUGUGUCUUAUUAGAAAAACAAUUUAUGGAUAAGAUCAAAGCCCCAUAGAUAUAAAUCUUCAUUGAUGAAAGCUAGCGCAAUCAAACAUGAUGAAAUGCUAUCGUUGAUUAAUUAUUAAAUAAAUAUAAAGUCCUCAAUUUUCUUGAUAAAGAAACCGUAUAAAAGAAUGUCACGUAAAGCAGUUAGGUAGAAAUUAUAUAUAACUUACUAUUGAUACCAGCAGAUCCUGUCAACUCAUUAUAUGAUAGAUCCAAAGACUUGAGAGAUGAAAAUCCAGUUAGAGAUAGAAAAAUGCUAUCGUUGUAUUGAUUCCCACUCAGAUAUAGUUUCUCCAGCUUUUUCAACCUUGAUGACAAGACUUUGAAACCUGCAUGAUUUUUCUCAAAAAACAUAGAAAUGAUAUGAGAAGGAGAAAAGAAAAGGUUUUGAAGCUAAAUAAUUAUAAGGUUACCAUAGAAGCUACCUCCUGAUCCAGCUGUCAACCCAUUGUCUGAUAGAUCUAAAGACUUGAGAGCGGAAAGCCCAUUGAAACAUGACAAAAUGCUUUUAUCAUUAUUAAAUCGGUUUUCACUUAGGUCAAGUUUCCUCAGUUUUGAUGAUAGGACUCCGAAGCCUGGAAGAGAAACAUCAAAGCAAGAUAAUUGACAUUAAACACCAACCAACCAACCUUCAUUUAUUUUAUUAUUAUAAUUAAGUGCACAAACAUUGAACUAACCUUCAUUCUCCAAGCAACCAACCAAUCCAUUAUAUCCCAAAUCAAGACUUUGCAAUUCUUUGAAAGGCUGAAACAAAGAUGCGUUGAGAACCCAAUCGCCCAAGCUCUCAUCCCUUUCUCCACUAAGAGAGAGUUGGAUCACUCGCCUUGUAGUGUGAUCACACUCGAUCUCAGGCCACUCACAACAAUUACUACUGUCCACCCAAUGUCUCAAGGAAAUGCCAUCUGGGUCGAUCAAAGAUUGGAUCUCCAAGAGACCAAUUCUCUCUUCCUCCAAACACCCAUAACAACGACCAGACCAUUCGCCAACCAAAGUGAAUAAUGCUAGCAACAUCCAAGCCCCCAUUCUUUUCAACAUCAUCGUAGAUAAUUCUAUGAACUACUACGUAGAAUAUUAUUGUUUGUUAUGUGCCUUUGGGCAACCAUAGAGGUCCUAUUUAUACUACACUGGCCAUUUCCAUGACUUUGAGAUGUUUUCUUUAUUUAAUUUCCACGACUUUAUCUGCAUAUCUUGUGCAGGUUCCGUGUUUUGAGAUUUGAAUAUUAUUUUAUUUCUUUUUGGAAUGUUCUUGGAUUUAAAUAUUAUUUUAUUUUAUUAUUUAGCACUUAUUCUAUUUGCAUUUAAUUAUAUUUUGGUUACUAAUUAUUCAAUUUAUAAAAAAAAUAAAAUAAAAAAAUUGUUGCAGUACUUCAACAUCGACAUUCGUGUGUGAUUCCACAUAAGAUCUUUUCAACUUUAUAAUUGUACUUCUCUCGUUAAAUACAUAAAUUAUCAAUAAUAAUAAACUCGAAAUAAUUAUAAAUCUUAUCCCUGUGGAUUGUGUGGGUACAGUAUUAUAUACAAAAACUUCAAAUACAUAAUAUAUAUAAGUCAGAAAUAUUUUUGUUUUUAUGGACUUGUUUUUAUUACAUUUCAAUAUUAAAUAUAUUUUUUUCAAUCGAGUCAAAGAUAUACCAUUUAUAUUAGAAUGAGAAGACUAAUCAAUUUCUCUAAUUUCUCUAGUUUUCUCCCUAAUUAUAAAAUACAUCUGGUUUUUCAAGUCCAGAUUUUAAGAUAAAAGGAAUUUAUUUCUUGAAAGUAAUGCAUUAAACAAUAUAAAAAAAAUUUAAAAAAUUUAAAAUAGUAGUAAAAGUAGUUUUUGAUUGAAGUGUAAACUAGUGGUAAAUGAACAAAAAGAAACUUUAUUGAUUAUCUAAUGAGUUACUUCUCCAGAAAGAAUAUAUACAAUAUUAUUGAUUAUCUAAUGGAAACUCCGCCUAACACACACACACACACACACACACACACACACACAUAUAUAUAUAUAUAUAUAUAUAUAUAUAUAUAUAUAUAAGUUAGAGACACUUUUUGUUUUUAUGUUCGGAAAAGUGUUCUUUACUUGUUUUUAUUACAUUUCAAUAUUAAAUAUAUUUUUUUCAAUCGAGUCAAAGAUAUACCAUUUAUAUUAGAUUGAGAAGACUAAUCAAUUUCUCUAGUUUUCUCCCUAAUGUAUAAAUUUCUCUAGUUUUCUCCCUAAUUAUAAAAUACAUCUGGUUUUUCAAGUCCAGAUUUUAGGAUAAAAAGAAUUUAUUUCUUGAAAUUAAUGCAUAAAACAAUAUAAAAAUAUUUUUAAUAAAUUAAAAUAGUAGUAAAAGUAAAUUUAGUUUUUGAUUGAAGUGUAAACUAGUGGUAAAUGAACAAAAAGAAACUUUAUUGAUUAUCUAAUGAGUUACUUCUCCAAAAAGAAUAUAUAUAUUAUUGAAUAUCUAAUGGAAAGGAUUCAUGAAACUCCGCCAUAUAUAUAUAUAAAAGAGAAAUUGUCGAUAAUAGCAAUCAUUUUCUUAUCUCUUGUAUCAUUCAUAUCUUCCACAAAUCUUAAGUAAUUGAUGAGACAGUGGAUAUUGCCAAGAAAGGUCGUGAACGCGGAUGCUUGACGAUUAUGAUUUUUAAACACAACCAUAUAGUGAUUUCCUUAUGCAUACUGGUGAUCCUCCAGAAUCUUGUAGGAACACCACAAGCCAAUCUAAAAGAAUGCUAAAAGUCAAAACACACAAGCCAUAUAAAAAUCACACGACAGCCAAUUACCUUAUCUUUUGAAAGAAAGAUAAUAAUAAUAAUAAUAAUAAUAAUAAUAAUAAUAAAAGCAUUCUCCUGGGUGUGCAAUGACCGCCAAUCUUUCUCAUUAUGACAUUCAAUGCUCAGUUAGAAGUUGCACGAUGCUCUUCUCAUGGGGAGCAAAAAUCAGUAGCCUCCCAUGGAAUCCUCAUAAACCUUUCUCUAUGCUCUUCUAAGAUAUUAAAAAUGUCAAACAUACAUCAAUAAUAAAAAGACAUUAAAAAUGUCAAACAUACAUCUAAGAUAUUACGCAAAACGAGGUUUUUUUCUGCAAAAAAAUAAAAAUAGAAUGUUAUACAAAUGGAGCUUCCAACAAAAAAGAUAUGGGAAGUUCGAGGAAAAAAAUGAUUAGUUAAUUCAAAACACCAGCAGUAAGUAAUAAUUACAAAACACGAUACCGAAACCAAAUUGAAAAGUGAGCAAGAAUACAAAAAUGGUUACAUGUAUCAAAAGGAACUGGUACCAAUUUCUCCACCACUGUAUGUCCCUUUUGUUCAGUCUAUGUUUGGUGCAAUCACCUAAAGCUAGAAACAAAAACAGCGCCUUACUCUACAAGUAGCUCAUCAAAGUAUAUGUUGUAAAUUGCAAACACGUGCUAACAAUAAAUUGUGGCCAGAGGAUUUGCUUCGAUCCCAGAGGCCAUUGAGGAUAUUCGUCAAGGAAAGGCUCAUGCACCCUCUUGAUUUGAUGAUUCUUUGCAUUUAGUUAUUGUUGUUGAUGAUGAACAAAUUAAGAGAAAAUGAGGGGGGCCUUAUAAUGGCAGCGUCAAAGGCAACACCAGAAGCUAUGGCAUUUAUUGUCAAGCAUGGGACUGGUAUAGUGUGUGUGAGCUUCCAUUAAUGGUAACUCAUAAGGAGAAUGAGGAAAACUGUGCACUGCAUUUACUGUAUCAGUGGUACGUCAUUAACUUCUCCAUUUAUAUUAUCUAAUGGAUAUGAUCUUUUCAAGAAACCUUUAUCUUGGUUUGAUUUUAAAGUGCUAAUUUAAUUGCGGAUUCUGUCCCAGAUGAGGUCCGGUUUCCUGAAAUCAAAGAUGUCUACACUGUCCCGUGGACUUAUAGUUCAGUUGCUCAAUCAGAACUGAUGACAUCUGCACAUUCGGCGACUCCAGCAUUAAUUGUGGCCUUGACAGAUUGUGAGAGGCCAGAUGGGAUGGAUUAGAUGCGUCUGAGUUUGUUGGAGAGGAAGACUUGCAGAAUAAUUUUGAGGGAGUGGGUGGCAGUUCGAUGGAGCGGUUCCUGUUGGUGCAACGCCGAACACAUGCCACGCAGGAUAUAUAGAAAUGCUAGUCAGCUUAUGAAAUCCGAGGUUGAUACGAUACUUAUCUUCAUAGAUUGUGAAUGUUGUUCUUUUUUCUACAAACGAUCCGUUAUGCAAAGCAAAUUCCAAGACCAGAAAAAUAAUGUUUAGAGUUAAAAGACAAUGUCUUAGCAGCAAGGACCUAUUCCAUCAGGAGAUAUGUGAAUUCUCAAGCCUUUGCAAUGCUUUUAAAUUAAUGAAGGAUCAAAAUGAAAAUGUUAUAUUCAUAACUAUACUGCAAUUUUGCCCAUAAUUCUUCUUUAAUUCUGUCCAGAAUCUUGGAUUAUGCUCCAGGGACCAAUCUGGAAUUUUAGUAGAUUUUUAAGGGUCAAAUUGUAAUUUUAUCAAAUUGAAGGACCAAAAUAAAAAUGUCAUAGAUUCAUAACUAUACUGGAAUUUUGCUUGUAAUUCAUCUUUAGUUCUGUCCAGAAUCUAGGAUUAUGCUUCAGGGAUCAAUCUGUAAUUUUUUCAAAGUUUGGGGAUUAACUUAAAUUUUCACAAAUUGAGGGACCAAAUUGAAAUUUUAUUAUCUUCAACCUCAAACCCAGAUUUUUCAUAGAUCACCUACUGAUAUAUCAAGAUUUCGAACUCAAAUUCAUCAUUUAAACAAACUAUAACUCAAAAUCAUCAUUUUUACCUAAAAUUUUCAAAAAUCAACUAAAUAACUCAUUACCCAUAACAGUCAUUCCGCUAAAUUAUUUCUACUUCUGCUUCUUCUUCUUCUUUUUUAUAAUACUCGAGUAUUAUUAUAGAAAGAUGCUUGAGCCAAAAUUAGAGGCUAUCUAGCAUAAAAGAAAAACAGAGGUAUAUACAGGACAGAGAGGAAGUAAUAACAUUAUAUAUAUAUAUAUAUAUAUAUAUAAAACUUGAGUUAACCCGUCAAGUCUAUGACCUGGAUUAUGAGAUCGGGAUAAGCAAACUCAAUAUUAAAAAAUAAAAUUGAAAAAAAAACAAUAAAAACAUAUAUGGUUUAACAAUAUUAAUCAAUUAUUAAAAUAUUUCAUUUUAUAUAUAUUAAAAAUAUAUAUUAAUAACUAUUAUAUCAGUUUGUGAAUGUUUCAAUUUGGAUGCAAAUAGAUGUUUAAUUAUCUAUGACAUUUUUUUUAAGAAACCAAAGUUAUUAAAUAUGGUUAGAUUUAAUACCUAGAUAAGGGUUUAGGUCAUAGAUUGGCUUAAUACUCGGAUCAAGAUUUGAAUUAUAGAUCGAACAAGUUAGCUUAUUGAUUGAUGUUAAUAAAAAAUUGUAUCAUUUUAAGAUUAUUUUUUAGUAAAAACCAAAAUCAAGUAGUUAAAAAAAGUGAAAGUAGUUUUUGAUAGGGUUGACUAGGUUGUAAGUUGAUUUAUCUAGUCGAUUAGGCUUGAUUGAGUCAACUCUCACUUGGUUUUUUUUAAAUCUAAAUCGGGUCAGGUUCCAGAUUAAAAUGUUAGGCUUGAAUUAAAUUUAAUAACGCUGAUUAAAAUCACAUUGUAGAAAAAAAAUGAAUUGCAUAAAAGUAAUUAACCAAAAACUUGUAUUCCUUCUUAUAAAGUUGAACCCAUGUCAGUUUCUUUUUUGGAAAAAUAUAAAUCAAAGGUUAACGCUACUUUCAUGACGAUGACGGAUAAAGAAGACUUGCUCCUUUCUUUAUGGAAAUAACGUGUGGAAAAUCAUGCCUUAAUUUUGAUGGUGAUGGCCAAAUCAAACAGUAUCGUUGAUAAAAUGAACCACAAAUGAUAUUAUUUCUACAAGACUUCUUGUCAUUGUCAUGACAAUAAGUCUUCUCCUUUUUCUUUCUAAAGAGUCUAUUUUUUGUAACACAAUCAACAAGUAAGAUGGAUAGAAAUUUGCAGUGUGAGAUGGGUCUGUGAGACUAUAUAUUGCCAUUUGUAUUUUUUUCAUGAUAAAGGCUAAUUGGAUGGUCCUAUCAAGCGUUUUUUUUACGAGAUGGGUCCAUAAAAACAUUUCCAUCUACACAUUGAUCCCUGAAACCUUUGCCAUAAUGCAUUUUUUCCACGAGAUGGGUUCGUGGAAAUACUUUGGUUUAAUAGGGAAUGCUGUUAUUGAUUGGAAACUUUUUAAUUAAAAUAAAUUUGAUUAUUUGAUUGGAAGAAAUCCUUAAAUGUUAUUAACACAAAGAAAUCAAUUUAUUUUCUUAAGAAAAAAAUAUUGUAACCAUAUAAGUAAUUUAUUUAUUUAUUUUAAUGAAAUAUAAAAUAGUUUUAAAUCUUGUGGUAUAUUUCUUGUCUUUAAGAGCUAUGAACUUAUAUCUCAAAACUUGAAAACUAAUAUAAAGAUAUUAAGUGAUCAUUGAGUGUAUGUGUGUGUGUAUAAUCUUUUUCAAAACAAAAAGGAUUUUGAUGGAGAGGACAUUGCAGCAAAUUAUCCACGAGAUGGGUCGGUGAUACCAUUGUCAUCAUGUAAUUUUUCCCACGAGAUGGGGCCGUACGCUUGGGGCUCUAAAAGCUAUGGUUUUUAAUUUCAUUAUGUUACAUAUCUAGAAUGGGAGGUAUAUUUUAUUUCAAUUCUAAAAAUGAAAUAAAUUAGAAGAUAUUUCAUCUUGUUUAGAAUAUUAUCUCCUUACAUGCAUGAAUUUCACAUAAAUUUUGACCAGAAUAUUUCGGUUCUAUUCCGGCCAUUCUAUUAUGUCCAAAUAAUGUUUUGUUUUGCUUUUAUAUAUAUAAAAAAUAUAAUUUAUUUUUAUGAUAUCAAUUAUACAUUUCAAUUCGACUAUUGGAUUAAACUGAAAUUUUAUAAUCUCCUAAUAUGUAUUAUAUCACAAGUUAAAAUUUUAGAUCAAUCAGAGUUUAGAAAGACUUUGUGAAAUUACUGUUGAUAUAUUUUCAUAAUUUUAUUUAAAUUCAUAAUUUUAUUUUGAAAUGUUUUAUUUUUUGUGGUUUUUUAGAUUGAUUUUUUUUCAUUUUAUAAUUUAACAAUAAAUUUAUUAAAAAUUAAAAUUCAUAAUUUAUUUUUAUUUAUUUUAUUUAAAAUUAUUAUAUUAUCAUUACUCAGAUCACGAAAAAAAAACCUUUGCUUUAAUUGGGAAUGCUGUUACAAGUAAUUGGACUCCGUGGGAUGGGAGACCGUUGCCAUCAUGCAUGUUUUUUCCACGGCAUGGGUCCGUAAAGUCCUCUAUAAAAGCUUAAACCUCCUUACUAUCCUCUAUAUCAAUUGAUCAGCAUUUAUAAGAUGGGGCUGUCUGUUCCUUCUGAUGUUGAUGGUUUUAGUAAUGAUGGUUUCUUGCAAGGAUGGCUGCCUCUUGGAGUAUAUUGACUUGAGAAUUAAUUGUUUUGAUAACAGUAUUUUAUUAUUUGUGGAGUUAUUUCUAUUUUUUAAAUUAUUAUAUUUAGAUUAUAAUAGAGUGAAAGAGUUAAUAGGUUUAAGAGAUUAGGAAAAAGCUACUAUUAAUUAUAGUUAGGGACCAAACUGGAAUUUUUGCACAUUUUUAAGGGUCAAAUUGUAAUUUUAUUAAAUUGAUGAAGGACCAAAAUGAAAAUAUCAUAUUUAUAACUAUACUGUAAUUUUGCCCAUAUUUCUUCUGUAAUUUUGCCUAGAAUCUCGGAUUAUGCUCUAGGGACCAAUCUGUAAUUUUUUUCAAAGUUUGGGGAUUAAACUGAAAUUUUCAUAAAUUGAGGUACCAAACUGAAAUUUUUUCAUCUUCAACAUCAAACCCAGAUUUUUCACAAAUCACCUAUUGAUAUAUCAAGAUUUUUAACUAGAUGAGGGUUUAGGUCAUAGAUUGGCCUAAUACUCGGAUCAAGAUUUGAGUCAAGUUAGCUUAUUGACUAGUGUUAAUAAAAAAUUAUAUUAUUUUAAGAUUUAAUUUAAUUAAAUAGAUCCAACUACCAUGCAAUUCCACAAUUAAUUUAUUUUAUUAUGAUUUAGUGUUAUGUUAACCAGGCAACAUUUAAUUACCAUGAUAUAAAAUACAAAAAUAGUGGGAACAUAAAAAAACAUGCUUUUAUAUAUUUUUUAUUUUAAAAGUAUAAAUUUUACUUUAAGACUAUUGUAAAAAGAUAUUUAUUUUAAAUUUAUUUAUAUUUUUAUAAUUCAAAAAUUAAAAAUAAAACAGAAUUAAUCCAUACUCAUCUAAAAACAAUUAACUCUAACAUCAUUAUUUUAUAACAAAACUAGCAAAGAUAAUUUAUUAAUCACUAAGUUUUCUGGUUAUAAAUACAUUAGUAAGUGUCUUUGUCUCUUUUGUAUUUCUAACUAUUAACGAAUUGAAAGAAUAAAUUUAGAAUCACCAAUUAAGCAGUGAAUCACACGGGAAGAUUGAAAGAAUAAUUAAAGUGAUUAUACUAACCGACAAGUCGACCCCAAGUCAAAGUCUUCUGUGGAAAAACAUGAAUAAAAGGUGGACGCUGGGCAGCUCACUUUCCAUGAAGAUGAUGGAUACAGAGCCCUCCCUUCUAUCUUUAUGGAAAUCACGUCUAGAAAAUCAUGCUUUAAUUUUAAGCUUGAGAGGGGAUGAUAUAUAUAUAUAUAUAUAUAUAUAUAUAUAUAUAUAUAUAUAUAUAUAUAUAUAUAUGCUUUAAUUUCAACUUGUAUAAAAAAUAAAUCUUAAUGACUGGUGAUUUAAACUUGGGUGUUUUUUCGGUAUUAAUAUAUAUAUUCCUCAAUUAUCAUAAAGAAUUAAGAAAAAACUAAUAAUAAGAUUAAAAUAAAUGUUUUAUAUAUCGAAAUAAUUAAAAGUAAGGUUUACUUAAGGUAUAUAUGGGAUUAAUUUAAAAUAACAAUAAAAUCAAUUUAUUAAAAAAAAUCAUAAAUUUAGUUUUCCUAAAUUUUAAAUGUAGUGUGAAUGCAUUCCGCAAGAAAAAAACAGUGCAAAAUUAGCCUUUCAAGAAAUAGAGAAUCUUCCUCUUUGAAGGAAUUAAUUAGUGGGUUGGAAAAAUGUCGUCUUCUGCUCUAAUAUUUUCUUCACUUUCUCUAUAGUUUUACCUUACACCAAUAUUGUCAGAAAAUGAUACAAUAUACUUCUUGUGUUAUCCUUCAAGAUUUCAAUUGAAAAUUAAGGAGGGUCGUAAAAAAUUUAAUUUUUAUAAACAUAUCCUUAACUCUGUAUCUUCUCUAGAUAUGUCUGUGACUGAGCUCCAUAAAGAAUUCCUAUUUAACAUUAAUCUGUCCAUCAAGUUUUUGAUCCCCGAUUAAGGCCAUCUUGAUAAAUGAGAUUUUACUCUGUAAUUUUAAUGUAUAGCUGUCAAUGACCUGAAACAUGCAAAUUAAAAUUCAAAGUGUGAGCAUUGAAUUUCUUGUCAGUUUACACCCUUCUGUGGUGUUUCCUCUUUCCAUUGAUUGAAGAGCGUCCAAGAGGAAAAACUGAAAAGGCAAAAGUUCUAUUGUACAGUGAAAAAGAGCAUGAGAAAUACACAGAAGCAGAGAUGCAUGAAUCCUUCUCCACUAGCAGCUCUCGUCCAUAGGAUCAUUGUGGUUUCAAGAUUGAUGCCCAAUCAUUUCCCUCUUUGUUCGAUUCCUCAGACCUUUUGGAAACUGUACAUUCCGGGGGAAAGUCUGUGCAAGGGCAAAAGGCGACGGUGGACUUGACAAAGGGCUGAGGGGUGGGUGAGAUGUUAUGUCAAGAAAUGAUUUUGGAAAAUUUCUUCAUAUGUGUUGAAUAACUAAGAUAAGAUAGGAGUCUUGAACAAGGCAAAAGCAUAGGCUCUCCAAGACGAUUGACCAGAAGGAGAGAAGGAAGGCUCUAUAUCCUUAGCACGUCAAACACUCCUUUGCACAUUAGAGAAAUUGUCGAGUUAUUCCUGCUUCUUCUUCUUCUUCCUUUUUUUUUUUUUUAUUUAUAAUAGUCCAGUAUUAUUAUAGAAAGGUGCUCGAGCCAAAAUUAGAGACUAGCUAGCAUAAAAGAAAAACAUAGGACAAUAUAUACAAGACAGGGGAGGAAGUAAUAACAUAACAUAAUAUAUAUAUAUAUAUAUAUAUAUAUAUAUAUAUAUAUAUAUAUAUAUAUAUAUAUUAAAAAAAACUUGAGUUAACGCAUCAACUCAACGACCCGAAUCAUGAGAUCAGGAUAAGCAAACUCAAUAUUAAAAGAUGAAAUUUAAAAAAAAAACCUUAAAAACAUAUAUGGUUUAACAAUAUUAAUUAAUUAUUAAAAUCUUUCAUUUUAUAUAUAUUAAAAAUAAAUAUUAAUAACUAUUAUAUCAAUUUGUGAAUGUUUCAAUUUGAAUGCGAACAAAUGUUUUAUAUAUGACAUUUUUCUUAAGAAUGUCUCUUUCAUUAAAACCAAAAUUAUUUAACAUGAUUAGAUUUAAUACCCUGAGAGUUUAGGUCAUAGAUUGGCCUAAUACUCGGAUAAGAUUGAGAUCAUAUAUCAGACAAGUUAGCUUAUGUUGAAUGGUGUUAAUCUAAAAUUGUAUUAUUUUAAGAUUUUUUUUAGAAAAAAUCAAAAUUGCGUAGUUAAAAAAAAUAAAACUAGUUUUUGACUGAAUUAACUAGGUUGUGGGUUGAUUUAUUUAGUCGAUUAGGCUUGGUUGGGUCAGCUCUCACUUAGUUUUUUCUAAACCUGAAUUGGGUUAGGUUCCAGAUUAAAAUGUUAGGCUUGAAUUAAAUUUAAUAAUGCUGAUUAAAACCACAUUGUAGAAAAAAAAUUAAAUUGCAUAAAAGUAAUUAACCGAAAACUUGUAUUCCUUCUUGUAAAGCUGAACCCGUGUCAGUUUUAUUGAAGGAAAACUAUGAACCAAAGGUUAAUGCUACUUUCAUGACGAGAAGACUUGCUACUUUCUUUAUGGAAAUAACGUGUGGAAAAUCAUGCCUUAAUUUUGAUGGCGAUGGUAAAAUCAAAGAGUAUCGUUGAUAAUUAAAUGCUUAUGCAUAAAAAAUAAAUCUCAAGUGUUAGAAUGCAACCACUGAUUAAUUAAUGGACAACGGACCUUGGAUUAAUACAUGACGCAACUUUCAAUGGAAUUAUAUUUGUGGAGGUAUUUACUCGGAUGUGAAUUAUAUUUUUAUUUUUUUAUUUUAAAAAAAAUUCUAUAUACUACAACUAGCUUAAGAAAGUCAAAAAAAUUUAAGUGAAAAAAAAUAUAUAUAUAUUUAUAUACACUCACGCACACACAAAAAUAUAGUCAAAUAAAUCAAGAACUAUGUGUGUUAAUAAGUGGAAAAAAAAACCUUAAACGAUAACUCAAAAUAAAAACUAGAAAAAUCAAGAGACAAGUGUAUAUCAAGAUAUUUAAUUUCACAUGACGUGACAUUUUUUUUUUUGGAUUCGACGAAACCUCACCCCUCCGAAAAGCACACUUUGUGGGCCCAGGUGAGGGAGUAAAACCCCGGCUGUCCCAGGCUCUUACAAAAGGUGCACGCCCUGACUCGAACUCGAGACCUGCUGUGCAGAUCUCAAACCCUUUGCCAUCACGCUACGCCCCUUGGGGACAACGUGACAUUUACGCAGUAUUGUUUUCUAAAUUUUCUAAUUAAAAUAAUUUUUUAUUUGAUCAAACGAUAAUAUAAACAGACACACACAUUCUAAAUUGAUUGAAUAAAAAAAAAAUAUAUGCAAAGCUGUAUAUAUUAAAAAUAUUAUUUGAAAAUAAUUUGUUUUUCAAAAAUAAAGUUCAUCUAUGUAAAAGAUUUUAAAAAAAUAUAGAUUAAUCAAAAAAACCUCUUUAAAAAUUAAAUUCAUGAUUAAAAAAUAAUCAUCAUUUCAAAUAGGCUUUUUAAAUAACUAAAAAGAGAGAAGGGAUAUUAAUAUAAAUAUAAAUAUAACUAAAAUUAAGAUUAUUUUAAAAAAAUAGAUAAAAAAAAUUUUAAGCGAAAAAAAGUGAACAGACACGGUGAACUUAACUCAUAAACUCAACUGAAUUUAAUAUUUUUUUCGUUAAAUUUAUUAUAAAUAUAAAAAAAAACAAAAUUAAUAUCAUUCACGGUAAAACAUAAAUAAAAAACAGUACAACCGCAUAGUAUUCACCUCAGGCAUUUUCUUUUAAAUUUAUAGCCAAACCUUAAAAAUAAACUUUUGUGCUCAGUAUCUUUUUAAGGUGAAUUAACAAGUUUCAACUCAUCUCUGUAUCUUCUCUAGAUACAGAGAAUUCCUAUUUAACAUUAAUCUGUCCAUCAAGUUUUUGAUUCCCAAUUAAGACCAUCUUGAUAAAUGAGAAUUUACUCCGUAAUUUUAUUGUAUAGCUGUCAAUGACCUGAAACAUGCAAAUUAAAAUUCAAAGUGUGAGCAUUCAAUUUCUUGUCAGUUUACACCUUUCUGUGGUGUUCCCUCUUUCCAUUGAUUGAAGAGCGUCUAAGAGGAAAAACUGAAAAGGCAAAAGUUAUGUUGUACAGUGAAAAAGAGCAUGAUCAGAAAUACACAAAAACAGAGAUGAAUGAAUCCUUCUCCACUAGCGCUCUCGUCCAUCGGAUCAUUGUGGUUUCAAGACCGAUGCCCAAUCAUUGCCCUCUUUGUUCGAUUCCUCAGACCUUUUGGAAACUGUACAUUCCGGGGGAAAGUCUGUGCAAGGGCAAAAGGGGACGGUGGACUUGACAAAGGGCUGAGGGGUGGGUGAGAUGUUAUGUCAAGAAAUGAUUUUGGAAAAUUUCUUCAUAUGUGUUGAAUAACUAAGAUAAGAUAGGAGUCUUGAACAAGGCAAGAACAUAGGCUCUCCAAGACAAUUGACCAGAAGGAGAGAAGGAAGGCUCUAUAUCCUUAGCACGUCAAACACUCCUUUGCACAUUAGGGAAAUUGUCGAGUUAUUUCUGCUUCUGCUUCUGCUUCUUCUUCUUUUUAUAAUAGUCGAGUAUUAUUAUAGAAAGGUGCUAGAGCCAAAAUUAGAGGCUAGCUAGCAUAAAAGAAAAACAAUGAUUAAUUGCAAGAGAUGGUUACUUAUACCAGUAGCAAUUUAGUAAUGAUUAAUUAGCAUUUAUAUUAAGAUGUGGCUAUUAAUUCAAAUGUUAACAAUGAUUUUCUUGGAAGGAUGAUUGCCUCUUGGUUACUUUAAAAUAUACGGUUUUUUUAGUUCAAAUCUAUUAAUAAAAAUAUAGUUUUAUUGAAUUUUUUUAUAUACUUUUAUUAGAGAAAUUAAUUUAAACACAUUUAUAUACAGACACUAGUUUAUCAAGUACUUCAAUAGAAAAAUAAAAUCAAUUAGAGUACUUAAAUAAAAAAAAAUAUAAAUUAUAAGCAUUUUACAUAUCUUUAUUGUUUAUAAAUUAAAAAUAAAAUAAUAUCAAUCCAGACUAAUCUAAAAAAAAAUUAACUAUGACAUCAUCAUUCUAAUAAUAAAACUAAUAAAGAUGUUUUAUUGAUUAAAUUUCGUGAUACAGGGUUGAAACAAAAAAGAGAUGAAGAGAGAGGAGGGAAUGGAAAGAAGGGAAAAAAGAACUCAUGCGAUCUGUUGUUUGUAAGUUUUUUACAUAAUAUAUAGGAAGGUAUUUUAAUUAUUUUGUUCAAAUUAAAAAUUUUCAUUGACUAAAAAGCGUAAUUAUCUAAAACAUAAAAGCAAAGUAAAAAACUCAAAUGCUUCAUUAAAAAACUCAAUUGAUUCGGUGCUUUAUUAGUUUCUAUAGUAUGGUGUCUUAUGCAUUUUGUUCUAAUCAUAUAUGGGAAAGUGUUUGGUUGAUUAACGUAUAUCAUGACUUUGUAUGGGUCCUACCACAAACUCUCUCUUUUGAAAUAUUAAUUAAGAAAAAGCUAUAAUUUAUAGUUUUUUUAAAUUUAUUUUUUCAAAUUACAAUCAUAUAAACUACUAUAAUAUCAAAUACAUAUUUGAAUAAGACUCAGUAAAAAUUUUCUUCUUCUAAAUACAAAGUGGAAAUGAGUUACUUUCUCCAAAAAGAAUAUAUACAAUAUUAUCGAUUAUCUAAUGCAAACUCCGUCUAACAUACACAGAGAAAGAGAGAGAACCUUAACUAUGUUUAUUUUAUGCACUUUAAUUAAAAAUAAAUUUUGGAUUGUACGAGAGACUUUAAUUAAAUUUCAAUAUUAAAUUUAUGCACUUUAAUUAACAUACACAGAUCAACUAUUAAUAUAUCAAGACUUUUAACUCAAAUUCAUUAUUUAAACAAACCAUAACUUAAAAUUAUUAUCUUUAUCUAAAAUCUUUAAAAAUCAAUGAAAUAACUCAUUAUUCAUAAUAAUUAACCUGCUAAGUUAUUUCUGCUUCUUCCUUUUUAUAAUAGUCGAGAAUUAUAUAUUAUAGAAAGGUGCUAGAGUUAAAAUUAGAGGCUAGCUAGCAUAAAAGAAAAACAGAGGUAUAUACAAGACAGGGGAGGAAGUGUGCGUGCGUGCGUGUGUGUGUGUGUGUGUGUGAUCCCUUCUCAAGCUUAAAAGUAAAGCAUGAUUUUCUAGACGUGAUUUCCAUAAAGAUAGAAGGGAGGGCUCUGUAUCCAUCAUCUUCAAGGAAAGUGAGCUGGCCAUCGUCAACCAUUUAUUUAUGUUUUCAACCAUUUAUUUAUGUUUUUCCACAAAAGACUUUGACUUGGGGUCAACUUGUCGGUUAAUUACUUUUAUGCAAUUCAAUUUUUUAAAAAUAUAUAUAUAUAUGCUUUAAUUUCAACUUAAGUUAUAUACGGGACGAUAAAAAAAUAACAAUAAAAUCAAUUUAUAAAAAAAAUCAUAGAUUUAGUUUUCCUAAAUUUUAAAUGUAGUGUGAAAGCAUUCCGCAAGAAAAAAACAGUGCAAAAUUAGCCAUGACAAUAAGUCUUUUUCUUUCUAAAGAGUUUAUUUUUUGUAACACAAUCAAUAAGUAAGAUGGAUGGGAAUUUGCAGUGUGAGAUGGGUUUGUGAGACUAUAUAUUGCCAUCAGCAUUUUUUCCAUGAUAUAGGCUUGUAGGAUGGUCCAUGAGACCAUUGCUAUAUAUCAAGCGUUUUUUCUACGAGAUGGGUCCAUGAGACCAUUACCUCGUAAGCUUGGGAAUGGAUAACAUGAUUUAAUGUUUAUUUAGUUUAAAAAAAAAUUAAAUGCUUAUGCAUAAAAAAUAAAUCUCAAGUGUUAGAAUGCAACCACUGAUUAAUUAAUGGAUAAUGAACCUUGGAUUAAUACAUGACGCAACUUUCAAUGGAAUUAUAUUUGUGGAGGUAUUUACUCGGAUGUGAAUUAUAUAUAUAUAUAUAUAUAUAUAUAUAUAUAUAUAUAUAUAUAUAUAUAUAUAUAGGGGCACACACAAAUAUAGUCAAAUAAAUCAAGAAUUAUAUGUGUUAAUAAGUGAAAAAAAAAAUAUUAAACUAUAACUCAAAAUAAAAACUAGAAAAACCAAGAGACAAAUGUAUAUAAAGAUAUUUAAUUUCACAAGACGUGAUAUUUACGCAGUAUUGUUUUCUAAAUUUUCUAAUUAAAAUAAUUUUUUAUUCGAUCAAACGAUAAUAAAAAUAGACACAUACAUUAUAAAUUGAUUGAAUAAAAUAAAAGGAGAAAAAAUAAUAUGCAAGGCUGUACAUAUUAGAAAUAUUAUUUGAAAAUAAAUUUCUUUUUAUUUUCAAAAAUAAAGUUCAUCCAUGUAAAAUAUUUUUAAAAAAUAUAGAUUAAUCAAAAAAAUCUCUUUAAAAAUUAAAUGCAUGAUUAAAAAAUAAUCAUCAUUUUAAAUAGGCUUUUUAAAUAACUAAAAAGAGAGAAGGGAUAUUAAUAUAAACAUAAAUAUAACUAAAAUUAAGAUUAUUUAAAAAAAAUAGAUAAAAAAAUUUUAAGCAAAAAAAAGUGAACAGACAACUUAUAAACUCAACUGGAUUUAAUAUUUUUCCUGUUAAAUUUAUUAUAAAUAUAAAAAAACAAAAUUAAUAUCAUUCAUGGUAAAACAUAAAUAAAUAAAUAAAUAAAACAGUACAACCGCAUGUUAUUCACCUCAGGCAUUUUCUUUUAAAUUUAUAGCCGAACCUUAAAAACAAACUUUUGUGCUCUGUAUGUUUUUAAGGUGAAUUAACAAUUUUCAACUCAACUCGGUACCUUCUCUAGAUAGAUCUGUGACUAUGCCUUGGAUUUUCUCAAAACUACUAAGUGUGUGCUUGAGAGGGUGAUUAUAGUUGUUUUUUAAAGUGUUUUUCACUCAGAAAAACAUGUCAAUAAUAUUUUUUUAUAUUUUAAAAUUUAUUUUCGAAAUCAGCACAUCAAAAUGAUUUAAAAACAUCAAAAAUAUAUUAAUUUAAAGUAAAAAAAAAAUUCAAAUUUUUGCGGAAGUGCUUUUGAAAAGCACUCCCAAACACUCCCAUGGUUGGAUACCAAGUAAAUAGAGAUAAAUUUAUUUCCUGUUAUUCUCCGAUAGUAUCUUCGUCCCUUGAUAGAACUUUCUUGGAGAUGAUGAGCUACCACUCCCUUUUGACUUUGCUGGCCUCCCAAAUAUAAAUAAAGAAUUCCUCUUGAUAGAAUUUUCUUCGAAAUGAUGAGAAUAUUUUAGAAUAUUCUGGUUGACGCCAGCUGUCAACAACUAUCUUACAUUCCCAACGCAUGCCUUUGCAAGAUGUUAAAGGCUCAUCUAAAAACAAUUAACUCUGAUAUCGUUAUUUUAUAACAAAUUAGCAAAGAUAAUUUAUUAAUCACUAAGUUUUCUGGUUAUAAAUACAUUUGUAAUUGUCUUUAUCUCUUUUGUAUUUCUAACAAUUAACGAAUUGAAUAUAUAAUAAAUACCGACUGAAAGAAUAAAUUUAGUUUAAAUGUGCUAAAGUUUAAAUAGGCGACUUUAGAAUCACCAAGAAGGCAGUGAAUCACACGGGAAGAUUGAAAGAAUAAUUAAAGUGAUUUUACUAACAUUGUAAAAGUAAUUAACCGAAAAGUUGACCCCAAGUCAAAGUCUUCUGUGGAAAAACAUGAAUAAAAGGUUGACGCUGGGCAGCUCACUUUCCAUGAAGAUGAUGGAUACAGAGCCCCCCCUUCUAUCUUCAUGGAAAUCACGUCUAGAAAAUCAAACAUUAUUAUUGCCAUCUGCGUUUUUUCUUAGAGAUGGGUCCGUUCCACCAUUUCCCCUCAAGCUUGAGAUAUAUAUACGUGACACGAUUUAAUUUCAAAUCUUAAUGUAGUGUGUUAGAAUGCAACCACCGAUUGAUUAAAUUUAAUGGCUGGUCAUUUAAACUUGGGUGUUUUUUCGGUAUUAAUAUAUAUAUAUAUAUAUAUAUAUUCCUCAAUUAUCAUAAAAAAUUAAGAAAAAACUAAUAAUAAGAUUAAAAAUAAAUGUUUUAUUUAUCGAAAUAAUUAAAAGUAAGGUUUACUUAAGGUAUAUAUGGGAUGGUAAAAAAAUAACAAUAAAAUCAAUUUAUAAAAAAAAAUCAUAGAUUUAGUUUUCCUAAAUUUUAAAUGUAGUGUUUAUAAUUAAUUAAUUAAUUGAGAAUUUGAGCUCUUCUAAAAGUUGUUUAUGGACUUUUGUUUUCCGGAGAAAACUCCCUUAAAACCUUUGAGCACUUCCUUCUCUAAAAUAUAUGUUUUUGCCAUAACUCAGGGGCUCUGUAUCUUUUAAGGUGAAUUAGGCUUUAUAUCUUUUUAAGGUGAAUUAACAAGUUUCAACUCAUCUCUGUAGAUACAUAGAAUUCCUAUUUAACAUUAAUCUGUCCAUCAAGUUUUUGAUCCCCAAUUAAGACCAUCUUGAUAAAUGAGAUUUUACUCUGUAAUUUUAAUGUAUAGCUGUCAAUGACCUGAAACAUGCAAAUCAAAAUUCAAAGUGUGAGCAUUGAAUUUCUUGUCCGUUUACACCUUUCUGUGGCGUUUCCUCUUUCCAUUGAUUGAAGAGCGUCUAAGAGGAAAAACUGAAAAGGCAAUCACUAGCGGCCCUCGUCCAUCGGAUCAUUGUGGUUUCAAGAUUGAUGCCCAAUCAUUGCCCUCUUUGUUCGAUUCCUCAGACCUUUAGGAAACUGUAUAUGAGAUGUUACAGAGUGACGGAGGACUUGACAAAGGGCUGAGGGGUGGGUGAGAUGUUAUGUCAAGAAAUGAUUUUGGAAAAUUUCUUCAUAUUUGUUGAAUAACUAAGAUAGGAGUCUUGAACAAGGCAAGAACAUAGGCUCUCCAAGACGAUUGACAGAAGGAGAGAAGGAAAGCUCUAUAUCCUUAGCACGUCAAACACUCCUUUGCACAUUAGAGAAAUUGUCGAGUUAUUUCUGCUUCUGCUUCUGCUUCUGCUUCUUCUUCUUUUUAUAAUAGUAGAGUAUUAUUAUAGAAAGGUGCUAGAGCCAAAAUUAGAGGCUAGCUAGCAUAAAAGAAAAAGAAAAACAGAGGACAGUAUAUACAACUAUACAAGACAGGGGGAGGAAGUAAUAACAUAAUAUUAAUAACUAUAUAUAUAUUAAAAAAACUCGAGUUAACCCAUCAAGUUUACGACCCGGAUUAUGAGAUCGGGAUAAGCAAACUCAAUGUUAAGAAAUGAAAUUAAAGAAAAAAACCAUAAAAACAUAUAUGGCGUAGUGUCUUAUCGAUUAAGUUUGAUUGGGUCAACUCUCACUUGGUUUUUUCUAAACCUAAAUUGGGUUAGAUUCUAGAUUAAAAUAUUAGGCUUGAAUUAAAUUUAAUAACACUGAUUAAAACCACAUUGUAGAAAAAAAAAAUGAAUCGCGUAAAAGUAAUUAACCGAAAACUUGUAUUUCUUCUUAUAAAGUUGAACUCAUGUCAGUUGUUUUUUAAGGAAAAAUAUGAAUCAAAGGUUAAAGCUAGGCAGCUCACUUUGCACGACAAUGACGGAUAUAGAAGACAUAACGUGUGGAAAAAUCAUGCCUUAAUUUUGAUGGUGAUGGCAAAAUCAAACAGUAUCGUUGAUAAAAUGAACCACAAAUAAUAUUAUUUCUAAAACACUUCUUGUCAUUGUGAUGACAAUAAGUCUUCUUCUUUGCAGUGUGAGAUGGGUUUGCAUUUUUAUUUUCCACGAUAAUUAAUUAAUUAAUUGAGAAGUUGAGCUCCUUAAGAAAAGUUGUUUAUGGACCUUUGUUUUCCGGAGAAAACUCCCUUAAAACCCUUGAGCACCACCUUCUCUAAAACAUCUAUCUUUGCCAUAACUGAGAGGCUCUGUAUCUUUUUAAGGUGAAUUAACAAGUUACAACUCAACUCUGUAUCUUUUUUAGAUAUGUAUGUGACUGUACCUUGAUGUUCUCACAACCAUUAAGAUGGAGACAAAUUUUCUUUUCUGUUAUUCUCCGAAAAUAUCUUCGUUCCUUGAUAGAAUUUUCUUGGAAAUGAUGAGCUUCCACUCCCUUUUGACUUUGCUGGCCUCCGAAAUAAUUAAAGAAUUCCUCUUGAUAGAAUUUCCUUGGAAAUGAUGAGAAUAUCUCACAUUCCCUUGGCAUCGUGUUCCAUGCCUUUGCAAAUUAUUAAAGGCUCCAAUGCAUGUGUCCUUUUAUUCAUGUUUUUCCACAAAAGACUUUUGACUUGGGGUCAACUUGUCGGUUAGUAAAAUCACUUUAAUUAUUCUUUCAAUCUUCCCGUGUGAUUCACUGCUUAAUUGGUGAUUCUAAAUUUAUUCUUUCAAUUCGUUAAUAGUUAGAAAUACAAAAGAGACAAAGACAAUUACUAAUGUAUUUAUAACCAGAAAACUUAGUGAUUAAUAAAUUAUCUUUGCUAGUUUUGUUAUAAAAUAAUGAUGUUAGAGUUAAUUGUUUUUAGAUGAGUUUGGAUUAAUUCUGUUAAUUUUAUUUUUAAUUUUUGAACUAUAAAAAUAUAGAUAAAUUUAAAAUAAAUAUCUUUUUACAAUAGUUUUUUAGUAAAAUUAGAGUAAAAUUUGUACUUUUAAAAUAAAAAUAUAUAAAAACAUGUAUUUUAUGUUCCCAUUAUUUUUGUAUUUUAUAUCAUGGUAAUUAAAUGUUGCCCGGUUAACAUAACACUAAAUCAUAAUAAAAAAAUAAUAAUUAUGGAAUGGCAUGGUAGUUGGAUCUAAUUUUUUUAUGGAAUGGCAUGGUAGUUGGAUCAUAAUAAGAGUAUUCAAAUUAAGAAUAUUUAAAUGAGUGUUAAUUGGGUUUAAAAGACUUACAAGCAAAAUAUAAGUUGUUUGUUAGAAUUCUUAUGGAUCCGAUAGAAAAUUAAUACUUCAUUCAUAUACAUUACAUGAGCAUAUAUAUAUUUCUUUUAUCAACAUAAUGAUAUGUUUAUUUAUGUAACAGGUCCAUCAAAUAUCCAUGGAGAUCAUUAGUUUAGGGCUCUACUUUGUCAAGCUUAUGUAAAUAUUUAACUUAAGCAAAAGGGAAUUAACGCAUUUAUGUAGUAUGCUUUUGUAUAAACCUUGAUGUAUUUAUAAAAGUUCAGCUUAGCAUGUAGUACUUUAGUUAUCUUGUAAUUAACCCUUCUGAAAUAUUUAAAAACACUUAUUAUGUUGUAAAUGCUUUAUUUACAUGUUAGUAUUCCUUUUUCUUUUAAUUUUAUGAUAUGAUAUAUGGGCUAUGUUCAUAUUGAACUUGCUCAUAGGAUAUAUAUAAAUAUAUAUUGUGUGGAUUAUAUGAGGUGUUGAAUUAUGAUGAUUAAUAUAAGGUUCGGAAUUAUGGGACCUUGUGAUGAUGGAUUGAUUGUGUAAAUUAAUAGUAGUCGAUAACUUGGGAUGUUCUAAAUACAAACAAAACUCUGCUGAAUUUUUGGUAGAUUUAAAAAAAAAAAUUACCCUCAAAUUAAAAGCAUAUGUUGAGAUCUUUUAACAUUGAUCAAGUCGUAUAGUUGGUUCUGUUACAUGUUAGGUAUACAAUGUCUCUGUGAUAUGGACAUAAUGAUUUUUGAUGUGUCAAAUUCUUACUAUUUCACUCUUAAGAGUAGAAAGAUCUACUUCGUUGGACAACCACCAAGGCUUAACAACAAUAAUGAGAAAAUAAGCAUGUGAAAGGAAAAAGACUUAAUCUUAUAAGCCCAAAUGAUUUUGAGAAUCAGGUUCAUGAAGAGUUUGUUGCAUUUGCUUUAGUGGCUAAGAAAGUUUUAGAGAAAGCACUCGAAGAAAUAAGUGUAGUUUUGAAAGAAUUUCAAGAUGUUUUUCCUCUCAAAGUUCAUAAUUCCUUACCCCAUUAUACGUGACAUUCAACACGUAAUAUUUUAUCCCUAGUUACCUCUUGGUUUCAAGCAAGAAACACACUUCAAUAUCAUUAUGCGUUACUGUAUUCCUAAUAGAUGCCCUCUUAGCAGACAUACCCAACCCACAACUAUUCCAGAAUAAAAUCUUCAUUGAUAAAUGAUUUUAAACCUUACCAAGUUAUACUGCAAAAUGGAAUUAUUCCCAAAACCCAAAGCAAAUAACAUCCUCUGCGCCUCAUCUUCAACAAUACAUUCUGCUGUUGCAGCAGAACUGUAAGUUAUCAUAUAACGAAGAUUCCCUUUUCUGAUUCUAGAAUCCAGUGAACCUGGUGAUUCCACCUCACGUUCAUCCUCCACCCGCUGAAGACUACCAUUGAAAGAGAAAAGCUCCACCUUUGGGUGUAAACUGGAUUGAUUGCAUCCCAUCUGAAUCACGUGGGCUUAAUGGAAGGAACGAACAAUUGUCGGUUUUAAAAGUUUGGUUUGUAACAAUCAUUGUAAUUCCAAAUUUCCAUACUCCUUCCAUUUAAGCAAUUAAUAAUAACAGAGAAUAUGUAUAAAUCUCAAUGUUGUUUUAAAUUUUAUGUAAGAUAGUACAGUUUCAUUCAAAAAAUGAGAAAGAACAAUAAAAAUCCUCAAAUUCUACCACCUUCAAUUCUCAUUCAUCAACAACAGCAUACAUUCAAACAAGUGAUCAAUAGUGUUGAUGAAAAAUAAAUCAUUAGCGAUCAAGUGACGAGGACUAUAGUAAGAUUGGCGCCAUUGUAAGCUUGACAAGCUUUGCCUACUCUAAUUAACAGCAACGAAAGAUUCAGUGCCUAAUCUCUGGACGGAGAAGGGGACGCCUUUGUUAUGUACAUGGUUGCCCUAAAUGGUUCGAUGAUGCUCAUUUUAAACAUUUUUUGUCAAGGUUGUCAAUUUUGCUCCGUUUAGUGUUUCAUUUUUUUAAUUGAAACGGUAUGUUUUGGUUUCGGAGCAUUUCAGUGUGUUGUUUCAGGAUUAUAUAUAUAUUAACUCAAUUAAACAUAAUUUAAAUUUAAAUUUAAAGAUAAAUUAACUUGAAAUUAUGCAAUUUAAAUUUCAAACACAAGUAAAAAAGUGAGAGACUGAUAUGACUUGAUCGACUAGAUGGGUCCAAAGACAACCUUUACGACUGGUAAGAAUAUAGUUUGACUCAAAAAAAUUUAAGAUGAUAUUUUUUAAAAAAUAUAUUGAGAUGACAACAUAUUAAAUCAACCUGGGUCAACUCGAUCGGAUUAACUUUCUAAAUUCGUAAUCCAGGUUAUGAGACCAUAAUAACCUAAAAUAAAGCAAAUCAAAACAAAUUAUAAAGCUGAAUUCUCAAUAAACAUGUUAUUGAAUGGUUAAAUUGGAAAAAUUUUAAUAUAAAAAAAGACACAAAAAAAUGACCUUCAGAGACUAUUGUCGUCACCAGAAUGUUUUGCCCGCCACACAAGCUUCACAUAUCUUUUGCAACUCAGAUUUGGAAACUUUAGAGUACCUUUUUAUAUACUGUAACUUUUCUAGGAGUGUUUGGAUGAAAGUUUUGGAUUAGUGGGGUAUCUAAUGUUGUUGUCGAGCACUUUAGACUCGCUACUUCUACAACAACAUGGAAUGGUGCAGGGUAAAUUCCAAAGAUUAGCUUGGAGACUAAUCUCUAGUAGUAUUACUCGGGGUAUUUGGUUGUUGAGGAACAAAAUUGUUUGUGAGGAGAGAACUAUAAGUUUGUUUGAUUGUUUCUCUAUCAUCCUUUAUCAGGUUGCUAUUUAGUUGUAUACUCUGUAUUCAAACUUUACUUAUACAGGAAAUGAUCUCUUAAGAUCUUUUGAUGAUAUCAAAUUGUGGUGUAAUAAGAAAUCUUAGGUAGUUUCUUUGUUUUUUUGUUGUAGCAAAUCAGUUUUGUUUUCUUUUUUUCCCCCUUUUUUCUUUUUUUUUUUGUCCUAUGAGACUAUUGUCAUCUGCAUUUUUUCCAUGAUAUAGGCCAGUGGGAUGGUCCAUGAGACCAUUGCUAUCAAGCGUUUUUUGUACGAGAUGGGUCCACGAGACCAUUGCCCUGUAAGCUUGGGAAUGGAUAAUAUGCUUUAAUUUCAAUUUAGUUUACAAAAAAAUUAAAUUAAAUGCUUAAGCAUAAAAAAUAAAUCUCAAGUGUUAGAAUGCAAUUACCGAUUAAUUAAUGGACAACGGACCUUAGAUUAAUUAAUAUAUGAUGCAUCUUUCAAUGGAAAUGUAAAUGCUUUACUAGAAUAUUAUUUUUUUUUGUAUUUGUUUUCUGGUUAUAUUUAAUUUUCAUCAAUAUUCCUAACAUAAAUUGCUACGUAUUUUGAAUCUUGAAGGAUUGAAAGAUAGAAAACAGAAAAGAAAAGGAGACAAGGCAGUUCAAAAGAAGAAGAAAAAAGUACGAUAGUGAAAGAAAGAGAAGAGAAUAAAAGUGGAGCAGUUUUUAUUAACUAUAUAAAUUUUAUAAUUACUAAUAUUAAAUUCAAAAUAUGUACAUAUUACAAAUAUGUAAACAUAUCAUAUGGUUUAAAAGAAAUGGCUUUUAUAAACAUAUAUGGCUUAACAAUAUUAAUCAACUCCUAAUAUUUUCAUUUUAUAUAUAUUAAUUAAAGUAAAUAUUAAAACCUAUUAUAUUAAUCUGUGAAGGUAUUUACUCGGAUGCAAAUUAUAUUUCUAAUUUAUUAUUAAAAAAAAUUCUAUAUACUACAACUAGCUUAAGAAAGUCAUGUUUAUCAGGAUCAUAGAGUAAAAAAAAGAAAAAAUUGAAUUGCAUAAAAGUAUCACUAGCUUAAGAAAGUUAUGUCAUCUGCAUCUUUCCUCGAGGAGAGGCAGUGAGACGUCCUCUUCCAACCAUCAUGCAUUUUUUCCAUGAGAUGGGUUCGUGGAAAAACUUUGGUUUAAUUGGGAAUGCUGUUAUUGAUUGGAAAAUUUUUAAUUAAAAUAAAUUUGAUUUUUUGAUUGGAAAAAAAUCCUUAAAUGACAUUAACACAUGACUCCACUUUAUUUUCUUAAGAAAAAAAAUAUUGUAACCAUAUAAGUUUCAAGUUUAAAGGGUUUUCAUUUGAAGGGGUGUGUUAGAGAAUAAUAUAAAUCAUAUCUUAGAAUCUAACCUAAUAGCUUAAGCUUUUGGGUUGAAUCGGUUCUUUGACAUGGUAGCGGAGCCUUGAUGACCAAGCGAUCACGAGUUCGAAUCUCAUCAUCCCCAUUUAUUAGAUAAAAAUUAAACACAAGGUAAUGUGGAUCUGUACAAGUUUCAAGCCCUUCUAUUGGGUUAAGAUGGUAUCUUGAGGUCUCACCUAACAACUUAAACUAUUGGGUUGAGAUGGUUCUUCGACAGGCUACCAGAUGGUGCGGCGCUACACCUCUGUUCUUGCUUUUCUCUGCUUGUUUUCUCUUCUUUUUUUAUUUCUCUUGUUCCCUUUGUCUCUCUCUGUAUUAUCUAUGUUUGUUCAUUUUUCGUCUAUGUCUUUUUGUAUUAUCUGUCUGUGGUUCUCCCCUUCUAUGUGGCUUUUCUUUGUUUGUCUUGAUUUCUCUGGGUUUGUAUUUGGUUGGUUCAACAACCUACGGUGAGGGGAAGUUGAAUAUUAAAGGCUCCCAUGCCUCUCUAGCAAUAAUAUUAUUUUUUAUUUAUCCCCAAAUACAUGUGUCAUUUAUCAAAAUAAUUAAUUUAAUCACCAAAAAAAAACAAAUAGAUCCAACAACCAUGCCAUUCCACAGUUAAUUUUUUUUAUAUUAUGAUUUAGUGCUAUGUUAACCGGGCAACCUUUAAUUACCAUGAUAUAAAAUAAAAAAAUAAUGGGAACAUAAAAUAAAUGUUUUUAUAUAUUUUUUAUUUUAAAAGGAAAAAUUUUACUCUAAUUUUACUCAAAAACUAUUGCAAAAGGAUAUUUAUUUUAAAUUUAUCUAUAUUUUUAUAGUUCAAAUAUUAAAAAUAAAAUAGAAUUAAUCACUAAGUUUUCUGGUUACAAAUACAUUUGUAAUUGUCUUUAUCUCCCUUGUAUUUCUAACCAUUAACGAAUUGAAUAUAUAAUAAAUACUAAUUAACAAAAGAAUAAAUUUAGCUGUAUAAUGUACUAAAGUUUAAAUAGGUGACUUUAGAAUCACCAAGAAGGCAGUGAAUCACACGGGAAGAUUGAAAGAAUAAUUAAAGUGAUUUUACUAACCGACAAGUUGACCCCAAGUCAAAAGUCUUUUGUGGAAAAACAUGAAUAAAAGGUUGACGUAAGACCAUUGCUAUCAAGCGUUUUUUCUAAGAGAUGGGUCCGUUCCACCAUAUAUAUGCUUUAAUUUCAACCACCAUAAAAAAUAAAUCUUAAUGUAGUGUGUUAGAAUGCAACCACCGAUUGAUUAAUUUUAAUGGCCGGUCAUUUAAACUUGGGUGUUUUUUCAGUAUAUAUAUAUAUAUAUAUUCCUCAAUUAUCAUAAAAAAAUAAGAAAAAACUAAUAAUAAGAUUAAAAAUAAAUGUUUUAUUUAUCGAAAUAAUUAAAAGUAAGGUUUACUGAAGGUAUAUACGGGAUUAAUAAAAAAUAACAAUAAAAUCAAUUUAUAAAAAAAUAAAUCAUAGAUUUAGUUUUCCUAAAUUUUAAAUGUAGUGUGAAUGCAUUCCGCAAGAAAAAAAACAGUGCAAGAUUAGCCUUUCAAGAAAUAGAGAAUCUUCCUCUUUGAAGGAAUUAAUUAGUGGGUUGGAAAAAUGUCGUCUUUUGCUCUAAUAUUUUCUUCACUUGGUCUAUAGUUUUACCUUACACUAAUAUUUUCAAGAUUUCAAUUGAAAAGGAGGGUCGUAAAAAAUUUAAUUUUUAUAAACAUACCCUUAAUUAACUUAAUUUGGAUGUGGAUAAUUGUUUGCAAUAUAUUUACAUCCAAUAUAAACAAUUCAUCAAUGAUCAAGUCGGCCUUGGUUAGCUAAAAUAUUGAAAAUACUUGCUCUCUCCUUUUUUCUUUUUUGGCCAUGCAGUUCCUAUAUAUAUAUAUUAGUUGAAAUUUUAUGAUGUCUAUUAAUCCUUUUAAAUUAAAGUCAAGUUAUUAAUUAUAUCCUAUAGAUUUCUAGAAAAACUAAUUCUCUCAAAUUUCGUACAUUUUACUUACAAACUAUAAAAGGUGAUUGCUACAAACUAAAAUUUCAAACAAGGAAGCUUAAAUCUCUUUUAUCUACAUUUGAAAUUUACAAAAAAUAAAAUUAUAUUGGAUUAAGCCUAAACACUAUAUAAAAUUCUUGAACAACACAUUAAAAACAAAUCAAAGAUACUUUUCAAAAUAUCAAAUCAUUAAAUCUUACAUAUCAAAUAAAUCAAGUUAUCAUAUAUCAAAUUAAAAGGAAGAAUUAAAUGAUUGUUUUAUUUUUUAUAAAAAUAUUUUAAAUAGAAAUUAUAAUGUGGAUCAUAUGGCUCAAUGCAAAUUAAGGUCUCACAUAUAGCCAGCUAUAGCAUGGGAUAGCCAGCGGUCAUUCCAUCAGGAGAUUUGUGAAUUCUGAAGCCUUUGCAAUGUGCAUGGCAUGUGUCCAAGAACCCACCAGGAACUCCAUUUUGACUGGGAAACCUUUGACGAACUGUAUUAUAUGUGAUUUGCUCCUGGUAUUAUAAAUUAGAAAGUGUAAAUUGUAAAUCCCAACCAAUAAGAUAUCUACAUAAGAGUCUGUAAAUGUUACAGAUGAUUUAAGUUUGUUUAGCAAAUUUUUCAAGAACAUGUUUGUCUUUGAUAGCUUAUUGUCAUAGCUGUGAACUCUGAAGAAAAUUGAUGUAAGAAACCAAAGUCCAUUUUGUUCUAGAUUGUAGAUGGAUAUAAGCUUGGUGAUUCCCGAUUCUUUUAUUAAUUUCAUUUUAUACAUUCCCUGUGAUGUGUUCUUAAUUUAUAUACCACACCGAUGUCUGUUAGGUUCUGAUUCAAUCGAAUUGGAGCCGAUCAAAAUUGUAAUGACUCAGUUUCUUUUAUGACCUGGAUUGGGCUUCACAUGCCCUUGAUUAUGCCCAAGAAGAAAACUAAAUAAAUAGUAGAUGAGUAGUGUACUGAAAAUAAAUAUUUUCAGCAUAUUACAUAGAUCUAAAACAAUAGCACACAGGAAUUAAAAAAGAGGAGGGAUCGCUAGGGAUACAAGAUUUGCAGCCAAAACUAUGACCUGACAUGUUCAGGAAACAGAAGGGAACUAUGACCUGACAUGUUCAGGAAACAGAAGGGAGGUGUUUCUUUUAAACACAAGGCAGAUUUUUAUGAUCUUAUUCCUUUUGGUCAUUAAAUUUUCUUAAAAGGAGCUUUGGUUUGAUUCCUACAAGCUGGGGGCAAAUCUUCAGCGUUUCGACAGUCAGCCUCAUGAGCAAAAGAAAGACAAUGUGCGACCACUCCAAGCUUCUCGUUGCUCCCCUGUUCCGAUUAGAAAUGGAGAUUCAAGAAGCUAUGCUACUGUCCUGAGACAAGAGUUCCAACGAAAUCUACUGUAAGUUCCCAAGACACUCUUUUAUAACACUUUGGUCAUUUCCAUGACUUUAUCUGCAUAUCUUGUGCAGGCCAGUUCCAUGUUUUGAGAUUUGAAUAUUAUUUUAUUUUAUUGUUUAGCACUUAGUCUAUUCGCCAGGUUGGGAAAAAUAUUCAAAUUAGUUUUGUUGGCAUGUAACCUCACCAAACAAUUUAAGACUUCACUAAACAAUUUGCGUAGACCGUAUUGACUGGGAGUCAACUAUUGUCGUAGUGCUUUUUUGCACUAUCUGUGUGCGUGAAUGGAAAGAAAAGCAGGGUGGCAACUGGGGUGAGAAAAUGAAUAGAAAACUCCAACAAGGGUGUGAAAAUGAGUUACUUCUCCAAAAAGAAUAUAUAAAUUAUUGAAUAUCUAAUGGAAACUGUCGUGAACGCGGAUGCUUGACUUGCUGUGUACCAUUUUGAUUUUUAAACACAACCAUGCCGUAAUUUCCUGGUGAUUUCCUUAUGCAUACUGGUGGUCUUCCAGAAUCUUUUUCCAAACAAUCCUCGUUAGACCCUGCUCGGGGAUUAACCUGGAGUAAGAUUUGUAUCAUGGUUUUUUAUCAUGUUCCAGGUCAACUUGGAUCAACUAAAUUUUAUGAGUAUGUCAAAACGACAUUGUUUUUUAUAUAUAAACAUAAAUAUGAAUCUUGAGCUCUUUUAUAAUCUUAAGACGAAGUAUAUUAAUAGUUGAACCAUUAUCCACCAAGAUACAAUUCAUCAUCUUUUCAUCGAUAUAUCUUUUAAUAAAAAAAUAUCGUUUAUGGAGUUUUGAUUCAAGCAACAGGUCUUCAUCGUUAAAGAAUAUCUAUGUAGUGUAUACACCUUGAGACAAGUCGAAAGAGUUAGUCAUGACAGGUUUAGUAGGAGUUUUCUUUAUAGUUUUCUCAUUUUUUAUGUUAAAUUAGGAAGAGAUCAAUAAGAAACUGAACUUGAAGAUGGACUAUAUCAUUGUUAACUUCUUGAUCCGAAUACUCCAACAUGAUGGUUAGUGCAAAUUUUUUUUUUUUUAAAAAUAGCAAAAACAAAGUAAUUAAACAAGACAGACUUAGGAUUCCACAGAUAAAUAUAUGGCCAUAUUUGUUUCCCGGAAUUCACUUUCCGGGAAGCCACUUUCCAAACUUUCCUGUGUUUGUCUGCCAUUAGAAAAGUUGGUCAACGGAAAACACUUUCCAGUCAAAGGAAAAUUUAGCUUGGUUUCCAGGAAAGUGUUUUCCUUGAAAAUUUAUGCGGAAAACACUUUCUGAAAGUUGUGAAAAAUUUAAAAAUGUCAUAUUAUUUGCUGAUUAUAUCAAAUUUGGUCCUCAAACUUUUGAUUGCUAUAUAUAUAUAUAUUUUUGUUUUGAAUAUUUAUUUUUCAAUUUCAUCUCUUAAAAUUUAAUUUUUAUAUUAACUUUGGUCCUCAUUUUUAUAAUUGUUAUUUGCUUUUCCCUUAUCAUUUUCUUAUUGAAAUUUUUUAUCUAUCAAAUUUGGUUCUCAUUCUUUUGAUUGUUACUUAUUUUAUUUGAAAUAAUUUAUGAAAUGUUAAUUAUUAUUAUUAUUUUAAUUUCUUCAUCUUUCAUUUUUAUUUUAUUUUUUAGAUUUGAUUUUUAUUAUUUUGAUUAUUAUUAUUUAUUUGAGAUAAUUUAUGAAAUUAUAUUUUUUUUCAAUUUCAUUCUCAUUCAACUUUUUAAUUUGUAAGAUUUGUUCAUCAUUAUUUUAAUAAACUUGAGAAAAUAAAAUAUUAAUAAGUUAUUUUCCAGUUCAUUUUCCAUGACAUAACCAAACACUGAAAAAUAUUUUCCAACUUAUUUUUCAUUACACUACCAAACAUCGAAAAAUAAUUCACUUUCCUGGAAUUCACUUUAAAAAAAAAACUACUUUCCAGCAAGCAAACGGGCCAGUUUCAACACUUCUCUAUUGAAACGUUCAACAAUAAGGCUAAGCUAUGAGGUCAACCCACUAAAAAGCACCCAUUAGCUGGACACAUUCAAGAAAAUUGCCGACAAGUUUCGAACUAACACAAUUUUGGGCCGAGAAUGCAAGAAGCAAACCACUGAUUCCCCCACCAGCAACCACAACAAAUUCAGUGCUCCCAUGCUAAGAUCCUCUGAUGUUGGAGAACUAGCGAAAUUUAAUACAAGGCUUCAACACUCCGAAGCCUGCUAGAGAAAUAUUAAAGCAAAAUAAGUAGUAGCAUUAAACAACAGCCAUUUCAUCAGUUUUAAUUUUAGUAUAACACAAUAAUAUGAACCAACCUUGAUUCUCAAAGGCACCCAACUAAUUCAUAGCCUUCAAAUCAAGACUUUGCAAUUCUUUAAAAGGCAGAAACAAAGAUGCGUUGAGAACCCACUCCCCUAACCCCCAAUCCCCAGCACCCCCAAGAGAGAGUUGGAUCACUCGCCUUUCGGUGGUAUCGCACACGAUCCUAGACCACUCACAACAAUUAUUGCCCAGGUAUUUCAACAGUUAUGGCUUGUGUGGGUUUUGGUUCACGAUGGAGAUGAUGGAUACAAUAAUGUAUUUCGACAACAAAACUUUCAAUGCUUGUGAAUGGCUCUCCAACUAAAGAGUUCUUUAUCGAAAAGGGAUUGCGACAAGGGGACUCUUUAUCAACAUCUCUUUUCAAUAUAGCAACUGAGGGUCUUAGUAGAAUGCUAAGAAGAGAUGUGGUUUGGGACUUAUAAAAGGUAUUUGUUUUGGUCACUUUCAAGUUUGUAGAUGAUACACUCAUCUUCAGUUCAUAUGAUUUUCCAUCUCUUCAAAACAUCAAAAUAACCAUGUGAUGUUUUGAGUUGAUUUCUAGGCUGAAGGUUAAUUUCCACAAGAGCUCAAUCACGAGAACUAUUGUUAUUUCUUCAACUGCUAGCAAUCUAAUAUGUAGUAUGGAGGGGAUGCCAUUUAAGUAUUUGGGCCUGCCUAUUUGUGCAUCUUCAUCUCAUGUGGAAAACUAUUGUUAAUAGAAUCAAUAGCAAGUUGGCACUUACCUAUUGGUGAGAGAGUGUGCUUGCUUAAAUCAAUUAUAAAUAAUCUUCCUAUCUACAACCUUUCUUUAUUUCCUAUCACAUCCAUUGUUGCUACCAAAAUUGAGAAACAUAUCAUAUCUUUCUUUGGUUCUUAGGAGGAAGGAGGGAAAAAACUAUGCAAUGUUAAAUGGGCAUCGGUGGUUCCUCCAAAAAAAAACAAAAAGGGCUGGGUAUAGACUACAUUAUUGAUAAAAAUCAUGGGUUACUAACACUUCCAUAGCAAAGAGAUAUGUAUUUUCCCUAUUAAUUUCUCAAGUUACCAUAAUGAGAGUGUGAUGUGACUCCAAUAAAUGUAGGAUAUGUUAAUUAGGUAUACAAUGUCUAUGUGAUAUGGACAUAAUCAUUUUUGGUAUGUCAAAUUCUUACUAUUUCACUCUUAAGAGUAGAAAGAUCUAGUUAGUUGGACUGCAUUCCGAUCUGCAAUCUUCCUAUAUAUCCCAAUUGUUGUAUUUGCUUUAGUGGCUAAGCAAGUUUUAGAGAAACCACUUGAAGAAGUAAGUGCGGUUUUGAAAGAGUUUCAAGAUGUUUGUAAUAGAUUUGAUCCCUAGUGUUAUAUUGACCUCUUGGUUUCAAGCAAGAAACACACUUCAAUAUCAUUAUGCGUAAUUGUAUUCCUAAUAGAGUUAUGAUGUAAGUUAUGAUGUAACGAAGACUCCCUUUUCUCAUUCUAGAAUCCGGUGAUUCCACCUCACGUUCAUCCUCCACCCGCUGAAGACUUAUACCAUUGAAAGAGAAAAGCUCCAGCUUUGGGUGUAAACUGGAUUGAUUGCAUCCCAUCUGAAUCACGUGGGCUUAAUUAAUGGAAGGAACGAACAAUUGUCGGUUUUAAAAGUUUGGUUUGUAACAAUCAUUGUAAUUUCAAAUCUCCAUACUCCUUCCAUUUAAGCAAGUAAUAAUAACAGAGAAUAUGUAUAAAUCUCAGUGUUGUUUUACAUUUUAUAUAAGAUAUUACAGUUUCAUUCAAAAAAUGAGAAAUAACAUUAAAAAUCCUCAAAUUCUACCACCUUCAAUUCUCAUUCAUCAACAACAGCAUACAUUCAAACAAGUGAUCAAUAGUGAUCAAGUGAUGAGGACUAGAGUAAGAUUCGCACCAUUGUAAGCUUGACAAGCUUCGCCUACUCUAACUGUAACGAAAGAUUCAGUGCCUAAUCUCUGGACGGAGAAGGGGACGCCCUUGUUAUGUACACGGUUGCUCUAAAUGGUUCGAUGAUGCUCAUUUUAAACAUAUCAUGUCAGGUUGUCAAUUUCGUUCUGGUUAGUGUAACGGACCCGACUGUACGACUUGAUCAAUGUUAAAAGAUCCCAAUAUAUUCUCUUAGCCUGAGGAUAAUUUUUUUUUUAAUCUAUCAAAAAUUCAGCAGAGUUUUGUUUGUAUUUAGGACAUCCCAAGUUAUCGACCACUAUCAAUUUACUCAAUCAACCCAUCAUCACAAGGUCCCAUAAAUCCGGACCUUAGAUUAAUCAUCAUAAUUCAACACCUUACCCAAUCCACACAAUAUAUAUCCUACGAGUAAGUUCAAUAUCAACAUAACCCACAUAUCAUAUUAUAAAAUUUAAAAGAAAAGGAAAUACUAACAUGCAAAGAAAGCAUUACAACAUAAUAAGUGUUCUUAACCAUAUCAAAAGGGUUAAUUACAAGAUAACUAAAAUACUACAUGCUAAGCUGAACUUUUAUAAAUACAUCAAGGUUUACACAAAAGUAUACUACAUAAACACGUUAUUUCUCUUUUGUUUAAGUUAAAUAUUUACAUAAGCUUGACAAAGUAGAGUCCUAAAUUAGUGAUCUCUCUGGAUAUUUGAUGGACCUGUUAUAUAAAUAAACAUGUCAUUAUGUUGAUAAAAGAAAUAUAUAUAAGCUCAUGUAAUGUAUCCGAAUGAAGUAUUAAUUUCUAUUGGAUCCAUAAGGAUUCUAACAGACAUCUUAUAUUUUGCUUGUAAAUCUUUUAAACCCAAUUUACACUCAUUUGCAUAUUCUUAAUUUGAAUACUCUUAUUUAUUUGCAUGAACCGGGUGACCUUGCAAAGUCUAUUCUUGUAAUCCAUUUCCCAGCAAUCAUAUCACGAAUACCAUUAGCCGAAGCAAAUCUUGUAAUUCAUCUCCCGGCAAUCAUAUCACGGAUGACAUUAGCCGAAGCUAAUCUUGAGAUUCAUCUCCCUGCACUCCUAUCACGGAUGCCAUUAGCCGAAGCUAAUCUUGCAAUCACGGAUGUCAUUAGCCGAAGCUAAUCUUGUAAUUCAUUUCUCAGCACUCCAAUCACGGAUGCCAUUAGCCGAAGUUAAUCUUGUAAUUCAUUUCCCGGCACUCCUAUCACGGAUGCCAUUAGUUGAAGCUAAUCUUAUAAAUACACUAGACUUUAUUUACAUUGAACACGAUAUUUAUUAUAAUUGCAUUCACUAGAGGAAUUUUAAAUUGUAUAAGUACAAAUAGGAGGGAAAAAUCACGCACCUGCUUCGCCUGUUUCGUGACCUCCUCUAACAGAAGAUCCAAUCCUGGUUGCUCCUCCUGAAUCACAAGGAAGUUUUUGGUUAUGAUUCCUUCAAGCUGAUAUUAUAGAGGCUCCAUAUUCAUUCAUUACUCAUAUGUUACUUUCUAUGCAUGUUCAUUUCCUUAUAAUAACAAACAUACAUAAAUCAAGUAUAUUUUCAAAGUUAGUAUCUCAAUGUGCAAGUGUUCGUAUGACUCAAUUCUUUUAUAUUCUUACAUAUAAUAUUCACGUGAAAGUCUACUAUUACUAUCUAACUUUGAACUGUUACUGUCCAACGGUUGCUGUCCAACAGUUGCUGUUUGAACAGUUGCUGUUUGAACUCUUAUCAGAUUUUUAACUAUAUCUAGAGUUCUAGAACUCCAUUUUAAGUGAGAUUGAUCUUGUUGGAAAGCUAAGACACGAGGCUACAAGUUCUCUAAAGGAAGGAGAACCCAGUUCUGCCUCCAGGAUAGUCAAAAUUGCUCAUCAACCCAUCAAUCCUACUGCUCUACAAAAUCAGUCACGACUCAGUCUUGGUUGGUAACCCAUAACUGGAGUUAUACAUCUCCAAAUUGAGCAAGAUUAAUUUCCUUGGUUAGCUAACAUCCAAAUCUACAAUUUCUAUAAAGGAAUCUGAUCCUAAUUCCCUCAUCCUCCUACCCGAAAUCUCACCAAAAGUUAGGAGACAAGUUUGUCCAGAUUCGUUUGCCCCUCCCCUUCACACAAUACUUUCAUAAACUACACACCACACACAUGAAUUAACUUAAUCUUAAUAAUAAGUACUUUUUCUCCAAUUCAUGUCUAAGAACCCUAACCUAUGAUUCAAUAUCAAGGCAUCAAUUCAUUAUCGAUUUGAAAUGAAUUUUUUUAAUAUCAUGUUUAGAACACCUUACCCAGUACAAAUUAAGAUUUUGAUCUCCAACCAGUUGAAGAUUUUCAACUCCCUCCUUUCUUUUCUUCUUGUUUAAUUUCUUGGUAAUCCCUUGCUCUCAAGUGUUUAUCCCAUCUAUAAACCCUUAAUCUUGGAUGGGUUCUCGAAAUUUUAGUGUUUCUCUCUUGAUUUCGCAAGAAUGGGUAUAAAACUCCUUAUUUUCUCUCAUUAUCGUUCCUGCAGAUUUUUGGUGAGGAGAGAGUAUUUAUACUCUAUAGUUUCCCUUAUUUGUAUUUAGGCCCCAUUUCCUUUAAAUUUCUGAAUUCUUGUCUUUUAUUUAACCAUACGCAUGAAUUUCUUGACUUUUAUUUCUCAUAUAGUUAGUUUUCAAUUUAAGCAACCUUUAUUUUUUUAUUUUUUUUCUGAGGUUUACAGUUAGUGUUUCAUUAUUUAAUUGAAAUGGUAUGUUUUGGUUUCGGAGCAUUUCGGCGUGCUAUUUCAGGAUUAUACUGUUCAUACUAUUCAUAUAUAUAUAUAUAUAUAUACAUACUCAAUAAACAUAAUUUUGAUUCAAAUUUAAAGAUAAACUAACUUGAAAUUAUGCAAUUAAAAUUUCAAACACAAGUAAAAAAAGUGAGAGUUGAACCAAUAUGACCCGAUCGACUAGAUAGGCCCAAAGACUACCUGAAUGACUGGUAAGAAUAGAGUUUGACUCAAAAAAAUUUAAGAUGACAUAGUUUUUUAAAAAAUAUUGAGAUGACAACAUAUUAGAUCGACCGGGUUCAACUCAGGUUAACCUUUUAAAUCCGUAAUCCAGGUCAUGAGACUAUAAUAACUCUAAAUAAAACAAAUCAAAACAAAUUAUAAAGCUCAAUUCUUAAUAAACCUAUUAUUUAAUAGUUAAAUUGAAAAAAAAUAAUCUAAAAAAAGGACACAAAAAAAAUGACAUUUCAAAACAAAAUUAUGAAAAUGUCACUAGCAGUCUCGCAAGGCCUUUCUAAACUCCAAUUGCUCUAUAAUUUUAACCUGAGAUAUAACAAUAUGUUAGGAAAAUCUUCAUAAGAUUUCAGUCUGAUCCACCAAUCGAAUUGAAAGAUAUGAUUGAUAUCGUAAAACUAGCUAAUAUUGUUUUAGAAAAAAAAAACAUUAUUUGGCCGGAAUGGAACCGGAACAUUCGAGCCAGAAUUUUGGCGGAAUUUAUGGAACGGGCUAAGACUCUGAGCAAGAUGAAAUUUGUUUCAGUUUGUUUUAUUUUUUAAAUUGGAAAGAGAUAUACCAGUCAUUUUGAAUGGAACAUAACAAAAUUGACAACCUUGUAUCAUGGUUGAUUAGAGUUUUUUUUUUUUUGUCUUUUUUUUCAAAAAUUUUUCCAACAUUGAGUUGAUUGGUAAUCGAGCUUCAUAAUUUAUAUGUUAACAUGCCAAAUUCAUGACCUGAGUCAUGAGACUAUAAUAACCUCAUAAAAGUAUAUUGAACAAAUUACAAAGCAUAAUUCUCAACCACCAGUGUUUAAAAAUGAAAUUGAAAAAAUAACAUAAAAAAUGACUCAAGUCAACUCAAGAACCUGCCAAAUCCGUGAUCCAGGUCACAAGACCUAGAUAACCUCAUAGAAAGCAAACUGAAAAAAUAAUUCGGGUCAACCUAGGUUACCCUGCCAAACACGCAACUCAGGUCAUAAAACUAGGAUAAUGCUAUAUAAAGCAAAUAGCAACAAAUUUUAAAGCAUAAAUCUCAAUCAACUUAUUUUAAAGCAUAAAUCCCAAUCAACUUAUUACAAUUCACUCGCAUUGUUCACUUUAGUGAACAGUGCUACAGUGGAGCCAUGCUCCACUGUUGAGGUUUCUCCCAGACGAGAAGCAAUAAAACGUUUAAGGAAAUAAAUGUUGCUUCUCCAAAACCUGCGGUGCCAUAUGGGUCCUACGUGCUGAAAGCACUUUUAUUUUCUUAACCAAACGUUUAUUAGCGUGGCUGCGGGUGAACCUCACCCGCAACCACGUUACCAAACGAGCACUUAGUCUCAAAGAAGAAACAAUUACUUGGUUCUAUAUCCUUAGCACGUCAAACAUGAGGGUAUGAACAGUAACCAUUGUGUCCACUAUAAAAUAUAAGGGGGUGAACAGUGCGGCUACAAAGUAUUCACCCCACACACUUUAUAUUAUAAGUAACUAGUUUUUGUAUUGGCACUCCGCGGCGGGGUGGUUAUUUUUUUAAGUAAAAAAAUAAUAAUAAGCAGGCUCUUACAAUGCACUUUUUAAUAUAAUUUUUUUUCAAUCACAAAUCAAAAUGCCUAUACAUAUAUUUAGUAAUUAGAUCGAUAUUUGAUAAAUAGGUAACUAAGAUUAAGAUAUUUGAUAUCACGACAUGAAUCAUGUGCUUAGUUGUGUUUAACAAUUAUGUUUCCUAGAGUUUUUUUUUAUGAACCAACCAUAUAUUCCGAUAAAAGGUAACAAAAAAUUCAUACCAAUAUUGAAUGAAGAAACUAAAAAAAAAAACCAAUAAAAAAAAGACUGUAUAAAUACACUAAUUUAUUGACCAUAUUGACAAAACAAGUCAAAACUGUAUAAAUACACUAAUUUAUUGACCAUAAGUAAAUGAUUGAGAUAAUAAUACGAAAAGAAAAACUUUUUACCGGACAAUGAUCAAUCCUGGUGAUGUCCAAAGUGUAAAUCAAACAUUUUAUAUCUUGCCAUGAGAAACAAAUAUAUCACAACUUGUUUUUAUUGUAUUCUAUUAUGACUUGUUUUGUGCCUUACAUUAUUUAAUAUAUUAAAAUAAAUUUAAUAAAUUAUACUGAAGCAAGAUCUAAUAUUAGAAAGUUAACGGAAAUAAUAAAUAUAUUUUUAAAUAUAUUUACAGUUCGGUCCCUUAAUUAACUUUUUGUUUGUAAAAUGUGGAGCUGUCAGCAAUAUUUCCUUAGUUUGUGUCGCUAACUGUGAUUAAAGGAUCAAUUAAUUAUUUAUUUAAAUCAACCAGAGGGAUUAAUCUGUUUGUUUAACAAAAAUACAGACACUAAUUAAAUAGAAUUUAACUCAAAUUUUAAUAAUCAAUAUUUUUAGAUGGAAUCUUGGUAGAAAAUUUAAUCAUCAUAUCCUGGGUAUUUUGGAAACAAAAUUGGAAACUUUGAAUGAUUUCACUAUUACUGCUAUAUGGGGUCGUCAUCCUAGGGCUUGGUAUGCAGUUCCCUCAUUAGGCCUUUCGGGGGGAUAUUAUGUAUAUGGAAUCCGAAUCUUUUUUGUGUCUCUAGCUGUUCUGUUGCUAUGAAUGGCUGUAUUUUGCAUAUUGAAGGCACCUUCACUCGGUCCAAUCUAGAUUGCCUAGUCUCUUUUGUAUAUGCUCCGAAUGUUGGGAACCUGAAGAAUGAGCUGUGGACUUAUCUUGUUACAUUCAGGGAUAGUGUUAGCAUGUCGUGGUGUCUUGCAGGUGAUUUUAAUGAAACCUUAUUCCCAUCAGAUAGGAAAGGCGGCUCACAAAUAACAUCUUCCAUGACAAGAUUUCAAAAUUGCAUUGAUGGUUGUAAUCUUAUGGAGCUCCCCUUAAAUGGGAGAAAAUUUACAUGGUCUCGAGGUAAUGCGGCGAGCCGUAUUGAUAGAAUAUUUUUAUUGGGGGAUUGGUUGCAGGCUUUCCCGUCCUCUACUUUAUUCGGUCUCUCAAAAUAUUCAUCUGAUCAUAGGCCUCUGCAUCUGUUGCUAGACUCUACAAAUUGGGGCCCGAAACCUUUUCGCUUCAUGAAUUGCUGGUGGCUUGCGUCUGAUUUCAGGAUUAUGAUUCAGAGCUUUUGGAGAUCACUCACGGUUUCAAAAUCUGGCAUAAGGAAAAUGGUCCCAGCUCUAAAGAUGUUGAAAGAGAGAUGUCGGCAGUGGAGUAAAGCUACUGUGGGAAACAUGAAUAACAGAAUUGAAGAACUGGAACUUGAAGCUGACUCAAUGGAUCAUCAAAAUGAGUGCAGGGUUUUGACUGCUGAUGAACUGAUUAGAAGUAAUUCCAUUGCCUCCCGGCUCAAAAUCCUGUAUAGAGCUCAAGAGUCUGCCUAGCAUUAGAAGUCAAGAAUUCAGUGGUGUAAGCUUGGAGAUAAAAAUACCCGAUUCUUUCAUUUAGCUGCAACAACAAGACAGAAAAAGAAUCAGCUUGCAUGCCUAGAGGUUGAUGGACAGAUCCUAUCUAAACCAAGCGAUGUGAAUCUAGCUGUCUUUCACUUUUUCCGCAACCUAUACUCCCAUCAGAACAGACCUAGAGCUUCAUGUUCAAACCUGGAAUUCUCAAGGCUGAAGCAUUCAUCCUCGGCUGCUCUUGAAUUGCCAUUUUCUGCAGAAGAGAUUACAGCAGCUGUGUGGGAUUGUGAUGGAAAUAAAGCUCCAGGUCCUGAUGGUAUUAACUUCCUUUUCAUCAAGAAAGCAUGGAACAUUAUAGGUGAGGACAUUAUCCAGAUGGUUGAUGAAUUCUAUCGGACUAAUCUCCUUCCUGCAGGUAUCAAUAGCACCUUUGUUACUCUUAUUCCGAAGAUUAAAGGUGCUAACAAGCUAUCAGAUUUCAGACCUAUUAGUUUGGUGGGCAGCCUAUACAAGAUCUUCUCAAAGAUUCUAGCAACUAGGUUGAAACAUGUUAUGCCAGAGGUCAUCUCUCAUCAUCAAAAUGCUUUCAUCAAAGGGAGGCAAAUUUUAGACAGCGUCUUGAUUGCAAAUGAGGUUCUUUCUUUCAUCAAGAAGAAAAAGGGUAAAGCUUAUCUUUUCAAAUUAGAUUUUCAUAAAGCCUUUGAUUCGGUGUUAUGGGAAUAUAUUAAUGAAAUCAUGGCUAGUAUGGGCUUUGACCUGGUUUAUGCAAUGCAUAUCAACGGCAAAAAUGUCUGUGCUUGUUAAUGGGUCUCCCACGGAGGAAUUCUGCUUAGCAAAAGGCCUACGCCAAGGAGACCCUCUCUCUCCGUUUCUCUUCAACAUUGCAGUCCAGGGCUUGAGUUGUAUGUUGCAGCGUGGCUGUGAUUUGGGUUUGACUUCGGGUAUAAACAUCGGCAAUACAGGGCUUGUCAUAUCUCACUUACAGUUUGCGGACGACACCCUUAUGUUCAGUUCAGACUCUUUACAUAGCAUGCAGAACAUUAAACGUAUCCUAUUAUGCUUUGAACUUGUCUCGGGGCUGAAGGUCAAUUUUUAUAAAAGCAGCAUUGUGGGUGUGGGUGUAGCAGCUCAUACAUGUAACUUCACGGCUCAGCUUCUCAGAUGCAAGCAGGAUCAGCUGCCUCUCAUGUAUCUUGGGCUCCCCAUUGGUGGAAACUUGGGCAGAGCUACAAUGUGGAAUCCUAUUUUGCGCAAUAUCAGUUGCCGAUUGGCUUCGUGGAAAGGCAGGUUCUUAUAUAUUGGGGGCUGUUUGUGCUUGAUUAAAUCUGUGCUCAGUAAUCUCCCCAUCUACUACCUAUCUAUGUUCCCCAUGCCUGUUACGGUAGCCUCCAAAAUUGAUCAGAAACUUCGAUCCUUCCUCUGGUCAGGAAAUGAGGAAAGGCACAAAAUAUGCAAUGUCAGCUGGGCCACUGUUACUCUUCCAAAACAUGCGGGGGGUCUUGGGAUUGGUUCCUUAAGGGACAAAAACACAGCUCUGCUAUUUAAAUGGUUAUGGAGGUUUGGGUUAGAGGAAUCAAGUAUGUGGAAGGAUGUGAUCAAAAGCAUCCACAACACCAAUUGCUCUAAACUGCUGCUGCAAGCUCCUAUUCCAGGAGCUGCAACUACAUGGUCCCGGAUUGUUAAUCAUUGUGUGAGAAAUAAUAAGCUGCAGGAUAUUGUGAAUGAGCAAUCUCUGGUUCUUAUCGGAAAUGGCAAGAAGACUAUGUUUUGGCUUGAUUGCUGGCUUAAUAACCACUGUUUAGCAGAGCACUUCCCUACUCUUUUCCAAUUAUCCAAUGACAAAGCUGCCAGCAUUGCUAAGAUGGGAAUAUGGGAAGGGUAUAAGUGGAUUUGGGUUUUUUCCUGGAUACGUCCACUACGGGGGCGAAACAUUGGCUUGCUCGAUCAACUAUAUGCAAUCCUAUCGACAGUAUUGGUAAGCCAUGGCCAUCUUCUUGGUAUGUUCUCUGUUCCAGUUGGUAUUUUAGACUCUAAUAUUGCUGAGUUAAGGGCUAUUGUCAAAGCCAUUGAACUAUCAGCAUCUAAUUGUCUCCUCCACCAUCAACACCUCAUCAUAGAAUCUGACUCUGUCAAUGUUAUUAGCUAGAUGAAUAAGCCUCACAGCCGUCCCUGGAAGCAUCAUAAUUUGUUCUCCUUUGUUAAUAGACUGAAACCAUAUUUUGGUUCAAUCACCUUCUCCCAUAUCUUUCAUGAAAGUAAUUGCAUGACAGAUUGCAUGGCUAAACAAGGAGUGCGGAGAUCAAGUGAAUUUGUUGCCUGGCUUUGACUCCACCAUUUUUCUGUGGCCUUGCUCUUGUGUCUUCUGCCAUUAUGUCUUUGAGUUAUUUCUGUUAUGUUUUGUAGAGGAAUGUUUAGCUUUGAGCUCAUUCGGAUGGAUAUUCUAUGGUUUUCUUUGCUUUUGUUUAUCUUAGUCUGCGCUUUAUCCUAUAUAUGGCUUUUUGCCAUAGUAAGAUAAUGUGUAGCUUCUGUACUACUCCCGCCAGACUUUGGCGUUUAAUAAUAUACGCAUCUUUCAAAAAAAAUCCAUGUGAAUCGCACGACUUGUCCAUAUCUUUCUUAUUGAUUACAAAUAGCAUUGAGAAUUAAAGAAUAUUAUCUUAAUAAGUUCCAAUUUAUUCUACAAAAACUAUAUAUAAAGAUGUAUACAAAUUAGUUAUUUAUUGUUUGUAAGUAUUAUUGUAUUGCAAAGACAAAAAUAAGAUGCAACUUAUGGCGUGGUCGUCCAACCUGGUUCAGGUUUUGAUCCUGUUAAAAAUCUAUUUUGUUGAAUUGUUAUCUACUUGUGAGUUAUUGGGUUAACUAGAUCAAUUUUUUAAACAAAACAAUAUCAUUUAAAAAAAAAAAAUUGGUUCUGACUUAGAAAUAUAAUAUUAGAAACUUAAAUCUUAUUAUUAUAAAAGACUCAAUGGUAAAUUUAGUUUUGAAAUAGAUUUUUGUAAAAUCAAAUAUCAACUAAGCACCUGGAAAUUUAUUUGAAAUUACAAUAACCUUGUAGAAAACAAACAUAAAUAGAAUUAUUAAAUUCAAUGGAGUCCAUGACCUGAAUUACGGGUUCAACGGGUUAAGCCACGAAGCUCUGAUCGAUUUAAAAUAUUGUCGUCUUAAUAUAAAAAAAAAAUACAUCUUAAAAAAAAUAAAUUAAGCUAGACUACGUUUUUACCUAUUAUCUGGGUUGUUUUUAGGUUCAUCAUUUCGACUGAGUUAUAUUAGGACAACUACUACAUAAUUUAAUUUAAAAUUAAAGCUAAACAAGAAAUUAGGUAAAGAGAUUUUAAGAUUGAUUUGUUGGAUUGGAUUUAAUAACAAUACAAAAAAUCUAAAUAUUUCUUUUUUAUUAAAAAAAAAUUCAAUCCAACUCUCAUCGUAACGCAGUAUAGUAAGAUAAAUAGAUAUAAAUAUUUUGAUGGAUACUCGGGAUAAAAGAUUGUUUGAGGACAUUUUGCUAAUUUCUUUUGUUAUCUAAUCAAUCAAGCUCAUAGUGAAUAAGUAUAUUAAUAUAUACAAUUAAAUUAAAUAACAUAUAAGAGAAAAAUGGUCGCAAGCUAAAGCUAAAGUGAUGCGACGUUGAGCCACUAGUCGAUAGUUGUAACGUCAGUUUGUUGGUUCGUCGUUCGUUUCUCGGGCGAGUUUGGUUGUGCUAAACACAAUGAACCAAUAGAGUGCUUUGCUUUCUUACUUGGAGAUUCUGGAGCCUUGGAUUUUUUGAUAUUUAGGUUAUCUGUUUCUAGAAAAGAAAGAAAGAAAUAUUUAUAUUAUCAAUGCAAUGCAAUGAAACGACUAAAUAACAUUUAAUUAUUAUCAUAGCUUUGUCCUCGUACCUAAGGAAGUAUACUACGUCUUUUUCUCCAUUGUUUGAGUUUGAAAUUAUAUCUGUGAACCCAUUAAUUUAUCUAGAAAAAACAUUUAUUGGGUAAUUGGAUCAAUCAUUGAGGUCGUCAUAUCAUAUAUAAACCAAUUAUUUUAAUUAAAACAAUAUCAUUUUAUUUAAAAUUAAAUUUAUAAUACUAACUGAAUCCCUAAAAACACAAUUAGACCAAUCAAGUUUUAGCAAGUUAAUUUUUUUUUUUAAUUUUUUCAUAUUUAACUUGAAAUUCAAUCCAAAUUAAAUUAUAAAUUAUGGGUUUCUUAAAUUAACACAUGUUGGGUCAGGUCUACCAAUUAUGAUUGGAAUCCAGGGUUAAUAUCUAGAAGAAUUUAUUAAAUUUCUGUAUAAUUAGUCAAUCGAUGAGGGAAUUUAGUUUUGAUUGAUGGAGAAAUUAAUUUAAAGAUACCAUGCAAGAUAUAUAUAUAUAUAUAAACAUUUAAAGGGAAACGGACCCACCAUCAAUUAUUGUUAUUCGUUUAAUUAUAAAUAGAAUGAAGAGAAUGAUGCUCGCUGCACUUUUAUCAGCGACUGAUAAACCCCAGAAGGAGAACACUCUACAGAAUUAUUCCAUACUUUUUCGUAAAUUAUAAAUUAAAAAGAAAUUGGUUAUAACAUGGUUAACGAACACAGCACAAAAAUAAACAGGUGUAUUUCUUACAUAAAUUCUUAUUGUUUUGUUUUUCCAUUGGUUUCAUGAAAUUCUCUCAACAAUUGAACAAAAAACACUACAUCAUAGCUCACAAACAUACAUUUUAUAAGUCAAUUAAACCUCUUGUUUUUCUUAUGUGUCUUUUUAUUGUAAUCUCUGCAAGGUGACACCUGACAGAGCAAUCUGUUGAUAGGUCCAAUUCUGCUUUAUGUUGUGUUUCUUGCUGAGCAAAUAAAGGUCAUGGGUUUUCUUUCUUUCUUUUUCCCUUAUAAAAAUGGUCAUGCGGCCACAGACAGUUGCGAAAAAAAAGAAGCACUUAAUUAUCACUUAUUUGGUAAGUAGCGUACUUAUCAGAUGACCCUCAACCAUCAGUACCCAUUAUAAAUUAAUGUCGACAAGAGUAAAAUUAGGAGUUACCGUGACUUUCCAACAUCUAUCAUUAUAAAUUAAGUAUCAACAACGAUUAAGACUAAUUGUUUUACCAAGAUUCUCAACCAUUGUAAAAAUAGAUUUGAAAAAAAAAUCAUAGCAAAAAUUCAAAAAAAUAAAAAUUGCAUUGCUUUCCAUAUAUAUUUUAGUUUUUCUUAUAAUAAUAAUAAUAAUUAUAGUCUCUCGUGUCUCACAACUGUAUGUGUUUUUUCUUGAAUAAGCGCUAAUGUUCUUUGAGGGGUCCAAGCACCAUAUACUGAAAGAAAGAACUAGUUCAAAUUGAAGCACCAUGAGUUUCUCUACGGCUUGGUUCACCACCUGCUGGUGCGGCAAGUUAUGAACUAGCUGGCUAGUUUUUUGCUUCCUUGGUUUUAGAAGCACCAUGUGUUCAAAGAAUAGUCAACAAAGAAAAAGAAAAAGAAAAAGAGAAGGGCAAAAGGUUAAUUAAAAUCAGCAGGACUGCCAUGAGGCAACCUCAAGUAGUGAACUUGAAGGAAUAAAAAGUGCUGGGAAGUAAUUUUUGCUGAAACUUCUUGUGUAACAUCUUCUUUUGAUGAUGACCUCUUGGAUGGCUGCAUGAAGCUUGUUCCGUUUUAAAUUUCAAGGUUAAUCUAUUUCUAUGAGCAUUGGUGUUUCAAUUUCAACCUUAAGUUGCAACUGAACUUAAAUGAAUAGUGUUGGAUUUGGGCCUUCUAUUUGCUUUAACUUCUACAGGAUUGAAAUGAUAGUGAUCUUAAAGUACAAAAGCAGCAGACAAAAAUCAAUUAGCCACAAUAUAUAGUGUAUGGUUUCCUAGUUUCUCAGUAUAAAGUUGAAUGUUUUGGUGAUAUCUCUACAUCCAAAAUCAUAUAGACAGCUACUGCUGGCACUUGCAGUGGUCAAUGAAUACUAUAGAGUACAUAUUGCAGUUUGAGAUAAGGUUAACUCGUUGCAUUUUCAUAUAUUGAAAGGAUUUCUCUUCUUUUCUUUGUCAGUUACAGAACAUGCAUAGAAGUGUUCUUAUUCAGAGUAAAUGCUAUUGUAAUGUUUUCACGGACUCCCUUGCUUUGCAACUAAGUCACUAAUUAUCUUGGAACAUAGCCAUAAAUAAAAGGUUCUUCCAGUUCAAGAAAAUUAACCAUGAAGCUAGUAGCUAGAAUUUUUAGACAGAAUGGUGGCCAAGUAAACUCCUAUACUCUGUACCUCUGGAAUAAUGCAGGGAAAGGAUGUCUAUGUAUUUUGAUGUCUUAUAUUACUUGACCAACUCUUGCUUAUCUCAUUAUUUGUUUUUACUUUUUGCUAAUGAUUCCACACAUUUUUGAUAUUGGUGUGGUUUAUGACUUCAGGGUUCUUACUCGCUACUGCAACUUCUCUAUACUUGCUUGGUCAUUAAAUAUGAAACGUGAUGAUUUGCAUAUGCAGAAUGGAGACAUUAAAGAGGCAUCUUCUGUUUUCUAGUUAGGAGGGAUUACCAGAACUCAAGAAAUUUGUCGUACAUUUUGAGGAAAAGAUUUAUACCACCGCUACCAAUCAGGUAUUUGCCUAAUGCGAGGUUCAAUAAUUACGAUAUUAUCUAGACAUGAAUAUACACACGCAUUUAUGCUUGUACAAAUGUGUGUGUAGUGUGCCUACAUUUCCACACCUUUCAUUCUGUAUGCAAGGCUGAUUAAGAGUUCGCAUCUUUUUGUUAAUUCUCUUGACAAGUGUUUUAUUUAGAGUGACCAAGUUCAAGUACAUGGGAAGUGUGCAAAAAGCAAAUAGCGAAUCAAUACAUAAAUAAGUAAAUAAAAAGAGAGGAAACAGAAGUCUAUCCUCACAAAAGAUGAAAUGAUAGAGCAUAUAUCCAUUUUCCUCCUCUUGUAACAUGGAUUGCUCUGAGAUCUAAUGUUUUGUUAUUAAUAUCUUAUUUUAGUCUGAUUAUCUGCAUAAAAUAUCUCUGGUGAUGCUUUUGAUGAAGAUCAGGUCUCAAAAUGCCAUGCCCACUGCCCCCAUGGAUCCAGCAGGUAAUAAUGCAUUCGAGCAUCGAAUUUCUAAACAUCUUACCUUUUGUUUUUCUUCUCGCAUUGUUAUCAAACUUUUUUACAUUUUAUUGUUCCAUAUUGCUAUGUAUAUCGCCUUGCUGGCAAAAUGUCAUGAUCACCUCCACAAUACUAAUUCUGUAAUGCGUGUGAAGUGUUUCAUCCUUAACUUGUUAAUGAACGAGGACUAUGAUGCAUGGCUAUUUUAUAUUUUAUGAUUGAGAUGGUAGAUUUUAAAGAUUUUCCUUUUUAGGAGAUAAGACGUCACUUUCUUGCUUUUCUUCCGAGAGUAUUCGAUCCUUUUUUCGUACAAAAUAAUGAUGCCAUGCAUUGAAUUCCCAAACAUAUUACCUUAUGUUUUGUUUGGUCGCAUUGUUAUCAAACUCUUUUACAUUUUAUUGCGGCAUAUUGCUAUGUGUAUGGCAUGCUUUAAUCAAAAAUUUGAUUAAUUGAUGAAUGUUAGGCAAGAAAAUUACAGAAUAUUUUUGUUUUUUGCCUCCUCCUUUUCUUUCCCCCACUCCGAAAAUUGUCAUAUUAUUUUUGUUUUCAACCGCCUCUUCUUCCCCCAACCCUGAAAAUUGUUUAUAUUUGCUUUGGAAGCAUGGCAAACUUCACUGCCUCUCAGCUUAAGGAGAUUGCAGCAGGUCUCGAAGCUUCUGGGCAUCAAUUUAUCCGGGUAGUUAGAAGAAACAAAAAGAGUCAAGAAGACAAGGAAGAUUGUUUACCCGAAGGAUUUGAGGAAAGAAUGGAAGGCAAAAGGAUGGAUACUCCAAGUUUUGAUUCUUGAUUAUAAAGCAAUAGGUGCAUUUGUGACUCAUUGAGGAUGGAACUCAACUCUUGAAGGCAUAAGGCCAAUAUUUGCUGAGCAAUUCUAUAAUGAAAAGUUGGUGACUGAUGUUUUAAAAGUUGGUGCUGUCGUUGAAUAUAUUAUAGCUGUCAAGGUUCUUGAGUUUUCCCAAAUGUGAUGAUAUGAUCUCAAAACCUGCAAGAGAGUUGUUUGUAAGAGUAAGUCAUGAUGAGCUCACGAUAUGCAAAACAGAUAGAAACAAAAGAUAAUUAGAAUUGAUGAGAUGCUGUUGUUCAAUUGAUGUAUGAUUCUCAAAUUAUACAUACAUAUAUAUAUAUAUAUAUAUAUAUAUAUAUAUAUAUAUAUAUAUAUAUAUAUAUAUAUAUAAUUGAUAUUUAUAAAAGCAUUAACUGUAGCUGAUAUAGUUUUAGAGGAAUAUUUGGUACUUUGUUUCCCAAAAAAAAAAAUAGAUUUUUCUGCGAAGUAGGAAAAAAAAAAAAAAAAACUGUUCAAAACUUAUUCAAGAAAUUAUACAGUUAGCGAGUCACAGAUGAUGAAUCUUAAAAAAAAUUGGCAAUAAUAACAGUACUCUAUUACUAUUAAUUAACUUAAAUAUUCAAAACUUAAAAAUAUUUUUUAAAUUUAUCCAUGCCAAUUUAUCUUAAGAGAGUCGCAAUCUGUGACUAGUUAAAUUAUAUUAUUUCUUUAAAUAAAUUUUGCAUUGUGUUAUUUUUUGUUCUAGGUGCUAUUUUGCAAAAAAAGAAAAGAAAAGAAAGAUUAACGUUUCAGUUAUUCAUUGUUCUUGGAUUUGUAGGUAUAACAACUGAAGAUAGCAAUCAAAAGCGAUGGUGACAUGGUAGAGCUUUGAGUUAUUGCUGUGUUCUAAUGAUGAAGAUGUAGGAAAACGAUCUCCCUUCUGCUGUCUGGAGCUGGGCUUCCUCUCCCUGUAAGAACAAGCAACAUCUUAUCUGCGUUGUUGUUAGUGGCCACUUCAUCGACCCAUUAGUGGGUGGAUUUUAAGCUUAAAAAGGAUUUUUUUUAAAAAAAAAAUAAAGGAAGAAAGAAAGGAGAGGGGGGGCAUCAUCACGUGAAAAGCAAGGAGGUUGCCACCCAUUAUAGAGUGUGGGGCACUCUUGCAUCUAAGAAUAUAUGAUCCUGAGGUUGUUCUGGUGAUGGGUAUUGGCCAUUACAUAAAGCUUCGACAAGCCCUUUUAGCUGCCUGUUAUUAGAAUUUGUAUAAUGAGCAUUCAAACUUAAACUUCUUUAAAUGGGAUGAAAACGAGUGAAAAUCAAGAAGUUGGAGGUGUUCAUCUCUAAUGCAUAGCUGAAGAUCCUUUGUAAGAAAAUACAGCUAAAGACAAAGUGUGUGUGUGUAACAGAGAAAUUGUCGAUAAUAGCAAUCAUGUUCUUUGUCUCUUGUGUCAUAUCUUCCAAAAAUCUUAAAGUAAUUGAUGAAAAAGUGGAUAUACCACUUUGUCUUCUUUAUAGCACUACUGGCCAAUAUGAGUUAAAAGCAUUAAAAGGUCGUGAACGCGGAUGCUUGACGAGCGAGUGUUUACUUGUUAAUUUUUUUAGAAGGAAUCUGGAAAAGAAUAAAGUCAUCUAUUUCACUUUGGGACAACAUUCCUCACCUCUCCCCGCCCGAGCUCUCUCCCUCCCUCCCUCCCUCCCUCGCUCGCUCCCUCUUCCGCCUCUCGGAAACCGCCGCAUCCAUUAAGGCUUCAGAUUUCUGCCAGGUGCUUCCUUUUCUAUCAUGCUUUUGUUUUUAAAAUUUAUGGGUGUUUUCAUUUAUUUUAUUGUAAUUAUUAUUCAGAGACAGAAAUCCAUUUUAAUAAGUAAAUUAAAAAAAAACAAAUAAUCGAUCCGAUGAAAUCUCUGCUAGUGAACGCAAUUCGAUUUUAAUAAGUAAAUUAAAAAAGUAUAUAAUCGGAUCCGAUGAAAUCGCUGCUCGUGAACGCAAUUCAAAGAAACGCACAAUCAGCCGAUUCUAAUAUUUUCUUUUGCAACCCCACCCUAAUUUACAUGAUAUUAUUCGAUUUUUCUCACAGUUAUUGUUGUAAUAAUCAAGCCCUGAAUUCUUGAACCCAAAUUUAUCUUAUUUUAUUUUAUUUUUUAGUUUUAUUUUUAAGUGGAGAAUAGAAAUCAAUUCAAAUCUUUUAGGCUCGAUCGAUAAUUUGUUAAUUAGUUUAUGCAGCAGCUGGAGUGGAAGGGAUAUUACUGCCGGAAUGGCCGAAAAAUGAGCUGUUUGGUUGAUUCUUCUUUUUUGGAAUUUACUGAAUUCUUCAAAAUUAUUGUGUUUUUAACAACAAUACGAUAUCCUUGGGUUUCAUGCUCGCUCACAAAUGGAAAAAAGAAAGAAAGAAAAGAACUUUAAAUUUUAUAAUUUGGUCAUGUUAAUGCUCGUCGUUUUCUUCUUCAUUUUCCUAGCUUAAAACAUCCUAGACAAUCUCUUUGGGAUGGGUUAUUGUUUUUGGCCUCUUCAUCUUCUAUUUGUGCUGUGGUAUUUAGUCUGCUGAUAUUCUUUGGGGAUUAAAAUGCCUCGUUUUAUGACUUUGUUUUGUUUUCUUCUUCUUUCUUUAUUCUUUUGGGGAUGUGGUAUUCUCCUCUUUCUAUUUACACUCUUUGCUCCCUACAACAUUUAUUCUUUCAGAAAAGUAAAUACAUACAUAAAUAACAACAGGAGAGGAGGGGGAGGGGGAGGGGGUUUGACGGUAUGUAUUUGGAUGCAUGAUAUCUAAAUUGGUAAGCACCUGAAAAAGGUCCUGAAUCUAAAUUGGUAAGAUGUGAUAUACUGAUAUCUAGAGAGAUAACUUAAUCUAUCUAUUGAAGUAAAGCAUUUAAAUGCGUAUACAAUGUUUUUGGAUCAUUAAAUAUCUAUUUGAUCAGAAUCUGUGAACCUAAAGCCACAAUGAAUACAAAUGCAAGUUUGUCAUUGUAAACAUUGCAUCGAUGAUGCAUCACAGGUGUUGCUAGAAAACAUCAAGUUAAAAUUGAAGCACCAUGAGUUUCUCUAUGGCUUGGUUUACCAACACUCACCAUCAGUUGGUGCGGCAAGUUAUGAACUAGCUGGCUAGUUUUUCGCUUCCUUGGUUUUAGAAGCACCAUGAAGAUUCAGGCCCAAAUCUUGCUUACAAUACUCAAAUACCCAAGAUCCUAGCACCUUGCCCUGAAUGGUCGUGUAUAUUUGUUAUGGCUGUUCAGAUUUUAUGCAUCCAUGUUUGGUAGAAUUCUUUAAUAAAGUACAUGCUAUUAGAUGGAAGUUCUCUUUAAAUCUAUUCAAGUCUGAAUAAACUGAUAUUCCAAUUUUCAUGACUUUGAUUAGGCGGAGAACUUGUGAUGGACACAGGUGAUUGGAGAACUCAAUUGCAGCCUGGCUCACGGCAAAGAAUAGUCAACAGAAUGUAAGUAUCUGUUUGCUAAUAUGUACAAGUGCUGCAAAAUAGUAAAUCUUGUAUUUAAAUGAAAGAAAAAGAGAAGGGCAAAAGGUUAAUUAAAAUCAGCAGGACUGCCAUGAGGCAACCUCAAGUAUCAUACACUGCUGUUUUUGUCUUUUUCAUUUUUCACGUGUUUCUCACAAGAAGUGAACUUGAGGGAAUAAAAAGUGCUGGGAAGGAAUUUUGGUGGAACUUCUUGUGUAACAUCUUCUUUCAAUGAUGACCUCUUGGAUGGCUGCAUGAAGCUUGUUCCGCUUUAAAUUUCAAGGUUAAUCUAUUGCUAUGAACAUUGGUGUUUCAAUUUCAACCUUGAGUUGCAACUGAACUUAAAUGAAUAGUGUUGGAUUUGGGCCUUCCAUUUGUUUUAACUUCUACAUGGUUGAAAUGAUAGUGAUCUUAAAAUAGAAAAGCAGUUGAAUGUUGAAUGGUGUAUGGUUUCCUAGUUUCUCAGCAUAAAGUUGAAUGUUUUGGUGAUAUCUCUACAUCCAAAAUCAUAUAGACAGCUACUGUUGGCACUUGCAGUAGCCAAUGAGCACUGUAGAGUAUAUAUUCCAGUGUGAGAUAAGGUUAACUCAUUGCAUUUUCAUAAAUUAAAGGGAUUUCUCUUCUUUUCUUUGUCAAUUACGGUGCAUGUAUAAAAGUUUUCUUACUUAGAGUAAAUGCUAUUGUAAUGUUUUCACAGAAUUCCCCUGGUUUGCAACUAAUUCACUUAUAUAUCUUGGAGCAUAGCCAUAGCCAUAGCCGUAAAUGGAAGGUUCUUCUGGUUCAAGAAAAUUAACCAUGAAGCUCGUAAUUAAAAUUUUAGACAGAAGGGUGGCCAAAUGAACUCCUAUACCCUGUACCUCUGGAAUAAUACGGGGAAAGGAAGUAAAAAUAGAUGUCUGUAUUCUGAUGCCAUAUAUUACUUGACCGACACUCGGCUAUAUCAUUAGUUGUUUUUAUUUUUUGCUAAUGAUUCCAUUGAAUACAUUUCUGAUAUUGGUGUGGUGUGUGAGUUCAUGGUUAUUUCUCACUGCUGCUAACUUCUCUAUACCUACCUUGUCAUUAAAAAUUAAACGUAAUGUUUUACAUGUGCAGAAUGGAGAUAUUAAAGAGGCAUCUUCCGUUUUCUGGUCAAGAGGGAUUACAAGAACUCAAGAAAAUUGCUGUACGGUUUGAGGAAAAGGUUUAUACUGCCGCCACCAGUCAGGUAUUCGGCUAAUGCUAGGUUCAAUAAUUUCGAUAUUCUCUAGACAUGAAUAUAAACAUGCAUAAGUUUGUGGAUUUAUGCAUGUACACGUGUGUGUAGUGUGUCCACACUCUCACUGGUCAUUCCGUAGAAGUUCUCAUCUGUUCAUUAAUUCUCUUGACAAGUGUUUUAUUUAGAGUGACCAAGGUUCUUUUCAAGUACAAGGGAAGUGUGCAAAAUGCAAAUAACGAAUCAAUACAUAAAUAAUUAAAUAAAAAGAUAGGAUACAGAAGUAUAUCCUAUAUCCUCACAGAAGACGCAAAUAUAGAAAGCCUAGCAUAUUAGAAAGAGCAUUUAUCCCUUUCCCCCCUUCUCUUGUAACAUGGACUGCUCAGAGAUCUAAUGUUUCCUUAUUGAUAUCUGAUUUCAGUCUGAUUAUCUGCGUAAAAUAUCUCUGAAGAUGCCUCAGAAUACCAUACCCACUGGCAAUGGUAACAAACCCCUGUAUCCAGGGGGGAAGUGUGCAAAAUCCAAGCUUUGAAUUUCUAAACAUCCUUACCUUUUGUUUUAUAUUUCGCAUUGUUAUCAGACCCUUUUACAUUUUAUUGCUGCAUUUUGCUAUGUAUAUACUAAUCCCUGUACUUUUACAUUAUGUUAAUAAACUGGUCCCUUCAUUAGUUUUUUGUUAGUCAAAUGUAGAGUUGUUAGCAAUAUUUCCUCAAUUUGUUCCACUAACUUGACGUUAAAAUGUGACCAAAGAAUCAAUUAAUUAUUUAAAAAACUUGAGGGAUUAAUUUGUUUGUUUCACAAAAAAAUACAGUGGUUAAAUAAAAUUUUACUCAAAUUUUUAUCAUCAUAUUCGUGAGUGUUUACUUGUAAAUAUUUUGGAAUGAACACAGUGGUUAAGUUUAUGUUUUGCGCAGCAUAAAAAAAAUCAUCUAGGCUUAAAUAAUUAUUUGGCAUCAUAAUUAAAACUCUAAUCCAAAUUUCUCUCAUCUGGCUUCUUAUCUAUAUCAAGUUUAAAAUUAACCAAUGUGAAAGUUGCUCUAACAUGAUAUAAUUAAUGUGAUGGGUUCCAAGUCAAUUCAUAUGACCAGUAAAAAAACAUAAUUUAGCUUUAAAAAAAAAAUUCAAGAUGAUACUUGUUUUGAACAUUGAUACGACAUCUUGGAUCGACUCUAGUUUUGUGACGUAACUCUUUAAACCCAUGACUUGAAUAAUGGAUUCUAUCUGGUUUAAUUUUUUAUAAAAAAAAUUAUUUUUUACUUAAUAAUAUGAUAAUAAAAAUAAAAACUCGUAAAAUUGAGCACUAAUCAAAUAUUAAGAUAUUUAUUUGAGACUGCAAUAACAUCAUUGAAAGCAAAUUGAAACAAAAUCAAUUCAAAAUCAAAUAAAUGUUAAACAAAUAUUAAAAGAUGAAACCAGACAAAAGCCAAAAAGGAUUUAAUUGAAAGAAAGAAAAUAUUGGAAUGUAGAGUUUAAAAACUAAGGAAUAAUAUUUAUUAAACUUGAUCCUAAUCUAUCGACUUGACUUCUUACCUAACAUAUAUUUAAAAUUAAUUUGUAAGGGAGUUGUCUGUACAUUACCUAGUUGACUUGACAUGUGCAAAUUAAAGCAACCUGAAUGACCAAUAAAAACAUGGUUUGGAUUUUAAGAAAAAAAAUCAAGAUAUCUUUUUUUUUUAAUAUUGAGACGAAAAUAUAUUAGAUCAACUCAAGCUCCGUGGCUAAACUCGUCAAAUACGCAACCCAGAUCAUGAACUCCACUAGAUUUAAAAACUAUUUUUUUAUAUAAUGAUACAAUAACUAAUAUAAACACUUAUAAAAUUGAGAACUAAACAAAUUUAGUGACGUUUAUUUGAUAUUGUGAUAACUACAUAUAAAGAAAAAAACAAAUUAUGACCAAUUCAAAAUUAACAAAAUAUUAAAGUGAAAUUGAAAGGAAAAAAAGGGCAAAAAUCAUUCAAUCAAAAGAAGAAAAAAUUAGAAGAUAGAAUUUUUUUUUUAAGGGAGGAUAUGAAUAGCAAAAUAGGAGGGAAAACCCUAACUUUUUUUAGUAUAAUAAAUGAUGUUUAAUUUAAUUAAAAUCUUUAUCUCAUACAAUUAGACCUAAAAAGAGAAGAAAAUUUCUAAAGAUUGAUUUGUAAAAAAACAGAAAAAAAAAUCAAAUCAAGAAGCGAAAAAAUACAAGGACCAAUAUACACACACAUAGUGAAAGAGUUAGAAAAGCAUAACUUUUUUAGUAUAGUAGUUUAUUUCUAAUUAAAUUGAAAACUUUAUCUCAUAUAAUUAGGCCAAAAAAGAAUUAAAUAAAAAAAAAAGGAUUAAUUUAUAAAAAGAAAAAGAAAAAUAAAGAAUACAGAACCAAAUCAACAAAGAAAAAAACUAAUUUUUAAAAAAUAAAGUGCUCCACUAUUCAUAUAAAAUAGAACAUCAUUAUAGUAUCCAAUUAGACAGUGACCCAUAUUACUGGCUAUUUUAAUUUUUUUAAAGAAAAAAAAGUUUCAGUAUUUUCAAAUGUGAUAAGUUUUUUUUUUAUAAAAAAAAACAUAUAUGUGUGCAAGGGAAUAGAGAUUUGGUUUGAGAAUACAUGCUAAAAAUCUAAACAUGAACUAAAACAAAGUGGAAUUAAAAAGAGUAAAAAAAAAAAACCUAAAAGAGAUCCAUGAUUCAUUAUAUAUAUAGACUAUGAGGUUACGAGGUAAAAUAUUAUGGAUUAGCAUAAUAUAAUUACUUUUUACCCUUCUCUACACAACAAUUACCUUGCUAAUAGGGGUAAAGUUGUCUUUUUCAAUGAUUUUAAAGGUUAUUUAUAAAUUCACUGGAGAUAAUUUAGUAGGUUUACUCCUUUUUUGCAUAUUAAAACUACAUCAUUGCCUUUGCAAGCCAAAAAAAGAAAAAACAAUUAACCUUUUGUUUAAGAUCUAUUUUGUAUUUUGUAUUUGAUUUAUACAGUAAAAUGACAUUAAUGCCUUAGAGAGUUAAAAAAUCAUCGACUUUAAGUUACUGGGCCUUAAACUUUGUUAUUUAUUUUGGUUUUUUUUUAUAGGGUUAUUUCUAUCUCAUAUCUCAAGUUGCAGAUAAGUUAGGUUGGAUGCAUACUUAAUUAAUUAAUAAAAGUCAUGUAUAUAUUUUUGCAAAUUGGAUGCACACUUAAUUAACAUACUUAUUGAAUAUUAAGUCAGGCAAAAAAUCUAUAAAAAGAAUAUACAAGUGAGCCAAACAACAAUAUUAAGAACGAAUAAGAGGUAGUAAAAGAAGAUGAUACCAAAGGACGCAAAAUCACAAAAAUUCAUGAAACUACAUUAGGCUCUCUACAAGUGAAUUGUUUAAAAAGUUAAAAGAAAAUAAAUGCACUUUUGUCCACAGCAACAACUAAAUGCACUUUUGUUCAAUACCAAGAAAUUAAACAUUUUUUAAAAAAAAAACUAAAUGAAUUGUUUAAAAAGUUAAAAGAAAAUAAAUGCACUUUUGUACACAGCAACAACAACUAUAGCAAAAUGCUGGGCUGUAGAAUCUAGAUGAUUGUCCACAGCAACAUGAAAAAAUCAUAUAUGCUUAAGUAACUAUUUGGCAUCUCAAUCUAGUAAAUUAAUCUUAAAUUUCUUAUAUCCGACUCUUUACCUAUAUUAAAUUUAAAAUUAACCAACAUAAAAAUUGUUUUAAUAUGACUUAAUCGAUAUAGUUGGUUCAAAGUCAAUCCAUAUGACCGAUAAAAAAUGUAAUUUGGCUUAAAAAAUUUCAAAAUAACAUCUUUUUUAUAACAUUGAUACGACAAUAUAUUAGAUUGACCCUGAUUUCAUGACUUAACUCUCUAAACCCACUACCUUAAUAACGGACUCCUUCUAGUUUAAAAACUUUUUUUUAAUUAUUUUUUACUUCAUGAUAUUAUAACAAAAAUAGAUGCUCAUAAAAUUAAGCACCAACCAAAUAUCAAGAUAUUUGUUUGAGAUUACAAUAAUAAAUAUCAUAAAAAGCGAAACCGAAACAAGACCAAAUCAAAAUAAAUCAAAUGUUAAAGGAUUAAACCAGGAAAAAGCCAAAGAGGAUUCAAUUAAAAGAAAGAAAAAAAAAAUAGAAGGUUGAGUUUAAAAACAAAGUAACAAUAUGACAUUGUUAUUAAACUUAAAGGAAAAAAAAACUAAUUUAAAAAAUUAAAGUGUUUCACUAUUCAUGUAAAAAUGAAAUACCAUUAUAGUAUCCAACUAUAUAGGUGACCUGCACUAUGGGUUAUUCUAUUUUUUUAAAAGCAAAAAAAUAAAGUUUCGACAUUGUUAGAUUGUGAGAAAAAAAAAGUUUUAAAAAAUAUCCGUGUACAAAAGAGGAGAGAGAUUUGGUUUGAGAAUGCAUGGUAAAAAUCUAAACAUGAACUAAAAAACAAAGUGGAAUUAUAAAAAUUAAAAAAAAAACUAAAAGAGGUAAAUGAUUCAAGUGAUUCAUUAUAGACUAUAAGGUAAAACACUAUGGAUUACACACAAUAUAUUUACUUUUUUCUCUUCUAUACACAAAAUAAUUGUCUUGCUAAUGGGGAUAAAGUUGUUUUUUUAAAGGGAUCUAAAGGUUAUUUGUAUAUUGAUCGGGGAUAAUUUAGUAGAUUUACUGCUUUUUUUGAACAUUAAAACUACAUCUUUGCCUUUGCAAGCAAAAAAAAAAAAUUGUCCUUUCGUUUAGGUUUAGGGUUUAUUUUAUCUUUCCUAUUUUUUUUCAUAGUAAAAUAACAUCAAUAUCCUUGAUAACAAUACAACAACAAAGGAAAAUACCAAUAUUUAAAAUACAACAACUCUUUUUUUCCCAUCUUCUGUUUUCUUUUUUUCAUAUCAAUACAACAACAAAGAAAAAUACAAAUAUUUAAAAUACAACAUAAAAUUUAUUUUCCUGUAGAAUCAAUGUAACAUUAAAGAGGCAUCUUCCGUUUUCUAGUCAGGAGGGAUUAUAAGAACUCAAGAAAAUUGCCAUAUGACUUGAGGAAAAGAUUUAUACUACCGCCACCAAUCAUGUGUUUGCCUAAUGCGAGGUUCGAUAAUUACGGUAUUCUUUAGACAUGAAUAUACACACGCAUUUAUGCAUGUACAAAUGUGUGUGUAGUGUGCCUACACUUCCUCACCGUUCAUUCUGUAUGCAAGGCUAAUUGGGAGUUCACAUCUUUUUGUUAAUUCUCUUGACAAGUGUUUUAUUGAGAGUGACCAGGUUCAAGUAUUGGGGAAGUGUGCAAAAAGAAAAUAGCAAAUCAAUACAUAAAUAAUUAAAUUAAAAGAGAGGAAACAGAACUAUAUCCUCACAGAAGAUGAAAUGAUAGAGCAUAUAUCCAUUUCCCCCCUUCUCUUGUAACAUGGAUUGCUCUGAGAGCUAAUGUUUUGUUAUUGAUAUCUGAUUUCGGUCUGAUUAUCUGCGUAAAAUAUCUCUGGAGAUUCUUUCGAUGGAAAUCAGGUCUCAAAACGCCAUGCCCACUGCCCCCAUGGACCCAUAAGGUAAUAAUGCAGCCAAGCAUUGAAUUUCUAAACAUCUUACCUUUUGUUUUUCUUUUCGCAUUGUUAUCGAACUCUUUUACAUUUUAUUGCUGCAUAUUGUUAUGUAUUUCGCCUUGCUGGAAAAAUCUCAUGAUCACCUCCACGAUGCUAAUUCUGUAAUGCAUGUGAAGUGUUUCUGAUAAGGUCCCAAUCAAGAGUGAUACACAAUUGCAGAAAUGCUAGGAUUCUCUUAGGGUGAGAAUUUACCACAAUAUUGUUUGGAUAAACAUAAUGCUAUUCUUUUUAUUCUUCUUCAUACAUAUAAAGAACUAAACCAUAACAACUUUCAGCAAAUCCAGCCGAAAUGGAAAUAACAGAUUACAAAACAGAAAUGCAAAUAAUGUGAAAGUGGCUGCUUUAUUUUCUCCCAUUGAAUCGGAAGCAUGAUUCCAAUUGACUUGCUUGUAACUCCCUUUAAUCACGAUAUCUUUUAAUCACGAUAUUUUAAAUUCUUCUUUAUGACACGUGGGGUCCUUCGUGGCAGCAGCUCUCCAAGCUGCGUAUCAUUACCCCCCACAUCAAGUGGAUGCUUGUCCCCAAGGUCCAAGCUUGGGUGGUUCGUUAGCAGUUCAGCCGUUGGUUCCCAGAUGGCAUCAUUUGUAGACAAAUGUUUCCACUUCACCAAACUCUCCUCAAUAAAUCUUGCCCCAUGUGGAAUCCAACGUGUGUCCAGAAUAGCUUCUGGUGUGACCACAAUGGUGCCUUCUUCAUCAAUAGGUGGAAGUUCCAUACUAGUGUCUGCUUUGUCACCCAACUUCCUUUUAAGCAACGACACAUGAAAAACUGAAUGUAAACGUGCCCCCUCCGGAAGCUUGAGUUUGUAGGCCACAUCACCGACUCGCUUUUCAAUUGGGAACGGACCAUAAAACUUGCAAGCAAGUUUUUGAUGAGCUCGUCGAAAAGCAGUCUGUUGGCGAUAAGGUUGUAAUUUGAGAUACACAAGGUCACCUUCUAUGAAUUCGACAUCCCUUCGCCCACGAUCAACCAACUGUUUCAUGCGAUUCCUAGCAUUCGCUAAAUUCUGCUUGAGAUUCCUAAGAAGUGUGUCCCGUACCUGAAGACUGUGAUCAACUUCAUUAACUGGUGAAGAGCCUGUAGCAUAAAGUGGAAAUGUAGGUGGUAAGCGUCCAUAAAGAGCUUGAAAAGGUGUCGUUCCUGUUGAUGAAUGGUAAGCUGUAUUAUACCACAGCUCUGCCCAAGGAAGAAAUUGGCUCAACUGUCGUGGUCUUUGGUGAACAAAACAGCGCAAAUAUUGUUCCACACAAUGAUUAACCACCUCUGAUUGACCAUCCGUUUGAGGAUGAUAUGCUGAGCUCAUCUUAAGCUGAGUACCAGACAUCUUAAAAAAUUCCUGCCAAAACUUACUAAUAAAGACUUUAUCUCUGUCGCUCAUAAUAGAACUAGGCAUGCCAUGUAGCUUCACCACACCAUCUACAAACUUUUCUGCCACCAUCUUUGUUGUGAAAGGAUGUGUUAAGGCCAAGAAGUGAGCAGAUUUGCUUAGAUGGUCCACUACCACUAAAAUGGUAUCGCGACCAUGUGAAGUAGGGAGACCUUCAAUAAAAUCUAUAGUAACGUCAUCCCAUACCUGACACGGAAUAGGAAGAGGUUGCAAGAGCCCAGCUGGUUUGAGAUUAUCAGCUUUAGUUUUCUAGCAUGUCACACAUGUGUGGACAUAUUCUUUGACAGAAUGAUACAUAGAUGGCCAAUAAAACUGCUGAGAUAGACGUUUGAAUGUACCCAAUAUACCAGAAUGGCCGCCCAUCUUUGUAUCAUGAAAUUCCUGUAGUAAUUGUUCUAUCACAGCUGUGUUAGGAGGCACCACAACACGUGUUUUGAAGAAAACUAACCCAUCUCGCCAGGUAUAAGGUUUUCCAGGACUAUUUUGAGCUUGCUGAAUAAUUUGUUCCAUAUAUGGGUGUCCAGUGGAGGCCUUUUUUAUGUCUUCCCAUAAAGUUACUUGUGGCACAGACAACGCAUUAAGAAUAGGGCUUCCAGACACUCUUGAUAAUGCAUCAGCAGCUGAGUUGUCGCGUCUUGGGCGAUAUAUGAUUUCAUAGUCAUAGCCAAGUAAUUUAGCCACCCAACGUUGUUGUUCUGGUGUCCCAAUUCUUUGCUCCAAUAGAUACUUUAGACUGUGCUGGUCCGUUUGAAUGAAGAACUUUUUGCCCAGUAGAUAUGGUCUCCAAGUGCGUAUUGCCUGAAGGAUGGCAAUCAUUUCUUUGGCAUAUGUUGACCAUGAAAGUUUGGCCACUCCGAGUUCUCGGCUGAGGAAAGCAAUGGGUUUACCUUGCUGUGUCAACACUGCACCAAUACCCUCUCCAGAAGCAUCAGUUUCAAUUGUAAAUGAUUCAUUGAAAUUUGGCAUAGCUAAAAUAGGUGUGGUUGUCAUAGCUUGUUUGAGCUGUAGGAAAGUUGCCUCCGCCUCUUGACUCCAUCUGAAUUGCCCUUUCUUCAAGAGAUUGGUUAAUGGCUUUGCCAGCAGACCAUAGUUGCGCACAAAUUUUCGAUAAUAACCUGUAAAGCCUAGAAAACCAGGUAAGUCUGAAAUAGUGCUUGGCCUUGGCCAAUUUACCAUAGCUGUAAUUUUGCUUGAAUUAACCUUGACCCCUUUAUUAGUCACAAUGUGACCGAGGUACUCGAGCUCUGACUGCCCAAAUGUAUAUUUGCCUUUACAAAAUAUGUAUGUUGCCGUAGAAUUUCAAAAACCUUUGUAACAUGUUCAAGAUGCAUGGUCCGGGCUAUAAAUCAAAAUAUCAUUAAAAAAAAAACUAAUAUGAAUUGACGGAGAUGAGGAUGAAAAAUAGAAUUCAUAAUAGCUUGGAAAGUGGAAGGAGCGUUGCAAAGACCAAAGGGCAUGACCAUAUAUUCGUAGUGGCCAUUAUGGGUACGGAACACAGUUUUGUGAGUGUCUUUUGGAUUUACUCGUACUUGAUGGUACCCUGCUCUUAAGUCUAAUUUUGUAAAGAAGGCAGCUCCAUGGAGCUCAUCAAGCAUGUCAUCAAUGGUAGGAAUAGGAAAUCGAUCCUUAAUGGUUACGCUAUUGAGAGCUCUAUAAUCAGUACAAAAACGCCAAGUGCCAUCUUUUUUUUUAACUAACAAAACAGGUGAAGAAAAGGGACUAGUACUUGGUUUUAUAAGUCCCAAUUUAAGCAUGUCUUGAACUUGUUUUUCAAUUUCAGUUUUUUGAAAAUAGGCAUACCUGUAGGGCCUCACAUUAAUAGGCUCAGUAUCUUCUUUAAGAGGAAUGCAAUGAUCAACUUCACGAGCUGGAGGUAACUGUGUGGGCUCAUAAAAAAUGUCCUCAAAGUUGUUGAUGAUUUCCUUCAUAUCUGUUUGCAUAUUGGGUCGUUCCAUCUUUUCUAUGGAUUGACAAUACACUGUAAAAGUGGAACAGCCAUGACGGACAUCUUUAGUAAUUGCUGAUAGUGAAGCAGGUUGUAUAGCUUGGCUAUUAGAACCAUUUAAUGUUUGAGCUUGAUUCUUCCACCAAAAGUCCAUUGUAAAUUUUUUCCAAUUACACACCACUGGUCCGAGUUGUUCAACCCAUUGUACACCAAGAACAAGAUCAAGGCCUGUGAUAGGUAUUGAAUAAAGGGUUAAUGAAAAUGGAAUGUUUUGGAGAAUAACCUGGACUUGUUCAAACCUUCCUUGGCACUUCAUUUGAUUGCCAUCUGCCACCCUUACAGUGAAGGGUCUCAUAGGAAUAACAGGUAAUUGAAGCUCCUCUGCUAUUUUAGAAUUGAUGAAAUUAUGGGUAGACCCACUGUCGAUGAGCACUGUUAGAGUGUGAUUCCCAACUCGUCCUUCAAUCCUCAUGGUUCGUGGUGUGGACCAACCCGUGAGUGCAUGGAGUGAAAUUUCUGGCUCAGUGUUCUCCUCAGCUAUGUCCUCUACUGGAAUGUCAUCAGUAACUUCUUCGCACAUGACUCUGACAGGUUCACUAAGGCUUUCUAGUAAUAACAGUUGCGGUCUUUGGCACUUAUGUCCAGCAGUGAAUUUGUCAUUGCAAUUGAAACAAAGCCCUUGUGCACGCCGUCUCUGCAUUUUAUCCCAUGUUAGUCUUUUUAUCGGAACUGGAAAACUGGAUUUUGGUGGGGGAAAAGUCAAUGGUGUGCGAGUUAAUUGUGUUGGCCGUGUAAAUUUCCCUUGCCGCAUUAUUUGUUCAUCCUUCAUUUUAUCUAAACUGAUAGCCUCUUUCAAAGUCCGUGGUUUGAACAUCCGAAUAGCAUCAGAAAUUUCUACUUUAAGUCCACCCAUGAAUGUUGUAACAACCCCGAUUUUUCUACAUUCUUUUUCGCGAUAUAUUGGAAAUUUUCAGGUAAAUUUUUUUUUUUGUGAUAUACAGGUUCCACCAAAAUUUCUACCAAAAUUUCGGCAGAGUCUCCCCUAUACUGGUAGGUCCCAGGUUAUCGACAUAUACCAUGUUUACACUUCUAAUAUCUCACAUCUCAUAACUCAAAAUCACGACCCAAUCAUCCUGGGUCUCAACCCAACUCAUUAUCAUCAACACAACACAUCUUAUUCAAUAACAUCAUAUAAUAUAGUUCAAAUGAAAGAUUCAAUUUCAACUAUAAAUAUGCAUGGUCAAAUAGGUACUAAGAGUUUAAACCAUUAGAGUAAAGACAUACAUUCAAAUUUACGGAUUAAUAUUACAUCUCAAGUUUUAUAAUUUACAUAGUCAAAAGCAAAAGAUAUCUAAACUAGCAUUACCCUUGACGCGACCCUGAUGGACCUGAAAAUAGAAAUUAACAUGUACACAUAAAUAUAAAAGAUAGUAACAAGCAAUAACAAUGGCAAACAAUAAUCUCUACGGAAUUUCUUUUGAUAUAUAAAAUUAGGCAUAAACCUCUUUUACAACAUAUAUUUUACAUUUAUUACCAAUAUCCAUCUAAUAUCCUAUCUCAUUUACCAAGAAUAAUUCCAUCUUGGAAAUCUCAACACAACUCAACGGUUUGCGAACACCAUCUCUUUAUAAAUCAAUUCUCACUUGAUACCAAGAUAUUCCUCUCUUGGUAUUAUUAGCUUAUCUCAUUCUUUUGGAAUAACUAAUUAAUAUUUUCCCUUUUCUGAAUCUGUUGCUAGAAGGUAAUCACUGAAACUAAUAAAUCUCAUUAGUAUCAUUAGUCUUCAAAUAUUGGGCUAGACUAAUCAAUUUAAGAAAUACUGGCACCGAUGAAACUUCAUCGAUACCAUUAGCAAUCCAAACUUGGAUGGCUAAUCAAUUCCAUUUGAUUCUUCCAUUCGUACCGAACCCCUUUUAUCUUUCUUAUUAACAUCAUAUGCAUUGUAACCACGGUUGCCAAGUAUCAUUUGCACACAAUCUUAGUUAUCGACACUACGGUCACUAAGCAUCCUUCACAAAACCUUGGUCACCUUCAUCACAGUGCCAAGUAUCAAUUUAUGCCCUUAGCCACCAUCAUUAUGGUGUUAAGUAUCAUUGUAAUGUAUCCUUAGCCACCGACACUAUGGUAACCAAUUAUCUAUCAAUUCACCUCCAAUCUCCAAGUCAUUGUGUCUACCCAAUAACCACAUUAAUUAAUUUACUCAAUAUGUUAGUCAUAUAUUAAUUAUUUUACUCAUAACAUUUAGAAUUUACUAUUUCUAACUUCAAUCAAUUAAUUCACAUAAUCUUUUCAAAACUUAACUAUCCGGCUAACUCAUCUCGAUUGCCAAUAAUUCUGGUAAUUUCAUAUAAUUACCCACACUUUUGGUUAACCUCCAUCGGUUACCAAUACAUCUGGUAAUUCCAUACGAAUUACUCAGCCUCCAGCUAACUUCUUUUGUUUGUCAAUUAAUCCUGUAAUUCCAUACGAAUUACCCCAUAUCCAGUUAACCUUCUUGUUAACCAAUAAACCCGGUAAUUCUCUUAAUUGUCCAAGAAAUCUGGCUAACCCAUCUUGGUUGCCAAGGUCAAUCCGGUAAUUCCAUACGAAUUACCCAUCAUCCAGCUAACCUCUCUUGUUAGCCAAUGAAUUCGGUAAUUCCAUACGAAUUACCCAUCAUCCAGCUAACCUCUUUUGUUAGCCAAUCAAUCCGGUAAUUCUAUACGAAUUACCCCAUAUCCAGUUAACCUUCUUGUUAACCAAUAAAGCCGGUAAUUCUCUUAAUUGUCCAAGAAAUCUGGCUAACCCAUCUUGGUUGCCAAGGUCAAUCCGGUAAUUCCAUACGUAUUACCCAGCAUCCGGCUAACCUCUUUUGUUAGCCAAUGAAUCCGGUAAUUCCAUACGAAUUACCCAUCAUCCAGCUAACCUCUUUUGUUAGCCAAUCAAUCCGGUAAUUCCAUACGAAUUACCCAAUAUCCCGGCUAACCUCUUUUGUUAGCCAAAUAAUUUCGGUAAUUUCUCUUAAAUUACCAAUAAUUCUCAUUUGUAAUAAUCACUCAACUUAUUCAUUUGUUUCAUUCUUUUAACAUCAAUUAAACACACAACACAAAUAUUUAAGAAAAACUAAUAAUUACAAAAUAAGGUGAUGAAUCACCUACCUAGAAUAGGUGCACGUGCUGCCACUCCAUGCAAUUGUCCAGUCCCCACAGCUUUCCCCUGUACCACCAGGGAUUCAAUUUUUAUCAACAAUACAACCAACAUCACAUCUUCAUUUAAUUCUCAUUCAACUAGUAUUCUCAAACUAAUCACAAGGAAUUUUCUUUAAGAUCUCAUACUCUUACUCAUUUUAAUGUUUAUAUUUAUUCUUAUAAUUUUGUUAUCAAAACCAUCACUCAACAGCAAUUCCAAGCAACGAUUAAAAAUUGUCUAAUUCCGAUCAAUUAAGCUUAACCAACCCAUAACACUAUCUAGUGUCUUAAUCAUAACUAAAGUUGUAAAACUCAGUUUUGGGCGUGAUUUAUAUCUCUAUGAAAGGCUAAACAUAGAGAUACAAAUUUUAUGAAGAAACCAACUCCAAAUUAUUUUGUUUUAAGGCUUAAAAUCAACAAUCACAAUAGCCCUUCUUUAUGGCUAAAAUUUUGGACAACGAGGAUUUUCAUUCCUUGGAAAUCCUUUUCAACUUCCAACUUAUUUUCAUGCAAAAUCAACAUCAUCCAAGGUCAUUUGGCAUCAUUAAAUCACAAGUUCAAACCAAUUCUAAAGCAAAACAUUCAAACAAUUUCCCUACCUCUACAAUAUAGCAAGAUUAGACCAAAAUAAGGAAACUCAUUCCUUUUGAGAUUUCUCCUAUUAUUAUUAUUAAUACAACAAAAUGAUGAACUAUUCAUUUUCUUUCGCUUUCUCCUCGUGCGAUUAAACAUAUACGGCAAACCUUAACAAUUAAUAUUCUCAGAUCAUUAUCACAACAAUAAUUUCACUCUACUAAUUGGGAUCCAUGACAACCUUCAUUAACUAACCAUUUGCUAAAAACACUUAUGGCUAGCUUUAAAUAUGUUUUAUUUUUUUCAAAUUUUUUUCAUUUCAAUUUCUUCAUGGUUCCACCCCAUUUAUAUCCACACAACCAACAAGUUAGCUUUCUAUUCAAUCAACAUGUUCUAUUCAAUCAACACGUUCAUAUAGCAAUAUUCUUUACUAUUCUUACACAACAAUCAUUCUUCCCCUCAUAUAAAGAAUACACAAUUAAUCUAUAAUAUUACUAAUAACAGGAACAUAUUUUAUCAUUACAUCUUCCAUAAAACCUACACCCACACAAUUCUAAUUUCAUCAAAACAUGUAUUUAAUCAAGCUUACUACAUUUUGCAAAAACUAGCAAUAGAUUCAAAAAGCAAUAAGUCAUCAACCUCUGAUUAUUGUUUCCCACCCAACGGUCAGACUACAUAUCAUAGCGUUGUGCAUAAUAUAUCUCAAAUUCAUAAUGAUCCAACGGUUAAAUCUCCCUAGAUCUGAAGAAAACCGAGCUUACCUGAAAAUGAACGAGCUACUGUUCAACAUGCACGCAACCUUGCCGGAGAAAUAUGUUCCGAUCUCCACUGUCCAGAAUGAAUUUAACAUCUACGCGCACCACAUAUCCAACAAUUAGCAUGAUCCAACGGUGGAAGAGAGAGAAAUCGGCCGGCGACCAAACUGCCCUGCAGGUGCAUUUCCUUUUUGUUUUCCAUGAAAUUCCAGAUGAUGAUUUCUGUCAAAUGGAUUGUGUUCCUUCCAAUCACUCCGGUCAGUUAGUAGAGGAGUGUAAUGAGAACAACACGUCCAAAACGCAGCUUGAUCCAACGGUUGAUUCCCGAGAUAUGACCACCGGAGCAUUAUUGGUUUUCUCCAAAAUUUGCAGCUCUCUCCCCUUAUCCGCUUUUCUCUAUUUUUUUUCUUUUUUUUCUUUCUUUUUUUCUUAACUGGUGGCCUCUUUGCAGAUUUAUAGGCACCUUUUUUUUUCAUAAUUACAAUUUUGUCCCUCUUUCAUGCUUUUAUGUAUUUUAUUUUAUUUUUCAUGUAAACUAUCUCGUUUAUUUCUGUUUAAAUCGCUAGUCUUUACCAAACUCUGAUUGGGAUGAGAUAUUUAACCAAGGUAGGAAAACAUAUUAAUAGGCUUCAUACAAAAUUUCAUCCCGAUCCGACGAUUGGAUUGAGAGCUCUGCUUCCUAAUGUAAAAUUGAUCAGUUCAUAACUUUUCGUAAACAAUCUAGAUUUUUUUUUUGUUCAAUCUUCACAAAAAAAAAAAACAUAUCAAUUAUCAUUCUAAACCUUUAAGGUCAUUUAAUUAUUUUGGAAUGUAUUCAUUUUAGGAUUUCCACCUUUAUUUAUUUAUCGGGCUUAUUAUCGUUUCAAAAUAACAUCACUGAUUUUUAAGCGGUGCUUGCACCUUCAGUCCUACCCUUUUCAUUGUACUAUCAUUUAUUAUAAUGUAUUCUUUAUUACCUCACUUAUUUCCUAAAAAUAUUUUGUCAUUUUUCUCAUUAUUUCAUCCAUCAAAACACGUUACCAGUUUCUCUAUCCUUAUGAAUUCUAAACCAAAAUUCAUUUUAUGAAGGUCAUCUCUUCUAUUAUAUAUCAUUAUUUAUCUAUUAUUUCUAAUCUUGGUUUCCAUCACUCAUUGAAAUAUUACCACUUUCAGUCUUAUGUUUACAUGAGGGUUUAUACAUCUACAUAUUUAAAUUAUAAAUUUCCAGGGUUUCACAAAUGUGCCCACCAGCGCCUUUUGAGUCCAACCAUGAACUCGAUUGCCCAACCUCUCAAAUUCCUUCUGAUAGUCCCUUAAGGAACCCACUUGUCUGACCUUUGAUAAUGCUUCAUCAAAAUCCUCAUAUUCUGUGGGCCCAAACCGUGCCCAAAGCUCUUCUUCAAAUAUCUCCCACGUGACAGUGCGCCCUUCUUCCUUGUGAGCUCGAUGCAACCAUUGCCACCAUUGGUUGGCUUCUCCUUCCAAAUGGAAUGAGGCCAAUGAUACUUUUUGAUUGUCCGCAGUCUCUUGAUAUUCAAAAAAUUGGUCCACCCAAUUGAACCAUUCGGUUGGAUCAUCCCCAGAAUAUCGUGGAAAGUCUAACUUGGCCAUUUUUUAUGAGAAGACGUGGCGUCCACACUCAUUAUCAGUUUUCUUCUUUCCCCCAUCAGUGUCAUCCCGAUAUGUGCGUGAGAAGCCAUCCCGGUCGUUGUUGUGGUAACUUGAAGACGCCUUGGAAGCGAUCAUGACCUCUGAAAGUUUGUUGAUGGUUUCCUCCAGGCUGUGCAAUCUAUUGAUCAUGUAAUCUUCCAGUCGCUGCAUGCCAUCUUGGACUCCACCAAGUCCUGUCUCCAAAAGCUCAAUUCGUUCUUUGUUUGUUGCCAUUGCGUAGGCUCUGAUACCAAUUGAUAAGGUCCCAGUCAAGAGUGAUACACAAUUGCAAAAAUGCUAGGAUUCUCUUAGGGUGAGAAUUUACCACAAUAUUGUUUGGAUAAAAAUAAUGCUAUUCUUUUUAUUCUUCUUCAUACAUAUAAAUAACUAAACCAUAACAACUUUCAGCAAAUCCCGCCGAAAUGGAAAUAACAGAUUACAAAACAGAAAUCCAAAUAAUGUGAAAGUGAUUUCUUUAUUUUCUCCCAUUGAAUCGGAAGCAUGAUUCCAAUUGACUUGCUUGUAACUCCCUUUAAUCACGAUAUCUUUUAAUCACGAUAUUUCAAAUUCUUUUUUAUGACACGUUGGGUCCUUCGUGGCAGCAGCUCUCCAAGCUGCGUAUCAGUUUCAUUCUUAACUUGUUAAGGAACAAGGACUGUGAUGCAUGGCUAUUUUAUAUUUUAUGAUUGAGAUGGUAGAUUUUAAAGAUUUUCCUGUUUAGGAGGUAAGACGUCACUUUCUUGCUUUUCUUCCGAGAGAAAGUAUUUGAUCCUUUCUUCAUAUAUAAUAAUGCUGCCAAGCAUUGAAUUUCUAAACAUCUUACCUUUUUGUUUUGUUUGUCGCAUUGUUAUCAAACUCUUUUGCAUUUAAUUGCAGUAUAUUGCUAUGUGUACGGCAUGCUUUAAUCAAAAAGUUGAGUACUCGAUGAAUGUUAGGCAAGAAAAUUACUGAUUAUUUUUGUUUUCUGCCUCCUCCUUUUCUUUCUCCCAACCUGAAAAUUGUCAUAUUAUUUUUGUUUUCAGCCGCCUCUUCUUCCCCCAACCCUGAAAAUUGUCUGAGGACACUUUUAUGCUUUGAAUCAAAUCCAUCCUAAUUCUUUCGCUCAUAACUUUAUGUGUGAACUGCCGAUGUUUGAUCAUUUGUCUUCCUUGUUCAGUGCCUUCUUUUUUUCUUUGACAUGGUUUCCUUUUUUCCUUUUAUCUUGAACAGCAUCCCAUAGUAUGCCCCCUCAAGUUCAGAAUCAUGGGCUAUUUCUCCCUAUCCUAUUGUCCACUGAUCAAUCUCAAGUACGCUAGCAGUUGUUAUCACAGAACAUGCAGAAUUGCAUGGCAUCUAAUGCAAUUCAAAGUUCUGCUGGUUUACUAGCGGCACUGCCUCUUGUCUCCGGUGUAACCCAGACUAUCCCCAACACUGUUGUCCAGAAUCCUAACAUGCAGAGUAUCCCCGGUGUUUCACAGAACUCAGUGGGGAAUUCAAUGAGACAAGGGAUUCCCUCCACUAUGUUUGCCAAUUCUCAUAAAGAAAUGCCAGGUAAUGCUCUUUUUGGUAGCUUUAUGUCUUCCACUUAUGGCAUUAGAAAUGCCACUGCUAUUGGAACUAUUGCAAUCACACAUGCAUUUGGCAUCACACGAUGCCCUUCAGUGCUCUGCACCAACUUUUCACCUCCCAUAAUGGUUCUAGUCAGUAAUGCUUUUUUAGGUAGCUUUAUGUGCUACUGCUGCCACUUAUGGCAUUAGUAAUGCCACUGCUAUUGAAACCAUUGCAAUCACACACACAUUUGUUACCCACAUCAUACCCUCCAGUGCAUUGCACCAGCUGUUCACCUCUCAUUCUGGAUUUAUAGGGUUUGUCCGUCUGUUUGAAUGAUUACAUAACGUUUAGAUGGAGUUCCUAGUACUCCUAGUUCAAAAAGACUUGUAUUCCUCUGUAGGAAAAUACUAAUAGUCCUAUCUAGAAUAGGAAAACCUAAUGAAGCUCGCUAUACUUUGGGAUAAUAAAAUACUAAAUGGAAAAUAAAAUGAGACUUGCAAUAUUCCAUAAUUUUCAGCAAGCGUGAAAAUUACAGAAAUACCCUUGUAUAUGGAAAACACACAAAAAUACAUGAAUUCUAAUCUUUGUUGCCCGCAUUGAAAUAUUUGUAGCAUCCCUAGAUUCUACAGCACAGACUGGACAUGCAAAAGGCGCUGAUUGACAAGAGUAGAUCUAUCAAAAGGUAAUUUCUGUGAUUUACUGUUCAUUAGAUGGAGUUCAUGUAUGCCAUAGUCUUAAAAAUAAAAGUGCACUAUUUCUGAAUGACUUACAGUUUAUCUUUUGUUAAGUGAAGAGUUAUUUGCACGAUUGCAAUCAACUUGUUGUGAAAAAUUUCCAGUAUUGAAUUUUAUAGAAAAUGAGGUUGAAAUUCUGAAUGUCUCAAGUCAUAACUGCAUAUUUGAUAAGGACAUUUUUCUUGUGCUUAAGUGAGUAUUAAAACGGGAAUAAGAAUGGUUGUUGUUAAGGAUCCAUGGGGUCAUGCAUAGGAUCUAAGGCUAAGAAGCGUCGCUAAAGUUGUGAAAUCCAUUGACUUGAGCUAGAACAGCAGAAAACAAUGAUGUGUAGUUUGCAGGGAGACAGUAACUGAACUUAACCAACCCCUGAAUCUUGUCUAAUGGUGUACUUACACAGUCCUUUGCAUCUUUCCAUUCCAUCAAUAUCGACAUCCUGUUGAGUUUCUAGCAUUAAUUCCACUCUAUUAUUUUUAUCUCAACUAAUUUAUGUUGUCCUCUGCCCUUUUUUUGUUAUUUUAUUUUUAUCAAUUCCCUUAAGUUUGUUUGUUUUACUUUCUUUCUGACUGGCACCUGAAGAGAUCAAGCAUAUGAGCGAUAAUGUUUUGCUGGUUAUUUGUACUUCCUAGAUCAAAGUUAUGAAGGAGACUUAUUUCCCUGAAAUAAAUGAAAUGUAUCAGAGAAUUGCUGCCAAGUUACAGCAGGUAAAUUGUCUCUGAAAUUUCUUCCGGAUUAUCUGUGCAUGCAUGAUUAUCUGCAAUUUCCCCAUGUUGAGUUUUGUAUUAGUUUGUUUUCCUCAUCAGCAUUGCCUGUCACUGUAUCAUCUGCACUAUUCACCUACCCCACCCCCAACCGCCCCCACAACCAUGCAUCGACACAGAAGAAGUGGAAUAGAAACAUUUUGUUUCACUAAUGUUUUGCUACAAAGGAUCAAUGCAAUUUUUAAUUCUCGUGUAUGUUAACUUUGCUUUCUAGCAUGACUCUCAUCCGCAACAACCGAAGUCGGAACAGCUUGAAAAGCUGGAGGUAUUCAAGGCCAUGUUGGAGCGCUUGAUAACAUUCUUACAGGUCUCUAAAAACAAAAUCACACCUAGUUUCAAGGAGAAAUUGGGUUCCAAUGAGAAGCAUAUUGUAAGUUUUCUAAACCCAGGCAGAUCAGGAAGCCAAUUCCUAAUCUACAGCGAGGACAACUUCCCCAGCCUCAUGUGCAACCUAUGCAGCAAUCCCAGUCUCCAGUUCCUCAAUUGCAGUCCCAUGAAAAUCAACUGAAUACCCAGUUGCAAUCAAUAAAUGUGCAAAAUUCUAUACCAACAAUGCAGCAGAACAAUAUGUCAAGCUUGCAGCAUGGUUCUCUUUCAUCUUUAUCUGGGUUUUCUAUGUCACAACCAAUCAUGAUGAUGUGGGACGAGAGAUUUUACGAGAAGAAAAGGGGGUAGAGAGAAUGAUAUUGUAGCAAAAAUAACUAAUCAAAUAGAAAGGCUGAGCUUAGAGACAGCACACUACAAAGGAAGCACCCAAUAGCUAGACAUACAAUCAUAACAAAUUCAUCUUCUAAAGUUGGAGAACUUGCGAAAACUAGCAACCAUAAAAUAGUAACAAGUAUCUAUGCAAUCUUCGAUGAAGUACAACCACCUACGUCGCCAAUAUGGAUUGAUGUAGAGAACUGCUGCAAUCGUCAUCACCACAACUGUGUAACAUACACUGAAACUGAUGUAGAAAAACUCCAUGUCUAUGAAACCAUCAUCUUCUUGUUCAUCAUGAGGCACUGGCUGGGACAACACUACUUCUUCACUACAAUUGUUUCGCAAUGGAGGUCCACACAAGAAAGGAUUUCCUUCGUAACAGCUUUCAUCGAAGGUCCCAAACUGAUAUUUUCUCUCGGGUGUCUUACCUGACAAGUUAUUGUGCUCCACACUAAAAACUUCUAGUGUGGUCAUUUCAGUAAGUUGUGGAGGGAUGUCACCAUUCAAGUUGUUGUAAGAAAGAUCCAAACUCUCAAUCCGCUUCAGGUUUGAGAAUGUUGCAGGGAUAGAUCCAGUGAGAUUGUUGUGUGAUAAGUUUAAUGACAGUAUCUCGCUUAAGUUUCCAAAUUCUGGUGGGAUUGCUCCUACAAAGUUGUUAUUGGAGAGAUCAAUACCAGACAUGUAGAUGAGAAUUUUCCCUUUGUAACCAUAAUACAUAUUUUUAGUUGUAAAUUCUAUCACUUCUUCUGUAAAGUUAGUCCAAUAACCCUUUAAUAAGGUGUAUAUGCUAUCCACUUGUGGUGGACCCAUUAUUUCAUAAUAAGCCUUUUCUAAGAACCCUGGUAGUAAAAGAACAUCGAGAUUCACUAAUGCUUUCUGGGAACUUUCUUUGAAAGUAAGAUUUUCCAAACAGGAGGGUAAUGGACCAGAAAGCUGGUUUUGUGAAACAUCCAAAAUGCUUAAUUGUUUUAAUAAGCAUAACUGAACAGGGAACUCACCAUCAAAGUGAUUAGCUCUCAGAAGAAGAACACUCAAUGAUGAAAGAUUGCCAGCCCAAUUUGGAAUUGAGCCGGUGAAGCUGUUAUCUCUAAGAUCCAUCGUAACCAGGGAAGAGCUAUUAUAAAAUCCAUAUUUUAAUGGACCGCUCAAUCUAUUUUUGGAUAGAUGCACAUGGGUUAUUUGUGGUGAAUUGAAACAAGAUGGAAUAUAUCCAAACAAAUUGUUCUCAGAAAGGUCCAAAUAUUCAAGCUGGUCAAACUUACAAAAAAAGUCUUUUGGGAUAGGACCCUUAAAAUGGUUUUUUGAAAAAUCAAUUGCUCUAAGGUUCGUCGAAUUGACGAACCACCUUGGAAGCAUGCCUGAAAAUUGAUUGUUACUCAAAUCCAAUACAAUCCACGUUUUCCACCCGUUUAAUGGAAAAUCUGAUAUUUGACCCCAAAAGUUGUUAUCACCUAGAUAGAGAUAUUCUGAGGUAGAAGAAUUGAACACGGAGGUUGGUAUUUGCCCACCCAAAUUGUUGUUUGACAGCUUGAGAAACAUUAAUGUUGUUAGUAGUUCUAGUUUUACCGUGGACAAUUGAUUGUUGGAUAAAUCUAAAACUCUCAAAGAGCUAAUAUUUCCUAAACAAGAAGGAAUACAACCCGUGAAUCCAUUCUUAGCCAUCCUUAAUCCCUUCAGAUUUGGAAAGAUCAAACAAAUAUCCUUUGGAAUUUGACCGCUCAUGUUGUUGUUGGAUAUAUCCAAUUCGGUCAUUUUCGGAUAUGGGUGAUCUUGCAACUGCAAAGUACCAACAAAGGAGUUCCCGCUCAGAUAUAGUUGCUCCAAUCGUGUAUUGUUCUUAAGCAACCACGAUGGAAACAUUCCGGUGAUGUUGUUGUGGGAGAGAUCAAGGAAUCUUAAGUGGUAUUGGUAAUAGAGGAAGUUGGGAAUUUCUAUAUUGAGUGCUUCCGUUGUUUUUGUCGAGCUAAAAAAGACUAGUUGGAACUUUGGAAUCAACUGAUCAAAUGCAGCAGGUUCUAUUACUAAUCUGUUGUUCUCAUUGCAGAAGAACUUGAGGCUUGAGUGGUUCAUAAAAGGUUUCAUUGAAGUGGGAACUUCAAAGAGGUUAUUUGAUAGUGAGAGGAAUUCAAGGGAUAUGAGGUUGGUAAGGGGACCGAAGGCAAUAUUUCCAGUAAAUUGGUUUUCAGAAACAUCUAAUAGUUGUAGAGAAGACAAGUUCCCCAAACAAUAUGGGAGUGAACCUCCUAAAUCAUUUUCAGAGAGAUCUAAUUGCUUCAGAUUCUUCAUUUCACACCAACCUGUACAAUUUAUGGAUAUAAAGUCGUUAAAGAUGAAGGCUAAGUCAAACAUGAUAAAAUACUAUCAUUAAAUUGAUCAUUGCAUAGAUAUAAAGUCCUUUUUUAUAUAUAUAUAUAUAUAAUGUAAUGAAUAUUAUUGAUUAUUCAACAUAGUUUUAAAUAAUAUAAUAUUUUUUAAAUUUAUAAUAUUAUAAAUUAUAAAAUUAUUGAUACUUGCAAUGAAGACCAAGUCUCAAAAUACCAUAUCCACUGGCAGUGGUAAUGCAGCGAAGCAUUGAAUUUCUAAACAUCCUUACCUUUUGUUUUAUAUUGCUAUGUAUAUACAAUGCUUUAAUCAAAACCUAUAAUGCAGGAAUAUCUGCAGAUGGCCAUUCCCAAAGGGAAAACUAAUCUUCCCUAGAAUAUUACAAAGUGCCAUUUCUACAGUGAGACACUGAAUAGUGAAAUUAGUGUUUCGUUUUUGUUGUUUUGUUGCUGAUAACUAGAUCUGUUAAAUCUUUUCCCUGUACUUUUACAUUAUGCAGUAAACUGGUCCCUUCAUUAGUUUUUCGUUAGUCAAAUAUUGUAGAGCUGUCAGCAAUAUUUCCUCUGUUUGUUCCACUAACUUGACGGUAAAAUGUGAUUAAAGAAUCAAUUAAUUAUUUAAAAAACGUCGAGGGAUUAAUUUGUUUGUUUCACAAAAAACAGACACUGGUUAUAUAAAAUUAUACUCAAAUUUUUUUCAUCAUAUGCGUGUGUUUACUUGUAAAUAUUUUGGAAGGAACUAGUUUAUGUUUUGCGCAACAUAAAAAAAAUCAUCUAGGCUUAAGAAACUAGCUCGAUCUAGUGGAUUAAUUUUUAAUUUUUUUUAUUUGACUUUUUAUCUAUAUCAAGUUUAACAUGAAAGUUAAUGUCUUUGUUUAAUUCGCAUGAUAACAAUUCUAUGUCUAAGAUCAUUUGGUUGGCAUACAUAUGUAAACCUAGGUGUUGUUAGUUCGAGGGAAGGAAGACACAAUAAAAAAUAAACAAACAUGGAUGAUAUGUCAUUUAUGUUUUACUUUUUUUAAUUAAAAAAACAGGCUUAAUAAAAAAUAUCAAGCGAGGUCAGAUGCGCGAGCCUUGUUUUAUAAUUUUUUAUUCAAAUUUUAAUAAUUGUUUUCAAUUAUUAUGCAUAUGACAUAAAAAUCUGUUCAUGAAAAUUAAAUUCAAAUCACUUUUUUAAUCUUAGAAUUUUUAGAUAUAUUUUUAGCAUAAUUUUAUCAUAUUUAUGAUUUUUUUUAACUUUCAAUCACAUGAAUAUAUUAUUUUGAUACAUUUUUAAUUUGUUGUGACAAUUAUAGAAUAUUCUUUUAAUAGAAACAAUGAUUCUAGUUAAGAAAAAAAUCUUGCAUUCAUCGAGAUAAACAAGAAAUAUGUUAAUAAGAAAAUUUAUCUUGAUGGAGAAAAAUUCAAAACGACUAAAUUUUCAAGUUUAAUAACAAUGCCAAGGAGUUUCCUUAGACUUGGAUAUUUUGUUCUACGUUUAAAGUUUUUUUUAUCUCCAUAACAUAGCAUUAGCAUACAAACUUGUAUAUUUUUAAGACAGCGUUUGGUUACUAUCCGGGACAAUAAAGACAAAGACAGAGGAGACAAGACAUAAAAGAAGAUGGAGAUAGAAUUGUGUUCAGUAGUGAUGUACAAGAUAAAAUAAUUGUCUUUGUAUCAUAUUUAGUUAUGUUGAAUAAGAAAGAAUAAAAUACAUAAAAAACUAUUUUACCUUUAAUAUGUAUUGUUGUCAAACUUCCAUAUUUAAAAAAUAAUUAUUUUUAUUUUUUUACUUUAGUUUAUAUUGAAUGUUGAAAUUAUUAAUAUUAUAAUAACCCUAAUUAUAAAACCAGGACUGAUUUGACAGGUUGGUUUAAGGCGUAGACUUGCCCGAGUUUUAGAAAAAUAGAUUAAUGAUUAACUAGACCUGACCUGGUAAAAAAUAUGAGUCAGGUUAAGAUAAAACACAAGUAAAAAACCCAUUGACUUUUUUGAAAAAGAAAAUUGGUCAAAACAAGGUUUCUUUGACUAUUUUUUUUAAAAAAAAAUUGGGUCAAUCAGGUUGACCUUCCCAACCCAUGACCUACACCUUUCCUUUGGUCAACUCCUAAGUUGAGUUUUAAAACUAUGAUAUUAAUAAUUUUUAUCCAUACUCAGGUCAACCUGUGUUGACCCUCUCGAUCCAUGACCUAGGCCUUACUUCUGUCGACUCCCGAGUCGGGUUUUAAAAUAUGAUAAUAACUAUUUUUAUCCUUACAUUAAUCCGGGUCGACUCUCUUGAUUCGUGACCCGAGUCUUACCCCAAAUUGACUAUCGAAUCAAAUUUUAAAACUAUGAUUAUAACCACCUUUAUUUUAUGUUGACCCGGGUCAAUCCGGGUUGACCCAUAUAACACGUGACUCAAGCCUUAUCCCGAGUCGAUCCCCGAUUUGGGUUUUAAAACUAUAAUAAUAACUAUUUUUAUCAUUACAUUUACCUAGGUCAAUAAUCAACCUCACUUGUGACCCCAAAAUUGCCCGGGUCGACCCUUAAAUCGAGUUUCAAAAUAUGAUAAUAACUAUUUUUAUUUUUAUACUAAUACAGGUCAACUCAACUCGUGACUCGGGCCUCAACCAGUGACCCAGAAUUUACCCCGGAUCGACCUCAAAGUUGGAUUUUAAAACUAUGAAAAUAAUUAUUUUUACCUUUAUAUGUCUUAAUUAGACAAUUUAGAAUUGAGAGUUUUUUAUAAGGAUAUUUUAGAAAUAAAAAAUAAUAAAUAUUGUCUCUAUAAACAUGUCCCUUCUAUACCUCAUAUUUUGAAAAUAUAAAAAUUCACUCUAAAAUUAUUCUAGAGACAAAUUUAUUUUUAUGUAUUUGUCUUUAUCUCUUUAACCAUAUAUAUUUAUAUCUUUAUUGUCUUCAUCCUUUUUAUCACACGACAAUGACCAAACAUUACCUAAAGGAUCUACAACUACUGAUGACAAACUUGGCUUUAUUUCAUCUUUGAUUUCUUCUCAAUGAUAUCUCACCUAUAUGUGUGGAGGCACUAGAUCGUUGAUUGAAAGGUUGACUUUGAAAAAAUAUAUUCAUAAAGUAAUGUUUGAAUCUUGGUGUUUUUUAUUGGCUCAAAAAAAUUACCAACCCACCAAAACCAACAUGUAUGAAACAUUUAGAUUUAAUAUUAUAUGUAUAAUUUAUUAUCAUAAUUGAUAUGCUAUUCAACUCACUAACUUAGUAGGAUGACCUAUAAUACCUGUUGAUCUAGGAUUUUAGCCGAAUCAAGCUUUAAGCCAGAUAUAAUAACUAUGAUUUUAUAAAAUUACUAUGAACUUCCCUUUUAUGUCUUCUUAUUUACUCAUUUGAUUUUAUGAAGUUAAGAUGUUUGCAUUUAUAUCAUGAUUAAACUCUAGGAUAACAUUUAGUUAUUACUUCAGGAUAACAAAAAUAAAGAUAGUAAAGACAAAAUUAUGUUUGGUUGAAAAGACAUAGAUAUAAAAAUAAUUUUUUUCAUGGGAUAAUUUUAGAGUGAAUUUAUGUACUUUCAAAAUAGAAAGUACAAAUAAGAUAUAUCUUCAUAAACAAUAUUUUUUAUUUUUAUUCCUAAAAUAUCAUUGAAAAAACUUUCAAUUCCAAAAUUGUCUAAUUAAAACAUGUAAGAACAAAAAUAGUUAUUAUCACAGUUGUAAAAUCUAACUCGAGGGUCGACCUGGGACAAGGCUUGGGUCAUUGUUUGGGUUGACCAUUGACCCGAGUCAACAAAAAAAUAAAAAUAGUUAUUAUUAUAAUUUUAAAACCUAACUUGGAGGUCGACUCAGGGCAAGACCCGGGUCAUAGGUCAGGAGGGUCAACUCUGGUUGAACUGAGUUAAUGUAAGGAUAAAAGUGGUUAUUGCAAUAGUUUUAAAACUUGACUCAGAGAUCGACCUGAUGUAAGCUCAGGUCUUGGGCUAGGAGGGUUAAUGCAUGGAUAAAAAUAAUUAUUAUCAUGAGUCGAUUUGAGACAAAGCCUAGGUUAUGGGUUGGGAGGGUCAACCCGAGUUGACCCAAUUUUUUUUUUUAAAAGAAUCAACACAACUUUGUUUUGACCAUUUUUUUUUAAAAAAAAAUAGCUGGUUUUGCCCUAUGUUUUAUCCCGAGUCGACCUGUGUUUUAUCCCGAAUCAACUCGGUUUUUUAAUUCACCUAUCUAUUCUUAAACUUAGAUUAAUACAGGCUUAGAGACGACUAGGUCCCGAAUAGAUUCACUAGGUCAGUCUAGGUUUUAUAACUAGGAUUAUUAUAAUAUUAUUAAAAUUAAACUAAAGUAAAAAAAAAUCUAAUUAUUUGUAUAAAUAUGUAAGUUUAACAAUAAUGCAUAUUAAAGGUAAAAUAAUUUUUUUAUUUUUUAUUUUUUUUAUUUAUCAUUAUCAAAUAAGAUAUAGAGACAGUUACUACCAAACACAAUUUUAUUUUCAUCUCCUUUUAUAUCUUGUUUUCAUGGUCUUCUUCCUUUUUAUUCAGGACAGUAACCAAAUAUUACCUAGUUAUAACAUAUAGAAACAUAUAAGUUGUCAAGUUCAAGCCUUUCUCUUAUCGAUUUAAAUAAAUUGAAACACAAUUGCAAGAAGAUUCGAGUGUGUUUGGUAUUGUGAUAGCUUUUGUGGUUGUGAUUUGAAAAAAAAUUGUUUUAUAAAAAAUACUUUUGGUUGAGGUUGGUUUGGUAUUUAUAUAUAUUUGGUUCAAACUGUGGUUGAAAUUGAGGUUGAACAAAAAGUAGUUUAAUGUGUUUGGUUAAGAAUGCUUUUCAAAUUGAGGUUAUAAAAUAAUUAAAAAAAGAUAUUAAUAUUAAUGGUUUUUAAUUUAAAUAUUGUAGAUUUAACUACUGUUAUUACAUCAUGAAAUAAAUAAUACUUUAUAUAAAAUAUUUUUAUUGUUCCAUUAAACUAUCUACAAUUCCAUCACGUACGAAAUCCAUCCGACAAGGACUACAGUUUCCUUGGUUUUUUAAGUGCGCAACAACAUCAUGUAAAAUAUCAUCAAGAACAAAAUUAGGAUUGCGAUCAAAUUCUGUAAAUGUUACGUCAUUAAGCGAUCUCCUUCUAAUUUAUGUAGUGUCAUUGAAUAAUGUUAAACAUUAGUUUUUUUGAAUAAAAUACAAUUAAAAAUAAAAAAAUUGAAUUUUAUUUUAUUUUACUGGGUCGGACCCGGUUCAAUGCAUUUAGCUUUGAACCGGACCCAAUUCGGCCGGAAUAAUAAAACAUUCUCCACUGUUCACGUGAACAGUGGAGAGUGAAGUAAUUCACUCUCACUAGGUGGAGACAACAGAAGAAAAGAAAAGGCAGCUUUGAGCUGCUUUCAAUGACACUGCAUUUUAAACAUAAAUUAUAAUGGAUCCUGUAAACAGUAAAUAAUAUUUUAUUAAUUAUCACAUGAUUGAUUUCUGUGGUUUGUUACAAAAACAGAAGCAACCACAGAAAUAAUCAGGUUCAAAGAAGAAAAGACAUAUGAUUAAAGUGCCACGCAACCUUUUGACAUUAUCAGUAUUUUGAUGUAUUUCCAUUAAUUUAUAAUAUACAAGUAUAUUUCCACGUUUCUUUUAUUUGGAUAGAACAUCUUUCCAAUAGAAUUUGUUUUUAUUAGAAUUCCAUAUUCAUGAUAUUUUUUUAAUAAUAAAAAUAGCAUUGGAUGAGUUUGUAUGUCAAUUGAAACUAAAAAUGUGUUAGAUACGAUCGAUGGAUUGAACAUGAUAAUAUAAAUAUCAAAUAAUGUUUAAUUAGAUUAAAUUGAACUAGAGAAUAUAUGUUUUUAUUCUAUGUUUGGUGCACACAAAAUAAGAUCAAAUAAUUUUAUUUUUAUCAUUGAGAUUUUUUCAAUCAUUUAUUUUAGUCUUUGCAUUUUAUUUUUAUGAUAUUUUAGUCCUUACUAGAAUUUCUUUAUCAUCUAGAACAAUCUAGUUCUUAAAUCAAAAAGGUUUUUGCAAUUAAACUCUUACAUGUAAAUAUUUAUUUUAAUAAAAUUGGUCAAAUUUUGGUUUUCCAAAUUAAAAAAUAAAUAAGUGAUAAAUAAAUAAUAGAUAAUAUAAAAAUUAAGAAAAAAUAAUUUUGUACAAAUUUUUUGUCCUGAGGAAAACUUUGGACAAGACAAUGACAAUGAUCAAUCCUUGUCAUGUCCAAAGUGUAUAUCAAACAUUUCAUAGCUUGCCAUGUGCAACAAAUAUAUCACAACUUGUUUUUAUUGUAUUCUAUUAUGAUCUCUUUUGUGUUUUAUAUUAUUUAAUAUAUUAAAAUAAAUUUAAUAAAUUAUACUGAAGCAAGAUCUAAUAUUAGAAAGUUAACGGAAAUAAUAAAUGUACCUUUGCCCGUCCCUUCAACAAAAUGCUGAGCUGUAUACUAAUUCUCAGAGGCAGUGAUAACUAGUUGUUCUAACUAAUCCCUAUACUUUUAAAUAUGUUUACAAUUCAGUCCCUUCAUUAAUUUUUCGUUAGUAAAAUGUUGAGCUGUCAGCAAUAUUUCCUUAGUUUGUGCCGCUAACUUGACGGUAAAAUGUGAUUAAAGGAUCAAUUAAUUAUUUAAAUCAACUUGAGGGAUUAAUCUGCAUUUGCUUAACAAAACGACAAACACUAGUUAACUCAAAUUUAAGGUAUGUUUGUUUUUAUAUUUCAAAAACGUUUUGAAAAAAUUUGAAAAUUUUUUAUUUUUUUCUUUGCUUCAAAUUAAUAUUUUUUGGUAUUUUUAGAUCAUUUUGAUAUGCUAAUAUUAAAAAUGAUUUUUUUCAAAAAACAUAUUUUAAUAUAUUUCUGAGUGAAAAACAUUUUAAAAAAUAUCUGUAACCACACUCUCAAACAAUCACAUUCCCAUACAGGUUAAUCAUCAUAUGCGUGCAUGCGUGCGUGCAAGUGGGGUUCAAUCCGGGUGCCCUAGCAUUAUAUUAUAAUACUUAUAUAUAUAAGAAACCCUGUAUGGAUUCGUACAACACUGGAAUGCAAUGAUUGAAUGAAAUAUUACAUGGACAUUGGACCUGCUGUGUAAACAUGUUUAGGAUGGAUGCGACGACAUUUCAGAGUUUUUGCUUUCAACUUGGAAACCAAUGUCAUAACCCAAUUCUGGGUUAUUCCCCAAAAAUCAUUUUUUUUUCAAAAUAAAAAUCAAAAUAAUAAUAAUAAAAGCUGGAAACGUGGAGAAGGCAAACCGGGGAAUCAAGUUGUAAUUUUGGAGGAAAUUCAAGGCCUAAUUGUACCCCAUUAUGCCAAAAAAUGGAGGAAAAAAAUGCAAAUUCAAGGUCAAAUUAAAUGACUAUUGGAUGAAUUUGCAUAAAAAUUAAGUCCAAGAACAUAAUUAAAUUUUUAAUAGGCCAAUUUGAUUUAAUCAUGGGCCAAAUUGAAUUUUAAUUAUGUUUAAGAAUUAAUUUGGGUCCAAUUGAAGGAUUUAGUUAAGUGCAAGGACUUAAUUAUACUUUAAAUGGGUAAAAUUAAUUUUAUUUGGGGCUUAAUUGGUGAAAAAUUAAGUUUGGGAGCCUAAUUUGGGCUUAAUUGAGAAGAUUGGAAUUUUAAGAGAUCAAAUUUAAUUUUUUCCAAGUUAAUUGCUUGAAAUCAGGGGCCAAAUUGCAAGAAAAUUGAAGUUUUGGGGUCAAUUAGGGGUUAAAUUGACAAAAUUUGCAGCCAAGGACCAAUAUGCAAAAAGUGCCAAACUAUAGGGCCUAUUGGCAAAAUCCAGGGUGAAAUUGAAGAAAUUGAAAGUUUAAUGGUUGAUUAGGGGUUAAAUUGCAUAAAUCCAAGACUAAAGACUUAUAUGCAAAAGGCGCGUAAAUUUGGGGUUCCAAUUGAAGUUCAGCAAGGGCGUAAUUGCAUUAAAUCAAAAGUUUAUGGUCAAUUAGGAGUUCAAUUAAAACAAAUUGAAAUCUGGAGGACUAAAUUAAAACUUAGUUAAAAUCCCUAAUUCAAACCUAAAACAACAUUGUUUUGAAUAAUAAUAAUAAAAAAAGAAUCAGACAACACGUCGUCUGGUCAUUAUUUAUUGUCUUCUUCUUUUACCCGGUUAAUCAUCAUAUGCGUGCGUGCAAGUCAGGGUUAUUGUGUUGUCUAUUCCGUGUGUAAUGUGGGGUUCAAUCCAUGUGAAUCGCACGACUUGUCCAUAUCUUUCUUAUUGAUUACAAAUAGCAUUGAGAAUUAAAGAAUAUUAUCUUAAUAAGUUCCAAUUUAUUCUACAAAAACUAUAUAUAAAGAUGUGACAAAAUCUUAAGUUCCAUUUUAUUCUACAAAAACUAUAAAGAUGUGACAAAAAGAUGCAGCUUACGGAUCAAGCCUGGUUCAGGUUUUGAUCCUGUUAAAAAUCUAUUUUGUUGAAUUGUUCAUCAACUCGUGAAUUAUUGGGUUAAAUAGAUUAAUUUUUUAAACAAAACAAUGCCAUUUUUUUUAUAUAUAAAAAAUUUGGUUCUGGCGUAUAAAUAUAAUAUUAGAAACUUAAACCUUAUUGAUUAGCAAAAACUCAAAGGGAAAUUUUGAAAUAGAUUUUUGUAAAAUCAAAUAUGAACCAAGUACUAGAAAGUUUGUUUGAAAUAACAAUUACUUUAUAGAAAGCAAAUAUAAAUAUAUUUAUUAAAUUUAAUAAAGUUUAAAAUCAGCAAGUUAAGCUACGAAACCCUGAUCAAUUUAAUAUAAUGCCGUUCAAUACAAAAAAAAAAUACAUCUUAAAAAAAAUUUAAGUUAAAUCAUGUUUCUACCUAUUAUUUAGGUUGUCUUCAGACUUAUAAAGUCGACUAGGUUAUAUUAGAAAAACUUUUAUAUAAUUAAAUUUAAAACUCGAGUUAGGAAAUUUUAAUAUUGAUUUGUUGAAUCGGAUUUAAUAACAAUACCAAAAAUCUAAAAUUUACUUUUUUAAUCAAUUUUUUUUAAUUCAACUCGUAUCAUAACACAGUAUAGUAAAAUAAAUAGAUAUAAAAUAUUUUGAUGGAUCCUCGGGAUAAGAGAUUGUUUUAGGACAUUUUGCUAAUUUCUUUUGUUAUCUAAUCAACAAGCUCAUAGUGAAUAAGUAUAUAAAUAUAUACAAUUAAAUUAAAUAACAUAUAAGAGAAAAAUGGUCGAAAGGUAAAGCUAAAGUGAUGCGACGUUGAGCCACUAGUCGAUAGUUGUAACGUCAGUUUGUUGGUUCGUCGUUCGUUUCUCGGAUUUAUUGAUCUUUAGAUUGUCUGUUUCUAGAAAAGAAAGAAAGAAAUAUUUAUAUUAUCAAUGCAAUGCAAUGCAAUGACUAAUAAGAGCUUGAAAUUAAGAGGUUUGCUUUCUCUAUAGUUUCAGGUUCGAACCCUGUGGUUGCUCAUAUGAUGGCCACUGAAGAUUUACAUGGUCGUUAACUUUAGGGCCCGUGGAAUUAGUCGAGGUGCGCAAAUUAUUAUCAUUUUAUCAAUGUAUACUACAUCUUUUUCUCAAUUGUUUGAGUUUGAAAUUAUAUCUGUGAACCCAUUAAUUUAUCUAGAAAAAAAAAAUUUAGGUAAUUGGAUCAAUCCUUGAUAUCAUAUAGAGAUAAAUUAAUUGUUUUGAUUAAAACAAUAUCAUUUUAUUUAAAAAUAAAUUUAUAAUAUUAAUUGAAUCACUAAAAACACAACUAGACCAAUCAUGUUUUAAAUAUUUUUAAAUAUUUUUAUAUUUAAUUUGAAAUUGAUUUAAAUUAAACUUUAAAUUAUGGGUUUUUCAAACUAACAUGUGUUGGGUUACGUCGAUUGAGUUAGGUAUAACAUAUCUAGAAGAAUUUAUUAAAUUUCUCUAUAAUUAGUCAAUCGAUGAGGGAAUUUAGUUUUAAUUGAUGGAGAAAUUAAUUUAAAGAUACCAUGCAAGAUAUAAAAAAAAACAUUUAAAGAUAUCAAUUAUUGUUUUCCGUUUAAUUAUAAAUAGAAUGAAGAGAGCGAUGCUCGCUGCACUUUUAUAAGCGACUAAAGUAGUUUCCAUCUUAGAUACAGUUAGAAUCUCCCAUAUCUGUCAAAAUGCCAAAAAAGCUAUUCGCAAAGAAACUCUCAAAAACUGACAUUAAUUAAAUAUAGAAUGGCAGUUCCAAUGGAAAGCCUCUACGCUUUCCAAAUCCCAGAAGGAGAACACUCUAAAGAAUUUGGUGUCACUGGCAUCCAUGGCAAGAGGUGGAGGUUCCGAUGUUGUACAAGAAAAACUGAGUUGAUCACCUUAAACCAGUCAUGUUUUCAGUUUGGAUUGAGUUCGCCAAAAAAAAGGGUUCUCAAAAAAGGUGAUGAAGUCACCUUCUCUGUGCUGGACAUGAAGGGAGCUGAGGAUCUGGAAUUGGGAAUUCAAGCUCGGAAAAGAAUCAAGCUAUUCGGCCAAGAUUUUUGGAGUAAUCCUUUGUGAAGAAGAAGAAGAAGAAGAAGAAGAAGCUACUCCUCGCAUAAGUAUAGAUUUUGUGCACCGAAGAUUGUGUCUGUGAGUAAUAGAGCUGGUUGCCUAUGUACAAUUAGUAUGCUUUGGCAGGAACUUCGUGACUGGUCCUUGGAUAGCUGAGAAAGCCAAGUCUAUGGCAACUUCAGGGGAAUCCAGGAGCAGGAAAAAAAUCAAGGUGAAAGGAUAUGAAUUUGCUAGUGCAACUGCUGCAAAGGAUCUAGGAGACAUAAAUUUGCGAACUAGAGAAGAGUUAAUUUUGAGCUCUGCAUUCUUCUUGCAUGUUCAUCUGUUUCCCGUUGUGGUUGAUCUUAGCAGUUCUCAGUAUAGUAAUUUGCAUUUCCUUCUAGAUCAGAUGAUUAAUGGAUUAUCAGGCAUGGACUGCGAUGUAGUCGGUGCUAGGGAAUCAACAAAGUUAACUCAUUGUAUUUUCAUAAAUUAAAGGGAUUUCUCUUCUUUUCUUUGUCAAUUACAGUGCAUGAUGUAUAAAAGUUUUCUUACUCAGAGUAAAUGCUAUUGUAAUGUUUUCACAGAGACUCCUCUAUUUUGCAACUAAUUCACUUAUAUAUCUUGGAAACAGAAAGGCAAUCAACGAAGAGUAAGGCAUCUUCUGAAGAAACAAAGAAAUUUAAUGCCCUAAACUAAGCAGCAGGUAGAAGGCAAAAACUGAGCUCAAAUUUUCAGUAAGGGACAAACGAAAAAAACCAAAAAGAAAGCAGAGAAAAAUACAGACUCAAAUUCACAACACCCAUUUUCUUUCCAUUGGAACACUUUAAAUAGUUUAUUAAAUUUAUAAUGAUCUGAUUUCUACGCAUAUUACAAAAUCAACUUCAUGAUCAAUUCUCUAUAAUUUCGGCAUUACUAAAAACAUCCAAACUAAUAAACUAUUAGUUAUUUUAGCCAUUUUAAUAAACAUUUUAGUUAUGAAUUCACCAAACAUUUUGAACAAUUCAUAUGGAUGAAUUAACAUGUUAAUUUUAGAUUUUUUAACUUAUUAAUUCCUUCAUGAAUUACUUCUAAAGCAUGUUAUAUAUAUCUAAGCACUUUUAUAUAAUAUAAUUCUAUCAAAUUCACUUUUACCCAAUGUAUAAUAUAAACAUCCAUAAAAAAUAACUUAUAUUGUCAAUGCAAUGAAAUGACUAAAUAACAUUUAAUUAUUAUAAUAGCUUUGUCCUCAUACCUAAGGAAGUAUACUACGUCUUUUUCUCGAUUCUUUGAGUUUGAAAUUAUAUCUUUGAACCCAUUAAUUUAUCUAAAAAAAAAUUUAGGUAAUUGGAUCAAUCCUUGAGGUCAUCAUAUCAUAGGGAUAUAAAUCAAUUAUUUUUAUUAAAAAUAAUUUUUUUUUUAAUAUUUUCAUAUUUAACUUGAAAUCGAUUCAAAUUAAAUUUUAAAUUACAGGUUUUUCAAAUUAACAUGUGUUGGGUUAGGUCUAAUAUAUCUAGAAGAAUUUAUUAAAUUUCUCUAUAAUUAGUCAAUCGAUGAGGGAAUUUAGUUUUAACUAGUUACAUGACCCGCGCGAUGCCACGGGUCAAUUUUGUUUUGCAUAAAAAAUAUCAAAAAAAGCUAAGAUCUAAAAGUGUUAGGUCUUUCUAUAAAGUUAUACCCAAAAGUCUUGGGUUUGGCUACAACGCCUGAUCCAAAAAUAAUAUUUAUAAUAUUAAUAAUAACAUUAAACUUGCAUAUAUCCACGAAUAUGUACAAUAUUUGAAACCUAUAAUGCAAGAAUAGCUGCAGAUGUACAAUAUUUUUAAUUUAAAGAAUCAAUUAAUUAUUUAAAAAACUUGAGGGAUUAAUUUGUUUGUUUUACUCAAAUUUUUAUUGUUUACUUGUAAAUAUUUUGAAAGGCACAACAUGAAAAAAUCAUAUAUGCUUAAGCAACUAUUUGGCAUCUUAAACUUAAUCUCGUAAAUUAAUCUUAAAUCCUUUUUAUUUAACUCUUUCCCAGUAUCAAGUUUAAAAUUAAUCAACAUAAAAGUUGUUUUAAUAUAACUUAGUUAAUUUAAUGGGUUCAAAAUUAAUACAUAUGACAUGAGAUCUACCAGCCAUCAUCUGGCCGGAAACGGGCCGCGAUCGUCGACUGCCACCGAAGCUUCAAGUCGUCGAUUCUCGCUCAUCAGCCAUCAACGGCCGUCAAGACCACCACCAUAAGAAUCCUCGACAUCAGAUCUACCAGGAUCGACCAUCGGUUGGCCAGAAAUCGCGCCGGAAAAUCUCCCCGCCGCCAACAGUAGCCGCGCGUGUGCCACACGCGCCGCCAGUGGCAUUUUUGUAAAUUUUGGAGAAACCCGAGGGUAUUUCAGUCUUUUACCUAUACAGUGGCACUCAGGUAAUUUUUCGGGGUUUCUACUGGUAUUUUUGAUAUUUUUUAUAUAUAAAUGCUUGUAAAUUUUCUUGCAUGUUGUAAAAAAUACAAAAACCAAAGUCGACACGUCUCUUUUUUUAAAAGGACCGAUGUCAAAAAUGUAAAUACCAAAUAUGGCAUAUGUCCAUUAUUUUUUUUUGGUGACCCAGACGUAAUUCUCCUUUUUAGGGUUGAAACGUCAUAUUUUAGACAAGUCUCCUAAUUUUUAGGGACUGAUGUCAUUUUUAACGUGUCUCCUAUUUUUAGGGACCGACGUUAACCAUUUAAAAAAACAAAUUACCAAUAAACCCAAAAUAUAAUGGAUUAUAUCCAUUAUUUCUUUUGGUAACUCAGACGAGUCUCCAAUUUUUAGGGACUGAUGUCAUUUUUAACGUGUCUCCUAUUUUUAGGGACCGACGUUAAUCAUUUACAAAAAUUUACAAAUAAGCCCAAAAUAUAAUAGCAUUUGAAUCAAAUAAAAACACACAAGUAAGGGUAACCUUUCUUUUGAAAGGAUGUUUUAAGGGUGGUGUCUACCUUCCCUUAAUCAUAACUAACCCCGUACCCGAAUCUCUGGGACCAGUGUCUAAUUUGGGAUUUCUAGUUCCCUCAAAUUACUAGAUGGCGACUCCAAUAAAAUCUUUGUUUCCCCCAAUCGAGAAAAAAACCCUUUUUGUUAAACAAACAAAAAAAGCGGGAGCCGUCGCCCGACGUCGUGUAUCGACAAAUGUCUGCAAAUCUUGUGGUCAUAUACAGGGUGCCGGUUUUCUUUCCACGAGCCAAAACCAUUGCUCCCUUUGAUACCUUCCACAUACCUCCAGAAAAAAGGAUUGAAUGACCACUAUCAUCAAGUUGUCCGACCGAGAUCAGCUUCUUCUUUAGAUCAGGAACAUGCCUUACAUUUUGCAAGGUCUAUAUAGAUCCAUUCAUUGUCUUGAUUUGUACAUCUCCUAAACCCACAAUAUCCAAUGGUUGUCCAUCGGCCAGAUAGACUACACCGUGAUCUCCAGCAAUAUAGUUUUGCAUCAUUUCAUGGUGUGGUGUACAGUGAAAUGAAGCACCAGAAUCAAGAACCCAAUCAUCAACAGGACUAUGCACAGCAAGAAUCAAAGCAUCUUGCACCUCAUUUGUGGUAGCGUUUGCAGAGUCAGCUUCAGGUUUUUUCGGUUUUGUGCAAUUCCUCAUGAAAUGACCGGGUUUGCCACAAUUCCAACAUUCAACCUGUUUUCUGGGUCCAAACUUGCUUUUACUUCUAUAUCUUGAUUUUGAUCUGCCUCUGGAUAAGCCUCUAUCAUGUCUCCUCCCUCGAGUGUUGAUGUUGAGAGCUGAUCCUGAGCUUGAACUUUCACCCGAGUCUUUCCUUCGCACUUCUUCAGCCAAAAUCAAGUCUCGAAUGUCAUCAUACUUCAGUUUGGAUUUUCCAGCUGAAUUGCUCACGGCUGUCCUCAUGCCUUCCCAACUGCUUGGAAGUGAAGCUAGCAAGAUGAGUGCACGAAUCUCAUCAUCAAACUCAAUCUCAACAGAUGAUAAUUGAUUUGUGAUGGUAUUAAAGUUAUUGAGGUGUUGUGUCACAGAAGUGUUUUCGACCAUCUUCAAGUUGAACAACUUUUUCAUCAGGUGCACUUUAUUAUUUGCUGAUGGCUUCUCAUACAUCCCAGACAAGGCUUCCAUCAAUCUUGCAGUGGAUCUUUCUUUCGUAACAUUGUGAGCAACUCUUCUUGAUAAGGAUAACCGGACAAUGCCCAGAACUUGUCUAUCAAGAAGUAGCCAAUCUUCUUCUUGCAUAUUUUCUGGUUUGCUCCCCAACAAGGGAAGAUGAAGUUUCUUCCCAUAUAGAUAAUCCUCAAUUUGCAUUUUCCAGUAUCCAAAAUCUGUCCCGUCAAAUUUUUCAAUUCCAGCUGCUUUUAUUUCAUCUGCCAUUUUUACUGCUUCUCCGAUUCGAAUUUCCCAAAUCUGACCUUACAGAUGUGUCCGGAACAGCCGAAAACCUUGGAAAUGACACUGAGAUAACCCCAAUCGGACUUCGGAUGGCUCAGAUUUUAGCAAUCAAAGUUUUGGAUUAACGGACGGUGCAGAUGCAGCCGCGUGUCAACCAGAGUACCGCCUGCGUCGCACCGGAUCAAAACCUCAGUAGCGGUUCUGAUGAAGCCACGUGUCAGCAGAUUAGGUCCUGCGUCACACCGUAUCAAAACUCAGUAACGGUUAUGAUGAAGCCACGUGUCAGCAGAUGAUGGCCUGAGUCACACUGGAUCAAUACUCAAUAGUGGUCCUGAUUUAACCACGUGUCAACUGAUUGGAUCUUGCGUCGUACUGGAUCAAAACCCCUCAACGGUUGUGAUGUAGCCACGUGUCAGAAUAUCAGCUUCUGCGACACAUCGGAACAAAACUCAGAGAUGACGUGGCAGGUGACGUGGCAGGUGACGCGGACGGUGACCGUACGGCUGUGCUGACGUGGCGGGUCAGCCCGACCCGUUUUGCAGAAGUCGGGCGAAGAUGGAGCGUGGCGCGCGUACGGCGCGUUGGUGCGCGUGGGCAGUCUGGGCGUCGGCGCGUGUUGGCGCGUGCGGGCAUGCAGGACGUCGGUUCUUCGCCGGGUUUUCAACAGUGGAUUCGUCCGGUUGUCCUCUACACGAUGGUAUGUUCAAAAACACGUUUUGAGAACUUUGAUUUUUGAGUUUGGAUCAAACACCCUCUUUGUCAAGAACAAGCUCUGAUACCAGUUGUUGGGUAAUUCCAGAACUCAAACACACAUCAAUUUACGUGGUUCGGCAACUUGCCUACUCCACGGAGCUACUGGUUUGUAUUAAUCAAGCUUAGAAACAAUACAAACAACAAAACAAGGAGGAGGAGAAAAUCUUCUCUACUCAACUCAAGCUCUCUCUCUCUCACGUUUUUCUCUCUGUGUUUUCACUCUUCUCUGUGUUCUUCACGCUUCAACCCUCCAGCUCUUCACUGAGCAUACAUAUAUAUUAAGCUAGGAGUGAAGGGCAUAAAUCAUGCCAUGAUUUAUGCCCACCGUUUGCCUCCACUUGUGCUAAGUGGAGAUUAGGUAUUCCCACUAAGCACAUAGUGGAGGUGGGACAUUGCUUGUCUCCAAAUAGCUAACAUAACUGAGGUGGGGUCGCCCUUGAAACAUUGGUAGAUGUAAGUGUUGCUCACAUGCAUAGAAUAUUUUUUUUCUACUUAGUAGUGGUUUUGGCAAUUUUUUUCAGACAAGUCUUGAGAGUUGAAAGAGUAAUCACACCCGAGUCAACCAACAAUCCAAAUCAGCUCCCUUCCUAAUGGUUCAGGAAUGAGAAGUCCAGCUUAUAUAUUUGAUAUAGAGACGGUACACUACAAAUUAAGCACCCAAUAACUAGACAAACAAUCAUGAUAAACUAGGAACAAUUGUCUUCCCAGUAACAAAUUCACCUUCUCACGUUGGAGAACUUGCGAAAACUAGCCACCACAAAAUAGUAGCAAGUAUUUAUGCAGUCUUCGAUGAAGUACGACCACCUGCGUCGCCAAUAUGGAUUGAUGUAAAGAACUGCUGCAAUCGUCAUUACCACAACUGUGUAACAUACACCGAAGCUGAUGUAGAAAAACUCCAUGUCUAUGAAACCAUCAUCUCCUUGUUCAUCAUUAGGCACUGGCUGUAACGGCACUGCUUCCUCACUACAAUUGUUUCGCAAUGGAGGUCCACACAAGAAAGGAUUUCCUUCGUAACAGUUUUCAUCAUCAAAGGUCCCAAAUUGAUAUUUUCUCUCGGGUGUCCUACCUGACAAGUUAUUGUACGCCACACUAAAAACUUCCAGUGUGGUAAUUUCAGUAAGUUGUGGAGGGAUGGCACCAUUCAAGUUGUUGUAAGAAAGAUCCAAACUCUCAAUCUGCUUUAGGUUUGAGAAUGUUGCAGGGAUAGAUCCAGUGAGAUUGUUGUGUGAUAAGUUUAAUGACAGUAUCUUACUCAAGUUUCCAAAUUCUGGUGGGAUUGCUCCUACAAAGUUGUUAUUGGAGAGAUCAAUACCAUACAUGUAGCUCAGAACUUUCCCCUUGUAACCAUAAUACAUAUUUUUAGUUGUAAAUUCUAUCACUUCUUCUGUAAAGUUAACCCAAAAAUCCUUUCCCAAGUUGUACAUACUAUCCCCUAGUGGUGGACCCAUUGUUUCAUAAUAAGCUUUUUCUAUGGACCAUGACGGAAAACCAUAUCCGAGAUCCGCGAGCGUUUUCUGGGAACUUUCCUUGAGAGUUAGAUUGCCCAAACAUGAGGGUAGUGGACCAGAGAGCUGGUUUUGUGAAACAUCCAAAAUACUUAAUUGUUCUAACAAGCAUAACUGAACAGCGAGCUCACCAUCAAAGUUAUUAGCCCUCAGAAGAAGAACACUCAAUGAUGAAAGAUUGCCAAUCCAAUUUGGAAUAGAGCCAAUGAAGCUGUUGUCUCGAAGAUCCAUCGUAACUAGGGAAGAGCUGUUAUAAAAACCAUAUGUUAAUGGACCGCUCAAUCUAUUUUUGGAUAGAUGAAUAUGGGUUAUUUGUGGUGGAUUGAAACAAGAUGGCAUAUAUCCAGACAAGUAGUUAUCAGAAAGGUCCAAAAAUUCAAGCCGGUCAAGCUUACAAAAGUCUCUUGGGAUUGGACCCUUAAAAAGGUUUUUGGACAAAUCAAGUACUUCAUCGUACGUAAAAUUAAAAAAGCUUCUUGGAAGCAUGCCUGAAAAUUGAUUGUUACUCAAAUCCAAUACACUCCAUACUUUCCACCCAUAUAAUGGAAAAUCUGAUAUCUGACCCCAAAAGUAGUUACCACCUAGGUAGAGAUAUUGUGAGAUAGAAGAAUUGAACACCGAGGUCGGUAUUUGCCCACCCAAACUAUUGUUUGACAGCUUGAGAACCUGUAUUGUUGUUAAUUGUUCUAGUUUUACUGUAGACAAUUGAUUGUUGGAUAAAUCUAAAAAUGAAAGAGAGCUAAAAUUUCCUAAACAAGAAGGAAUAUAACCUGUGAAUCCAUUGUCAGCCAUCCUUAAGAUCCACAGAUUUGGAAAGAUCAAACAAAUAUCUUUUGGAAUUUGACCAUUUAUGUUGUUGUUGGAUAUAUCUAAUUCGGUCAUAUUCGGAUAUGGGUGAUCUAGCAAUUGCAAAGUACCAACAAAGGAGUUCUCGCUCAGAUAUAGUUGCUCCAUUCGUGUAUUGUUCUUAAGCAACCAUGAUGGAAACAUUCCGAAGAUGUUGUUGUGGGAGAGAUCAAGGGUUCUUAAGUCGUAUUGGUAAUAGAGGAAGUCGAGAAUUUCUACAUUGAGUGCUUCCGAUGUUGGACUACUUGACAAGCGGAAAAAGACUAGUUGGAACUUUGGAAUCAAAUUAUCAAAGGCAGCAGAUUCCGUUACUAGUCUGUUGUUCUCACUGGAGAAGAACUUGAGGCUUGAGUGGUUCAUAAAAGGCUUCAUUGAAAUGGGAACUUCAAAGAGGUUAUUUGAUAGUGAGAGGAAUUCAAGGGAUAUGAGCUUGGUAAGAGGACCAAAUGCAAUAUUUCCAGUAAACUGGUUAUCAGAAACAUCUAAUAGUUGUAGAGAUGACAAGUUCCCCAAACAAUCUGGGAGUGCACCUCCAAAAUUAUUUCUAGCGAGAUCUAACUGCUUCAGAUUCUUCAAUUCACACCAACCUAUACAAUUUAUCUUGAAACAAUCAAAACAAUGUUGAAAGAAUCUUUUAUUGAUGAUGUAAUUAUAGGCGGAUGGAGAGUUGUUAAUUUACCUUGAGCGGGUAGGGUGCCAUGGAGGUCACAUUCAGCAACAGACAAAACUUUAAGAGCAGGCAAUGCUCCAGUGUUCUGGAGAAAGUUUAUUGGGAGAGAAGUAUUAUCUAGAUGCAAUUCUUCAAGGGUGCUAGAAUUGAAGAAAGUCCCUGUGAAAAAGAAAGAAGAAGAGAUAUGAUGAAAAUAGUGGUGGUACAGAAUAGCCAUUCCAUUCAAUAUUAUUAAUUAAGAUUUUAAGAAACUAAACUAUGAUUAACCUUGACUUAAAUUAGUAUCCUUGAGAGAAAGGGUCUUCAGCGAUGGCCAUGAACGCAAUGACUGCAGGAUGUCCAGAUUCCUUAAACCUAUGAUAUUUGGAUAGAAACAACAAAUUGCUUGAAGAAUCUAGAGAUUUCAAAAGGUAUUGUUAAGAAAUGAAGUAAAUAAUAGAAGAUGCCAAGAGAUAUUCAUAACUUUACCAUUGAUAGUCGUCGAUCCUAGCAACAUAUUGCCUGAUAAAUUUAAAGACUUGAGAUGAGAAAGUCCACGCAGAUGUGAUAAAAUGCUGUCAUUGAAUAUAUUAUUAUGGCUCAGGUCCAGGUUCUCGAGUUUCCCCAAAUGUGAUGAUAUGAUCUCAAAACCUGCAAGAGUAAGUCGUUAAAGUCGUUAUAUAAAAUAUAAUUCUAAUUUUGAUCUUAUUGGAAAUAUUACGAAACAAUUUUUAAAUAUCAUUCUAGUUUCGAUCUUAUUGGAGAAAAAAAAACAAUUUAUGGAUAUAAAGUCGAUAAAGAUGGAAGCUAAGUUAUGGAUAGACUUACAAAACAAGAUAAAGAAACUUAUAAUUAAGAUCUCAUCGGUAAUUAAAACAAGAAUAAUAAUCGAUCCUAGAUAGCAACAUAUUGUCCAAAUAUUUCACCAUAAAAUCACCCAUCACCAUUCACCACGACCAUAAGGCAAAAUCCUCCACCACAUAAUAAUAUUUUGAUUAAAAAAAGGUCCAAAAUAAUAUAAAACCAUGAUUAAAAAGGAGAGGAAAUAAUAAAUGGCUACAAACAAGAAUUAAAUAUCAUAUAUGUGGGUUUUAUGUUGUUCUCUUUAUUGAUAAAACAGUCGAGAGUUUUUCUAAUAGAGAAAUUGGCUGUCGAGAGUGAUUUGUAUUGGAUAGUUUUUUUGAUAGUUUUUAUUAAAUAGAUAUAAAGUCCUCAUUUUUGUUGAUAAAGAAACAAUAUAAUUAAGAGAAUGUCAUGUGAAGCAUUUAGGUAGGUAGAAACUGUGUAUUAUACCUGAUCCUGUCAGCUGAUUGCCUGACAGAUACAAAGAUUUUAGGGAUGAAAACCCAGUUAGAGAUGGAAAAAUGCUAUCGUUGCAUUGAAUCUCACUUAGAUGAAGGUUCUCCAGCUUUUUCAACCUUGAUGACAAGUCUUUGAGACCUGCAUGAUGUUCCUCAAUAGCAUAUUGGAAGGAAAUAAACGCAUAGAAAAAAAAUGAUAUGAGAAGGAGAAAAGAAAAGGUUUCAAAGCUAAAUAAUUAAAAGGUUACCAUAGAAGCUACCUCCUAAUCCAGCUGUCAACCCAUCGGUAAUUAAAACAAGAAUAAUAAUCGUUAAAUAUCAUUCUAAUAAUAAUCCAUGGCAAGUUCAAAUCCGUUGGUAACUGAAUUCCUCUAUCUAUUUAGUUAGUAAGAUGCUUAGUUGUCACUAAUUUAGUAAUUAUAAUUUGUUCCUCUGUUUUCUAGCAACUACUUUCCCAAUUUUAUCCAUUCACCACGACCGUAAGGCAAUAUCCUCCACCACAGAAUAAUAUUUUGAUUAAAAAAAGGUACAAAACCCAUUAUUAAAAAGAGAGGAAAUAAUAAAUGGCUACAAACCGAAAACCGGUCCAAUAUGUGGGUUUUAUUUAAAAAGAUAAAUAUAAAAUAUAUAUUUAUAGGAGAGUUUUGAAGUGAACUUCUGAUUACUAAUUUAAUCUAAAUAUUACAACACUUUUGGCAUAAAAGGGCUAAAAUAAGAAUAAAAUAUAUGCCUCUUGGACCUAAUUCCAAGUGCCUCUUUUCUUGAUAUAAAGUCCUCAUUUUUGUUGAUAAAGAAACAAUAUAAUUAAGAGAAUGUCAUGUUAAGCAUUUAGGUAGAAACUGUGUAUUAUACCUGAUCCUGUCAGCUGAUUGCCUGACAGAUACAAAGACUUGAGGGAUGAAAAUCCAGUUAGAGAUGGAAAAAUGCUAUCGUUGUAUUGAUUCUCUCUUAGAAGAAGGUUCUCCAGCUUUUUCAACCUUGAUGACAAGACUUUGAGACCUGCAUGAUGUUCCUCAAUAGCAUAGAAAUGAUAUGAGAAGGAGAAAAGAAAAGGUUUCGAAGCUAAAUAAUUAAAAGGUUACCACAGAAGCUACCUCCUGAUCCAGCUGUCAACCCAUUGAAUGAUAGAUCCAAAGACUUGAGAGUGGAAAGGUUACCAUUGAAACAUGACAAAAUGCUUUUAUCAUUAGUAAAUUUGUUAACACGUAGGUCAAGAUUGCUCAGUUUUGAUGAUAGGACUUCGAAGCCUGGGAAGAGAAUCAUCAAAGCAAGAUAAUUGACAUUAAACACCAACCAACCAACCUUCAUUUAUUUUAUGAUUAUAAUUAAGUGCAGAAACAUUGAACUAACCUUCAUUCUCCAUGCAACCAACCAAUCCAGUACCUCCCAAAUCAAGACCUCGCAAUUCUUUGAAAGGCUGAAACAAAGAUGCGUUGAGAACCCAAUCGCCCAAGUGGAAAUCCCUUGCCCCCCAAAGAGAGAGUUGGAUCACUCGCCUUGUAGUGUUAUCACACUCGAUCCCACGCCACUCACAACAAUUACUAUUGGUGUCCACCCAAUGAUCUCUCCAGGAAACGCCAUGUGGGUUGAUCAAAGAUUGGAUCUCCAAGAGACCAAUCCUCUCCUCCUCCAAACACCCAUAACAACGACCAUGCCAUUCGCCAACCAAAGUGAAUAAUGCUAGCAACAUCCAAGCCCCAAUUCUUUUCAUCAUCAUCUUAGAUAAUUCUAUGAACUGCUACGUAGAAUAUUGUUGUUUGUUAUGUGCCUUUGGGCAACCAUAGAGGUCCUAUUUAUACUACACUCUGGCCAUUUCCAUGACUUUGAGAUGUUUUCUUUAUUUCAUUUCUUUUUGGAAUAUUUUUGGAUUUGAAUAUUAUUCUAUUUUAUUGUCUAGCACUUAGUCUAUUUGCCAGGUUGGGAAAAAUAUUCAAAUUAGUUUUGUUGGCAUGUAAACCUCACCAAAUAAUUUGCGUAGACCGUAUUGACUGGGAGUCAAUUAUUGUCGUAGUGCUUUUAUGCACGAUCUGUGUGCGUGAACGGAAAGAAAAGCAGGGUGUGAAAAGCAUUAAAGGUUGUGAACGCGGAUGCUUGACUUGCUGUGUACCAUUUUGAUUUUUAAACACGGCCAUGCAGUCAUUUCCUGGCGAUUUCCUUAUGCAUACUGGUGGUCUUUCAUAAUCUUUUUCCAAACAAUCCUCGUUAGGCCGGCUCGGGGGUUAACUUAGAGUAAGGCAUCGUUUGACAUUGCGUUUGUAACUGCGUUUUAUUAAAUUUUGAAUUUUUUAUUUUUGCUAAAAUUAAGUGUAGCUUGUACUUUUUGGAUCUUUUUGAUGUGCUGAUGUUAAAAAUAAUUUUUAAAAAAUAAAAAAAUAUCAUUAGCAUGUAUUUCGGCACGAAAAGCUAUUUGAAAAGUACCCGCAACCACACUGCCAAACACGCUCUAAGAUUUGUAUCAUCGUUUUUUAUCAGAUUCAAGAUCAACUUGGAUCAAUCUUAAUUUUAUGCUAUUGUUUUUUAUAUAUAAACAUAAAUAAAAAUCCAGAUCUCUUUUAUAAUCUUAAAGGUAGUAUAUUAAUAGUAGAACCAUUAUCUAUCCAGAUACAAUUCAUCAUCUUUUCAUCGACAUAUCUUUUAAUUAAGAAAAGCUGUUUAUAGAGUUUUAAUCUAAGCAAUAGGUUUUCAUCGUUAAAGGAUACCUAUGUGGUGCUAAGUUCUUCUAAAGUUGGAGAACUUAUGAAAAUUAAUGCAAGGCUUCAACACUCCGAAGCCUGCAAGAGAAAUAUCAAAGCAAAAUAAGUAGCGUUAAACAGCAGCCAUUUCUUCAUUUUUAAUUUUAGUAUAACACAAUAAUAUGAACCAACCUUGAUUCUCAAAGGCACCCAACUAAUUCAUUAGCCUUCAAAUCAAGACUUUGCAAUUCCUUAAAAGGCAGAAACAAAGAUGCGUUGAGAACCCAAUCGCCCAAGCGGAAAUCCCCAGUACCCCUAAGAGAGAGCCGGAUCACUCGUCUUUCGGUGGUAUCACACACGAUCCUAGACCACACACAACAAUUACUGCCCAGGUAUUUCGACAGUUAUGGCUUGUGUGGGUUUUGGUUCACGAUGGAGAUGAUGGAUACAAUGAUGUAUUUCGACAACAAAAUUUUCAGUUCUUGUGAAUGGCUCUCCAACUAAAGAGUUCUUUAUGGAAAAGCGAUUGCGACAAGGGGACUCUUUAUCAACAUCUCUAUUCAACAUAGCAACUGAGGGUCUUGGUAGAAUGCUAAAAUUAAAAGGAGAUGUGAUUUGGGACUUAUAAAAGGUAUUUGUUUUGAUCACUUUCAAGUUUGUAGAUGAUACACUCAUCUUCAGUUCAUAUGAUUAUCCAUCUCUUCAAAAGAUCAAAAGAACUAUGUGAUGUUUUGAGUUGAUUCCUAGGCUGAAGGUUAAUUUCCACAAGAGCUCAAUCACUAGAACUAGAACUAGAAUUGAUGAUGUUGUUAUUUCUUCAACUGCUAGCAAUCUAAUAUGUAGGAUGGAGGGGAUGCCAUUUAAGUAUUUGGGUCUGCCUAUUUAUGCAUCUUCAUCUCAUACAUCCGUUUGGAAAACUAUUGCUUGAUUAACUCAAUUAUAAAUAACCUUUCUUUAUUUCCUAUCCCAUCCACUGUUGCUACCAAAAUUGAGAAACAUAUCAUAUCUUUCUUUGGUUCUCAGGAGGAAGGAGGGAAAAAACUAUGCAAUGUUAAAUGGGCAUCAGUGGUUCCUCCAAAAAAACAAAAAAGGUGGGUAUAGACUGCAUUAUUGAUAAAAAUAAAGCCUUGUUUUUCAAAUGGCUAUGGAGGUUUGGGAGGUCUAAUACAAGACUAUGAAAAGAUGUUAUCUACAACAUCCACAACCAAAAAGCGUAUUUGAACAUGCCUUUAGUUUGUGUUAAUUUAAAGGGUAGUACAUGGUCCAGGAAUGUCGUUACUUUUUAUAAGAACGAGGGACUUCAAAAUAUUGCCAAGAAAGAAGUUUGUGGUUUGGUUGGCAAUGGUAGAGAUAUUAACUUAUGGAAUGAUGUCUGGCUGAUAGAUUCUUGUCUUGCAGUUCAAUUUCCUAGACUUUAUAGUCCACCUGAAGAUCAUGUCUCCCCUGUAGCUACUGCAGCAGUAAAAGCUUCUAUCCAACCAGCCAGUGUGAGGCCUUCCCCUGUUGCUAGCAAUGUAGCUUCUUCAAGUAGCUAAAGUUCUGCUUCAAUAAAUGCCACGACAUCAGCAAUAACUGGUGCUACAACAAUGAGCUUCAACUACCCAAACUUCCCUGGCAAAAUUGCAGAAUGGUGCGUACGAGAUUCUAAUCCCUGAACAUGUUGGGGGCCACGAUAGCCUACAGAGGAACCCAUCCUCAGGCUAUGCCUUUCUUCAAUGGAUCAAUUCUAUUCUUCUUGAAUGUUUCAUCCUUCAUAGCUUCAGCGACAGCAACAACCAUUCAUACAGACACAACAAAGCCAACAGGGUCAUCAAAAUCCAAGUAUUUCUAGUGGCUCCUCGUCAUCCCAGAAGCAUUUGCUGAAUUAGGUGGAAUCAGCAGCGGUCAUCAAGAUCCAACCAUUUACAGAAUCAUCAGCAGAAUCAUUCCCUGCCGAACUAGCAGCGGCAGCUGAUGCAAAAUCAGAAUGUUACUCACAAACACCUCCUCCUUUUGCAAUGUCAUUUGCUCCAUCAACGGAACCACAACUUCCCCAGGUCUUGAUGUUUCAUUGCUGGUACAGAAUCAUGCUCUUCUCCAAAGCCCUCCAGAGGCAGCAAGUCAUGGCUAUCACUUCAUCACUGCGGCCCAAGCAACACAGCAGACGAAUUACCGUGUGCCUGAAGAAGGGAAAAAUGGAGGAAAUGACACUUCAAAUAUGGAAGGAGAGAGAAAGGCCGAUAUGGUUGGAGGACAGACCCCAUUAACUGGUGGGCAGUCAAUUGUGUUCUCUCGGCUAGAUUUUGUGUUCUCUCGGCUAGAUUUAACAGACUCCUCUGUUUCAACAAUGCCUGUGAACAAUGUUGUUGAUAGCUCAGCCCGAACUCUUAACCUUGGGUCCACUCUUGCUCGGACCUCAAGCCCUGUUAUGUCAGCUACUAUUGGCAGUGUAAAUGCACCAAGUAUACAACAACAGAUGCAGUGGAAUCAGCAGCAGCAGCAACGAAGUCAGCAAAUCCUUCAACUUCAGAAGCGUCAACAAUUUGCAGCUGCAGCUUCCACUCGAAGUGAAACACCAACAACUAGUAAUGGAAGUGUUUAUUCGGACCACAUCUCAUCAUCAUCAUCUAUGGGCACCAAGUUACCUAAUGCACUUUUGCAUUUCCUCAAAAUCUUGUUCAAAGCGGCAGUAGCAGCAGCAGUUAACAAAGCAUGCACUGCAACAGGCUCAACUAAUCUACGCUAAUGCUUUUAUGCAAGCUCAAGCUCAAGCUCAAGCUCAACAUGUGGCAAAUUCAACAAGCUUUGCAUCAACAGCUAGUGGGUUUCAUCUGCAAAGACAUCGCAAUGAGCAGCAACCGCAAUGCAUCGGCAACCUCUUCUACAAGGAUGUUGUUGUUAUGUCAUCCGAUCAUGUAAAUUUUUGUGACUCCCAACCUCCUAGCAACCACGAGAGGAUGUUUCCAGUUUUUUUUUUCAACAGCUAAUGCUUAGAUAACAAAAAUAGAGGAAUAACUGAUAGAGCUCCAGCAUUCGAGCAGAGUUUAAUAAAAAAAUAUAAAGUAAGGUUAGAUGCGUGAGCCUUGUUUUGUAAAUUUUUAUUUGAAUUUUAAUAAUUGUUUUUAAUUGUUAUGUAUAUGAAUAAAAAUUUGUUCAUGAAAUUUCAAUUUAAAUCACUUUUUUAAUCUUAGAAUUUUAAAAUAUAUUUUGAGCAUGAUUUUAUUAUAUUUAUGAUUUAUUUUAACUUUCAAUCACACAUAAAAAUAUAAACAUACUAUUUUGAUUUUUUUUUAAUUUGUUCUGACAAUUAUAGAAUAUUCUUUUAAUAUAAAAAAUGAUUCUAGUUAAGAAAAAAACUUGUAUAUUCACCAAGAUAAAACAAGAAAUAUGCUAAUAAAAUUUUUUAUCUUGAUAGAGAAAAAUUCAAAACGACUGUAUUUUCAAGUUUAAUAACAAUGUCAAGGAGUCCCUUAGACUGGGAUAUUUUGUUUUACAUUUAAAGUUUUUUUGAUCUCCAUAGCAUAGCACUAGCAUACAAACUUGUAUAUUUUUAAGGCAGCGUUUAGUUACUAUCCGAGACAGUAGAGACAGAGACAAUGGAGACAGAGGAGACAAUACAUAAAAGAAGAUGGAGAUAGAAUUGUGUUCACUAAUAAUAUAUAAGACAAAGUGAUUGUUUUUGUAUCAUAUUUGAUUAUGAUAGACAAGAAAGAAUAAAAUAUAAAAAAAAUAUUUUACCUUUAAUAUGUAUUGUUGUCAAACUUACAUGUUUUAAAAAAUAAUUAGUUUUAUUUUUUUACUUUAGUUUUAUAUUGAGUAUUGAAAUUAUUAAUAUUAUAAUAACCCUAGUAUUAAAACCAGGAUUAACUUGACAGGUUGACCCGAGGCCUAUACUGGUCUAAGUUUCAGAAAAAUAGAAGAAUGAUUAACUCGACCUAACCUAGUAAAAAACAUGAGUCAACUUAAGAUAAAACACGGGUCAAAACCCAUUAAAUAUUUUGAAAAAGAAAAUUGUUCAAAACAAGGUUUCUUUGACUAUUUGUUUUUAAAAAAAAUUAGGUCGAUCGGGUUAACCUUCUCUUGGAUUAACUCCUGAGUUGAGUUUUAAAACUAUGAUAAUAAUCAUUUUUAUCCAUACAUUAACUCAGGUCAAUCUGUGUUGACCCUCUCGACCCAUGACCUAGGCCUUGCUUCUGUCGACUCCCGAGUCGGAUUUUAAAAUUAUAAUAAUAAUAAUUUUUAUCCUUACAUUAAUUUGGGUCAACUCUCUUAAUUCGUAACCCAAGCAUUGCCCCAAGUUGACUAUCGAAUUAAAUUUUAAAACUAUGAUAAUAACCAUCUUUAUUUUAUGUUGACUCGGGUCAAUCUAGAUUAACUCAUCUAACACAUGACCCAAGUUUUAUCCCGAGUCGAUCCCUGAUUUGGGUUUUAAAACUAUGAUACUAAUUAUUUUUAUCAUUACAUUAACCUAAGUCAAUGAUCAACCCCACUCGUUACCCAAGAAUUGCCCAGGUCGACCCCCAAAUCGAGUUUUAAAAUAUGAUAAUAACUAUUUUUAUUCUUCUACUGACACAGGUCAACUCGACUCAUGACUCAAGCCUCAACCAGUGACCCAGAAUUUGCCCCGGAUCGACCCCCAAGUUGAAUUUUAAAACCAUGAAAAUAAUCAUUUUUACAUUUAUAUGUCUUAGUUGGACAAUUUGAAAUUGAGAGUUUUUUUAUAAAAAUAUUUUAGGAAUAAAAAAUAAUAAAUAUUAUCUCUAGAGACAUGUCUCCUCUAUACCUUACGUUUUGGAAGCACAAAAAUUCACUCCAAAAUUAUUCUAGAAACAAAUUUAUUUUUAUGUAUUUGUCUUUGUCUCUUCAACCAAAUAUAUUUAUAUCUUUAUUGUUUUUAUCCUUUCUAUUAUAGGACAAUGACCAAACAUUACCUAAAGGAUAUACAACUGACAAGGAUGAACUUGGCUUUAUUUCAUCUUUGAUAAUUUCUUCUCGAUGAUAUCUCACCGAUUUGUGGAGGCAAUUGAUCAAAACCUAGUUGAUUCAAAGGUUGACUUUGAAAAAAUAUAUUCAUAGAGUAAUGUUUGAAUCUUGGUGUUUUUUAUUGGCUCAAAAAAAUUACCAACUCACCAAAACCUGUAUGAAACAUUUAGAUUUAAUAUUAUAUGUAUAAUUUAUUAUAAUAAUUGAUAUACUAUUCAACUCAGUAACUUAGUAGGAUGACCUAUAACCUGCUGAUCUAAGAUUUUAGCCGAAUCAAGCUUUAAGCUAGAUAUAAUGACUAUGAUUUUAUAAAAUUACUAUGAACUUCCCUUUUAUGUCUUCUUAUUUACUCAUUUGAUAUUUUUUUUUAUGAAGUUAAGAUGUUCACAUUUAUAUCAUGAUUAAACUCUAGGGUAACAUUUAGUUAUUAUCUUGGGAUAAAAAGAAUAAAGAUAGUAAAGACAAAAAUAUGUUUGGUUGAAAAGAUAUAGAUAUAAAAAUAAUUUUUUUCAUGGGAUAAUUUUAGAGUGAAUUUAUAUAUUUUCAUAACAGAAAAUACAAAUAAGACAUAUCUUCAUAAACAAUAUUAUUUUUUAUUCCUAAAAUAUCAUUGUAAAAAACUUUCAAUUCCAAAAUUGUCCAAUUAAGAUAUGUAAAAAUAAAAAUAGUUAUUAUCGUAGUCUUAAAACCCAACUUGGGGGUUGACUUGUAGAAAGAUAUGUGAUCUUUGUUGACCCAAGUCAAGGUAAAAAUAAAAAUAGCUAUUAUCAUAGUUGUAAAAUCUAACUUGAGGGUCGACCUGGGACAAGGCACGGGUCAUUGUUUGGGUUGACCAUUGACCCAAGUCAACAAAAAAAUAAAAGUGGUUAUUAUUGUAAUUUUAAAACUUAACUUGGAGGUCGACUCAAGGCAAGGCCCGGGUCAUGGGUCAGGAGGGUUAACUCUGGUGGAACCGGGUUAAUGUAAGGAUAAAAGUGGUUAUUACAAUAGUUUUAAAACUCGACUUAGAGAUCGACCUGAGGUAAGCUCAGGUCUUGGGCUAGGAGGGUUAAUGCAUGGAUAAAAAUAAUUAUUAUCAUAAUUUGAAAACUUGAUUCAAGAGUCGACCCGAGACAAAGCCUAGGUUAUGGGUUGGGAGGGUCAACCCGAGUUGACCCAAUUUUUUUUUAAAAAAAAAGAAUCAACACAACCUUGUUUUGACCAAUUUUUUUUAAAAAUAACAGGUUUUGCCCCGUGUUUUAUCCCGAGUCGACCCGUGUUUUAUCCCGAAUCAACUCGGUUUUUUAACUCACCUAUCUUUUCUUAAACUUAAAAUUAAUCCGGGCUUAGAGACAACUAGAUCCCGAAUAGAUUCACUAGGUCAGUCUAGGUUAUAUAACUAGGAUUAUUAUAAUAUUAUUAAUUUCAACACUUAAUAUAAACUAAAGUAAAAAAAAGUUCUAAUUAUUUGUAUAAAUAUGUAAGUUUACCAAUAAUACAUAUUAAAGGUAAAAUAAUUUUUUUAUAUAUUUUUUUUAUCAUUAUCAAAUAAGAUAUAGAGACAGUUACCGCCAAACAUAAUUUUAUUUUCAUCUCCUUUUCUAUCUUUUUUUUCUUUAUUUUCAUGGUCUUCUUUUUUAUUCAUAACAGUAACCAAAUAUUGGCUAGUUAUAACAUAUAGAAACAUACAAGUUGUCAUGUUCAAGCCGUUCUCUUAUCAUUUUAAAUAAAUUGAAACACAAUUGCGAGGAGAAGAGUGUGUUUUGUAUUGUGUUAGCUUUUGUGGUUGUGGUUUGAAAAUUGUUGUUUUAUAAAAAAUACUUUUAGUUGAGGUUGGUUUGAUAUUUAUAUAUGUUUAGUUAAAAUUGUGGUUGAAAUUGAGGUUGAACAAAAAGUAAUUUAAUGUGUUUGGUUAAGAAUGCUUUUCAAAUCGAGGUUAUAAAAUAAUUAAAAAAGAUAUAUAUUAAUAUUGAUAGUUUUUAAUUUAAAUAUUGUAGAUUUAACUACUGCUAUUACAUCAUGAAAUAAAUAAUACUUUAUAUAAAAUAUUUUUUUAUUGUUCCAUUAAACUAUCUACAAUUCCAUCACAUACGAAAUUCAUUCGACAAGGACUACAGUUUUCUUGGUUUCUUAAGCGCACAACAAUAUCAAGUAAAAUAUAAUCAGGAACAAAAUUAGGAUUGCGAUCAAAUUCUGCAAAUGCUAUGUCAUCAAGCAAUCUCCUUAUAAUUUAUGUAGUGUUAUUGAAUAAUGCUAAACACUAGUUUUUCAAAUAAAACAUAAUUAAAAAUAAAAAAAAAUUGAUUUUUUUUUAUUUUACUGGGUCAGACCCGGUUCAAUGCAUUUAGCUUUGAAUCGGACCCAGUCCGGCCAGAAUAGUAGAGACAUUCUAAGCAACUUCAAGUGAGUCUCGUAAACAGUAAAUAACGUACCAAACAAUUAUUUUUAGUAAAGCAGAAGCAACCGAAGAAGAAGAAGAAGACAUGUGAUUACGGUGCCAUGCAGCAUUUUGACAUUAUGAGUAUUUUGAUGUAUAUCCAUUAAUUUAUAAUAUACAAGUAUAUUUCCAUGUUUCUUUUAUUUUGAUAGAACAUUUUUCCAAUAGAAUUUGUUUUUAUUGGAAUUCCAUAUUGAAUGGAUGUCAAUUGAAACUAAAAAUGUGUUAGAUAAGAGCAUACUAAUAUAAAUACCAAAUAAUGUUUAAUUAGAUUGAAUUGAACUAGACACCAUAUGUUUUUAUUCUAUGUUUGGUGCACUAAAGAUAAGAUCAAAUAAUUUUGUUUUUAUCAUUGAGAUAUUUUCAAUCAUUUAUUUUAGUCUUUGCAUUUUAUUUUUAUGAUAUUUUAGUCCUUACUAGAAUUUCUUUGUCAUCUAGAACAAUCUAGUUCUUAAAUCAAAAAGUUUUUGCAAUUAAACUCUUACAUGUACAUAUUUAUUUUAAUAAAAUUGGUCAAAUUUUGGUUUUCCAAAUUAAAAAAUAAAUAAGUGAUAAAUAAAUAAUAGAUAAUAUAAAAAUUAAGAAAAAAUAAUUUUUGUACAAAUUUUUUGUCCAAUCCUUGUCAUGUCCAAAGUGUAUAUCAAACAUUUUAUAGCUUGCCAUGUGCAACAAAUAUAUCACAACUUGUUUUUAUUGUAUUCUAUUAUGAUCUGUUUUGUGCCUUAUAUUAUUUAAUAUAUUAAAAUAAAUUUAAUAAAUUAUACUGAAGCAAGAUCUAAUAUUAGAAAGUUAACGGAAAUAAAUGUACCUUUGCCCGUCCCUUCAACAAAAUGCUGAGCUGUAUACUAAUUCUCAGAGGCAGUGAUAACUAGUUGUUCUAACUAAUCCCUAUACUUUUAAAUAUGUUUACAAUUCAGUCCCUUCAUUAAUUUUUCGUUAGUAAAAUGUUGAGCUGUCAGCAAUAUUUCCUUAGUUUGUGCCGCUAACUUAACGGUAAAAUGUGAUUCAAGGAUCAAUUAAUUAUUUAAAUGAACUUGAGGGAUUAAUCUGUUUGUUUAACAAAAAUACAGACACUAGUUAAAUAGAAUUUAACUCCAAUUUUAAUCAUCAUAUGCGUGCGUGCGAGCGAGCGAGCGAGUGUUUACUCGUUAAUGUUUUUUUAGAAGGAAUCUGGAAAAGAAUAAAGUCAUCCAUUUCACUUUGGUCCAGCAUUCCUCACCUCUCCCCGCCAGAGCUCUCCCUCCCUCCCUCCCUCCCUCCCUCCUCCGCCUCUCGGAAACCGCCGCCGCCAAGAAGGCUUCAGAUUUCUGCCAGGUGCUUCUAUUUCUAUCAUGUUUUUGUUUUUAAAAUUUAUGGGUGUUUUCAUUUAUUCUAUUGGAAUUAUUAUUCAGAGACAGAAAUUCUAUUUUAAUGAGAAAAUUAAAAAAAAUAAUCGAUCCGAUGAAAUCUCUGCUAGUGAACGCAAUUCGAUUUUAAUAAGUAAAUUAAAAAAAUAUAUAAUCGGAUCCGUUGAAAUCGCUGCUCGUGAACGCAAUUCAAAGAAACGCACAAUCAGCCGAUUCUAAUAUUUUCUUUUUCAAUUUUUCCCCUUAAUUUACAUGAUAUUAUCCGAUUUUUCUCACAGUUAUUGUUGUAAUAAUCAAGCCCUGAAUUCUUGAACCCAAAUUUAUUUUAUUUUAUUUUAUUUUAUUUUUUAGUGGAGAAUAGAAAUCAAUUCAAAUCUUUUAGGCUCGAUCGAUAAUUUGUUAAUUAGUUUAUGCAGCAGCUGGAGUGGAAGAGAUUUUUCUGCCGGAAUGGCCGAAAAAUGAGCUGUUUGGUUGAUUCUUCUUUUUUGGAAUUUACUGAAUUCUUCAAAAUUAUUGUGUUCUUAACAACAAUACGAUAUCCUUGGGUUUUAUGCUCGCUCACACAUGGAAAAAAGAAAGAAAGAAAAGGACUUUACAUUUUAUAAUUUGGUCAUGUUAACGCAAAAAAAAUAAAAAUAAUAGUUUAUGAUGACUCAUUGUUUGGUUGAUAACCCUACAUGAUAUAUCUUUCUUUUUAGGACUUCCUAGCUGGUCUUGAGUAUGAGGUGAAAGCUUGAGGAGGGCAGUUGGUCCUAACCAAGGACUGUAUUGUGAUUGAUUGAGUUGAAAGUUAAGAGCAUGUGGAAGUGUAAAACAAAUGACUUUGUUCACUUCACCCCAAAGGCGCACCUGUGCAUCUAGUUAGGAAGAACAUUUUAUAACUUACCUCAAGGUCGAGCAUGGUCAGGGUUAUUGUGUUGUCUAUUCCGAGAAAGAUGUGCCUGCAAAUUUAAUCUUAUUUCAACAAGAGUUGUUAAGUUAAUUCUUAUCAGUCCUCUUUAGAGUUGAUGAUGACAUGAAAUAUUCAUGGUUAAUGCUUGUCGUUUUCUUCUUCAUUUUCCUAGCUUAAAACAUCCUAGAAAUCUAUCUAUUGAAGUAAAGCAUUUAAAUGCGUAUACAAUGUUUUUGGAACUUUAAAUAUCUAUUUGAUCAGAAUCUGUGAACCUAAAACCACAAUGAAUACAAAUGCAAGUUUGUCAUUGUAAACAUUGCAUCAAUGAUGUAUCACGAGUGUUGCUAGAAAACAUCAAGUUAAAAUUGAAGCACCAUGAGUUUCUCCAUGGCUUGGUUUACCAACACUCACCAUCUGAUGGUGUGGCAAGUUAUGAACUAGCUGGCUAGUUUUUUGCUUCCUUGGUUUUAGAAGGACCAUGAAGAUUCAGGCCCAAAUCUUGCUUAUAAUACCUAAAUACCCAAGAUCCUAGCACCUUGCCCUGAAUGGUCGUGUAUAUUUGUUAUGGCUGUUCAGAUUUUAUGCAUCCAUAUUUGGUAGAAUUCUUUAAUAAAGUACAUGCUAUUGGAUGGAAGUUCUUUUUAAAUCUAUUCAAGUCUGAAUAAACUGACAUUCCAAUUUUCAUGACUUUGAUAUGCUCUUACUCUUCUGUUGUUCCUGACUUUCUUUUUAGGGUCUAUUCUAACAUGCAAUAUAAUUAUUAUUUUUUUUUUUGGUGAUUGAAGUGAUUUUUUUGGUUGGCCAAAACCCCAUGGAUGCCAAUAAUUGGAGGCCCACUGCCCCAGGCGGAGAACCUGUUAUGGACACAGGUGAUUGGAGAACUCAAUUGCAGCCUGACUCACGGCAAAGAAUAGUCAACAAAAUGUAAGUCUCUGUUUCCUAAUAUGUGCAAGUGCUGCAAAAUAGUAAAUCUUGUAUUUAAAUGAAAGAAAAAGAGAAGGGAAAAAGGUUAAUUAAAAUCAGCAGGACUGCCAUGAGGCAACCUCAAGUAUCAUACACCUCUGUUUUUGUCUUUUUCAUUUUUCACGUGUUUCUCACAAGAAGUGAACUUGAGGGAAUAAAAAGUGCUGGGAAGUAAUUUUUGUUGGAACUUCUUGUGUAACAUCUUUCGAUGAUGACCUCUAGGAUGGCUGCAUGAAGCUUCUUCCGCUUUAAAUUUCAAGGUUAAUCUAUUGCUAUGAGCAUUGGUGUUUCAAUUUCAACCUUGAGUUGCAACUGAACUUAAAUGAACAGUGUUGGAUUUGAGCCUUCCAUUUGCUUUAACUUCUACAGGGUUGAAAUGAUAGUUAUCUUAAAGUACAAAAGCAGCAGACAAAAAUCAAUUAGUCACAAUAGUGCAUGGUUUCCUAGUUUCUCAGUAUAAAGUGGAAUGUUUUGGUGAUAUCUCUACAUCCAAAUUCAUAUAGACAGCUACUGUUGGCAUUUGCAGUAGCCAAUGAGCACUGUAGAGUAUAUAUUGCAGCGUGAGAUAAGGUUAACUCAUUGCAUUUUCAUAAAUUAAAAGGAUUUCUCUUCUUUUCUUUGUUAAUUGCAGUGCAUGUAUAAAGGUUUUCUUAUUUAGAGUAAAUGCUGUUGUAAUGUUUUCACAGAGUUCCCUUGGUUUGCAGCUAAUUCAUUUAUAUAUCUUGGAGCAUAGCCAUAGCCAUAAAUGGAAGGUUCUUCCAGUUCAAGAAAAUUAACCAUGAAGCUCAUAGCUAGAAUUUUAAACAUAAGGGUGGCCAAGUGAACUCCUAUACCCUGUACCUGUGGAAUAAUACGGGGAAAGGAAGUAAAAAUAGAUGUGUAUUUUGAUGCCAUAUAUUACUUGACCGACACUUGGCUAUAUCAUUAUUUGUUUUUACUUUUUCCUAAUGAUUCCGUUGUAUACAUUUCUGAUAUUGGUGUGGUGUAUGAGUUCACGGUUCUUUCUCACUGCUGCUAACUUCUCUAUACCUGCCUUGUCAUUAAAAAUUAAAUGUAAUGUUUUACAUGUGCAGAAUGGAGACAUUAAAGAGGCAUCUUCCGUUUUCUGGUCAAGAGGGAUUACAAGAACUCAAGAAAAUUGCCGUACGGUUUGAGGAAAAGAUUUAUACUGCCGCCACCAAUCAGGUAUUCGGCUAAUGCUAGGUUCAAUGAUUUCGAUAUUCUCUAGACAUGAAUAUACACAUGCAUAAGUUUGUGGAUUAAUGCAUGUACACGUGUGUGUAGUGUGUCCACACUUCCUUACUGGUCAUUCUGUAGAAGUUCUCAUCUUUUCGUUAUUUCUCUUGACAAGUGUUUUAUUUAGAGUGACCAAGGUCCUUUUCAAGUACAAGGGAAGUGUGCAAAAUGCAAAUAACGAAUCAAUACAUAAAUAAUUAAAUAAAAAGAAAGGACACAGAAGUAUAUCCUCACAGAAGAUGCAAAUACAGAAAGCCUAGCAUAUUAGAAAGAGCAUAUAUCCCUUUUCCCCCUUCUCUUGUAACAUGGACUGCGCAGAGAUCUAAUGUUUUGUUAUUGAUAUCUGAUUUCAGUCUGAUUAUCUGCGUAAAAUAUCUCUGAAGAUGCUUACAAUGGAGACCAAGUCUCAAAAUACCAUACCCACUGGCAAUGGUAACAAAACCCUGGAUCCAGGAGGUAAUAAUGCAGCCAAGCAUUGGAUUUCUAAACAUCCUUACCUUUUGUUUUGUAUUUUGCGUUGUUAUCAAACUCUUUUACAUUUUAUUGCUGCAUUUUGCUAUGUAUAUACCAUGCUUUAAUAAAAGAGUCGAGUAAUUGAUGAAUGUUCAAAAAAAAAUUACAGAUUAUUUUUGUUUUCUGCUCCCCACCCCCCCACAACAAAAAAAAAAAAAAAAGUCAAAUGACACUUAUGCUUUGAGGUAAAACCAUCUUAAUUAUUUCCCUCAUAACUUUACGUGUGAACUGUCAUUGUUUCAUUUGUUUUUCUUGUUCAAUGCCUUCUUUUUUUUUCCUUUGACAUGGUUUUCCUUUUUGCCUUUUAUCUUGAACAGCAUCUCAUAGUAUGCCGCCUCAAGUUCACAACCAAGGGCAGUCGCUCCCUAACUCAUUGUCCUCUAAUCAGUCUCAAGCACGUCAGCAGUUAUCACAGAACAUGCAGAAUAGUAUGUCAUCUAAUGGAGUUCAAAGUUCUGCUGGUUUACAAUCAGCAAUGCCUUCUGUCUCCGGUUUAACCCAGACUAUCCCAAACACUGUUGGACAGAAUGCUAACAUGCAGAGUAUCUCUGGUGUUUCACAGAACCCAGUGGGGAAUUCAAUGGGACAAGGGAUUCCCCCCAAUAUGUUUGUCAAUUCUCAGAGACAAAUGCCAGGCAGGCAACAGGUUGUUCCUCCACAGCAACAGCAGCAGUCCCAAAAUCCUCAGCAGUAUCUUUAUCAGCAGCAGAUGCAACAUCAGCUUUUAAAGCAGAAGCUUCAACAGGGAAAUCAUCCACACUCACUUGUGCAAUCUCACAUCCACCAGCAGCAGCAGCAAAAUUUGUUACAGCCAAAUCAGUUGCAAUCUUCUCAGCAAUCUGGUUUGCAAACAUCAACUGUUAUGCAGCCUUCAAUGAUGCAAACUGUCUCUGGCCUUCAACAGAACCAACCAUCUUCUGUUCAACAGUCAACACAACCAAUGCACCAGCAACAUCCACAAUCAGUCCUUAGGCAGCAGCAGCAACAACCUCAACAGUCUGCUGGUAUUCAUCAGCAGCAAACACCAAUGAUGCAGCAGCCACUAUUGCCUCCACAACAGCAGCUAAUGGGGCAACAAUCAUNNNNNNNNNNNNNNNNNNNNNNNNNNNNNNNNNNNNNNNNNNNNNNNNNNNNNNNNNNNNNNNNNNNNNNNNNNNNNNNNNNNNNNNNNNNNNNNNNNNNACAGCAGCUAAUGGAGCACAUCAAGUACACUAACAUGUCGCAAAAUCAGUUAAUUGGACAACAAAACAUUGUUGGGGACUUGCAGCAGCAGCAGCAGCAGAGAUUGCUAGGGCAGCAGAAUAACCUUCAAAAUCUGCAGCAGCAGCAGCAGUUAAUGGCUCAACAAAAUAACCUCUCAAGCAUGCAUCAGCAACAGUUGGCCCCUCAAAGUAAUGUCACUGGUUUACAGCAACAGCAGUUGCAUGGAGCUCAGCCUGGUAACUCAAGCAUGCAAUCUAAUCAGCACUCUCUACACAUGCUGCAACAGCCCAAGGUUACGCUGCAGCAGCAAGCACAACAAAGUGGAAGUGGUUUGUUGCCGAAUCAAGGGCAGCAGUCACACUCACAGCUGCCACAGCAGCAAUUGAUGGCACAGAUUCAAUCACAGCCUGGACAGCUGCAACAGCAAUCAAAUCCAUUACAACGUGAUCUGCAGCAAAGGCUUCAAGCAUCAGGCUCCUUGCUUCAACAGCCGAAUGUGAUUGAUCAGCAAAAGCAGUUAUAUCAACCUCAAAGAGCCCUUCCAGAAACGUCCUCAAGUAAGUUUUUCUCAUCCUUGCAGCUUUCUAGCCUUGCUCCAACUUUAAUUUUGCAGCUUUGUGCUUUCAUGUUAGAUUAUAACAUAUUUAUUUAAAUUUUUUGAAAAUACAAUAAUGGUUCAAGUCAGUAAUGCUCUUUUAGGUAGCUUUAUGAGCUAUGGCUGCCACUUAUUGCAUCAGAAAUGCCACUGCUAUUGGAACCAUUGCAAUCACACAUACAUUUAUUUGAAUGAUUACAUAUCGUUGAGAUGGAGUUCCUAGUACUCCAAGUCCAAAAAGGACUUGUAUUCCUAUGUAAGAAAAUACUAAUGGUGCUAUCUAGGAUAGGGAAAACCUAUUAAAGCUCCUUAUUCUUUAGGAACAAUAAAAUACUAAAUAGAAAUAAAACCAAGACCUACAAUAUUCCAUAAUUUUCAGCAAGUGUGAAAAUUACAGAAAUACCCUUGUGUGCGGAAAACAUUCAAAAAAUACAUGAAUUCUAAUCUUUUGUUGGCUGCAUCAAAAUUUUUGUAGCAUCCCUAGAUUCUACAGCAGAGACUGGACAUGCAAAUGGUGCUGAUUGGCAAGAGGAGAUCUACCAAAAGGUAAUUUCUAUGGUUUACUGUUCAUUAGAUGAAAUUCAUGUAUGUCAUAGUCUUGCAAGAUUUCAAUGGAAAAGGUCUCCUGGAAUAUGGUACAAGGGAGUUUUAUUCAGCUAUGGUUGUGAUUAGUUAGGAAGCAUUGUAAGUUCCAUGAUUGCAGCAACUAAGAAACGAUAAAUUACUGAUAAGAUGAUUAAAGGUAAAAUAUUCAGAUUUCUAGGUCAAGAGGGUUAUUUUCUUGGUAUUGACACGACAAUUUUUUCUAUUGCAAAUCUCUCCCUUUCAAUUUUUUCCCUGUAUUUCCAUACAUUUAGUGUGGUGAAUUAUUAUUUUAUUAUUUCCAACAAGUCCAAUUGACAAUACUUCUUACUGUAAUAGACCGACUUGAAAACAAGAGUGAACUGUUUCUGAAUAGUCAUCGUUAUAUUUGGUUAAGUGAACAGUUAUUUUCAGGAUUACAAUCAAAUUUGUUCUGAAACAUGUGACAAUGGAAGAAAGGAAAAUAAGUGGACCUAAUCCAUUGAAUCAUGACCAUGUCCAGUAUUGUUGAAUUUUAUAGAAAACGAGGUUGAAAUUCUGAAUCAUUUAAUGGCUGUAGUUGCAAUUCAUAACUGCAUAUUUGAUGAGGUCAAUUUUUUUGUGCCUGGGAGGGUACUAAAACGGGAAUAGGAGUGGUUGUUGAUAAUUAGGAUAUAAGGGUUGUAAAUCCAAAGUUAUAAAGCUAGGAAGUGUUUACCAAAGUCGUGACAUCCAUUGACUUGAGUUAGAACAAUAGAAAACAAUGGUGAGUAGUUUGCUGUGAGACAAAGUAACUGAACUUGACCAACCCCUGAAUCUUGUCUGAAGAGGUAACUACACAAUCCUUUGCAUCUUUGCAUGCAAUCAAUAACGAUAUUCUCUUUUGAGUUUUCGGCAUUGAUUCCACUGCUAUUUUUAUCUCAAACAAUAUAUGCUGUCGUCUGCCAUUUUAUUUAUUUAUUUAUCAGUUCUCUCAAGUUUGCUUAUGUUUCUUUCUGACUCUGGCACCUGAAAGAAUCAAGCAUAUGAUUGAUAAUGUGCUUGCUGGUUAUAUGUACUUCCUAGAUCAAAGUUAUGAAGGAAACGUAUUUGCCUGAAAUAAAUGAAAUGGACCAGAGAAUUGCUACCAAGUUACAGCAGGGAAAUUGUCUGUAAUUUUUUCCGAUUUAUUUUCCCACACAUGAUUCAUAAACCCCCACAGUUGAGCUUUUGUAUUAAUUUGUUUUCCCCAUCGGCAUUGCUUGUCACUGUAUCAUCUGCACUAAUUACCUCCCCCACCCCCAACCACCCCACAACCAUGCAUUGACACAGAAGAAUUGGAAUAGAAACAUUUUUUUCACUAAUGUUUUACUAGUUUUGCUACAAAGGGUCAAUGCAAUUUUUAAUUCUCGUGUAUGUUAACUUUGCUUUCCAGCAUGACCCUCUUCCGCAACAACCGAAGUCAGAACAGCUUGAAAAGCUGAAGUUAUUCAAGGUCAUGUUGGAGCGCUUGAUAGGAUUCUUACAGGUCCCUAAAAACAACAUCACACCUAAUUUCAAGGAGAAAUUGGGUUCCUAUGAGAAGCAGAUUCUAGGUUUUCUAAACCCAAGCAGAUACAGGAAGCCUAUUCCUAAUCUUCAGCAAGGACAACUUCCCCAACCUCAUAUUCAACCUAUGCAGCAACCCCAAUCUCAAGUUCCUCAAUUGCAGUCCCAUGAAAAUCAACUGAAUUCCCAGUUGCAAUCAAUAAAUAUGCAAGGUUCUGUACCAAAGAUGCAGCAGAACAAUAUGUCAAGCUUGCUGCAUAAUUCUCUUUCAACUUUAUCUGGGGAUUCGACGUCACAAUCAAACAUGAUGAAUCCAAUACAACCAGGCUCCAAUUUAGAUUCUGGAC
RNAcentral lists this long non-coding RNA (261729 nucleotides) under Populus trichocarpa (black cottonwood). RNAcentral's name for it is "long non-coding RNA (PTRI_LNC000851)". The stretch from base 235686 to 235776 matches the Rfam family "MIR478 microRNA precursor family". The record is from RNAcentral. Lineage: Eukaryota; Viridiplantae; Streptophyta; Magnoliopsida; Malpighiales; Salicaceae.